AAGUAAACCUAGAGUUGAGAUCUAGGAGAAAGAAUAUAAAACCUAGUGUAAAUGAACCUAGGUUAUGAGGUAAAGAAAUACUCAGUAAAAAUAAACUAAGUUAUGAAUUAUAGUGGUAAUACGACCACUAGAAAGUGAAUGGUAUAGACCUAGAAAGGUCGUCGACAUAGGCUAAAAGAGUAAACCCUUAAGUUGUAAAAGUGGAUUCCGGAAUCCCUAGGAAUGUGUUGUUGGCAAAAAUAGAAUCAGAACUACGGGAUCGACGGUUCUCCUCUCCCGGUAGUGAUUCAACGGGAUCGACGAUUCUCCUCUCCCGGUGUGAGCUCAACGGGUUUGACGGUUCUCCUUGCCCGUUAAGCUUGAGCGACUUACGGUCACGGGGAUCGAUGGUUCUCCUCUCCCUGUGAUGGACCUAUUGUCGCGUGGACUUAAGGCUGAGGUGCUUGUGAGACGUCCUUCACCUCGAGCCUGACUUGACGCGGUACUCCGCGGUUGAUUGACUCAAGACCGAGUCGAGUGGCUAGAUGGCUAAGGUAAAGUAACCUUAGGAAAGAAUCGCCAGUGAGCACAAUAAGAAUAGAGAAUAAAGAAUAAAGAAUAGCUAAUGAACGUGAAUAGCUAAUAAAGAAAGGAAUACUAUUGAGUAAAGAAUGGUUGAUAAUAUAAAGUAGAAUCAAAAGAUUCACUUAUGAUAGUACAUUCUUGCAUGAUUUACAUAUUGCAUAUCGCGAGGCAUACAUGUUUUAAUUUCUGCAUAAAUUAUUAUGAUUAUUUGUUGGACUAACAUGUUACAGUGCCUCCUUUGGACCUGGUGGGUCGAGCUCUUCCCUUGGGUGGCCGUACCCACUGGGAACUAUUUUAUAUAGUUCUCACCCCCGUGUUGUUUUUGGGGGUACAGGUUCGCACGUGAGCGGCGCGGCGGCGCGAGGACAGGGCGUAGCUCCGUAGAUAGCCCCCUACCACCGAGACCAGAGAUAGCGGUACCCUGAAGCAGUCUAGCUCAGAGUUCAGAAUAAAAGAAACAAACUUGUAUCAAAUUUGUAUAAGUUGUAAUAACUUAAAGGUAUUCGAAAUUUUCUAAAUGUAAAAUUUUGAGAUGAAUGCUUGUAAUAGCAUAGUUAGCAUUUUAUGUUUUUGAUACUUAUGCAAUCUAUGUUUGAAUGCUGUUCCUGGUUGGGACCUCUUCUACUGCAUCGUAUGGAUUGUGACGCCUAGGACGUACAGGAAAAGCUCUGUCCGUUCGGCGGUCUGUCGGCGUGCCCGAAUCUGACUAAAUUGGCGGAGCUCGGGGGGUGACAAUUUCAGUUUUUAAAUUUGAAUUUAAAAUUUUAAAUUUCAAAUUUUGGAUUUUAGAUUUUAGAUUUUAGAUUUCAGAUUUCAAAUUUAAAUUUUCAAAUUUUUAAUUUUAAAAUUUACAUUCGCAAUUUUAAAUUUGAAUUUUGAAAUCUAAAAUUUCAAAUUUUAAAUUUAAAAAUUUUAAAUUUUAAUUUAAUUAUAAAUUUCUAAAUUUUAGCUUUAAAUUUUAAAUUUCAAAUUUUAAUUUUUAAAAUUUAACUUUGAAUUUUAAUUUUAAAUUAUAAUUUUUUAAAUUUAAAUUUAAAUUUUUAAAUUUCAAAAUUUUAAAUGUUAAGUUUAAAGUUUUAACUUUCAAUUUUGAAAUUUUAAAAUUUUCAUUUUUAAAUUUCAAAUUUAACUUUUAAAAUUUUAGAUUUUAAAACUAAAAAUUUUAAUUGUUUGAGAUCUUCGAGAUCUUGUGGAAUUGUAUAAUCUGUAUCGAACUGUAGAAUUUUUUAUAGUUACAGAAUCUUUUAUUUCGUGCAGAUCAAAACCACAUGAUAUAAACACCAUUAAAUUUCUUAGGACCUAAGGUGGACUUGGCCCAACUUGAGCUUAUUGGAAUCGUACUUUCGGCCCAAUUUUUGAUGUUUUGCACAUACAAGGCCAAACUGCGUUAUGUCACCAGAUGCAAUAAUAACUCUACGGUUCUACCAGCCGACUUGAAUGCGGAAGCCCAAAAAUUGUAGCUUCUGCGUUAGAAUUAAUCGAACUAACUUACAGCGCAUAUCGUUUGGUUCGGAAAUAAGCAAAAAAUUGCUAUUCUAGAAAUAAGUAUAAAUUAAGGUAUAAGUGGGGAUUAGAUUAAUUUUGCGUUUGGAUGAAAAUUGAGUUGUUCCUGAGAAUAAAAAAAAUAGCGUUUAGUUAGAUAAGAUAGAAUAAGAAUUAAAAUGGAUAGUUAUAAAUAAAAAAUAAUGAUAUUAUUCCAUUCUUUAUAUUAGAAUUAGAAUUUUUAUAUUUUAUAUUUAUAUUUUAUAAUUUAAAAUAUAAACUUUUAAAUUUUAAAAAUCAAAAUUAAAUUUUAAAAUUUUAAAAUCUCAAAUUUAUAAUUUUAAAAAAUUAAAAAACAUAAUAAUAAUUUUAAAUUCAAAGAUUUAAAAUAUCAAAAAUUAAAUUUAAAAUUUAAAUUUUGGAAUUUAAAUUAUAAAUUUAAUUUUGAGAUUACAAAUUUUAAAUUUUGAAAAUUUAAAUUUUAACUUUUUAAAUUUAAAUUUUUUAAAAUAAGAAUAUGGGGCGGAACAAUUAAAAAAAUAAUUUAUUAUAAUAAAUUUAUAAAUUUGAUAAAAAAAUUUUUUAGUAAAUUUAUAUGUUAUAAAUUUUUUUAAAAUUCUACUUAAACAUAAAUUUCAUAAAAAUAAUUUAUUAUAAUAUUUAAAUAUAAAUAAUAUGUAUUAAGUACAAUUAAUAAUUUUAUAAUAAAAAUAAUGUAUUAUAAUAUAUAAUAUAUUAUAUUUAUAUGAUUUAUUUUUAAUUUAAUUUAUAAUUUUAAUUAAGCUUGAAAUUAAGCAUUGUAAGGACUAUUCCACCAAAAUGGUGAAAUAGUAAAUCUCAAGCUAUUCCGGGAUAACCGGGAAUAAUAAGGUUUGACCGGAAUAAAAUAUUCCAGCAAAAAGUCAUCCCGUUUGGCGGAAUAGCAAGGAUAACUUUCGUUAUCCCCGCUUAUCCUCUGAACCAAACGGUAAAUGCUGAGCAGGCCCUUCGAAUUUUUUUAUUAAUAUACUUAGGCUUAGUUUGGUAUCGAGACCCAUCUAAUUUUUUUAGAUAAAAUAGGUAAAAAUAUAUAGGGAUAUACUUCUGCGUUCUCCGGUGGGACCGUAGAAAAUAUAUCGUAAUCGACUCAUCGCGAUAUGUGGAAUAUAAUAUUACGUACGGAAACAAACAUGAUAUUUUUCUCACCGCACGUAACGCAAUCUCAUCGCAAUCCUAAAUGAAGCUUUAGAAAAAUACUAUAAUUAUAAAAUAGUUCUCUAAAAAUAUCAUAUACAAAAUUAGGUCUAUACAGUGAAUAAAUUACAACUUUCUAAAUGUGGUAAAUCAUUCACCGCUUUUUUCAAAGAAUUAAACUAUUUUUAGUAUUUAAUACUAUACAUCUUUUGAAGUUUCGAUGUAAAAAAUACAUCAAUUAGGGUAAAAGUGGUGAAUAAUUCAUCGCUUUUAGAAUGCGGUAAAUGAUUCACCGUUUUUAUCAGUCUAUUUUUACAAAUAAAAAUUUUGAAUAUCUAUUUUUAUAUUUAAUAGCCCAAAAACUCUAGGCCUAUCCCUUUCCUAUGUGUCUGCAGUACAGAACAAUUUAUCAACAUUUUAUAAUAUAUAAUAAAUAUUUUGGUCAUUUCAACAUUCUGUGAUACUAUACAAUACUUUGAUAAGAUAUUUACCGUAAAGUUUUCUCUAAAGAGCUGCUUGAUUCCACAUAAAAUUAUGAAAAAUAAAUUUUGAUCAAAUUUUUUUUGGUGAAAAAUAAAUUUUACACUCUUUAAUAUUUUAUUUGUAGGAAAAAAAAAUAAAAAAAAGAUAAAUAAAUCAUACUAUAUUUAUCAUUAUUAUUAUCAAAAUUAUAUUAUAUAAUAAAUUGAGAAGCAUAUAAUAUAAUAUAUAUCAUAGUAUUUGUAUAUUAUAAAUAUAUAAUAAAAAGAUAAAUAUAUAUAAUAAUUUUUUAUCCCCUCUCUCUCAUAUAUAUAUAUAUAUAUAUAUUAUUAUAAUAACACACCACGUAGAGAGAGGAGAAAAUAUAUAUACAGGAAUAAUUUAUAGAUGCCCCUCUAGAAACUAUAAUUUCAUCAAUACCCUUCCAAAAUUAAUAAUAUCACAAAUACCCUCCAAAAUGUGAAAAUUAUCAUAAAUACCCUCCUCUAGUUAAGAUUCAUUAAAGCCAUUUGAACGGAGUUAAAUUUUUUUAAAAUACUUUUUUAGCCCUUUAUCUCUUUUUAAUAGUAGAAUACUAAUAGGUAUUUCAAAAAUAAUUUUUGUAAAAUCUAAAUUUGAGUAUUUAAUAUAUUAAAUAGUUAAUUAAAUUAUUAAUAUAUAUUAAUUAAUAAAAAAUAUAUAAAAAUUGUAUUUAAAUAUAGUAUGUUUUAUCUGAUUUUGGUUUGUUCUUGUUUUGGGUUUCGGUUCAGAUUCGGUUUAAAUAUAGACCAAAACUAUAUAACUGAAUUUACAUAACGACGGGAUUUUAUUUUUUGGUAUCUAUAACUAAAACUAUCCCUAUUCAGCAUUGAUUAAACUUAUCCCAUUUUAAAUCGAGUUUAGAUAAAUUCGUAUUUAUAUCAAUUCACUUCCUAAUUAUAAUAGUAAUUUUGAAAUAAUUAUAGAUAUUUUAUUUUUCCUAUUUAAAAAUAAAUCACAUAAAUUGUUUUGUCGAUUGAAAUAAAAGAGAGUUUUGUUCAAAGCUAAAAUAUUUAUAUUUCAAGUUUUGUUAAUACCUUAAUGCAGAUAAAAUUAUGCGAGAAUAAUUUGAUUCAAAAAAUUUUUAAGUUUUCAAGAUGAAAGAACAGAUCGUAUUUCUUAACAUAUAUUUCUAUUUAAAUUUUAUAUAUAUAGUUAUUUAUUUUGAUAAAAAAAUAAUAGCCAUUAAUUUGUAAAAAUCCAUCACAAAAACUAAAAAAUUCUUUAUUUUUUUUUAUACACUGAGAAUUUAGGUUUUUUUAUAAAGAAAAUAGUAAUGGGGUAUGCAACUAAAAUGAAAUGUGAGGAGCUGUAUUCCUCAAAAAUGCAUAUAGUUGAGGGGGUUUCACCAUUUUUAGUUAAAAGUAUUUGAGGGUAAAUAAGUCAAUUAAAAUUAACCCAUCUUUACCAUGUAAUAACUAUAGUACAAUAACGUAACUAACAGUAGGGUAUUAAUGAUUAAUUUUUUGUUUAUAGGGGUAUUGGUGAUAUUUAACUUUAUAGGGCAUCUAUGAUAUUUUAACUUUGGAGGGUAUCCAUGAAUUUGCCCCUAUACAUAUAUACACACAUAUAUCCAACGAGAGGAGAGAGAGAGAGAUUGAGAAGAGAGCGAGAGAGAGAGAGAGUUGAGUGAGUAGGUCCAGCACGUGUCAUGAUCACUAUACCUCUGUGGAUCGCGAUGCUUUUUAAUGCACGUGAGCGGCGUUUUCUUCUUCAAGUUCUCGUUUGCACAAAGAUGAACGAAAAUAAAAGUUGAGUUUUUCUUUAAAUUCGUAAAUUAAUUUUUUCUUUUACAUCAAAACAAUUGAACAUCUGAAAAAACUUUCAAGCCUGAAAAAUUUUUGAAAUAUUAUCAUUGUCUAGGCCUCUUAACAAAAUAAAAUUUCCUAUCUGACUCUUUUUUGAAAAAUAUUUUCAAUCUAGCCUCAUUUUUAUAGAUUAGGAAAAAUGAUAAGUUAAUAAUUUUUAUAUAGAUUAAUAUGUUAAGUGGGUGGAGAUUAUCUUUUUUUUUCUCUUAUUUUAAAUUAAGUGAAUAUAAUGUGAUUUUAUAUAUGAACACUUUUAAAUUAUAUUGACUUAUAUAAUCAAAUUAAGUACUAGUAGUACUAAUAAAAAAUUAUAAUUUAGAAAUAUUAUUAUUUAUUAUUAUUAAUAAAUAAAUUUUUUAUUAAGUGUUUAUAUAUAAAUCACAUUACAUUCACUUAAUUUAAAAGGAGAGAGAAAAAAAAGAUAAUCUUCACCCACUUAACAUAUUAAUCUACAUAAAAAUUAUUAACUUAUCAUUUUUUUCCUAAUCUAUAAAAAUAAGGUUAGAUUGAGAAUAUUUUUCAAAAGCAGGUUAGAUAGGAAAUUUUUUUUUGUAAAGAUAGAGGCUAGACAAGUAAAUGAAUCUUCAGCUGCUUUCAAUUGAAACAAAACACACCCUAAUCUACAACACUUUGAAAAGAACUAAUCCAAACACUCUAUAAUGUUUUUUCUACCACACAAUUUUAUAUUGUUAGAAAAUAACCGGCACAUCAGAAAAAACACGCAGCGGAAAAUAAUUUUGUAUUUUUAAAAUUUUUCGGAAGCUAAAUACAUAUCACAUAUGAAAACCGAAAACCAAUAAAUCAAACCGUUGCCGGCGGAUCAUUCUCAUGUUACUAUGCAAAAAUUUAAUCUAAACAAAAACUCUUUAUGUUUAGAAAUCUUACCGUGGACCAGUUAAGGUCUCUUGAUCUACUGUACGUUUGAAACUGAAUAUGACGAACAGAGAUUCCGAUUAGCCGUGCACAUGCCCGGCCUCUACGCGUAUCCACACGGAAUCGGCGCAUACCCAAUCGAUCUUCGUCUCACGAACCGGAUGAGUCACGGACCAUCUGGACGGUGCUAGCAAUCACUUCAUGAUCUUUCAGUCGAUGAAGAAUAGAGAAGUUGAUCGGAAAGAAACACGCGCGCAGAAGAGAGAUCGGAGAGAGAUCGAUUUCUAUAUGUAUAUAGAUCAAUAGCUAUCAUGGAUCCAAUUAAAUCAAAUCUAGUAAAAAAUCUUAUCUUAUAAGAUAUUAUGAAUAUUUAAUUAUUCUUUAAUCCAAUUAGAGAUAAAUAUUAAUCUCUCCAAUAUUUAAUUAGAUCUUAUCUAAUUUUGAUCUUAUCCAAUAAGAUUACUCACUAAUAUUUAAAUCUCAUUUAAAUAUCUUUUAUGAUUAAAUAUUAUCUACUAAUCUAAUUAGAGAUAAAUUUAAAUCUUGCGCAUAAUUCUCUAACUGAUUCUGAGAUCCUAACUAAUUAGGACUAUCAGUUAUAACCGAAUCGAAUAAUUAAAUCUAAUUUAAUUAAGCAGCUUCCUUUUAUUUUCUUCGCUUAUACUAAACUCUUUAGUGAACGACUCUCAUCCAAACGAUUCGGGUGUACACAAUUCCUAAUGUGUGUGACCGCAUAGGUUCAUUACCAUUCGACAGUGGAGCUCAACAUCAAACUCUUUGAUAUUUAAUUAGAACUCUUCUAAUCGAUAAAUAAGAACAAUUCAAUUCGAAUCAUUCAUAUUCUCUCACUGUCCGUGAGUGACACCUAGCAGUAUAUCACGGCAAUCCAGAAUGGUGAUGAAGAAUGAACCUUUCCGCUUACAGUUACCAUGUGAUUAAUUCCUUCCAACAUACAAUGUCCCAAUCGAACUAAGGUCAUGGUUACUCGCCAAACCUUAUCAUUCGACCAUAUGACUAGACUAUCUGAAAUCAACUCAAUAUGGCAACACGGUUGGAAACUCUUUCCACAUACCAUGUACCCUGGCCAGGGGUUUUCCGAGUCGAGUUUGAUAGACUGCAUAGGACAUUCUCCCUCGUCAUUGAGAGUGUUGGAUCCCUUAUUGCGCAUUCACAUGCCUCCUCGCAUAAAUCACUACAGUCAAUCAGUACCGAACAUAAACACGUGUCUAGAGUCUAAGUAUUAGUACUGUCAAACGGUAACAAUUUAUACGUGAAGCAACUAUGAUGCCUCAGGUCCAAGGAGUACUUCACACAACUGUAGCAAUGAACUUGUCACUGGCGAGAAUAGAACCAUAUGACUGUUCAACUAAAUAGUUACGCUCAGUGUACUUGUUCUCUAACAAGCACCUAUAUGCUUGUUCUAGUGUCCCUACAUUAGUGACUUGAGAUUCGUCACCUCAAUUAGAAACAUAGCAUAUACCGGCCUAUCCGGAAUAUCACCGUCCCUGUAAUAUUCCUCUGGCUAGGAGCAUUUAAAGAGUCUCGUACAGAAAAAUACAUAUCUCAAAUUUCUAACUCUUAGGAAUAUAUUUUUUCAAACAAAGACUCUAUGGACGAUUCAUGACAAUAUUGAAUUGCUAUACCAUAUACAUGAAUAGAAUAUGUAACACACUAGACCUUUGCAAAUUGCGAGGUUCGAGUGAUUGGCCGUGUUCUGAGCUUUUCCAGAUUUUCUGGUAGGUCGUUGACUGUGUUCCGACCUACGGCACGUGUCCCGAGAAGUGUGGUACAAAGCCUUGCACCAAAACUCGAAAAAACGGGAUUUGGUUGACUCUCGGAUUGAGUCCUGGCAGGCUUGUACCGGUACAAGGUUGUGCUUGUACCGGUACAAGGUUGAUGGAUGUACCGGUACAGCCAUCGGAGCUUGUACCGGUACAGAGCCGCAGAGCCCAGCAACCCGAGCCUCGGGUUUGGAUUUCGUGGACCUUAUACCGGUACAAGAGCCCGUGUACCGGUACAAGGGGGCUGAUUUCGUGCAGUUUGAACUGCAGGGGGCUUUUUGCGAUUGUGGACUUCUUAUUAGUACCCCCCACGCCCUAGGGGUCUUCUUCUGAGCUUGGGACCAGCAAGAGGAGAGGUAAGGGAGCCCUCUUUGAUUUCCUUUUGAUCUAUUUGGAUUUUGGUAGGAUUUUAAGAGAUUAAACCUCUCUUUUGCUUCUUUUGCUUGAUUGGAGGCUUUUCCACCUUUGGGGCUUUGUUUUGGAGCUUUGUUGAGGGAAGAACUUGGGACUUAGAGCAUUUAGAGCUUGAUUUAAAGCUUCCAAGAGGUAAUCCACUUGUUCUCUUCCUCUAAAAUAGAGUUUUAUUGAGAAUUUUGUGAUGAAACCCUAGAUUGGAGAUUUAGGGCUUAUUUUGGGCAUUUUGAUUUUAGGGCUUUUGGAGCUUGAUUGAUUGGAUUAGAACCUUCCUCUAGGAUAGAUUGGAAGGAUUCUAGCUCCCCUUUGGAGCUUAGGAGAGGAUUUCUUCUUGUGAGGUGAGUUUUGGCCUUUUGCCUUCUAGUUAAUGCUUUGAGCUAUUCGCUCUUCGUUUCUUUGGGUGCCCCAUUUUUGUAUGUUCGUAGGGUACUAGGAAGCUUGUGGAAACCUCCGUUCGGUCGAAUACGAAAGUUUUGAUUUUGUGGGUUUGACUAGCCUAUUGUAAUUGAGAAAUUCUCAUAUCUCUUGUUUACUGCCUUUAUAAAUGAUUAAUUCUUGCAUUUGCCAUGCAAAUACAUUUAUUGUGAUUUAGGAUGCUUAACAUGCUGACUUGGUGUGAAUGAUUUUGAACCUUCUAUAUAGUAAGAACAACAUGCGUGAACUAGCAUAUGAUCGGCAUCCUAUCAGAUUUAGCACAUGUUUUCUAUUGUAAAAUGAGAGUGGAUUCACGGCAUUUACCACCUAAUUUAAUUGAGGCAUCGAGAGAUAACAUGAUUGCCAUAAAGUGCAACCGAAUUGGGAAUAUCACUGUGAAUUAGAGAGCUAAUGUCAUCAAGCGUCAUUGAGGCUUCAGGACAUGUGGUGACUAGUGGAUGAGGCCAUUGAGGAUUGAAUAUAUGUUGAACAUCAAAUUUCUAAGUGUCAUCAGGAGGCAAUCUAGCCGUAGCAAAUGUUGAAACUUCAUAUUGUGACUGUAAACUAGUAUCUUCGGAGCUAGGACUAGUACAUGUUAAGUACAUGAGAUUGGAUCUUGAGACUCUGUACUAUGCUUGCUUGCCAUUUGUGGCUCCUUGCACUAUGUUUGUGAGUGGUCGCUCUCCCUAACAAGCCGGCACUCUAGAGUUAGCUCUACGCGACCUACUUUCGACCGUGCGUAGUGCGAGAAGACCUACGGUCGGGAAGGCUAUAGACCAUUCCUAGAGUGGGAAUGUGUGGGCUACCACCGACAACUUAGGCGCACAAGCUGGAUUACAAUAUGUACGGACCUAUAAUAUAUAAUUGUUUGAUGAAUACAUUUGUAAUCCCGGGAAGUAAUCCACCUACUAGACGAUAGGUUUAGUAGUUGAAUUACAUUUAUCAUGCUUUCUACAUAGUGUUGAACAUUAGUAUACUUGAUAGAUCUUUUAUUGCAUCAACAGAUACUUGGUGCCAUGACACGAACUUUAUGCAUCAUGUAUUGAUAAAGUGUUAGUGACAUUCAACUAUUACCAUUGACUAUCUAUUAUGAUAUUUCGUAGAAUGUAGCACGCAUGACAUCGUGUAUACUUGAGCUUUAGUAAUUUAGCAUUUUAAUUGUGCUUUCAUAUCGCAGUCAUUAUUCGCUAUUAUUAUUGUACUUCGCUUUAACUUUGGGGCCUAGUGGUGCAUAGAGCUGAGGUCAGUAAUUCUGCCACGGAACUAUAAAUUAUAGUUCUCCACCUAGCGCCCUCUUUUUCUCGAUAUUUUCAAGCCUCCGCGUAGGGUGAGGCUCAGGGAUCGCGGUGAAGGAGUUGCUAGCGAAGCUAGCUUCCUUACGAGAACUGAGUUGUUAGGUGGUCUAACUUCUCGAUGAUUUACUUUUGGUGCCGAGAGUUUGAGGGCUUUCCAGUGUAUACGAGACCACCAUUUUUGUACUAGAAGACAGAUAUUGUACUACAUUAUCGGUUUUUUUAUUGACUCUAACUCUUAUUUCUUUACUUUGUGUAGAUGAUAGAACUUACUUGCUCUGAUAUCAUUAGUUGUAGUUAGUUCAUCUUUAUUUGUUCUAUCUCCUGCUUUACUUCCGCUUUUAUUGUAGACGCCUUAUAUGUGUAGAUAUAUGGCGGGUCUGGGCACGCUACCGGGAGGGCCUUCUCCGGUCCCGGGGCGUGACAGAAUAUCUGCCCUCCUAUUAUAAAUUAUAAAUAAUUAAUACAUAAAUACCCUUAAGCUAGUGUCACCAUAUUGGCUUUUGGGCAUAUAACUAACAUAUAUCUCCCGUGGCACGUUAAAAUAGCACCAUAUCAAACAACUUGACCAUACUAGUAUUAAAGCUGCAUGAAAUUGCGGUCAUAAUGUAAGGGUCAGGGUCCGUUUAUUUUGGUAUAAAUAGAGGAAUGAAACUCAAGUUCCAUCACUUUCGUCAUUUAUUUUAGUAUAAGUCAAAAAUAUAAUAUAACUCAAGUUACGUUAGAUCUUCACUUCACCUAUUCUCGAUUUUCUUUUCUAGUUAAAGUGCCGAACUCGACUUCUGCCACACUCAAUCUUCUCUAAAAAAUUUAUUUAUUUUUUUUGAGAGAUAGGUAGCAUGCUAUCCGCUUCGUUUAUUUCUUUUAGAAAUAAAAUUAGCUGGAAAUGCGAAUCAACUAGACUUAGCUAGAAAUGUGAAUAAACUAGGAUUCGAUCUUGGGAUCUCGGGUACCAACCACCAAGCCCUUUGCCACUUAGACCAAGGACGGUUGAUCUCUAAAAAAUUUAUUAAAUAGUAAAACCUAAACUCUACUUCCUUUAUAAUGGGUUAGAAUUACCUUAUUUAUAAUAAAUUAUUAUUAUCUUUAAAUAAUAAUGAAAAAUUUAAUUAUAUAAUAGGUUAAAUUUUAUAGCGAUAAGUUUACCACUAUAUUUAGGAGAUAACGUGAUUUAUUUACUUAUAUCAAAACAAAUAAUGAAACUCAAAAAACUAAUUUCACUAGCAUCAAGUUACAUCAAAACAAACAGAAGAAAUAAUUGAAUUUAACUUUCAAAUUGUACGAGUUAUGUCAAAACAAACAACAAAAAAAUAAUUGCACUUCAGGAAAACUCAAACAUCAUUGCACUUAAGUUACGUUGGAUUUACGAAUUCGUCAAUCCAAAUGCCCCCUAAGCCAAAAACAAUUAACACGGUCUAUCAUAACAAACCAACAUGUGUGGAUGGAGCUUAGCAUUGAAAACAGAUAAGAUAUUAUCCAAUAAUAUUCAUAUCUAUUCGGUAUUAUUCAUAUCUAGAUAGAAAAUGUUCAAAUCCAGUCAGAUAUGGAUGUGAAUAUAAUUUUAGAAAGUCAAAAUUAUCCGGAUAUCGAAAAAAACGAAUACGGGUACAAAUAUACAAUACCCCAAUAUCUCAUUCUCCUCAUUCUCUUAUCCCAAUAUCCCAAUAUCUCUGUUGUGGCUCGAACAGAACUUUCGAAAUGUUGACCAAGUCAAGCUAUUGACCGGGUCAAUUGCAUCUUCAGACUUGUGGAUCGGUUUUUGAAUUGACUCUCGAGUGCGUCAAAAUCAAGCUAUUCAGUUGAGAAGGGAUUGGCUCAACCAUGUUCUCUCUCAAUGUGUAAAAUGAACCGAAUUCAAGGAAUAGGAACUAAUUCGGCUGAAACUAGAGCCGAACUAAUUUAUUUCAUUUCAUUAAUAUAUGAAAAUUAUAGGAACUGUAGAUCACUAGGACUUUGAUUAGAGAAAAAUUAAGGACUAAUCUCUAAAACUGGAAGCUACUCCUAAGAAAACAGAAUAUACUGGAAAUGAAGGGUUACAGACUACUACGAAAGUUGUAGAUACUGGAAUUAGAAGGAGAAUUUAAAAGUAGCAGUCUUGUGUUCGGAAAAAGAUUGUGUUAGAGAAAAGAUUCUUAUCACAGGCAACCUUUCACUAUUUACAGCACUCUUGCCAGCUCUUCGUUACCUUGUGGUUACCGGACAGUUCGCAUAGUGGGGUAGUGCUCUGGUGUCACGCCGCGGGGCCGAUUUUAAAAACCUUUUGAAAACAGAGUUGCGGAAAGCGUGCCAUUUUUUUUUUUUCAACCUGGCCCACGUGACGUACAGACCCGCCACAAAUACAAAGUUCCUCUGUCCACUCGGGCAGAGUCUCCUUUGUAUUUGCACGGCGUACCAACGGAUACAACAGGAUCUCAACCACAACCUACAUUUACCAAUCAACAACCAAAGCAUGAUAUGCAUUUCCAUACAGCUAACAAUCCUUAGAAUGAUGCAUGCCUCUAAGCACAUCUUAGGCGCUGGAUGAUGCAAUGCACAAUACAACAACCAUCCUAUUUAAAAGUGCUCCCCACACAGAAGCUUUUAUUUUUGAACUCUAAUUCAUUCAUCAUGAAAAAUCAUUAUAGAGAGAGGAUGGUUUCGACUGGACUUGAUGAGGUGACGACGAGGGUCGGUGUCGAAAUAUAACACUCUCGGAAUCCGAGAUUCGUAAAUUAUUCCGAACUUUAAUGUGAGUUGCGGCUAUCUGUGUUUGCUGCCAAGACUCAAAUUGGAAAGUUGUUUGUGGGGCAAGCAGUGACUCGUGACACGAGUCGUUGAGUUCGGAGGCACUAGUGUUUCCCGGGACGCGUCCCGGUUGAUUUCUGGACUUCCGGUGAGUUACGAUUUAUCGGUGUUGGGAAAACCGAUACGGGGAUCCGUGUUAGGGGUUUGUGAGUGCUCAGUGCUUUGUUUAGUGAUGAAUACUCGGACUUUGGUGAUCUUCUUUAGGUUCCGGCGACUUGUGUCGUACCCAGGUGUUCCGAGUGCGACAUGUACAGUCGUGCUUCGAGCUGGUAGUCGUGAGAGGCGGUUCACCGCCUUCUCACUGGUUUAUUUCUAUUCCAGUAAUUAGCUCUAACAUGUCAGUUGUCUGGUUAUCGUUUGUUUAUCGUAUUUCGUGACCUGCAUUGGUUAUGAUUGAUAGGACAUUAGAGCAAGUUGCAUUUUAUAUUUCAAUGUAUCUCUGUGGACCUGUCUAGCAACACAUCGACUUCUCCUGUCGUGUGUUCCAUUGGUUGGAUCAGGUUUCGGCGUUGUACCCUAGCUUUAUUUUAAAAAUUGGUGCAUUGUACGCGCCGUCCGUUGUUGCCUUCGGCCUAGGCACCCGCUUUAGCCGGGUUAUGUGUUUGUUUGAGCAUAUCCAGCAUGAGCUUAGUCACAAGGCACUCUGGGUAACUUCUAUGACACCUGGGUCUCCGGAGGUCGGUUUGGCCACGAUCGGCAGGUGUACUUAGCCGGAUAGGUCGUCCUGCGGCGUAUUGGAUCCACUCGUGCAGUUAGUGCCGAAGGCAGCGGCUUGAGUCUGGCGUACAAUACAGCAGGGUAGAUCGAUUCGCGUAACAUGUUUCUAUUCAGUACUUUGAGGCAUUCCUUUUUGCAUUGUUAUCUAAUACAGUAGCAGGUUUGUUUGUAUUGCUGUCUUAUUUAUCUGUUUUGUUAGCUACUGUAGACUUUCAUAUCAGCAUUAUAUUUGUUUUAUAUCUAGUCUCCAUUUGAUUUUGCGGUGAUGUACGCUUGCCUUCGUGGUCUGUCGCGACCCACUGAGAAAACCAAUGGUUGUCGUUGCUCACCCCCAUUCCCCUUGCCCCAAAAGGUUGACAUAAGACGAGAGUUGGAUUUGGGCUCGAACGAGUAGGACUCUCGCUUAAUCUGGUUUAGCGAUCGCGGCACACUGGGUGUAUUCUGUCCCGGCCUUAUGUAGUCAUUUAAAUAAAAUGGUUCAUUUAGAUGUUUGAAUGUUGAUUUUCAUUAUGUCAUGAUAAAUAUCUAUAUUGCUUUAAAUGGAAGUUGUUUCUGCAUAUGCAUGAGAAUUAUGGAUGUCUUAUUAUGCAGAUUGGAGUUUUAGAUACUGUGUUUUGGAUCCUUUGUUUCAGAUUGGAUUUUAUACGCUUUGUGGAUUUCUGAACUACCUACGAGGUACUGGUUUUCAAAUAGUAGUUCCGUGUGGGAAAUAGUUUUAGAGAGAGAGUUUCACANNNNNNNNNNNNNNNNNNNNNNNNNAUUAUUGUAAGGUGAAUUCCUCAUAGCUUAUGGUUUUCAAAAGUUAAAUCACCAUAAAUCUUCAAUUUACAAGCUCCGGAAGGAGUUUCGGCGCUGAUCUCGCGUGAAAGCCGAGGAGUCGGUGGACGCUUCGAGGAGUUGAGGCCGUUGACGUGCGAGGAGUUCAGCAAGGUCCGAUUGGGGAUCCUAAUGUUGGGUGCGAACAAGGAGUCAGUUACAAUGUGAAUUUGCAUGUUAUUUUCUUUGAUUGAGCCAAAGAAUGUUGAAUGAAGCUCUUGUUGAUGAAUAUUGGAUAAAUAUAUGCAAAAGAACUUGUCAAUUUGUCGCAAUGAUGUAUGGAGAUUGGUGCCUCGCUGCUGAGCAACAACACGAUUAUUGGUACCAAAUCGAUCUUAAGAAUAAGAAAAAUGAGUGUACUAUCGUACGGAACAAAGCUAGACUUGUGCUUCAGGGGUACUCUCAAAUUGAGGGAAUAGACUUUGAAGAUAAUCUUUGCUCCGGUUGCCGUCUCGAAUCUAUUCAUAUCUUGUUUCGCGAUUGCUUGUCAUUUAAAAUCACGCUCUUUCAAAUGGAUGUCAAAAGUGCAUUUUAAAUGGAUUGUUAAAAGAGGAAGUUUAUGUUGAACAACCGAAGGUUUUAUAGACUCAAAAUUUCCAAAUCACGUUUCGACUGAAAAAGGCACUUUAUGGACUAAAAACAAGCCUCGCGAGCAUGUACGAACGUUUGACAAAAUAUCUUUUGGAAGGGAUAUAACGAGGGGAGCAGAUAGAACUCUUUUGUGAAACACCUGAAGGAUAAUUUCAUUGUAGCACAAAUAAUAUGUGAGAUGACAUAGUUUUUGGCGGCUACUAAAGAUAAGGAUGCCGCUGAUUUGCAAAGUUAAUGACCGCUUGAGUUGAGAUGUCAAUGAUGGCGGUGAGCCUUAAUUAUUUACCUCGGGCUUUCAAGCAAACAAUCAAAAGAAUGGAAUUUCAUUUGUCACAGACAAAGUAUGCGAAGAACUAAUUAAGAAAUUACGAUUAGAAGAGUGCAAAGGAUUUGACACUCGAAUGGGUACAAGCCAACAAAGGAUUAGAGUGAAUUCAGAAGGUCAGAGUUGGAUGAGAAACAAUACAGAAGCAUGAAUGGUAGCCUUUGUUAUCUGACUGCCGAAGCAGACCUGACAUUGCGUUUAGUGUUGGAAUAGGUGCUCGGAUUAUGCAGGCUAAUCCUACAGGAAUAGCAUCUGAAAGCAGUUAAAGGAUUAUGUCGAUAUGUUAAAGAACCAACCGAGUAUGGACUAUGGUUAUCCUUAAUAGGUAACGUCUUGACCUAAUCGGCUUACUCGGAUGCUGAUGGGCCAGGCUCCGCAAUGAUCGAAAAAAAGUACUAGGGAGCUGUUUUUACAUUGGACAUGUUUGGUCGCCUGCACAGUUAAGAAAGCAAAAUUGCAUGCUCUUCCAGCAGAAAGCCUGAAUACAUUGCAGCUAGAAGUUGCUCUACUCAAUUAAUUUGGGAUGAAAAGCCUAACUAGCGCGACUAUCGGGAUUCUUCUACCACACUGAUCAUCUGUUGGUGACAACACGAUGUGCUAUUAAUAUUUCUAAAAACCCUGUUUUGCAUUCAUCGAUACAAAACAUAUUGAACUAAAGAUAUCAUUUUUUAGAGAACUGGUUAGAAUCAAAGAUUUACAAACUUGAAUACAUUUCAACUGAAAUCAACUUGCAGAUAUUUUAGACCAAACCUUUGGAUAAAACUUUUCUGCAUUGAGAAAGGCCAAUGGUAUGAAUCAUCCAAUCUAGAUAUAUUCUUUGAGCCACAGAUCAUGUGAUGUUGCAUAUUUUUUCUUUUCUUGCAUGUUUUUCGGAAUGUUUAUGAUUUGUUUGAUUUUCUUGCUUGAUGUUGCUUUUCGGGAAUGAGUGAUCUGUGAAUUUAAAGUAUUUCAUAUUUAGUUUUGAUUGAUCAAAUUGUCAGGGCUUACUCUCUAUUGACAUAUUUCUUGAACGAUCAAAUUCAAUUUGAUAAUAUCUUUUAACGAUAUGAAUCAAAUGCGAGCACCUCAUGCUUUUACUUUGAAUAUGUGCAUUGUUUGUUGAUAUUAGUUUGAGAUAAAAAAUCUUCUCUAUUUUGAUAAUCUGCGAUAAUAUUUUGCUGAGGUUGCACUAAUUUAGGCUGGGAGUCUUUGCAUUUUUAGCUAGUGAAAAAUUUAUGAAAUUCAGAUGGGAAAAGAUUACAUUCCCCGCUGUGGAAGUGUGAAAACUACCACCACAUGGAUGAGAAAGAGCUUACACCCGGUCAGUCCGUUCAUGUGUGCAGCUACCAAUUGAUGAUCAAUAUAUCUCUAUGAGCUAAAGCAAUAUAACGAAUGAAUCAAAAUGAGAUGUUUGUGGGAGAUGGUAAAUUCUACUACUAUGUAUAAUACAUCUCCUAGGCGAUAUAGGGAUUUGUUAAAGAUGCUCAGAGCCACUGCUUGAUCUCGAUUUUGUGAUAACUCAAGUUGAGAAUUUUUUGUGUAUUGCCUGAUAAGAGAUUUUAUUUAUUAAUUUCUUAACAAAUAUGAUGAUAAAAUGAUGCAAUUUAUCCCUAUAUCUUGCAUGAUGUGUGGAAUUAUAUUUCAUACGUUAUCAAGAAUUUAUCUUGAUGUCUCGGUAUCAACAAUAUUUGACAAUUGAUAUCUUUGAGAGUUGAUUUUUCAAAAUUUAUUUAUGAAAAUUUAUUUGGAAGUUUUUGGGAUUGGAUAUUAUGUAUAUUUAUUGCUGUUGGAUCAAUGUUUGAGGUAAUUAUAUAAAUUGUUUGACAAAUUUGGACGAAAAAUGGAUUUUUCGGUUGCGCUCUGCGGACCGGUCCCAGACUUGGAGAGACCGUCCCUCCAACCCGGGGAAAAACCGGGUUAUUAAAAGGGGUUGCGGUCCGGUUUCUUCAUCACUUUCCCAAACUGUUCUAACUUCUCCCCAGGGCUCUAGGCAUACUAAGGGCUUUUGCUCCAUUCCUCAUCAAUUAUCCACUUGAUUUUGGUAUGAUUCUGGAAUUUAUUUGUGUUGUUGCUUAUAUCCGAAUUUAUGCUUCAUUUCAUUUUUGGGAUUUGUUCUCAUUAUGUCGUUAGAUCUUUUCAUUUUGGUCUGAUCUUACCUCUAGACAUGUUAGAUCACAUUUUAUGCAUUAUUCAUAUUUUGAUUACAAUUAUUUGUUGGUUUUGCUAAUGUUUUCGUAUCUAAACUCUAAUUUUUCAAAUUUUUUCGAAAAAAUUAGGAUUUACUGAUUCUUUGAGCUUGAUUUGUCAUAUUGAUUUUCAUGGUUAAGUCUGGCCAUAGCUAUCUAGCUAUUUUCAUAUCAAUUUGCGUAAGUUUUUUUUGGAAUGGCAAUCGCAUUGUUCUUACUGUUCAAAAUAUAUAAUCAUUGUGUUUGACAGGGUUGUCUUUCGAAAAUGUACUCGUGCUACUUGUUCUUGUUCUUCUGGUUAUGGCUGAAGCGCGUGGUCGGUGGCGUAAGCGACAGCGCUCAAAAGCUAAAAGGCCGAUUUGAGUGAUUCAACAGGGGGACGAUGAAGAGACGCGAUAUGCUCCUGGCCGAUGAACCUGAGAGGAAGACGGCCGCGUAUUGGGAGACUUGUUCCCGAAGUAUUGAGCUAAGGAUAGGAUACUGCUGGAAAGGCAAAGGAAAAGGAAAGGCUCGUGGAUAAAGCAAAGGAAAAAGCAACUGAACGUCCCCAGUCGUCGUAAGAAGUCCGGGGGUUGUUGAAAUUCGAGAACCAGGUUUUGCAGCACCACGUCACAGUUCUACAAGAUGUUCAUUAGAUCGAGGUCAUGUACUUGUCGAAACACUCAUUGCGGGUGUGAGCGAGAUGUUGGGGGGCCAGUUUCAUAGUGUGCUGCCGUCUGUUUCAGGAUUUAACUUUAACAGGGAAUCUUCAUCAGAUUUGUGAUUCCCGGAGCAAAACCGGUUAUUGUUUGGAGUGAUCAAGAGAAUUUUACAUCGAGAGCAGGGACCUCAGUGAUUCCGACGGCGGUCUCCGUACGUGUUAGAAUUCCGUACGUGGUGUUGAGUUAUCCAACUCCUUGCGACAAUAGGGCUGUCAGGUGAUAGAGCAUGGAAGCGACGACUGACGUGAGUGGCAAGUAUCUUCAGGCUGGAUUCGACUCACUUCGCGAUCUGGAAACCGUGUUAGUGACACUAGUUUGUAUGCCGCUGGUACGUGAAUCAAACGGCAUAUGGUUAUUGUCAAAAGAUUUUCAAAUGAGUAACAUCGUUUCUGACUUUUUUAUAUGGAGUUUUUUGCUCCUUAACACUACAUUAUGAUUUCGUCUAUUCUACAAUAAUUGCUUCGAACACGAAAAUCUUGUGAAGUUUGUGAGGAUUCGGUAGGUUUAUCAUGUUUGAACAAUUUAUAUGUUUUGGAGACUGCAAUCUUUUAGCCACCAUGAUAAACUCAUUAUUAAUUGAGCGAGUAAUUCCAGUUAUCUGAUAUGAAUAGGUUUGUCCGUUCUGAUCUGGGCGGCGGAUGGCCCGGAAAACAUCAAAACCUCGGGCAAAAUGAUAGCGUUACCAUUUCCUAUUUAUAAGAUGCGGAUUUUUUGCGACUUCGUUGAGGGUGGAGAUUGGUGUGAAGUAUGGUCUUGACAUCAAAUAACUCUUAGUGGGCAUCUACUUGAUUCUCGUAAGAAGUAUCGAGUAAAAACGAAGAAUCAAGCCGAUGUUGAUUGCUAGAAACUCAUCAUGUAAAUCUAAGCAUUGAAACGGGGAGAAACAAGUUUCUAGGGUUUAGAAUUGGUAAAGUAUUCAAAGCCUUAAUUUUAGAUGACCCACAUAGCUUAUUUAUAGGUUUAGAAGACUUAGAAGUAGACUAGGAUUGCAAAAAAAUCGUUUUCAAAAACCUGUGUCGUCCUCAGAGACCGGUCCUCUCGAGGAGACCGGUCUGUGAGAGACCGGUCUCUCAAGUGAGGAACCGGUCCCUCUCUGCGUGACCAAAAACCCAACGUUCAGGAACCGGUCUCUCAAACUUGAGACCGGUCCCUCGCUGUGCGACAGAACCACCAUGGUUCGGGAACCGGUCUCUCAUCACAGGGGACCGGUUGCAUCAUGGUUUACGCAGUGAGGACCUUGGGGGAACCGGUCUCUCCAUCUCAGAGACCGGUCCCAGAACACAUGAAAGUUCAGAAAAGUUGUUUUAAAGCAAUCUAAGCCUUCUGAACUUAUUCUAAUUAUGUAUCUUCACCACAAAUGAUCUUUUAUUCAUACCUUAGGUGUCGUUCUUUCCGAAUGAGUCUUUGUCCUCCAAUUUGAAUCUUUUCUCAAAAACUUCUGCGAUCAACUCUUCAAGACUCCAAACAACUUUACGAAAUUCGCCAACCUAUAAAAUCCUUAACAGUUUGAUGGCGAGAACGUCGACCACUGGAUUGUUGAGAAGUGGUUGAUGCAUAUGGAGGAGCUUUUUCGAGACACCUUUGUGGAGGAGCGGGACAGAGUUUGGCUCGCCACUCACUUUCUGGACGGCGAGGCCUACCGUUGGUGGUUGGAUAUCCAGGACAACCCCAACACCGAUUUGGCAGCGAUUACUUGGACGAGGUUCAAGGAGCUUCUUCUGGCGCACCACUUUCCUACCAGCGUCAAGAGGAAGAUGGAGCAGGAUUUGCGCAGCUUGUGCCAGGACGAGCGGUCAAUGGCUGAGUACGAGAGGGAGUUCUCCCGGAUACUACACUGUGUACCGUUUGUUGUUAGGGAUGACGAGGACAAGGCCCGCAUAUUUGAGCGUGGUUUGCGGCCUUCUAUCUUCCGGUUGGUGCAGUCUUCCAACCUCCAGACCUAUCGAUAGAGGUUCGUGUCGCCACAAAAAAUUAUUCUUGUCAUUGAUUUGGAUUUGGGGUUGUAUUAUUUAACCCUAAUGCGAAAGCAUAUACAAAACAUAUUUCAUAUAUUUGAUAUAUGAAAGUAAUUGGUGACAAUCAUGAAUCCCGGGUGACGUAGUUAAUAUGUCAUUAUUUUAUGGUAGUUAAUUCUUUAAGUUAGCAUGCAAUUAAUAAAAGAAUUUUAAUUGCAUAUAACUUAAUCUAUUAACCUAAGUAGGUUAUAUAUAAAGGCUAAAUCAAAUUACAUAUGUUGGGGCACGAGAUGCACUAUAUGAUUUCAUCAUAUGGUCUGAGAUUAUUUGUCAUCAAUGUUUAAUAUUAUUUUGUAUUAGAUACAAAAUAAUUGCAUUAGAUGUAAUUAAAAAUAUGAUCUGAUGAGACUGAAAUAAAAGCCAAAACUUUAUAUUAUAAAUAUUAAGUUGUAACAAAGAGUGUUAUGAACACCCUUUUGUGGCCUUCUACCGUUGUAAGGUGUUGGCGUUUUUCUAAAUGUUAGAGAUUAGCUACAAAAUAAUUUAAAAAAUAUCAACGAGUCGAUCAAGCCGAGGCACGGAUAUCUCGCUCUCUUUAAGGAGAUUCAAGCCCUCUGCGGUUGGCAAAGCCUUUGAACCGAUGCAGUAGAGCACCGACUUGUCCCCUCCAGGAUACAACGGCUCGACCCUCGUCGUGUGGCUUCACCAACUCUGCACAAGUAGAUGAGCCCAAAGCUCCACCAAAAGAACACCUUUCUUUGACCUUCUCUCUCUCUCAAGUAUAAUAGAAAUAGCUUUAGUUGUAUUUGCAAAUGAAUGAAAAUGAACUCUAUAUAUAGGCCUCACAAGCUAUAGGUUACUAGAAUUAAAUGGCUUGGAGUUAACUUGCAUUCCUCCAUGAAUGCAAGAGUAUAGGUUAUCAAAAGGUUAUAGGAAUGCAACAUGAAUACAUGUAUAGGUUAUGUCAUUUUCAAUGCAAAUAUUAUUUAAUAAUAAAAUGUAACAACAUUCCCCCACUCAUUUUAUUAUUAAAAAUAUAUGAGAGUUUGAUGGCCAAAGAGGGACCGUUAUACAUAAUGAAGAUGUGCUCUGCAUUGAACCUUCACUUAGUGAGUGAUACGCAUGGUUACAUGGGCCACUUGCAUGAAGAAAGCGCAACUACCUUAUCAACAUUUGAUGUUAUGUGGUAAAAUUAAUACUGUACCCAAUAACUGUUAGGUGAGGGUUCAAUAUUAGUUUUACACACAUAAUUGAAUGGUAGAUCAAACUUAACUAGGAUGUGGGCCAAUAUCUGUUAGGUGAGGCUUUUAUGUCCUAGAGGCCAAGGAAUAAUUGCAAUAUGUUUCUGAAACAUUGGACAAGAGUUGUCCACUCAUCUAUUUGCUAAUUACCAAUAAUUGUUAGGUGAGGUAAUUUGCAAAAUUGGUGAGACUGCAAUCCCCACUAUAAACCAAAUUAAGAGGUUUCCGUUUCUGCACUAAGGGAGUGUGAAGAUCCGCAAAAUUUAGUGGGAGACACCAUUUGAUUAAAAGUCCAUAGUCAAAUGGAAUAAUGAAAAGUAUAUAACUAACUGAAUAUCUUUCCCUUCUACAGAAUAUAGCUGCUUCUAACCCUUUUACUAAAAUUCUUGAUGCCAAUCGCUAGACCGGCCCUAAUUUUUUUGAUUGGCUACGGAACUUGAGAAUCGUUCUCAAUUCUGAAAAAAUUGCCUAUAUUUUGACUACUCCUGCCCCUGAACUUCCAGCUGAUGACAAUGAGCAAGAGAGAGCUGCUUAUGAAAAAUGGAUAGAUGACGAUAACAGAGUUAGGUGUUACAUGUUGGCAUCGAUGAGCAAUGAGUUGCAACGUCAACAUGAACACAUGGACAGUGCGUUGGCCAUUCUACUUUACCUACAAGAACUGUAUGGUGAACAGAGCCGCUCUACUCGAUAUGAGAUAUCGAAACGACUAUUUCGAGCAAGAAUGUCCGAUGGCCAAUCUGUUAAUCAUCAGUGUUUGAAAAUGAUUGAGGAUAUAGAAAAGAUUGGGAAGCUCGGCCUACGGAUGGAUGCAGACUUGCAGACAGAUUUAAUUCUGCAGUCUUUACCUGACUCAUUUUCACAGUUCGUAAUGAACUUUCAAAUGAAUAAGAUUCAGUGCACUCUCUCAGAGCUCUUGAAUAUGCUGGUAACAGCAGAGGAAACAAUAAAAGGUAAUAAAGGGUCGAUCUUGGCUAUGGAAUGGGCUUCAUUCUCCAAAAGAAAGUUUAAAUGGAGAAACAAGAAAUCUAACAAGAAGCCAAAGGCUGAUAGCAAAAGACAAGUUCUUAAGAAGGCCACUAAAGGAAAAUAUUUCCACUACAAUGGAGAUGGCCAUUGGAAGAGGAAUUGCCCUAAAUACCUUGCUAGCCUAAAGGAGAAGGCAAAGGACAAGCCUUCUGAAGGUAUGUCCAACCUGCUCAUUGAGACUAGUUUGUCAGUAUGUUCUACUACUACUUGGAUAAUUGAUUCUGUAUGCACUUCUCACUUGUGCACCUCGAUGCAAGGUUUAAGACAAAGUAGAAGGCUAAAGGAAGGAGAAAUCAUCCUACGAGUGGGUAAUGGAGCAAAAGUUGCUGCAUUAGCCGUAGGAACCUAUCCUAUACUAUUACCGUCAGGCAUAGUUUUAGAAUUAAAAGAUUGUCUAUAUGUUCCUAAUGCUAAUAGAAACUUAAUUUCUGUUUCCUUAUUAGCAUUGACUGGUUAUAAAUUUAUUUUUGAAAUAAAUACUUGCUCAAUUUAUUUGAGAAAUAAAUUGAUAGGCUAUGGAACAAUAAUUAACAAAUUAUAUCACUUGCAUAUGGAUGUAAGUAUAAAUACAAUUGAGCAGGAAGUAAAUGUCGUAGGGUCUAAGAGACCUAGAGAAGAGGUAAAUCACAAGUAUAUGUGGCAUCUUAGAUUAGGUCACAUCGAUGAAGAUCGGAUUAACAAAUUGGUUAAAGAUGGGCUCUUGAGUUCAUUGUCUUUUGAGCCGUAUCUAAUUUGUGAAUCAUGUCUUCAAGGAAAGAUGACCAAAUUACCCUUUAUUGGACAAGGGGAAAGAGCCACUGAGGUACUUGCCUUGGUGCAUACUGAUGUAUGUGGACCAUUUGAUGUACAAGCCAAGGGAGGUUAUGUUUACUUCAUCACCUUUGCUAACGACUAUUCACGGUAUGGGUAUGUCUACUUGAUGAGACAAAAGUCUGAAGCCUUUGAAAAGUUCAAAGAAUUUAGACAUGAAGUAGAAAAUCAAACCGGAAAGUUUAUUAAGAUCCUUCGAUCAGAUCGAGGAGGGGAAUACUUAAGUUCGGACUUUCUAAAUUACCUCAAAGAAAACGGCAUCAUCUGUAGCACACUGGACCUUUGCAAAUUGCGAGGUUCGAGUAUUUGGAUGUAUUUCGAGCUUUUCCAUACUUGGUGGAGGGUUGUAGAAUGUUUUCCGACCUCAAAAGUUCGAAAACUGAAAUUCUGGACAAGUCCUGAGAGUUUUUACUCUCGGGGACCGAUCCCUGGAAGGAGAGACCGGUCCCCCAGUGAGCAGUGUUGCGGCAGCCCUGAGGCAACCGGUCCCUGGCGGGCGAGACCGGUCCCCGAGCGCGCCCACGCAGAGAGAGACCGGUCCCACGCAGGGAGAGACCGGUUCCCGAACGUUGGUUCUCCGGGUUCGCAGCGAGAGACCGGUCCCUGCUGGGGAGAGACCGGUCCCUCUGGGCGAAAACUGCCCAGACCGGGCUGUGGUAAUAUUGGAUUUUUGGAGGACCUAGCUGGAUUUUGUUACAAUAGAUGGUCUAUAUGACCCAUCCACCCUCUCUUCUCCUCAUUUUCCCUCCUCACACUCUCCCCACAUCCUUGCUAGAGAGAGAAGAAGGAGAAGAAGAGGAAGGAGAAGAAGAGGAGAAGGAUCUAGCUUGGGCUUGGAGCAUCCCUUUGCCUUUCUUCCUCUUCCCACCUUGUUCGUGCUUGAAGGCUUGGACUUGGAGCUUGCAAAGGAGAAGAUCUUCACCCUUUGAGCUUGGAUUGGAGCUUCUUAGAGGUUGGUAGCCCUUUCUCUCCAUCUAGACCUUGGAUUUGAGGUUUUAUUGUAUUGGAACCCUAGAAUGAGGUUUUAGGGUUGAUUUUGGGGCUUUUUGAUCUAGGGCUUUUGAGGCUAGAUUGAUUGGAUUAGAACCUUCCUUGAGCUUGGAUUGGAAGGGUUCUAGCUCUCUUUUAGAGCUUUGGAAGAGAUUUCUUCUCUUGAGGUGAGUUUUAGCCCUUUUGUUAGGUUGUUAAAGUUUGACCUUAUAGAUUGAUCGUAAUGCCCGUGUAUCUCUUCGCUCAAUACUUCUAGGGUAUUUCGAGACUCGGGGACAACUUUGUUCGGCGAAACGGGGCACUACGCGACGGUUCGGUGGGUUUGACCUAGCCUACCUAUGAGAAAUUCUCAUAUAUGGUUAUAUAUGUUCCGUAAAUUGGAAAAGCAUGCAUAUUCAUCCUAAUUGUAUUUAUUAUGAUUUUUAGAAUGCUUAAAAUGCAUAUGUUAUAUAUGAUGAAAUUUUGGACCUCUAUGUAGUAGAGAGUUGCUUGGGAGAUCUAUGGUUGCAUUUAGCAUUCUUUAUGAGACUUGGUUUCAUGCUUCUAUAGUGUAAAUGAGUUCGGAUUCAUGCAUUUAAACUUGAGUUUACUUGUGACAUGAAAGAUGACAAGAUUGCCAUUUAGAAGGUAUGUGAACUAGAGAGCUAAUGUCAUCAAGCGGCAUUGAGCUCGGGACAUGUGAGAACCUAGUGGAUAGGGCCAUUGAGGAAUGUGGAACAUGCUUAAAUAUUAAAUGUCUAAGUGUCAUAAAGGGGCACUAGACCUAGAAAAUGUUGGAACUUCAUUUGUGACUUAGAACUAGAUCUUCGAGAUGCUAGUGACUAUACCAUGUUAGAGACAUGAGGGUUGGAUACUUGAGCCAUUGACUACGCUUGUUUGCCAUUUGUGCUCAUUCGCACAUGCUUGUGAGGGUCGCUCCCUACAAGCCGGCACUCCGGAGUUAGCCUACGCGACUUAUGUUCGCUCGUGCGGUAUUGAGAAGCCUACGAGGUCGAGUGGGACAGACACAUUCCAAGAGUAGGAAUGUUGGGCUACCACAGGCACUUAGGCGGCGCAAGCUGGACUACCCUUGGUAGGUCCCUAAUUGGAAAUGGAAAUCGACACGGGAUGAGUUUGUUAUAAUCACUACUAAAUAGAGAGUGGUAGUUGGAUUACUCGGACUUGCUUCUAGCAUAGGUUUGGACUUUGGGUAUACAUAUACAUGUAGUAUGCUACGAGGCAGUGUUUAAUUGCAUUCAUAUAAACAAUGUUGCUAUGAUAAGGGAUAAUUCUCAUAAUUUCAUUUAAGCAAACCAUGACAUUAUUUAUGGCUAAGUAGAGACAUACUCUUCAUGACAGGAUAAUUGUGCAUUACAUAAAUGCCAUGUUUAAUCACAAGUAAUAUCUUAGCAUUUCAUUAUGCUCUCAUAGAUGCAAAUUACUCGUUAUUGCUAUCGCUUUUGACUUACCCUUUUCUUUUGGGCCUAGUGGUGCAAUGAGCUGAGGUCAAUAAUUGCCCACUAGGAACUAUAAAUUAUAGUUCUCACGCCCUCUGUUUCAUGUUUUCCUUCAGAGCCUUCCACGCCGGGAGAGGCUAGGGACCGUGGGAAGGGCGUCGCUUCGGGUUAGCCUUUCAGCGAGAGACGAGUUGUAAUGCACUGGAUCUUAGCAAAUUGCAAGAUUCGAGUGUUUGAUCUGUGUGUGGAGCCUUUCCACAGUUUUUGGAGGGUCGUUGAUAGUGUCCCGACCCCUGGCACGCAUCCCGAGGAUGUUGGAGUAGGACUUGGCACCAAAAUUCCAAAAUCGGAAUUUUUGGACAGCUCUCGGGUAGCCUGCAGCAGGGCUUGUACCGGAACAAGACUGGCCUUGUACCGGUACAAGGGUUGAUGGUUGUACCGGUACAGCCAUCGGGCUUGUACCGGUACAGAGCCGCAGACCGAGCAACCCGAGCUUCGGGUUUGCAUUUUCGUCGGCCUUGUACCGGUACAAGAACCCGUGUACCGGUACAAGGAGGCAGUUUUUGUGCAGUUUGGUCUGCAGGGGGUUUUUCGCGAUUGUAGCCUAUCUAUAACAGCACCCACGCCCCUUAGGGCUUUUUUUGUGCUGGGACCUGAGGAGGAGAAGGUGAGAGGAGCUCUCUCUCCCUUUCUUUGCAUUUUUACCCCCUUUGCUUGGUUUUUAUUUGGGUUUUCUCUCAUCUUUUUGCAUCUUGGUGGCUUCUCCACCAUUGUUGAUGGCUUAGAGCUUGGAGAGGAGCUUGUGGCUGAGGAGAUCUCCCACCCCACUUGGAUUGGAGCUAAGUUUGGAGCUUCUUGAGAGGUUAGAGACUUGAUUUCUCCCUUUGAUCCUUGAUUUGAGGUUUUUGUGAGAUUAAACCCUAGAAUUGGAAUAUUAGGGUUUAUAUUGGGCAUUUUGGAUCUAGGGCUUUUGAAGCUAGAUUGUUUGGAUUAGAGGCUUCCAUUAGGUUGGAUUGGAUGAGCCCUAGCUUCAUUUUGGAGCUUUAGAGGAGAUUUUUGCACUAGAGGUGAGUUUUCUACACCUAUGCUUGAAUAGCUUAAUGAUUGAGCUAGGUUUUGUUUGUUUGGCCGUGUAUGAAUGUUUUUGUAUCUAGGAUGUAGGAGAUAGAGGACCUGUUGUGAGCGCGAGGAGUUUGUUAGCCUCGGUGGGUUUGGCUUCCUCGAAAUUGGGGAAAUUCCUAUAAGUGGUUUGUUUCAUGCCUUAAUUAUCUUUAGUAGAUUUAUGGGUUUUGAUGUUGAAUAUUUGUUCGUUGAUAAGAAAUUUUCUAUUGUAGGGAGAGAAGGCAAUGUGCUUUGUUAAUAUGCAUGCGACAAUUAUUCUAUGAGUGACGAAAUCAGGUUUAUGGCUUCCGGUUUGAACUAGAUUGUUUAAGUUCUUGAAUGUUGUAUCCAUGUUGCGGCAAAUGAGCAUAGUGUGGGCCUUGGACUAGAGAUUAUUUAUGCAACAUUAGGCUUGGAAUUAGGCAAUUGACAUACAUAUUUUCCAUAUUUUGAGUAUGCAUAUUAGUGACUUGCCACGAGGACAUUUAGUAUAUUAUACAAUGUAUUGGACUGAGGUUGAUAUGGAUGUGUUUGACUAGCUUGCUUUCGUGUCAUGCAAUUGUUUGAGGGUCGCUUCAGCGUAUCCGAGAUGGCCAUGCGAUAACAUAUUCGCGGUGGGGACUUGAGGGCGCGAGUGGAUUGCGUGGGGCCAGGCUCUUAUAGGGUAGGAUCAUGAAUACCCGGGUUAGGUCGACGGCCGAAGCCUCCGGGUGCGGUUCAGGGAUAGCGCUUCGGUGGGAUUUUCGCUUGGAUUUUAUUCGUUAGACAUUUUGGAUGAUGAUGAUUAGAGUAUUAUUUUGGACAGUUGAUCGAUAGUAAACGGAAUUUACGUAUUUGCAUUGUGGCAUUUUGAUGUUGGAGAUUGUUCUUCUGAAUGGCUUGUUUCUACUUUGCUAUUUAGGUAUGAGAUUCAUUGUAGUGUAGUUAUUUUUUUCUUACCUUUCGCUUUUACAUUUUUGGUCAUUACUCUUCUUAGCUUUGGGCCUUGUGGUGCAUUCACUGAAGUCAGUAAUUGCCCACUGGGAACUAUUUUUAAUAGUUCUCAUGCCCCCGUUUUGUGGUUUACUUUUCAGAGCCUUCGGCACCGGCGGAGGCACGGGAUCGCGGCAAGGGGAUCGCUUAGCUAGCUAGCGAGGAGCGGUACUUUGCCUAGGUGGUUUACUCUUUCUUUUUGUAGUUGAGAGAGAGUGAGAGAUUUUGUAUUCAUGUAUAGAGACCACCUAUGUACCUACUUAUAGCUCUUGUAUUUGGGAUUUCCUAUUAUUCUUACUCUAUGUUUUAUUUAGUGGAUUUACUGUUUUAUCCUUAUCCCUUGUUGUAGCAUUUAGACAUUUAUUAUGCUCUGAUACUUCUAGAUGUCUUUUAUUAUUGCUGUUAUUAUUGUUGUUUUUAGACGCCUUAUAUGUUGUAGACAUAUGGCGGGUCUGGGCACGCGCCGGGCGGGCUCCCGCUGGGUCCCGGGGCGUGACACAAGUUUAGGUGGUCUACCUCUCGAUGUUUUAUUUUGUGAGAGGUUGAGAGUUGUACCCGUAUAUGUAUAGAGACCACAUUUCUUUUGGAUCUUGGUAUUUCUUUAGAGGAGUUAGUUUUGUAUCACCUUAUGUUUUACUUUCUUCGUCUUGGUAUAUUUCCUUUACUCUGGUUUAUAUGAUAGAACUUUGCUCGCUCUGAUAUCAUUAGUUGUUACUAUUCUAUUUGUUCUAUUUCUUGCUUUUACUUCCGCUUGUUGUAGACGCCUUAUAUGUGUAGACAUAUGGCGGGUCUGGGCACGCUACCAGGAGGGCCUCCGCCGGUCCCGGGGCGUGACAUCAUCUCUCAUGGACUCCUCCUGGCACUCCACAACUUAAUAGAGUAUUUGAAUGGAGAAAUCGUACUUUAUUAGAUAUGGUGCGAUCCAUGAUGAGUUUCACAGAUUUGCCUAUAUCACUUUGGGGGUAUGCUCUCCUUACUGCUGCAUAUAUCUUAAACAGAGUGCCUUCUAAAUCUGUUUCUACUACUCCAUAUGAGAUUUGGUUUGGUAGAAAGCCAACUCUUGGUCACCUCAAGAUUUGAGGAUGUCCGGCUUAUGUUAAGAAGUUAAAAAUGGACAAAUUGGAAGUAAGGUCGGAUAAAGGUAGAUUCGUUGGUUAUCCCAAAGAAUCACUGGGAUACUAUUUCUAUUUUUCCCAUGAUCAAAAUAUUAUUGUGAGUCGGCACGCCUCUUUUCUUGAGAAACAAUUUAUUCAAGAAGGAGGUAGUGGGAGGAAAAUAGAACUCAAUGAGAAUGUUUCUGAUGAGCAACGAAUCCACCAUGAUCAACCGAAAAUCUCUGUUCAAUUGGAACCAACAUACACACAACCACUUCGAAGAUCUAGUAGAGUCUCCCAACCUCCAAACAGAUAUUUGGGAUUUGUCGUAGAAGAGGUACAGGAAAUGUUUCUAAUAUGAGAUAAAGAUCACAAACAUGAUCCUACUGGUUAUGAUGAGGCGAUGUCAGACAUCGACUUUGAGAGAUGGAAGGAAGCUAUGAAGUCUGAAAUGGACUCCAUGUAUUCCAACUAGGUUUGGACACUAGUUGAUUUACCAGAGGGUAGAGACCUAUAAAGCAAGGCUUGUGGCGAAAGGUUAUAGUCAAUGAGAAGGUAUUGACUAUCAAGAGACCUUCUCGCCAGUGGCUAUGCUAAAAUCCAUUCGAACCUUACUCGCUAUCGCUGUACAUUAUGAUUAUGAAAUAUGGCAGAUGGAUGUGAAAACCGCGUUCCUUAAUGGAUAUCUUGAGGAAGAUAUCUAUAUGGAACAGCCUCAAGGUUUUACCUCUAGCAAAGAUAAUCAUAAAGUGUGCAAGCUUCAGAUAUCCAUAUACGGAUUAAAACAAGCAUCUCGAAGUUGGAACACUCGUUUCAAUGAGGCAAUCAAAUCGUUUGAUUUCAUCAGAAAUGAGGAAGAACCAUGUGUGUAUAAAAAGAUUAGUGGGAGUGCUGUCACAUUUCUCGUAUUGUACGUGGAUGAUAUUCUUCUAAUAGGGAACGACAUUGGGAUGAUGUCAUCGGUCAAGUUGUGGCUAUCCCAGAAUUUCUCCAUGAAAGACUUAGACAAUGCAUCCUACAUUUUUGGUAUAAAGGUCUAUAGAGAUAGGUCUAGAAGAUUUCUCGGCCUAUCUCAGAGGAUGUACAUAGAAGAAGUGCUGAAGAGGUUUAGCAUGGAAAUUCCAAAAGAGGUCUAUUACCUCUAAGACAUGGAAUUUAUCUCUCCAAAAAGAUGUGUCCUAAAACACCUGAGGAGAGAGAACGCAUGAAUAGAAUCCCAUAUGCUUCAGCUAUUGGGAGUCUAAUGUAUGUAAUGCUAUGUACGAGACCUGACAUCACACAUGCUAUGAGUGUCACGAGCAGAUAUCAAUCUAACCCGGGUUUGGAACACUGGAUUGCAGUUAAGAAUAUCCUCAAGUACUUGAGAAGAACUAAGGAUAUGUGCCUGGUCUUUGGAGGUGGUGAGUUGAAGUUGGAAGGCUUCACAGACUCUGAUUUUAUGUCAGAUGUUGAUGAUAGAAAAUCUACAUCAUGAUAUUUGUUCAUAGGUAAUGGAGGAUCUAUUGUUUGGAAGAGUUCCAAACAAGUGACGAUCGCCGAUUCUACUAUGAAAGCAGAAUAUAUUGCUGCAUCAGAAGCCUCGAAGGAGGGUGUUUGGAUCAGAAAAUUUAUUACAGAACUCGGUGUUGUUCCAGCUAUUGAAGAACCAACACCGCUUUUCUGUGACAAUAAUAGCACCAUAGCUUUAGCUAAGGAGCCAAGAUCUCAUCAGAAAUUCAAACAUAUUGAACGGCGAUAUCAUAUCAUCAGAGAAUAUAUUGAAAAAAAAGGAAUAUCCGUGCAAAAGGUUGAUUUUGCUGACAAUGUAGCAUACCCAUUAACCAAAGCACUCACUCAACAAAAGCUAGAAGGCCAUCUUAAUGUAACAUAUCACAUCCCUCGUAAAUCGUGCCGAGUUCCGUCGAAAUGUGCGGAAUGCGGAGUGGAACAAGUUGGUAUGGGCUAGUAGUACUUUGGAGCCCAUAUAUAGUGCAAAGGGACCUGAGAGAGUGAAAUUCCAAAAUCUGGGUAAGUUCCAGAUUUUGUGCUCUCGGGGACCGGUUGCUGAAGGAGAGACCGGUCCCCGUACGCGUAGCUUGCUAGGAAUCCUGAGGCAACCGGUCCCUGGCAGUGAGACCGAUCCCCGAGGAACCGGUCCUUAAAGGAGAGACCGGUCCCUCACUGCGCAGCCAGCCAAAAACCCCAAAAAUUGGCUAUGUCCUGAAAAUCAGACUUUCGGGAACCGGUCCCUUGUUGGGGAGACCAGUCCCCGACUGCGAAAAUUGCCCAGUAAGGGCUGAUGCAAAUAUUGGGAGUUGGGGGGGUCUUGUUGCUAAUGUUGCAACAUGUUAUGUACCCAUCCCCUCUCACCCUCUCUCCCACAGCCAUUUCUACUCCUUUCUCUCUCAUUUCUCCCUUUCUCUCUCUCUAGAUCAUCCCCUAGAGCUUGGAGAAGUAGGAGAAGAAGCAAGGAGAAGUGGGUUUUGGAGGCUUUGGUGGAUCUAAGAGCUCUCCUAUAAGAAGGAUCUUGGGAGGAGCUUGGGCGAGGUAAGUUUGAGCAAGUAGAACUCUAGGGUUUAGUUUUAAACCCUAAGAUUUGGAGUUUUGAGUUUGUUUCAAGCUUUAGAAACCUUAUAGAGCUCAAGACACCAUGAAACCAUGGUUUCUUGAGGUGCUCUCAUGGUGAACCCCUAGGGUUCAUGCUAGAUGCCCUAGGAAUGUGUAGAAUGGCUUUGUAAAGGUAUUAAAGAGCUUCCUAGGUGAUUCUAAGCUAUCUUUUGCUUAGGGAUGAGAUCAAUUUAGGAGAAAUCUCAUUGUGACAUUGUUAGGGCUCAAAUUUGGGGCUUUUGCCCUAGGAUUUUUCGGGGACGAAUUGACCUCGUAGAAACCUAAUUGGGGGUGUCCUCGACGCGUUGGACAACUCCGUUCAACGUUAUGAAAAUGUCUAAGUAUAGCUUGUGUUUGUAGGGCCUAAUUUGGCACUAUUUUGGUUAUAGGACGCGGAUUCGGCGUUCGUAAAGUUCGGGAGUCAACAUAUUCCUCAUCUACUACCACUCAAGAUGGGAGGUGCACACCGGAAUCAUCGGAUUCCCCUUUAUGUCUAUUUUCACCUUUGUUGAGCAUACUUUUAUAUAGAGUCAUUCAUGCAUAGUAGGGAUAUUUACAUGUGAUUAGUGGUUAGAAUUUUAAUAUUGUACUUCUAACGUAGUUGAACAUAGUGAUUGAACAAGAACCAUAAUGGACAUGUAUGUAGAACCCUAGAAGAUGUAUGAAUGCAAGACUUGGACAUUGAUUGUAGUAAACAAGGGUGGCAAUGACAAUAGAGACAUGAUUGGCCAUGAGAACGAAAUUGUUACACAAGGUUUAACAAUAAUGGCACUGAGACAAGAACAAUAUAGAACAUGACAUGAACAAAAGGUAGAAACCUAUCAUGGCAUCGGCAUUGUGACUAGCGGCUAAGUUUCCUCAACUUGAGGAUUGGAUCGAGGCUCACAUGGAUUUAGGCUUGUGGGAGGUCGCUCCUCCACAAGUGGUGUACUUCUGAGUGUAGACACCAACGGGAAAGUACCCCGUCAACGAUCCCUCGGGUGGUUGUGCUUAAAGCCUCCCCCGGUAGAUGGGAAAUGGAAUGGUGAGCUAUUGGGGUUAACAAAGUUAACCGGUAAGAUUGGGUAAAGAAAGACAAGGUAAAGAAAAGAACAUGCAUGCAUGCAUACUAAAUAUUGUUGAUUACAUAUAUCCACUGACAUUCUUUUGCAGGCAUAGUAUUAGAUGCAUUAGUACUGGUUACUUUUCUUCCUUUGUCAUACUUAUGCCUGGAUAGAUCUAGUGGGUAAGUCGGCGAGGUCGGAUGCCGAACCCACUGGAAACUUCGUUGUAGUUCUCACACCACUAACCCCACAGGUCGUAGCACGAACGGGGCGGCGGAGGACCGAGGCAAGGGUUUAGCGCCGUAGAUAGCGGCCUCCGGGACUUUCUCACAUUUUGUAGUCAUUUUCCUUUUUGCUUACAUGUAUCAACUUCUUUUGUUGAUUUAGAAAGUUGUAAAGUUGAAAACUGUCACGCCCCGGGACCGGCGGAGGCCCUCCCGGUAGCGCGCCCAGACCCGCCAUAUGUCUACACAUAUAAGGCGUCUACAAUAAAAGCGGAAGUAAAGCAAGAGAUAGAAUAAAUAGAAUGAAUAGCAACUAAUGAUAUCAGAGCAAGUAAAGUUCUAUCAUCUAAACCAGAGUAGAAGAAACAUAUAUAAACAAUAAAAGUAACCAUAAGUAGUACAAUAUCUGUCUCAAAGGUACACAAAAGGGUGGUCUCUAGUACACUGGUACAGCUCUCAACCUCUCCAAAAAGAAACAAAGAGAGGUAGACCACCUAAACUCGUCACUCACUGAAGGGCUAACUCGAAGCAACACCCUUCCCAUAGUCCCUAGCCUCUCCCGGCGUGGAAGGCUCUGAAAGAAAACAUAAAACAGGGGGCAUGAGAACUAUAAUUUAUAGUUCCCAGUGGGCAAUUACUGACCUCAGCUCAAUGCACUACUAGGCCCCAAAGAAAAGGGUAAGUCAAAAGAGGACAAUAAUAACGAAUAAAUUGCAUUUAUGAAAGCAUAAUUAAAAUGCUGAAUAAACUACACUGCAAUCAAGCAUGAUGUUUAUAUAAUGCACCUUUACUUUAUCAUAAUCAAUAUGUCUCUACAUGGCCGCAAGUGACUGUCAUGAUUUACUUUAUGGUAUUAUGAAGAUCAUGCUUUACUAUGGUAAACAAUAUUUACAUGAAUGCAAUAAGCAACAUCUCCUAGCAUGCUGUAUGUAUAUGUGUAUACUCAAGUGUCCAAUACUAUGCUAGAAGCAAGUCCAGGUAAUCCAACUACUACUCUCUAUCUAGUAGUGAUUAAAACCCACUCGACACCGUGUCGAUUUCCAUUUCCAAUUAAGGACCUACCCAAGGUAGUCCAGCUUGUGCCGCCUAAGUGUCUGUGGUAGCCCAAAAUUCCUGCUCUUGGAAUGUGUCUGUCCCACUCGACUCCGUAGGCUUCUCAAUACCGCACGAGCGAACAUAGGUCGCGUAGGCUAACUCCGGAGUGCUGGCUUGUAAGGAGCGACCCUCACAAGCAUGUGCGAAUGCGCACAAAUGGCAAGCAAGCAUAGUUCAAGUCUCAAGUAUCCAAUCCUUAUGUUUCUAACAUGGUAUAGUCACUAGCAUCCCGAAGAUCUAGUUCUAAGUCACAAUGUGAAGUUUCGACAUUCUUUAUGCCUAGUGCCUCUUGAUGACACUUAGACAAUUUAAUGUUCAACAUGUUUCCAAUCCCUGAAUGGCCAUAUUCACUAGGUUCAACCAUGUCCCGAGCUCAAUGCCGCUUAAUGAUAUUAGCCAUCUAAAUCACAUAAUAACAAAGUUCGGUGCCUCUAUAUAGCAACUUUGUUAUCUCUCAUGUCUCAAUUAAACUUAAAUUUGAAUGCAUGUAUCAUGACUCAUUUAUACAGUAGAAACAUGAAACCAAGUCUCAUAUAGAACGUCAAUGCAACCCUAUGUCUCUCAAGCAACUCUCUACUACAUAGAGGUACAAAAUUUCAUUAUAUGUAACAUAGACAUUUUAAGCAUUCUAAAAAUCAUAAUAAAUACACGUAACAUGAAUUUGCAUGCUUUUUUAAUUAACGAUACUCAAAUCAUCAUAAAUGAGAUUUUCUCAUUGUGUGGCUAGGUCAAACCCACCGAACCGUCGCGUAGUCCUUCGUUUCGCCGAACGGAGUUGUCCACGAGUCUCAAAAUACCCUAAAAGUAUUGAGCGAAGAGAUACAUGGGCAUUACGAUUAACUAUAAGAUCAAACAUUAACAAUUAUAGCAAAAGGGCUAAAACUCACCUAAUGAGUGGAAAAUCUCUCUCAAGCUCCAAAAGAGAGCUAAAUCCCUUCCAAUCCAAUCCAAAGAAGGGUUCUAAUCCAAAUAAUUUAGCUCCAAAAGCCCUAGAAUCAAAAUGCCCAAAAUAAGCCCUAAAUCUCCAAUCUAGGGCUUCAUCUUGAAUCCAUCAAUAAAACUCGAAUCGAGAGGGAGAGAAUAAGUAGAUUAUCUCUUAGAAGUUACAAUCCAACCUCUAAACUCUCUAAACGCCAAGAUCUCCCCCCAACAAUGCUCCAAAUCCAAGCCCUAAGCUGCAACAAUGGUGGAAAUGCCUCCAACAAGCAAAAAGAGAAGUUUAAUCUCUUUAAAACCCAACAAAAAAAGAUCAAAACCAAAGAGAGGCAAGGUGGGGUUUCUCUAACCUAGUCUCCCUGAGUUCUCAGCUCAAAAGAAGCCCUAGGGGGCGUAGGUGCUGAUAUAAGAAGCCCACAAUCGCGAAAAACCCCCUGCAGUUGAAACUGUACGAAAUCAGCCCCUUUGUACUGGUACACGGGCUCUUGUACCGGUACAAGCCCCACGAAAAUCACAACCCGACGCUCGGGUUGGCGGGUUCAGCGGCUCUGUACCUGUACAAGCCCCUGUACCGGUACAACCAUCAACCCUUGUACCGGUACAACCAUCAACCCUGUACCGGUACAAGGCCUGCUGAAAGCUACCCGAGGACUAACAAAAAAUCCGAUAUUUCGGGUUUUGGUGCACAGCUUUAAACCUCGAUUCUCGGGACGCGAGCCAUAGGUCGGAACACUGUCAACGACCCACCAGAAAGUCUGGAAAUGCUGAGCACACAACUAACCACUCGAACCUCGCAAUUUGCAAAGGUCCAGUGCGUUACAAAAACAAUCAUGUAAUUUUGGUGAAUGGCUAAAUGUAAAGAAUUAUGAAUGAAAGCAAAGAAAUGUAAUAGUUCAGUUUACUAGUAUUUGGUUUAAAUUUAAUCAAAUAUCAUGUAUGUGUAUAUUUUAGCUUAGAGCUUUCGCUUCCGUUGUUGCUUGCCCUCGUGCAAGCCUUGUAUAAUUGCAUAUCCCUUUGUUGAUUGCUUAAUUAUAUUUAUUGUUGGAGCCUUGGGCGGACAGGGGAAAUGCUGUCCGUUCGGCGUCUGUUGACGUGGCCCGAACCCGACCAAAUUGGCGGGGAUUGGGGCGUGACACUUGAGAAGAUGGGAAUGCGCGAUAUGGGUGAUUGGCUUUAGUGCAAGUGGGAGAUUGUUAGUUAUAUGCCCUAUAAGCCAAUCCUGUCAUAACUUAAAGGGUUAAUAUCAGUGUACUUUUCUUUUAUGAUUAAAUCUGGCAUUCUUCAUUCAUAUUAUUGCCAAAUGCAUAUUUAUGAAUCGUUCAUAGAAUUAAUAGUAGAAGAAUUAACUUUCUGAGUUAGAAAUUUGAGACAUAUAUUCUUCUGUAAUUAAUUCUUAAAUGCUCUCGAUCAUAGGAUUAUCAUGAGGGCGGUGGUAAAUCCGGAUAUAUUAGUGCAUGCUAUACUUCCUUUAUGAGAUGACGAGUCUCAAGUCAUUAGUGUUGAAAGUUUUGAGGAGCCCGAGGAUCUAUCUAGAUUGUAUCUAUCACCUAGAGGGGGGUGAAUAGGUGUAACGGCCAAAAACCACAAAUCUCGAUGCAAUAAAAAUAAAUGUGGAAAAUAAAAAGCACACCGAGAUUUACGUGGGAAAACUCCAACUUGGAGAAAAACCUACNGCCGGACCGAGCAAGCCACUAGCUUGUUUCGACCCAAAAAAUGUGGGCCGUGUCGGCCCGGCACGGCCCACAUUAUAUCCCUAGGUGGAUCCAGUAGGGUGGAGCAGCUGAAGUCAGAGCCUAGUUGAGCCAUUAUGAGGCUCGGUCUGCAACGGAGAAACAAGAGUGCCCAGCUCGUGUAGUUAGGCUCUAGACUUACAGCAAAAAAAGGGCCCAAGAGAACGUAGCCAUCAUUAAGCACGUUGAUUGAUGGAGCAAGAGCAGUGAUGGCCAGAGAUGCGAAGGAUUUGGUGGGGCCCAAGGAAGAAGUGGAGCCUACGCAAUUAAUGCCCCAUCUGGACUUAGAAGUGGGGCCUACGCAUUUAAUACCCCAGUUGGACUUGGGAUGGGCAUGGGGCUCGGCUAAAGAUUGAGCAAUUAAUGCACAUUUUCCCUUGGGAUGUCUAGUAGCAGGGCUCGCAUCCCGGGUCGCUUCGGAGUGGACGCCCCUCGGGGGAGUGGGGGGGUAGUUAAAGCGGGAGGAGCAAAAAGGAAUGUCAGGUUCCUAGGAAAAACACUCUUAAAGACGGGUUUCACCGAAAAGGAUGGGCUAAGUGGCGGUAGGAUGGGGCGUUUGAACUGGUCAACGGCUCCUUCUCGGCCAGGGUGCGCAACAAUGGGAAACUCUGGGCCCGACGCAGGGAGGAUGGUCGGAGGUCAGUCACGGCUAGUCGGGCGAGCCCGACCAUCCGCGGCGGUUGGCCGGUCCGGGCGGUUGGCCGGUCGAGGCGGACGGGAUGGUUGUCAGGAAGGAAGUUGCAUCUUCUGUCGCGUAUCUCGGAGGAGUUCCAAGUGUUGGAGGCCGUACUAUGCUGAUCCCCUUCCUCUUCAUUAUGGCCGAGAAGGGCGUCGGAGGUCCGUACGUCAGGAUCGUGGUGAGCAGACCUCUUGUUGUGUGGGGGUGGGGGAUUGCCUCGCGUGUCAACACCAACACGGUCUCACCUUUCAAUUUGAAUGAGAAAUGAGACUGAGAUGUCCCCGAAGGUGAUUUCGAGAUUUUUUGGGAUAUCGUGAAGGUGGUUGACUGCAAUAAGGCAACAAUAUCCAGUGGGGUCGUCCAUCCACGAGCUUCGGUCGUCUGCUCAAAGAAAUCUACCGAAGCCGCCGACGAAGGCUGCCACCACGUGGGAAGACCAACAUUCAUAAGGGAGGCUGACGAAGCAGAUCCAGGCCUGAUAAGGGAUGGGAGAGCGACGAGCCCCAUUGUACGGGUCCCAGGUGAAGCAUCUCAGCCGGAGGUCCCCUAGGGAGAUGUGUUCCCUGUGAACGAGUUGAUUGCUCUGGACCCAUUCCGGGAGAAACACGACAAUGUCUCGCUCGCUAUAACGGGUGACCAAAAAAUCAUUCGGGUAUCCGCCGUAACGGUUCGCGAGCGCAUUGGCAAUGGUUUCCUUCGGGAAGUGUUCGAGGUUCGCUGGGAGGAGCACGUCGGCAAUGAUAGCAUUGCGUCUUUGAUUUUGUCGGGCAAGGAAAUCUUCGGUGAGAGGGACAAAAGCACUCAGGUAGGCCGAUUGAGUACGCAUAGCUCGGUAGAUGCUCAUUGGUAGACGGUUCAUGCAGGAACGAGCUUUGUGUCCCAGCGCGAAGCAGCUAACGCACUGAAGCGCGUCACGACAUUGUGACGCCCGGUGAUCUCUUCCGAGACACCUAAAGCAGUGGUCUUUGAAAGCGCAAAGAUCUGAUCUGGAGGGGGGCUGAGAAGAGGAUCUUGGGAGGGUGGGAGGUUGGGUAGCAGGAGUGGCAGGUGAGAGGAGGGCUUCUUUGUAGGUCUUCUUAAGAGGCGCAGGGACGGAGUUCAUCUGUUGACUGAGCUCGGCGGGUAAAUGCAUGUGUUCCGAAAGGCCCUUAUCAAGGAAACAAUGCCUGGGGGCUUUGCAUCGAUUGUCAGCCAAAGAUGAGUCCACUGAGCUGAAAUGAGUAACGUGAGUUAAUGCGAAUCCUGCGGAAUCGGCCAAACGAACUUUCAUAGGGGUGCAACCAUUAAUGCAGGAGCUGCGAGGGUUGGAGGGCGAAGUAGAUGUGGAAGAAGGUCUCGAGAUGCAUUUGAGUUUCUGGAACCUCAGUUCCGGAUCGGGGUGCAAGUCCCCACGCAAAGCAACUGCCUUCUCAGGUCGAAAGGCCUCCGAGGUCGCCGUGGCCUUCCUGUUCCUUUGCCAGUUCUUGCUGUGUGUGCUGGGGAUCCUUCUCUCAUUCUCUCCUUCAUGGCUAUACGUAGUAAGUGUUGUUUGACUAUUGGUAUUAGAAAAUACCCUUAGAAGACUAAUAUUAAAAGUAUCUUUUUAACGUAUUAAGUUAUUUCAAAUAUAACUCUAGAAUUAAUUCUAUUAGUGAACAGUUGAAAAGAUACUAGAAGACUAUAUUAAAAGUAUCUUUUUAACGUUCUAAAUUAUUUCAAAUAUAACUCUAGAAUUAAAUUAUAUUGUGAACAGUUAGUAAUGGUCGUUAUCUCUGUGAAAUUAUUAGUUUGCCCUUUCAAAUGUACCCUUUUAUAUUUACCAAUUUUUUUUAUUUGCCUUUAAGUUACAGGCAAAAAAAGUAUUUUAAAUUUUUUGUCUUUUCAAAUAUAUUCUUCUACGUACCAUCACCGAUUUUUUUUAUUUGCCUUAAGUUAGGGACAAAAGAGGUAUUUUGACAUCUCUUUAACUUAAGUAGAAAUUCAACUCGGGUUUAACACGAGAUGAUAUAGCGGGUAAAAACAGUAGGGGUAUUUUUGAAUAACAGAGAAAUAUAUGAGUGUAUUUGAAAUAAAAAAAAAAAGUAAAUGUAUAUAUAAGAUAUUUCAAAAGUUUUCAUGGGUAUAUUAGAUAUUAUCCACUAAAAAAAACUAGCAAAUGUAAGUCCAAUGAAUGUAGCACAAAAUAGAUCGAAGAUAUAAAUUGAUUUUUUUAAAAAUAAUUAAUUUGAGCAAAAUAAUUUUUAGGGAUUCAAGAAUUGACGCCUAGAGCAAUUGGAAAUUCAAAAUUUGGCACCUAGAAUAAUGUUAUUUUUUGAACGCACGUUUUGUCUUUUGUUCUUUUCUUACCCGCAGAGAAAUUAAAUUAAAAAAUUAGCACUUGGGAAUUCAAAAUUGACGAAAAAGAUAUGGAAUAUGAGAUUAUAUUAUGACUUUUUCUCUUGAAAAAAAGAAGAUUGAUAUAAAAUAUUGUAGGAUAUGUGUAGUUAAAUAAGGUUGUUAAAACCAUAUUUUAAUGAUACAAAUUAAUAAAGAAUAAAUGAUACAACCUAACAGAUAAGAAAAACUUUGAAAUAAUUUAAAAUUUGAAGUUUGUAAUUUAAAAAUUUGAUUUCGUAAAGAACAAUUCAGACUACAAAAUAAUUCAAAAUAAAAUGUUUUAUUAUUUGUGUAAUACCUUAAAUUUUAGACCCACUUUUUGUAUAAAAGUUUGAAGUUAUUUUAGGCAUUUCUUGUUAGAUUAUUGCAAUUUUUUAGUAGAUUUAUUCGGGCCAAUCUCAGCCGAUUGCACGGUUGGCUGCACGGGACCUCUCAGUUGACCUACCUGAGCUUCCAGCUUCACCAACCCCACCCUAUUUAUUCUUUCUUCUCUUUUUCCUCCGAUCACCCUAUUUUGCCUACGUAUAUAAUUUCUUCUUCUUCUUCUUCUCUCUUGCACUCCUCCACCUCCUCUCAAGUCCAUGUUCUCUCUUUCUCCUCUCUGUCAUGCCCUGGGCUCAAGCAGAAGCUCCCCCAGUAGCGUGUCCAAAUCCAUCGUGUAUAAGGCUCCCUUACUCACACGAAGUAACAACUCACAAUAAUCAACUUAUAUAAAUAAUUAAAUAAGAAAUUCAUACAUGUUAGAGUACCAAAGCAUGAAAAUACUAUUCUUUUACAACUACUAAUCCAAGUGAAUUAUUUCAAGUUUUAGUUCAAAUGUUAGUAUCCUCGAAAUGUCAUUGUUCUACAAAGGUUUCAUCUCUAGACACAUCGAAGAAAGCGGUGGAAAGCUAGCUAUUGCAUAAGCUCCAUGUCUUGAUCACCCAUGAAGAACAAGGGAUACUGUGAAAAAGAAUUCAACAAGAAUGUGUGAGAACUAUAUAAAAUAAUUUUCAGUGGGUACAAUCGCCGUAAGGAGCAUUCUAUCCAUUAGGUCUACUAGAGGCACAGUAUCAAAAUAAUAGAUAGUAGAUGCAGAGAAGAAAAUAAAUACUAACAAAAAUUUAGAUCUACUACCAUGCCUAUACCAUAUCAACGAUGUCAAAUAUCAUCUCUACAUGCAUCAAUUUACAUGCAUAUAAGUUGAGCACUUAACAUCCACUUUACCGAACUAAUCAAGGUCUAUUCAAGCUUUCACCUUACCUAGUGGAAUGUCGAACAAUUGCAUAUGAAUCCAAACAUCAACACUCAACAAUUAUGGCGAGGUGAACAACAACAACCUCCCUUGGCUAUACCUCUGGAGGGUCACGACUUGUUGGGAGCGACCCUCACAAGAAAAUGAGCCCGUUGAGUUUAUUUUGACUCUUGCAAGCUAUAAUCACUAUCCAUAGCCAUCAUGUCACUACUAAACAUAGAUGAAAGUUUUUAACUACAUUGGCAUUUUGUCGAACACCUUAUGUGCACUAUCCUAAAUCCAGCUCUAUAUGUCAUUUUGCCUUAUCCAAUUGAUGUCCCACUACAACAUCAUGUUCACUAAAUAUGUUUAACUUAAGAAACAUAAUAACAAGAUUCACAAGGCAUGCAUGUAUAAAAAAGUUCAACUCCAGUAGGUAGGUUUUCUAUGUUCAAGGAUCAUUGUUUAAUAAGAAAUAUCUACUUUAACUAGGUUUAUCUCAUGCAACAUAUGAUAGAAAAAUAACUAGAAAUAAAAAUGAAAAAGGUAUAAGAGGAGAUUGCCCAUUUCGGAGACUUAAACCCACCAAUUCUUUGAAAAGAAUCAUUGAAAGCUCGAUCAAAUGUGUUGAGUUCACCAAACAACCUUAUAAGAGAGGUUCCAACCCAUCAAUACUAUCUAAAAGCCUUUAAAAAGAAAAUCCUGAAACCUAAAUCCUAAAACCAUAUUCUAUCCCAAAACUAUCAAAAUCAUACUAUUUAAAGCAUAGGGGAAAAUAAGAAAUUAUCCCUUCCAAGCACCACUUUCUGAAUCAAGCCUCUUGAAUCUAGGGUUGGACUCUUCAAGAAAUGGUUUCUCCUCUUCUCUUGCUCCAAUUUUAAAUUAGGUUGAGGUAGAGCAUUCCAAAGAGAGAAAAGAAUGAAGUUGAGGCUUGGAGGAGAUCCAAUAGUGGAUAAGGAGAAGAAAAGAAACGUGGAGGACGGGGGAAGAGUUUUCUCUCUUUUGAAUUAGGAGAGAAUUGGAGGAAGAGAAUGAAAGGGUGUUUUAUAAAUAAUCUAGCCCCCUGCCCUCCAACACAGCCUGCACACAAGCAAGUACUAGUACUCGAAUUGGAGUACUGAUACUCCCUUAUUGAGUACUUGUACACUCCUACAAGUUUUGCAAAAUCCAAGAGUAUCAAUAGUAAAAAAAGCUCAAUGUAUAUUGAUACUUCUUCUUAAGUACUAGUACAUGACAACUAGUACAAGUAUCCAACCUAAGUUCUGCAAAACCAGCGUUCUUCCGCGGAAACUUCUAUUGAGUACCAAUACUCAGAGUUUCAGUACUAAUAUUGAAAGAGAAAACGGUCCAAAUUAUAGGUUGGUUCCAGAAUAUUAUUUUUCACACCAAAACAACCCUAUGUUAGAUGUAUGCCCUAGAAGGCAACUAGGCCGACAUAUGUAUUCUUUUUAGGACAUAAAUUUGUAUUUGAUUUCAAAUAUUAUGAAUAAUUUGGGUUAUUUCCAUUCAUGUUGUAUAUGUGUCUAUGAAUUGUCCAAGUAAUUAAUAAGAUGAUGACACAUAUUCUCAAGAGUUGAGAAUUUGAGACAUGUGUCAUUGGUGGUUAAUUCCUAAAUCCUCCUGGUUCAUGGAUCAUCACGGGGACGGUGAUUGAUCCGGUGAGAUUGGUGCACAGGUCGCUUCCUGUUUUGGAUAGCCGAGUCUUGAGUUAACAGUGUAGGGACACUGGAGUGAAUGUGUAGGUGGUUGUUAGAGAACAAGGGUACUAGGCGUGACCAACACAAGAAGUCACUUGGAUACUCAUUCAUCAGUGACUUACUCAAUGUUGCAGUAGUGUGACUGGUCCUUUGACCUGCAGUGCCUCGACUAUUCACAAUAAGGUUAUUGUAGUUUGACUGUACAUACACUUGGUCUGUAGCCAUUCGGAUCCUUGCGGUGCAUGUUGGUUGUAGUAAGUUCAUUGUAGGAAUAGGGUGUGUACUUAUAUAAAAUCUAUCUCCCUUGGUAGAUAGGGGCGUUAGUUCUAUAUGAUUUAUGAGAUCAAGUUUAGAUUUUUAAUAUUAAAAACUCGAGUUGAAUAAAUUUGAUAUAUGACAGACGAUGGGGUUUGACGAGCUAUUUUAUGACCUUCGUCUAGUCGGGACUCAUGAUAGAAGGACUGUAUCACAUGGUAACUGCACCAAGAGGUUCAGUAUUCUAUUCUACUGGAAUGCCACUACAUAUUGUUAGGUGUCACUGGUGGAUUGUGAAACUCAUGAGAAUUAUCUGAAUAAUCGAUAAUUCUCAUUGGGCAGAGUGAGAAUUGUUCCAACCCACUGAAAGGAGUUUCAGUAAUAUUGUUGAUAGUGAUCAGAAUAUACCUCUCUACUAGAUAGAAUAGAACAUAUUGAGUCACAUACAUAGGAGGUUGUGAUUGAUCAAAUAGUUGGAUCACGAUUUUUGAAUCACCGAAGGACCUAAUUAUCAAUAUAUUAAUAAUUGGACUAAUAUGUAAUUAUUACAAAUUAGUGGUAUUAAAGUGCAAAUAUUGCAAGAGAGGACUUACUAACAGUUAGUGAGUUGUGAGAGAACUUAUGUGCAAAUAUUAUAUUAUUAAUUUGAUUUGAUCAAAUUAGAAUUGAGUUCAAGUCAAUUUAAAUUAGGAUUUAAUCAAUUGAAUUAAUUAAAGGAAAAAUAAAAAUAAACUUAGAUUUAUUCUUAUCCUUAAUGAUAAUUAUAUUAUUAUAAAAGAGAUUAUAUCCCUCUUUAUACGAUACGUGAGUUAUCAGAAAACUCUAGCCGUCAUCUUUUUUCCUCUCUCUCUUCUUUUCUUCAAUCCUCUAGCAAGAAAGAUAUUCUCUGCAAUGGAGCUAGCACAUCGGUGAGGACAUCGAUCAGGUUAGCAAUCUUGUGUGGAUACCUCUAGAGGCCGGACGCUUGUGUAGUUUCAAGAGAAUCAAUUCUACAAUCAUCAGAUUGCGGUGAAAAUCUACCCACACAAAGGUGAAGAUUAGAUCUUUCUUUUUCUCCUUUAAUCUUAAACAAUAUGAGGGAUCCUGUUUGUGUGGUAUUUUGAGAUUGGAUCUGGAGUUUUAAAAAUCAAAUAAGUUUGAUUUUCUUUUUCUACUGCAUUUUAUUGCAUUCAAUAUUCUAACACCUACUCAUUUCAGACUCUUUCGAAACCUCUCAAAUAGAACCAUAAGCCAUUAUUCACUGGACUUUAGCAAUUUCCUAACCGAAUCGAUUGUCCUUCGCCAUUCUAAGAUGUUACUGUCAUUAGGGAGCCAAGCAAAGUGGUAGAGAAGACGAGUUUCAGACAAGAAACUCACACUGGUAAAAGUUUCAUUUGUAAAAUAUGAUUUAUUAUUAUUAUUAUUAUAGAUUUUCUUGGUUUUGAAUAGUUUUACAUGUGUCAUGAUUGACUAUUCUCUAUGUUUGAACAAUUUGUUACUUUUAUUUGUGGUCUGGUGGAGUUUGGGCUCAAAAAGUAGCUUCAGAAUACCGUGUGGUCGACUAACUGUGAUCCAUGGUCAACCAAGAUAAUCUCCAUAUGAAGCUGUAGCUUUUGUUCGUCGAACGUUUGAUUGUCGCCACUUACGACCAUGAACGCCAUAGAGAGCCUAAACUUUAUUUUCUUUUGCUUUGCUGAAGCCUAGUAAUUAUAAUUCUUACUUUAGAAGGCUGUAGUAAUAUAGUCGGGAUUUCUGUGUGUUUUCUCUUUAGAUUCAUUUAUUAUAAGUCCGCAUUUAUCAUCCUUACUUUUCCUUAUCGUCAAGGAUCUUACAAUUUCAAGUGAGUAGUAAACUAUCUCAUUAAAUUAAGCUACCAAAUUAAUAUCUUAAAUUCUUAUUGGUAUUGAUACAUUUGCCCAUUAGAUAUAUUGUUAUGGAGGGUGAUAUUGGAUACAUGAUAUUUAUGUAUUGUAAAAUUGGAUAUAUGAUUGAUGCUUGUUGUAAAAUAUAACUUUUUUUUCCUAGUUAAACCUUAAUUUUAUAAAGAUGUAAAAUAUAAUACUUACAUCGGUCACCCACAAUUCAUAAUGGCACGAUUGGAAUUAACCUUAGAAUUCACCUUGACCAAAUUGUGACCUAAAAUCGCCCACGACUCAUAAUGGCGUGAUUAGAAUAUGGUCUCAUUUACCAAUUUUGAAAUUUGCCGAUCUUAGGAUUCACAAAAAUCUAAACAACUUUUAGUAAAAUAAAAAAGUUGAUGUGAUAAGUAGAAAAUUGAUGGUCCUUAAAUAAAAAGGUUGUAAGAUUUUACACCCUAAUUUGGGGUGUAUCAAUGAAAUUGCUAUCCAAAAAAAGAAAACUUUUGCUUCUACACUCCAAAAGGGGACAUAGAUCUUGCACCUUAUAUCCUAGAGUUCACAAAAAUUCAAAUAAUUUUUAGUAAAAUAAAAAAAUUGAUGCGACAAAUGGAAAAUCGAUAACCCUUAGGUGAAGAGAGUGUAAGAUUUACACCCCCACUUUGGAGUGUACUAAUAACAUUACUCUCCAAUAAAGGAAAAUUUUAUUUUUACACUCCAAAAAGGGGGAUGUAGAUCUUAAACCCACUUUUCUAGGGUUCACAAAAAUCUAAAUAGUUUUUAGUAGAAUAAAAUUAUUUGGAGACCUCUCACCUUUACACUAAUACAAAAGUCAUCCCUCAACAAUUAUAUUCUUUUUUAUGGCUAAGAUGCAGAUAAUUUCUCUCUCUAUAUAACAUGUUGUGCUUUACCUCCAGACAAAAAAAAUAUGGCCUUUUAUCUUCUUAAGAUGUAGAUAAUUUCUCUAUUUUUUUUUCCUUGUUUGUCUUUCUCCUUUCACUAACGAACGGUACAUUUCCCUCCUCGUUAUUUUUUUCUCUCCUUCUCUUCCUGUUUCCUCUUUCUUCUCCUCCUUCUCCACUGCCCUACAUUGACGCUGCGCUCUACUAUCUUACCUCACCCACACCUCCGCCGGUGCUAGCUCGAAUAUGACACAGAUCGCGGAGGUGAGGUUGCGGAGGAGCGCAUGGCCGCUAACUGUGGCGGCUAUGAGAGUGCUAUAGGAUUUGAGGACGACGGGAAGAGAGAGCAUGUUGCAAUGGGGGCAGCGGCUGCAGUAGAGGGCAAGGGGCCGCAAUAGUCGGAAAAGAUGCAGAGGGUAGAAGAAAAAAAAUAAAUAAAUAAAGGAAAAAUAUUUUUUCCUCCUAAGAAGACCAUCAUAUGUCGCAACCGCUAUAGGGAAGGCCAAAAAGUGAAGAAGAAAGAAAAUGAUGACGAAGUUACACAAUUUGAGAUGAAAAUUGCACCAUUUGAGACGAAAAUUUCACUAUUUGAGAUGGAACUUGCAUUAUUUGAGACAAAAGUUGCACUAUUUGAGUCGAAAGUUGUACUAUUUGAUAUGAAAGUUGCACUAUUUGAGAUAAAAGUUGCACUCUUUAAGGCGAAAGUUGCACUAUGUAAACAAUUUGAAAAACCAAACUAAGUUGCAAACAGAAAUUAUUUGAGACUAAGUUGCACUGUUUGAGACUAAAUCUCAAAUAUUUUUUAAAAAAUGCAACUUUCACUUCAAAGAGUGCAGUUGUGCAACUUUCGUCUCAAAUGGUACAACUUUUGUCUCAAAAUGGUGCAACUUUUGUCUUAAACAGUGUUACUUUCUUCUUAAGCUGUGCAACUUUUAUCUCAAAUUGUACAACUUCGUCUUCUUCUUUCUUUUAUGCUUCUUUGCUUUUCUUGUAGCAGCCAUGACAUAUGAUAGCCUUUCCAGAAGAUUAGUACUUUUUUUUCUUUUUUUUUUGUUCUAUCCUCUAUAUCUUUUUAUGCUAUUGCACCUCCUCCCUCACCCUCUAUUCCAACCGCAGCCGUUCCCCUUGCCCUAAUGUGCUUUCUCUUCUUGUCAUUCUCAAAUCCUGUGACACUCUCAUUAUCGUUACUGUCCACAACAAUGCACUCCGCUGCAAUCUCACUUCUGCGAUUUGUGCCCUAUCUAAGCCGGCAUUGCCAGAGGUUUACGCGAGGUAAAAGAGUAAAGAGCAGUGUCGAUAUGGGGGCAGUGAAGAAGGAGGGGAAAGGAGAGGAAGCAUGAGGAGAAUGAGAGGAAGAAACGACGAGGAGAAACGAAAAAUGGAAAUAGAAUGACGAAGAUAGAAAAUAAAAUAGAGAUUGAAAAAGGAAUAAGAAUAUUUUGAUCAGUUUACUAAAAAUUUGGGCCGAAUCUAUAAAAUCCAAAAUGAAAUGAUAGCCGGUUUAGCAAAAAUGUAAAGUCAGUGAAUUUUUUUAUGCAAAUUGGCCUUAAAAAAUAAGUUAAAUAAUCAAAAUACCUCUUUUAUGUAAGUUUUCAGAGGAUUAAGUGCAUACGUUUUUAUCCAAAGUGUUAAGAAUAACACCUAACUAGUGAAAUACCCGCGCGAUGCUGCGGAUAUAAGAAUAUUUUUAUAAUAAAUUUUACUCUUUUUUUCAUAUCUUUAUAUAAUUUUAUAAAUCUAAUUAUUAAUUAAAUAAAAGUUAUAUAAAAAUAAUUGAAUAAUUAAAUCUAUUUAAAUAAAAUUUAUUAAAAUUGGUAUAUGUGCAAAGUAAAUUUAUACAAUAAUUUAUUUUAUAAAUAUUUACACAAAAAGGAUUUGAGAUAAGUCUAUCAUAAUAAUUUUAAGAAAAUCAAUAAAUAGAAGAAAAAUAAAAUUGUAGAAGAAAUUGUUUAAUAAAAUUAAUUAUAUAUACACACAAAUAAAUUAUAUUUCUAAAAUUUUAAAAUUUUACGUGAUUUAAAUUUUAUAGAUACAAAUAGUCUAAACUAUUUAAAAACUAUUUAUAUGUUUUAAAAUUUUAUAAUAAUAAAUGAAAAAAAUGUUGGACUUUAAAAAAAUAUAAAUCAUUUUUUUAGCUCAAAUUUAAAUUAAAUUUUUUCUUUCAAUUUUAAUAUUUUUGUGGCAACUUGGCUUUUACGGUUUUACCUAGCUUUUACCUGUAACUAAGGUUUAUCCAAGCCCUUGUGACACCACCCAAUAAAAAAAAAAUUGAAGAGAGAAGAAGAAGAAAAAAAAAAAAAAUCCACUCCCCUUUCCUCCGGGUGUGGCCAAUCCAAACCAAGCCUACCCUACGCUCGAGCGCCUGCGCGAGCUCGCGCCCGCUCACGCCGCCCGCAUCAGCUUGCACCUGCGCCCCCUCACGCCGCACCCAUGCUCGUGCCGGCUCGCACCCAGCGCCCCGCCCCCCACGUCCGCUCACGCGGUCACGCCGCCGUCGUGGUCUAAGUCGCCACCGCUGCUGUAAUACACUGGACUUUCGCAAAUUGCAGAGUUCGAGUGUGUGGAAGGAAGUGUGGAACUAUUCUACAUGUUCUAAAUGACUUGGACAAGUUUUUGAACAAGUUAGAGAGUGAUUGGAGGGUUAAAAGUGAGAAAUUGCAUCAAACAGGCGAAAUCAGCCUUUUUCUGCUUGUUGUACCGGUACAGCCAUCACCUUGUACCGGUACAGACUGGCAGAAAUCUGGCAGCAAGGCUAAUUUGGUCAUUUCACGUUUUGAUCCUAUCUAUUUGAACCCAGCACGACCUGGGAUACUCAGUGGAGCCUGCUGGAGUCCAGAGAAGUGUUCUCCCAUCUUUCUCUUUCUCUCUCUCUAGGGUUUUUCUCUCUCUACGUCGAAUUCGCCGAUUUCGCUCGUUUUCGUCGCCGCGUGCGUUCUUCGCUGGUGGCAAGCGUUGCUGAGCCUAUGUGGACGUGUGAGAGAGUAUUUUGGAAGGUUCUUUGCAACUCUGAACCAGUGGGUUGCUGGUUGGAAGCUUGAGAAGGUAACGACGCGAUGUUUUUCCGUUAUCGGCAUUCUAUUCGUCGAUUUGAGUAUUGAGUUUGAGUUUUUGCUUCUAACCGAUGUAAACUGAGAAUUCAGCUAUUAUUAAUGAAUUAUUCAGCUGUGAAUUAAGCUCCUUAGACUAGGGAUGAGCUUCUUUGAAGAUUAAUUGAGAGAAUUAGCCAUUUAUGAAGCUUAAUCGGAACUAUACGCGGAUUAUUGACGCAGUUUCGUAUGAUUCCUUCGCAGCAGGUUUUCGAACCAUCUAGAGCUAAUUUGGUGACCUUGGGGAUUGAUUUAGAGGGUGUUCUAACCUGAGGUAAGCAGGAAUUUCCAUUCUAAAACUGAUUUCGCAAGAAUUCGGCUAAAUUCACUAGUAUACAUGCGCGUUGACGUCGUUUAAUGAUUGUUCGCAGCGCGAGUGGAAUCGACCUUCGGAUCACUUUCAGCUGAUUAGUGAGAGCUUUUGGAAGCUUAACUUGAGGUAUUUAUUGAGCCAAAACAGGGAUUUCAGCUAUUACGAUGUACUAAGUGCAAUUGCGCCGAAAUCGGACAUUUCGAUCGUAAUUUUGAUACGAUAUUUAUGCUUCAUGUUCAGCAGGAUUGCGACCUAGUGGAGCUGAUCCUUGGGACUCCUUGGACUGAUUUGGAGCCUAGUACUAGGUGGGUCGGACCUAACCAGAGCAAGUGGAGCUCUCCUAUGUUCUAUAUGUAUCUAUAGAAUAGAAUAAUUGCAUAGGUGCUUCGAGUGCAUAUGUGAUUGAUAGAGAAUUGGAAACAUAUCAUCGUGAUGUGUGAUGCUUAUGUGACGCACUGGACCUUUGCAAAUUGCGAGGUUCGAGUGUUUGGACAGUGUCCCGAGUUUUUCCAGACGUUCUGGUGGGUCGUUGACAGUGUUCCGACCUAUGGCUCGCAUUCCGAGAAUUGUAGUAUUUUAUGUAGCGCUAAGGUCACUAAAAAGUUGGACUUAGCCUACUCUCGGAUUGCAUUCUGCACAAGGUGUACCGGUACACUCUUGAUGGCCGUACCGGUACACACUUUGUACCGGUACACGCUUGAUGGUUGUACCGGUACACUUGUGGCAGAUUACGAACCUGAGCCUCGGGUUUGCAUUUUCGCAGGAUGUGUACCGGUACACUUCCCCGUGUACCGGUACACUUUGGCAGAAUCUGAGCGGUUUGUUCUGCAGGGGGUUUUUCGCAAUUGUGGCAUCUCUAUUAGUACCCCCACGCCCUAGGGGUCUUCCCUGAGCUUGGCACCAGCAAGGAGGAAGGUAAGGGAGCUCUCCACACCUCCUUAUUCCUUUUCUUUGAUUUUGCUUGGAUUUUUAGAGUUUAAGCACAUCUUUUUGCUCCUUUUUGGGUAUUGGAGGCUUUUCCACCAUUAGAGCUUGGAUUUGGAGCUAAGUGGAUGAUAGAUCUUGGGAUUUAAAGGAUUCAAAGCUUGAGUUGAAGCUUCUAAGAGGUAAGCAUCAUGUUCUUUCCUCUAGAUUUGAGUUUUAUUGAUGGAUUCAAGAUGAAACCCUAGUUUUGAGACUUAGGGCUUGUUUUUGGGUAUUUUGAAACUAGGGCUUUUGGGGCCAAAUUGGUUGGAUUAGAACCUUCCUUGGGCUUGGAUUGGAAGGGAUUUAGCUCUCAUUUGGAGCUUGAGAGAGUUUUUCCACGCGUUGGGUGAGUUUUAGCCCUUUUGCUAAAUUUGUUAAAGUUUGAUAUUAUGCGAUGAUCGUAAUGCCCGUGUAUCUUGUCGCUCAUUACUUUUAGGGUAUUUUGAGACUCGGGGACAACUUUGUUCGGCGAAACGAGACCCUACGCGACGGUUCGGUGGGUUUGACCUAGCUUACAUAUGAGAAAUUCUCAUAUAUGGUUUUAUAUGUUCCGUAAAAUGGAAAAGCAUGCAUAAUCAUACUAAAUGUAUUUAUUGUGAUUUUUAGAAUGCUUAAAAUGCAUAUGUUAUGUAUGAUGAAAUUUUGGACCUCUAUGUAAUAGAGAGUUGCUUGAGGGAUCUAUAGUUGCAUUUCGCAUUCUUCAUGAGACUUGGUUUCAUGCUACUAUAGUGUAAAUGAGUUCGGAUUCAUGCAUUUAAGCCUAAGUUUACUUGUGUCAUGAAAGUUGAUAAAAUUGCCAUUAGUAGGUAUGUGAACUAGAGAGCUAAUGUCAUCGAGCGUCAUUGAGCUCAGGACAUGUGGGAACCUAGAGGAUAGGGCCAUUGAGGGAUUUGGAAUACAUGUUGAACAUCAAAUGUCUAAGUGUCAUAAAGGGGCACUAGACCUAGAGAAUAUUGAAACUUCACAUUGUGACUUAAACUAGAUCUUUGGGAUGCUAGUAACUAUACCAUGUUAAAGACAUGAGGAUUGGGUACUUGAGACUUGGACUACGCUUGUUUGCCAUUUGUGCUCAUUCGCACAUGCUUGUGAGGGUCACUCCCUACAAGCCGGCACUCCGGAGUUAGCCUACGCGACUACGUUCGCUCGUGCGGUAUCGAGAAGCCUACGGGGUCGAGUGGGACAGACACAUUCCAUGAGUAGGAAUGUCGGGCUACCACAGGCACUUAGGCGGCACAAGCUGGACUACCUUGGGUAGGUCCCUAAUUGGAAAUGGAAAUCGACACGGUUUGAGAAUGAACACUCACUACUAGAUAGGCUUAGUAGUUGGAGUACAUUUACAUGCAUAUAGCAUAGGGUUGAGACAUGUAGUACACUUGGUUGCCAUGAUAGAACUUCUACAUCAUGUAUUGACAAAGGUUAACAACAUUAAACUAGUGCCACUGGACUUAAUUGUAAUGACAAAAUAGAUGUACAUUUUGGUUGACAUCAUGCUUACUUGAGACACAGUAGACUAGCAUUUCAUUUAUGCUCUCUUUUAGCAGUUAUUUACAUGCUCCUUUUUAUUGCUUAUUACUAUAUGUCGUUGCUUACCCUUAUUUUUGGGGCCUAGUGGAGCAAGAGCUGAGGUCAGUAAUUGCCCACUGGGAACUAUAAAUUAUAGUUCUCACGCCCUCCUUUUCUCGAUGUUUUUCAGAGCCUUCCACUCAGGGUGAGGCCAGGGAUCGCGGAAAGGGUAUCGUGUCACGCCCCGGAUGUCUCGUUCCCCGGGCACGCCGACAAAUCCGCCGUAUACAAGGAAUUUUCCCUGUAUACGAAGCGUCAAAAGUACCUGUAAAUAUACAAUACUACAAACAGUAGCAUAGAGCUGCUCAAUAUACAAAGCUAAACAACUGAGUUUCAUAUACAUAGUCCAAAUCCAAAAUACAAAGCUACUCGCACCGGCGAGUUAAACAACUAUGUACAUAAACUCUAAAAUAGCAACUACCUGCAGUAGGGGGGUGCCUCUAGCUCUGUCAGUCGGGUAGGGCUCUACCUCGCGACGCCCUUGCCUCGAUCCUGAUCCGCGGAAGGCGCAGUAGCCGAAACCUGUGGCUCUGCAAAACAUAGGUAACAACUGGGCGUGAGAACUACUGUAAAAAACAAGUAGUCCUCAGUGGGUACCGCCCAAAACGACAUCGGUCACCCACUAAGUCUACAGAAGGGAGCAAGGAUAGAAGGAAAAGCAGGAAGUACACUCUAUCGCUAUCAUCCACUACACUAUCAUGCUCUACAUUAACCGACUGUAGGAAAUGUCAAAUCUGACCCAAUCCAAUUGGGACUGUAAACAUACCCGUCCCUGGGACUGUGAACACACCCGUCCCUGCCCCGUUGCGACUAUCAGGCUCUAUCCACACUAGCUGGUCUGUGGAGAGCAAGUCCAACUGGCAUGAGCGACACCAACGCAAAAGCACAAGCCUGACUCCGGAGUGGCACUCGUGGGCGCUACCCAACCGAGUAUGCAGCGUAUCUCUGUCGAGCUCAAUCAGGCUCCAACUAUCCAAAGUCAAGUAAUCGACUCAAACUGGCCUAACAACCAACAGGUAACGUGCCCUCGGCACAGUCUGACGCCAAAAAGGUGAUACGGGUCCACCGUCAACUCUGACGGCACCCAACAGUCCGGAACAACCUGAACGACCCUGUAAAAAUCCACUCGGCGAACCAGCACGAGUGUAAAUACAUUCUAAACUACCUGGAGUACUCGUCUCGAAGAAACUGAGACAGUACAAUUUCCUGACGGCUCCUAGAGCUAAAUCAGGUAGUUAAAACUGGUGACAGGUCCAAAUCGCAAGUUUUCUCCUAAUUCAAUUUCCAAGUCCAACAUGUAUAAUCUAAUUACUUAAUAAAAUAUGCUCGCAAAUUCAGAUUUUGCAUUCUAAUAAUAAUCCAUGAAUUUGAGCUAAACUAUUGUAGAAAUCACGAUUUAUAUAUGUUGACUAAUAAUACUUAGGAGUAAAACCGAUGUAACCCACCUAAAAUGCUAAUCCCCUGGCAGCGGUACACCCUCACAGCUGCAGCACCACCUGCUGGUCGAUCUACACCCUCCAAAUCCGGGAGUCGAGCUAACACCACGCUCUACAAAGCACAAAUCACCGUUUCAGUCCCAAAAUUCGCAACAGUCAGGUACAGCACGGAUUCGACCAAUCUAACCUCAACGAAAUCUGGCAAGUAAGGGCUUCGUGGAUUCCUCUCGAAGUCCUGAAUCCAGCGAAUCAAGCCUCGUCGAAAUCCGACGCUCCUACGUCGAGUACGAGCCGAAACGCCAACGGUCGACGCUGGAAAUCUGCAGGGACAGCAACUAGCUCAAAAUUGAAAAAGCUUGGAAAUUAGGAAGCAAUUCUAUGGAACACCCACCUCGACGGCGACUAGCACUGGCGCGACGUCAAGAACGGCGAAGAUCCACGCUCGCCCGGCCUCCUCACGAUGCAACGGCAGCAACCGUAGGUUCGAACGGCUCUGCGGUGCGACGUCGACGGCGAAAUCGGCUCCGUGGCGGCGUCCCUCGCGUGCUUCCUUGGUACGGCCGAACGAAAGAGAAAAGGAGAGAAGAGAGGAGAUAAACUCCUCUCUCUCUCUUCCCUGCAUGCAUAAAAGAGGGGGGGGAGGUGAUGCCACAUGGCAUUACACAUACUCACAUAUGUGCACUCACACACACACACACACACACGUACCCUCACACACACACUUAUAUAUAUAUACUAAGUAUAGGGAUACUAGUAUACUACAUAUCGCCUCGGGCUAGCGCGCUUACCGAGGGAUCGUUCGAUAGGUGGUCUACCUCUCGUGUUUUCUUUUUGUGAGAGGUUGAGAGUUGUACCCGUAUAUAUAUAGAGACCACCAUUUUUGUACUAGAGACAGUUAUUGUACUACUUAUGGUUAUCUUUGUUUGACUAGCUUUAUUCCUUUACUUUGGUGUAGAUGAUAGAACUUUACUUGCUCUGAUAUCUCUAGUUGCUAGUUAUUUCAUUUCUUAUAUUUGUUUUAUCUCUUGCCUUUACUUCCGCUUUUAUUGUAGGCGCCUUAUAUGUGUAGACAUAUGGCGGGUCUGGGCACGCUACCGGGAGGGCCUCCGCCGGUCUCGGGGCGUGACAGCUUAAGUCGAUUGAAUCUCUAUAAAGUAGAGAACAUUUAUACAUGAAAGUAUUUAUAUUCAUAUUCAAUACAGUUGAAUGACUUAUGAAUAAGUGUAGGAUGCACUUUAAAGUAGAGAACAAUGACAUUCUCUUGACUCUAACGUAGAGAACUAUGACAUGCUCAUGACUAUGUUGAUAGUGCCAUACUAGUGGAAAGAUUAUUUUGCCAUGUGAUUUAGCUACACCCUUACAUGAUUACAAUCUAGUGGAUACUAGCUCUUGUUACUAUUUGUGUAUUGACAUUCCGAUCAGAGGAUCGAGGGUAAGAACUUUACAAAUGAAAAUAUGAAAAUUGAGACAUGUGGAUAAUGGACUUUGCUUGCUUGCCAUCGUGCUCAUUCGCACACGCUUGUGAGGGUAGCUCCCUACAAGCCGGUACUCCGGAGUUGGCCUACGCGACAGUUGCUCGCCCGUGCGGGAUUGGGUGCGGAAGUGGAUUGCCGUGGGGAGUGUAUACUACCACGGGGCCAUUAGGCGCGGCGCAAGCUGGACUACCUUGAGUAGGUCCUAGUGAAUGAAAAUGAAAGUGGAAAUGAUAAUGAUAGUAAUGAAUGAGUAUCAGUUGUAGUGUACAGUAAUACUUACACUUCUAUGAUUAUGUUUAUGUUCAUGUUUAUAGUAGUUGCGAUACUUCUAUUAUUCAGUUGAUUCAUUACUGCAGAAAUCAUGUUUACAUGUUGAAUACAUGCCUGUUACCGGUUAGCACUGCAUAUUUCUAUAUCAUGCAUUUAUCGCUUCUACUUACUUUCAGUACAUCAUGAGCCUAGUGGUGUAAUUCGCCGAGACUGGCGGCUUACCCACUGGGAACUAUUGUUAAUAGUUCUCACGCCCUUUUGGUGGUUGUUUUUACAGAGCCAUCUACAGGAAAGGCUAGGGAUCGUGGCAAAGGAGUCGCGUCUAGCUAGACAUUGCUAGAAGCAUGCUAGUCGAUCACCUUGCUACUCGGGCUACGACUGAGGGUGAUGUCCUUUUGUAUAGAGAAACCACCAUUGUACCUAUCCUAUUUUUGUAUACUCGUGAUGUAUAUGUACUACUUGGACUGUGAACUACAGUUGUGAUACUUCUCUUCUGUCGAGAUUUUGGAUUGUAUUUUCCUUUGUUCUUUUACUGAUAGUAUAUUGACUUGUACAUUGCUCUGAUAUCAGGAUAGGACUUUCUUUGUUUUGCUUCCUAUCGACUUGCUUUCUUCGUAGACGCCUUAUAUACUGCAGGUGUAUGGCGGGUCUGUACACGUGCCGGAUAUGCUUCCGCUGGUACCCGGGGGUGACAGCUGCUGCCGUCACCGUCGCCUAAGCCGCCACCGCCACUGCCGUCGUCGCCUAAGCCACCACUGCUGUCGCUGCCUAAGCUGCCACCGCCGUCGCUACGGAAGAGAGAGAGAGAUAGAGAGAGAGAAAUAGAAGAAAUGGGAUAAGAGAGAGAGAGAGAGAAAUAGAAGGAGGGGAUAAGAGAGAGAAAGAGAGAGUAGGGGAGGGAGAAAAAGUGUGGGGGACAACUGGCAAGAGAUAGAGAGAGAGAGUUUAGGGUAGAGAGAGAAAGGGAGAGAGAUGGGUUUCAGAGGGUGUAAGAGAAGAGAGAGAGAGAGAAAGAGAGAAGGGGGUUUACAGCUGUAACAAAUUUUUUUUUGUGAACCCCACUUCAUUAAAAACGUGCCAUGUGGAAUAGACUUACCUCCUCUCGCCACGUGGCUUCAUUGUUCUGUCAAUUUAUAUAUUGUUAGAUAUAUUAAGAAGUACAAAGCAUUAUCAUUUUUUUUUAUUUUAGCAUUAUAAUUUUCAAUUAUUUCAAUUUAACUUUAUUAAAUACAAUUAAUAAAUACUUUAAAAAUUAACAGUUUAAUCAGCUACAAGUCAAUGCAUCGGCAAUAUUAUCAACUAAAAGGUGUUUAAAAUAGUUGGAUUCAAAAUUUUAUUUUCCAAAUUUUAUAAAUCUCCGAUUUAAAUUUUAAAACUUGUACUAAUUAUUUACUAUCACUCAAAAAAUACUAGUGGAAUGACUUUUGCAAAAAGAUUGCAAUAUUAACCGGUUCAUUUUGAUAGAAAUAUGAAAGAUUUAUUGAAUUUAGUAUAUACCAGUUCGGCUUCAUUUGGUUCAGAUAUAAGCAAGAAUUGCCUAUUCCAGUGAAUUCUAAAAAAGUGAUUUUGGUUUGGAGAAGUGAUUUUGGUUAAAAACUGUAGAGCGUUUGGUUGAGUUUAGGUAAAAGUGAUUUUUCUAAAGUGAUUUUGAAAAACUGUUUGGCAAAAUUUUUUUGAUGUAUGCAUAAAUUAAUAUUUUUAUUAAAUUUUAUUUUAAAAUAAUUUAAAAUCUAAAUUAAAAUUAAAAUUAAAAUUUUAAUUAUAAAAUAAUUAUAAUUUAUUGCUUAUAGUAUAGAAAUUUUUUUAAAAAAAUACAAAAUAGAAAAUGAAAAAUAAACUAUAAAAUACAGUAUAAUUAAGCCAAAUGAGAAACCAAAAUAAAUUUCAGUGUUUCCAAAUAGGACCUCAUCAUAAUUGGCAAAGCGCACAAACUCUUUCUUUGGGACCUACCUUGGACAUCCUCUUACGAUUAAGUGACCUUAAUUAUAAUUAUACAUAUCAUUAAAAUUUGUUGAUUUUUGUUGAAUGUAAAUAUUAGAAAUAUUGUUAUAUGAUAGUUUAAACUUGAGUGAAAUACGCGCGUUUUAUAUAAAUUCAUAUGGUAUCAUAGUAGUAGGUCUUAAGUUAAACAUCGUUCUCUAGUAGUUUAAUCGUUUGGAGAAUAACAUUUUUUUAUAUAAUUUCACAAUUUUAAGUACUUGAACAAUAGGUAAAUAGUGUCGAAUAAUCAUGAAAACUGGUUUCUAAGAAGUUAAUGGGAACCUAGAUCGUCGAUUUGGAUUCCUCACAAGUUGAAUAUGAUAUGAAAGAAUUAAGCGUUUGGUCCUUCAACUCUAAUAUGGACACACUCGAUUCGGGACCGGGGAUGAAAAUGAAUCUGGAUUGGUGGAACUCCCGUUCCAAUCUUCUACGAACAGGACGGUAAGUGAGAACUAAAGAUAUAAAUAAAAUGUAACCAAUUUCAAAUUUAUCCCGAUCUGCCUAGGAAAUAGAGCGGGAGACGGGAGACUUUUUUUUUCUUAAAAUUCUUCUCGAUCUGCUAAAAUUUUGCUUCUGUUUCAAUCAGUUUUGAAUAAAAACGAUAAGUGGAGGCAAAAAAAAAAAAAAAUAAUCUAUUCUGAAUUCGUCCUGACCGAUAAGAAUGGGGUGGAAUAUAAGGGACCCCUCCUAAGUCCCACAUCUGGAUCCGCCCCGUUUGCAUCCUUAGUCUAAGGUACUUUCGGGUUCGGGUCAGAUCAUGAUCCGACCGGUCUAAAUUGCGUCCGACCGGUCUAAAUUGGGUUCUCUUUCCGACCCUUUCUCUCAUUCUCGGAAAACAAUAUUAACGGUUGAGAUGAAACGAAACGGACGGCCGAGAUUUGAUCCUGUCAAAACAAUCGGAUCACUAUUUCUUCGAUAUCCUCUCUCCUUUUACCCGUCCCUUCUCUCUCUCCCUCCGGAGACUUUUUAGGGUUUCGUUCCCGUUCGUCGUGACCCUUCGCCCUCCUCCUCUCCCCGAUCCCAAGAGGUGAGCUCCCGCUCUAGCGGUAGAACAUGGGGUUAGGGUUUCUCUCCGUAACUGUUUACUUGGUUCAAUUCGAUUCGUAUCUCAAUGGAUUUGCUUCUCUUCUUUGUAUUUUAAAUUUGUAGUAGUUAAAACGGCUUUCGUUUGAGAUCUGUUGAUGAUGUUCCCAUCUGGGAAAGGAGUAACGAUUUGAUAGUAAUUUUGCUAGAAUUCGUUGGAUUGAACUCAACUUUGUUCUAAAUUAUGAUCAAAUUGUUAUCGUACUCCACUUAGAUUGUAUACGGUGCAACCUAUUCAAUUUGUGGCUUUUGUUGGCCACAGAGAGAAUAUAGGAAUUGAGUUUACAGUGUUAACAUUAGCGUAGGAUGAACGGAUCAUCUUGGUUUUUAUGUCUCUGUUACUGUAUGAAUUAUGUGGCUAAUUAGCUUUUGAAUCAUGGUAUAUACCCAACGAAAUGAGUUGGGUAUAAUCGAGUAACGGCCGGUAUUAUUACAUCAAUUACUUGGCUAAUGGUGUGGAGUACGAGUGUUGAGAUGUUCUAUCAUCAAUUAACAAUGACCAAGUUUGCGGAGCUGAUGUAUGUAUGUUGCUAAGAUAAGAUGGAACUAAAUGUAUGGAAUCUGAUUCUUUUAAGUUGCUCUUUGUUUAUUAUUGAAUUCUCACUCAUAUUACCUGCAUUGACUAAUUAAAUAUUUUCUCAUUACUUAAUCGACAUAGUAAUGCUUUGAAUCAAUGAAUUUAAAUUCUUCUGCAUUAAAUAUUAGCUGAGUGUAUGUUUGUUAGCUGCCAUUUUCUGCUCAAUGAAGAAUUUCUGAUAUUUUGCUUUUGGUGUUUUCUUUUUUAGAUGUCACAAACAAAAGAAGUGAGGUUAGUUUUUCUUUUCAGUGCAAUUUAUGUUAGUUCUAAAUCUCACUGCUACCAUAUGAUUAACUAAAUAUGUUUUCUCCUUCUUCUUCUUCUUCUUUCUUUUUUUUUUUUUUACAAGGUAUACCUCUCAAUCUAUAACACCUCCUCCGAGGGGGCGCAGUAGAUCAAGGUCGUCAUCAAGGUCAAGAGGCAGGAGUCGUUCUAGGCAUGUGGACUUGUUUUGAUGUUUAUUCGUCCCAAAUAUAUGCGAAAUUAAUAUCAGUCAUUCGCUUCAAUCUUAAACUGAUUUAUGCAAGGUUCUGUCAAGGUCUGUUGGCUCACUACCAAUUUUAGUUUUUCUGGUGAUAAUGGGAGUUGCUCUUGUGCUACAGGAGCCAGGAUUCAAGAAACCCCGGUAACAACUUGUAUGUCACAGGAUUGUCCACACGAGUUACUAGCAGUGAUCUUGAGAAGUAUUUUAGCAAAGAAGGGAGGGUAUGGAAUUCUAGUUUGUAUUGUUAUUAUGUAAUUCCUGGAAUUGGUAAUUACUUUUGCGGGUAGAUUCUGUUUUAAGGCUUUGGUAGUGUUGUCUUACUAUAGUAAUCAGGAGUGUGCUGUGUGCAGCUGUUAAUAUCAUCUGGUGCUGCUCAAUGUUUUAAUAAAUUGAAAGUCUUUGGAGUAUUCCAACUUUGUAGAAGUUUAGUUUCUAUUUACCAAUCUGCUGUGAACUAAUUCUUUAAAAUAACUCAUCUAUUUUUAAUGUUUUAAUAUUGUAACAUGAAAUAAUUCUUUUUCUUUGGAGUCCUACUACUAGUGUGUUUUAUAUAUUUAAAUAUUAAUAUUUUAUUUUAAAUUUCAUAAUAUUUAAUAUUUUUAAAUUUAUUUUAAUUUUAAAUUUUAAUUUCAAAUUCACUUUAAAUUAAAAAAAAAAAAAAAAAAAAAAAAAAAAAAAAAAAAAAAAAAAAAUAUUUUAUUUAUAUUUUUUAAUAUUAAAAUUUUAUAUUUUAAUUUCCAUAAUUAUUUAUAAUUGAAAAUUUUAAAUUUUCAUAUUUUAUUUAAAUUAAAUUUUUUUUAAAUUAAAUACAAAUUUUUAAAAUUUUUACAAUUUUAAUUUAAAAAAUUUAAUUUAAUUUUAAUUUAGAUUUAAAUAUUUUAAAUAAAAUUAAAAAAAAUUAAUUUAAUGCAUACAUCAAAAAAAUUUUGCCAAACAGUUUUCAAAACACUUUAAAAAAUUCACUUUUACCUAAAAUUCAGCCAAAACGCUCUACAGUUUUUUUAACCAAAAUCACUUCCCAAACAAAAUACUUUUUUAGAAUCACUGGAAUAGCAAUUCCUGCUUUAUGCUGGAACCAAAUGAAGCGAAAACUGUAUCAUACUCAAUCCAAUAAAUCUUCAUAUUUCUAUCAGAUGACGGUUAAUAUUGCAAUUCUUUUCAAAAGUCCAUCACUAGUAUUUUUGAUGAUAGUAAAUAUUAGUACAAGUUUUAAAAUUUAAAUGGAGAUUUAUAAAAUUUGGAAAUAAAAUUUUUGAAUCCAAUAUUUUAAACAAACUUUUAGUUGAUAAUAUUGGCCGAGCAUUACUUGUAGCUGAUUGAAACUGUUGAAUUUUAAGUAUUUAUUAUUAUUAAAAAUUAAAUUGAAAUAUGAAUUAUAUGAUAAAAUAAAAAAAAUGAAAUAUGCUUUGUACUUCUUAAUAUAAUCUAACAAUAUAUAAAUUGACAGAACAAUGAAGCCACAUGGCGGAGGGGUAAGUCUAUCCACAUGCACGUUUUAAGAAAGUGGGGUCACAAAAAAAAUUGUUACAGCUUAAACCCCUUCCCUCUUUCUCCUCUCUCUCUUCUCUUACACCCGCUCUGAAACCAUCUCUCUCCCCUUUCUCUCUCUACCCUAAACUCUCUCUCUCUAUCUCUUGCCAGUUGUCUCCCCACACUUUUUCUAACCUCCCUACUCUCCCUCUCUCUCUCCUUAUCCCUCCUUCAUUUUCUCUCCUCUCCUUAUCCCAUUUCUUCUAUUUCUGCUCUCUCUAUCGUCUCUCUCUCGUCCGUAGCGACGGCGGUGGCAGCUUAGGCAGCGACAGCAGUGGGUGGCUUAGGCGACGACGCAGUGGCGGUGGCGGCGUAGGCGACGGUGACGCAGGCAGCUGUCACCCCCGGUGUACCAGCGGAACAUAUCCGGCACGCCGUACAACCCGCCAUACACCUGCAGUAUAUAAGCGUCCACGCAAAAAGCCAAAAGGUCGAUAGGAAGCAAACAAAGAAAGUCCUAUCCUGAUAUCAGAGCCAAUGUACAAUAGUCCAUAAUACUAAUCAGUAAAAUGACACAAGGAAAAUACAUCAAAAUCUCGACAGAAGAGAAAGUAUUCACAAACUGUAGUUCCAGUCCAAAGUAGUACAUAUACACUCACGAGAUGACAAAAAUAAGGAUAGGUACAAUGGUGGUCUCUAAUACAAAAGGACUCACCCUCGGCUCCGUAGCCCGAGUAGCAAGGUGAUCGACUAGCAUGCUCCUAGCCAUGUAUAGCUAGACGCGACUCCUUUGCCACGAAUCACUAAGCCCUUUCCUGUAGAUGGCUCUGUAAAAACAACACCAACAAGGGCGUGAGACUAUGUAAAAUGUCCCAGUUGGUAAGCCGCCAGUCUCGGCGAAUUACACACUACUCAAUGAUGUACUGAAAGUAAGUAAAGCGAUAAAUGCAUGGAUAUGAAAUAUGCAGUGCUAACCGGGUAACAGGCAUGUAUUCAAAUUGUACAAAUGAUUUCUGCAGUAAGGGAUCAAUGAAUACAUAAAGGUAAUCGCACUGACUAUAAACAUGAACAUAAACAUAACUCAAUAGGUGUAGCUUUAAUGGUACCUACAACUGAUACUCAUUCCAUUACUAUCUCUAUCAUGUUCCCUUUCAUUUUCAUUCACUAGGGGGAAAAACUCUACUCAGAGGUAGUUCCAGCUUGCGCCGCGCCUAAGACCCGUGGUAGUUAUACACUCCCCACGGCAACCCUUCGCACCCAAUCCGCGCACGGCGGCAACUGUCGGCGUAGGCCAACUCCGGAGUACCGCUUGAGGGAGCUACCCUCACAAGCGGUGUGCGAAUGACCGAUUAAGCAAGCAAGCAAAGUCCAUUAUCCCACAAUGUCUCAAUUUUCAUAUUUUCAUUGUAAAAAGGUUCUUCCCUCGAUCCUCUGAUCGGAAGUCAAUAACAAUAGUAAACAAGAGCUAGUAUCCACUAGAUUGUAAUCAUGUAGGUGUAGCUAAAUCACCAUGGCAAAAUAAUCUUUCACUAGUAUGGCACAUCACUAGUCAUGAGCAUGUCAUACGUUCUCUACGUUAGAGUCCAAGAGAAUGUCAUUGUCUCUCUACUUUAAAGGCCUGCAUCCUACACUUAUUCAUAACGUCCAUUCAACUGUAUUCGAAAUGAAUAAAAUAUUCAGUAUAAAUGUUUCUCUACUAUUAAUAGAGAUUCAACCUUCAAGCUGUCAGCCCCGAGACCGGCGGAGGCCCUCCCGUAGCGGCCCAGCCCGCCUAUGUCUACACAUAUAAGCGCGCACAAUAAAAGCGAGUAAAAGGCAAGAGAUAACAAAUAUAAGAAUAAUAACUAGCAAAUAGCAGAUCAUCAGAGCAAGUCUAAAGUUCCUAUCAUCUACACCAAAGUAAAGGGAAUAAAGCUUAGGCAAAAAAUAACCAUAAGUAUACAAUAACUGUCUCAGUACAAAAAUGGUGUCUCUAUAAUAUACGUAUAACUCUCAACCCCACAAAAGAAAAACCGAGAGGUAGACACCCUACUCGAACGAAUCCCUCGGUAACGCGCGCUAGCCGAGGCGAUAUGUAGUAUAUAGUUCCCUACAACUUAGUAUAUAUAUAUACAGUUGUGUUGUGAGGGUACGUGUGUGUGUGGUGUGGUGUGUGAGUGCACAGUGUGAGUAUGUGUAACUGCCAUGUGGGCAAUCACCUCCCCCCUCUUUUAGCAUCCAGGGAAGAAAGAGGAGUUUUCUUCCUCUCUUCUCUCCUUUUCUCUUUCGUUCGGCCGUACCAAGGAACGCACGCGCAGGGACGCCGCCAACCGGAGCCGAUUCGCCGUCGCCGUCGCACGCGAGCCGUUCGAACCUACGGUUUGCUGCCGUUGCAUCGUGAGGAGGCGGGCGAGCGUCGGAUCUUCGCCGUUCUUGAACGUCGCGCCAGUUGCUAGUCGCCGUCGAGGUGGGUGUUUCCAUAGAUUGCUCCUAAUUUCCAGCUUUUUCAAUUUUUCGAAGCUAGUUCUGUCCUGCAGAUUUCCAGCGUCGACCGUUGGCGGUUUCGGCUCCGUGACUCGACCGUAGGAGCGUCGAUUUCGACGAAGGCUUGAUUCGCUGAUUCAGGCUGUCGAGGGAAUCCCACGAAGCCCUUACUUGCAGAUUUCGUUGAGGUUAGAUUGUACGAUCCGUGCUUGUACCUGACUGUUGCAAUCUUGGGACGAAAACGGUGAUUUGUGCUUUGUAGCGCGUGGUGUUACUCGACUCCGGAUUUGGAGGGUGUAGAUCGGUACAGCAGGAUAGUGCUGGCAGCAUGUGAGGUCGUACCGCGCCCAGGGGAUUAGGCAAUUUUAGGGGUUACAUCGGUUUUACUCUAAAGUAUUAUUAGGUCAACAUGUAUAAAUCCGUGAUUUCUACAAAGUUUAGUUCAAAUUCAUGGAUUCAUUAUUAGAAUGAAAAAAUCGAAUUUGGACAUAUUUUUAUUAAAGUUUAGAUUAUACAUGUUGGACUUGGAAUUGAAUUAGGGAAAACUUGGAUUUGGACUUGUCACAAGUUUCAACUACCUGAUUUAGCUCUAGGAGCCUCAGGACAAUGUACGUCUCAGUUUCCUUUCGAGCGAGUAUCCAGGUAAGUUAGAAUGUAUUUACACUCGUCCUGGUUCGCCGAGUGAUUUUUACAGGGUCGUUCAGGUUGUUCCGGACUGUUGGGUGCGUCAGAGGUUGACGGUGGACCCGUAUCGCUUUUUUGGCGUCAGACUGGCCGAGGGCACGUUACUGUUGUGUUAGGCCAGUUUGAGUCGAUUACUGACUUGGAUAGCUUCUGGAGCCUGAGCUAGCUCGACAGGGUACGCUGCAUACUCGGUUGGGUAGCGCCCACGAGUGCCACUCCGGAUCGAAGGCUUGUGCUUUUUGCGUUGGUGUCCGCCUCAUGCCAGUUGGACUUGCUCUCCACAGACCAGCUAGUGUGGAUAGGAGGCCUGAUAGUCGCAACGGGGCAGGGAACGGGUGAGUUCACAGUCCCAGGGACGGGUAUGUUUACAUCCAAUUGGAUGGGUCGAUUUGACAUUCCUACAGUCGGUUAAUGGUAGAGCAUUGAUAGUGUAGUGGAUGAUAGCGAUAGAGUGUACUUCCUGCUUUUUCCUUCUAUACUGCUCCCCUUCUGUAGAUCUAGUGGGUGCCCGAUGUCGUUUGCGGCUACCCCACUGAGGACUACUUGUUUUUUACAGUAGUUCUCCACGCCAGUUGUUUUACCUAUGUUUUGCAGAGCCAACAAGGUUUCGGCUACUGCCUUCCCGCGGGAUCAGGAUCGAGGGCAAGGGCGUCGCGAGUGAGCCCUACCCGACUGACAGAGCUGAGAGACCCCCCUACUUGCAGGUAGUUUGCUAUUAGAGUUUAUGUAAAUAGUUGUUUUAACCGCCGGUGCGAAGUAGCUUGUAUUUGGGAUUUGGAUUAAUGUAUAUGAAACUCAUUGUUUAGCUUUGGUAUAUCUGAGCAGCUCUAUGCUACUGUUUGUAGUAUUGUAUAUUUCAGGUACUUGUUGACGCUUCGUAUACAGGGAAAUUCCUUGUAUACGGCGAUUUGUCGGCGUGCCCGGGGGGAACGAGGAACAUCCGGGCGUGACACGAUACCCUUUCCGCGAUCCCUGGCUCACCCUGGUGGAAGGCUCUGAAAACAUCGAGAAAGGAGGGCGUGAGAACUAUAAAUUUAUAGUUCCCCCGUGGCAUUAACUGACCUCAGCUCGUUGCUCCACUAGGCCAAAAAAUAGAGAAAGCAACGACAUACUAGUAUAAGCAAUAAGAGCAUGGUAAAUAACUGCUAAAGAGAGCAUAAAUGAAGUGCUAGUCUACUGUGUCUCAAGUAGCAUGAAUGUCAACCCAAAAAAUGUACAUCCUAUUUUGUCAUUACAAUUAAGUUUUCCAGUGGCACUAGUUUAAUGUUGUUAACCUUUGUCAAUACAUGAUGUAGAGAUUCUAUCAUGGCAACCAGUAUACUACAUGUCUCAACCCUAUGCUUAGCAGUGUAAAUGUACUCCCAACUACUAAGCCUAUCUAGUAGUGAGUGUCAUGUCUCAACCGUGUCCGAUUUUCAUUUCCAAUUAGGGGCCUAUCCAAGGUGUCCAGUUGUGCGCCUAAGUGCCUGUGGUAGCCGACAUUACUACUCAUGGAUGUUCUGUCCCCCAACCCUCGCCCGUAGGCUUCUCGAUACCGCACGAGCAACAGUAGUGCGUAGGCUAACUCCGGAGUGCCGCUUGUAGGGAGUGACCCUCAACAAGCAUGUGCGAAUAGCACAAUGCAUAACAGCCGUAGUCCAAGUCCUCAAGUACCCAAUCCUCAUGUCCCUCUAACAUGGUAUAGUUAUAAGCUCCCAAAGAUUAGUUAAGUCACAUGUGAAGUUUCAUAUUCUCUAGGUCUAGUGGCCCCUUUUGACACGUUAGACAUUUGAUGUCAACAUGUUUAACAAAUCCCUCAAGUGGCCUAUCCUCUAGGUUCCCAUUCCUGAUCCCUCAAUGCCGCUCGAUGACAUUAGCUCUCAUUUCAAACAUACCUACUAAUGGCAAUUUUAUCACUUUAUGACACAAGUAAAUGGCUUAAAUGCAUGAAUCGAAUCAUUUACACUAUAAGUAAGCAGAACCAGUCUCAUGAAGAAUGCGAAAUGCAACUAUAGAUCCUCAAGCAACUCUCUAUUACUAGAGGUCCAAAAUUUCAUCAUACAUAACAUAUGCAUUUUAAAGGCUUUCUAAAAUACAAUAAAUACAUUAGUAUAGAUUAUGCAUGCUUUUCCUUUUACGGAAAUAUAAAACCAUAUAUGAGAAUUUNNNNNNNNNNNNNNNNNNNNNNNNNNNNNNNNNNNNNNNNNNNNNNNNNNNNNNNNNNNNNNNNNNNNNNNNNNNNNNNNNNNNNNNNNNNNNNNNNNNNUCGCAGGGAGCGGCGGGAUCUGCAGGAGCGUCGCAUACUGAGCUUGGAGAAAAGGGAAGGGGAAGAGACCCGCGGCCUUGAGGUGCGACGUCAGAGCGCACUCACUGUUUUUUGGAGGCCCCGAGGCAUCCCAGGAGCAGGAGCCAGUCGCGCGAGGACGCGGCCGAGUCUACUCAGGCGAGGAAGGACGCCGAUCGUCGUCAGGCUUCCCCGCUGCGUGAUCUGUGGCGCCUUCGAUUACCCGCGCAGUGUUUCACGCCAGCCGGUGGCAGGUCCUUUCCUUGUGGUGCCAAGGAGGGCCAGCUUCCAGUCGGAGCCGGAGGAGGUCCAUUGCCAGCGCCAUCUGCGGCAUCGGCACAGGCAUCACCAUGUCCGGCAGCGCAGGGGACCGCAUCUUCUGCUGCAUCACCAGGGCCAGGGCGGCCGCCAGUUCUGCGACAGACGGAGGUUUCAUGACAGGCCCGAGCGGGCGCAUGUACGCGGCGCCAGACUGGAUGAGGCGGCGGCAGGCUCCGAGGAAUGUGGUGGCAGGGUAUCAGUUCACUUUGAUCGAGUAUUCGAGCUAGAGCUUGUUGAUACCGGUGCAUCGCAUUUCAUGUUCAGUUGAUCGGCUGUUUGCCGAUCCUGGUUCAUGGCGUCCACUUGUAUCGCCUGUUGCAUCCGCGGCCAGUUUGUGUACGCCGAUUUAAUCUUUGACAUUUCGGGAGUUGGGGCAGUCCCUGUUCGAGUUGGGAGAUUGGAUCGCUGCCCGUGGAGGCUCGCUAGCCUGCAUGAAAGCUCGGGAGUUUGAGGGUGGGGAGUUGGCAUGAUUGGGUGACUGAAGUACUCUUGGCCACCAUCGAUUGUAAGAAUCGAACGGUGAGCACAUUUAGAAGAGCCGGGGCAGGCGGAGUGUGGUGUGACUGAGAUCCAGGGGAGUUCGUAUUUGCGAUGACGAUUACUCUGGUCGUGCGGGAGCUCGGAUUGAUUAGUAGAGCUGCGUAGCCGUACUUUGGCUAGGGGCUGUUAUGCUGCGGGCGAAUGGUGAACGCCCUAGAUUGGAGGGAUUUCCCGUUAAGUUACGGGAGUUUGGAGAUGUGUUUCCAGCGGAGCUACCCGGCAUGCCUCCUGAUAGGAGAUUGAGUUGUGUAGAUCUCGUCUCCGGGGACUACCCCAAUCUCAAAGCGCCUACUAGGAUGGCACCAGCAUAGUUGAAGGAGCGAAGGCACAGUUGCCAGGAUCUGCUGGACAAGGUUUCUGAGACCGAGGUGUCACCUUGGGGGAGCCCGGUUUUUGUUUUGUGAAGAAGAAGGAUGCAUCACUUCGCUUAUGCGUGAGCUAUCGUGAAAACUUAAUAAAGUCACGGAUUUAAGAAACAAGUAAGUUCCAUUGCGAGGAUUGAUGAUCUAUUUGACUCAGCUCUGAGGAUCUUGUAUAUAUUCCAAAUUGACUUGCAUCGGGAUAUCACCGAGGUGAGAUUCAGACCUGAGGAGCGUGUCGAAGAGGCUUUUAGAACACGGUAUGGACAUUCAUGAGUUUACCGUUAUGCCGUUUGGGCCUUACUGAUGCACCGGCAGCUUUUGAGUGGAUCUAAGAACCGGUUUUUCAAGCCCUUUACCUGGAUAAGAUUUUGCCGCUGGGUGUUCAUCGAAGCGACGAUCUUAAGUGAUUCCCGAAGUGAUUGCGGAUCGACGAGAAAUACACUUGAAGACUUGUACUUCAAGUGCUUCGGGAAAGAGAAGCUCUAGCCAAGUUGAAAAAGUGGUGAAAUUGUUGGCUUAGAAGGGGCGUUUUUGGCCAUGUGUUCGGAAUGCAGGUCAUAGCCGUGGACGCGAGGAAAAUUGAAGCUAUGCAAGGAUUGGGGCCGAGGCCACGAGCGUGACCGAGAUACGGAGGCUCAUUGUUUGGUCCGGCUACACCGACGGUUUGUCGAAGGAUUGCGAUAGUUAUCUACUCCCCUCACGAGACUCACGCAUAAGGGCACCAAGUUUAUUUGGAAUGAUGCGUGUGAAAGGAGCUUUCAAGAGUUGAAGCAGCGAUUGACGACUACCCCGAUCCUUACCUUGCCGACUGCUGGAGCAGGGUAUGUGAUUUACAGUGAUGCUUCCUUUAACGGAUUGGGCUGUGUCUUAAUGCAGGACGGGAAAGUGAUCGCGUACGCAUCUCGCCAAUUGAAGGACUAUGAAAAGAAUUACCCCACUCACGACUUGGAGUUGGCGGCCGUAGUCUUUGCAUUGAAGCUAUGGCGCCACUACUUAUAUGGCGAACGGUGCGAAGUAUAUACGGACCACAAGAGCUUAAAGUAUCUAUUCACUCAGAAGGAGUUGAACUUGAGGCAGCGCAGAUGGUUGGAGCUACUCAAGGAUUAUGAUUUGACAAUAUUGUACCACCCGGGCAAGGCUAACGUGGUGGCGGAUGCACUAAGUCGGAAAUCGACGGAAAAUUUAGCAAUGCUUGUGAUUACUCAACCGCCGUUGAUUGAGCAGAUGAAGCGGUUGGAGUUGGAGGUGGUGGCUCCUGAUACACCUUUGAGACUGAUGGCUUUGGUGGUGCAACCUACACUUUUGGAAAGGAUUAAAGAAAAGCAAGCUUCUGAUGUGGAGUUGCAAAAGAUUGAAGGUAAAAUGGUUGAUGGUUGCACCGGUGACUUCACCUUAGACGGUGAUGGAUUGAUGCGUUUCCGCGGACGACUUUGUGUACCGGCGGACUUGGGCAUUAAAGAAGACAUUCUUCAAGAAGCACACCGAGCACCGUAUGCUAUACACCCGGGAGGCACCAAGAUGUACAAGGAUUUGAAGUUACUUUACUGGUGGCCCGGGAUGAAAAUGGAUGUUGGUGAGUUUGUUGCCAGAUGCCUAACUUGCCAACAAGUGAAGGCUGAGCACCGAGUUCCUGCGGGGAAAUUGCAGAGCCUACCGAUUCCAGUGUGGAAGUGGGAAAAGAUCACCAUGGACUUCGUGAUGGGAUUGCCUCGCUCACAGGCCGGGCAUGACGCUAUUUGGGUGAUUGUGGAUAGGUUGACGAAAUCGGCACAUUUCAUACCUAUCCACACUACUUGAACUGGUGAGAGACUCGCACAGAUUUAUUUGGAUGAGAUUGUGCGAUUGCACGGGGUACCUACUUCUAUCGUUUCAGAUCGAGACCCCCGUUUUGUAUCCCAUUUUUGGAGGAGCUUACAGGAUGCUUUAGGUACGCGUUUAGAUUUCAGCACUGCUUUCCACCCCCAGAGUGACGGGCAGUCUGAGCGUACUAUACAGACUCUCGAGGACAUGCUUCGAGCCUGCGUGAUCGACUUCCAGGGAGGAUGGUCGCAGCAUCUACCGAUGGCAGAGUUUGCUUAUAACAACAGUUAUCAAGCAAGCAUUAAGAUGGCACCAUUCGAGGCACUCUAUGGACGGAAGUGUAGAUCGCCACUUCAUUGGAGUGAAGUUGGUGAGAGAAUGGCUUUAGGCCCAGAUGUGCUCCAGGAAGCAGAGGACAAGGUUCGCAUUGCUCGGGAGCGAUUGUUGACGGCCCAGAGUAGGCAGAGGAGUUAUGCUGAUCGGCGUCGACGAGACUUGGAGUUUCAGAUUGGAGACCAUGUGUUCUUGAAAGUCUCGCCGACCAAAGGAAUUAGAAGAUUUGGAAUCCGGGGUAAGUUGAGCCCCCGAUACAUUAGACCAUAUGAGAUUUUGGAGCGUGUAGGCCCGGUGGCGUAUAGACUUGCUCUACCGCCAAACCUAUCGGAUGUACACAAUGUAUUCUAUGUAUCGGUCCUUCGGAAGUACAUCCACGACCCGGCUCAAUGUGUUGGAUGUUGCACCUAUGGAGCUGACGGAGAGGGAUUUGAGCUCUUUGAGGAGCAACCCUUUAGGAUUUGCUCGCCGCGAGGUAAAAAGAUUACGGAACCGAGAAAUCCCUUACCUGUGAAAGUACUUUGAGCAACCACGACGAGCGCGCGAGGGCCACUGGGAUGGUUACGAGAGCGCACUGCGGGAGGCGCUGUUCCCCAUCUUUUCCAGAUGGGGCUUGAGGUUUUGUUGCCUUUGGAGUUCGGCGAGACGAAACUGCCUUUUUAGGGGGCGGUGAAUUGACGCACUGGAUUUGCAAAUUGACGGGGUUCGUAGUGUUGGACAGUGUUCCGAGUCUUUCCACUUUUCUUGGUGGGUGUUGACGUGUUCCGACCUAUGGCUCGUAUUCCGAGACAUUGAGUAGUUUUAUGUAGCGCUAAGGUCCUAAAAGUUGGGACUGUACUCUUCGAUUGCUAUCUAGCACAGAGGUUACCGGUAACACUCUGGGAUGCCGUACCGGUACACACUUUGUACCCGGUACACGCUUGGAUGGUUGUACCGGUACAUUCGUGGCAAAAUUGCGAAACCCGAGGCUCGGGUUUGCAUUUUCGUAGAAUGUGUACCGGUACACGUUUUCCCGUGUACCCGGUACACUUUGGCAGAACUCUGAGGCAGUUGAACAUCAGGGGUUUUCGCAAUUGUGGCAUCUCUAUUAGUACCCCCACGCCCUAGGGGUUCUCCCUGAGCUUGGCACCAGCAAGGAGGGAAGGCUAAGGAGCUCUCCACACCCCUCAUUCCCUUUCUUUGAUUUUGCUUGGACUUUUAGAGUUUAAACACCUCUUUUUGCUCCUUUUUGGGGUAUUGGAGGCUUUUCCACCAUUAGAGCUUGACUUGGAGCUAGGUGGAGGUUUGAUCUGUUGGAAUUCAAAGGGUUUAGAACCUUGAUUGAAGCUUCUAAGAGGUUAGUAACCCCUUCUCUCCCUCUAGAUUUUUGGUUUUUGAAGCUUAUUUACUAAGAUGAAACCCUAGUUUUGGGACUUAGGGUUUAUUUUGGGGCUUUUUGAUCUAGGCUUUUGAGGCUAGAUUAGUGGUUUAGAACCUUCCUUGGGCUUGGAUUGGAAGGGUUCUAGCUCUCUUUUGGAGCUUUGGAAGAGAUUUCUACUCUUGAGGUAAGUUUUGGCCCUUUUUGCUCCUAGGUUAAUGUUGGAUAGUGUAAGAUGGUCGUAAUGCUCUCGUAUCUCUUCGCUGAUCACUUUUAGGAUAUCUUGAGGCUCGUGGACAACUUUGUUCGGCGAAUCGAGACCCUACGCGACGGUUCGGUGGGUUUGACCUAGCCUACAUAUGAGAAAUUCUCAUAUAUGGUUAUUUAUGUUCCGUAAAUUGAAAAAGCAUGCAUGUUCAUAUCAAAUGUAUUUAUUAUGAUUUUUAGAAUGCUUAAAAUGCAUAUAUUAUAUAUGAUGAAAUUUUGGACCUCUAUGUAGUAGAGAGUUGCUAGGGAGAUCUUUGGUUGCAUUUAGCAUUCUCUAUGAGACUUGGUUUCAUGCUUCUAUAGUAUAAAUGAGUUCGGAUUCAUGCAUGUAGACUUGAGGUUACUUGUGACAUGAAAGAUGACAAGAUUGCCAUUUAGAAGGUAAGUGAACUAGAGAGCUAAUGUCAUAAAGCGGCAUUGAGCUCGGGACAUGUGAGAACCUAGUGGAUAGGGCCAUUAAGGGAUUUGGAAUACAUAUUGAACAUCAAAUUGCCUAAGUGUCAUCAAAGGGCACUAGGCGUGGCAAAUGUUGAAACUUCACAUUGUGACUUAAACUAGAUCUUCGGGAUGCUAGUGACCAUACCAUGUUAGAGACAUGCGGAUUGGAUUUUUGAGACUUGGACUUUGCUUGCUUGCCAUUUGUGCUCAUUCGCACAUGCUUGUGAGGGUCGCUCCCUACAAGCCGGCACUCCGGAGUUGGCCUACGCGACUUAUGUUCGCUCGUGCGGUAUUGAGAAGCCUACGGGGUCGAGUGGGAUAGACACAUUCCAAGAGUAGGAAUGUUGGGCUACCACAGGCACUUAGGCUGCACAAGCUGGACUACCCUUGGUAGGUCCUUAAUUGGAAAUGGAAAUCGAUAUGGUGUUGAAUAUGAACUAUCACUACUAGAUAGGAAUAGUAGUUGGAUUACUUGGACACGCUUAUGAUAUAGCAUUGGUACAUUUAGUAUACUUGCCGGUUCCAUUAUUGCAUCGUAGUAUACUAGGUUGUUUGGAUAGAGUUUACCCUUAUACAUUGACAUAUGGCAUCGUGAGGGUUACUUGUUUAUUAUGUUGAGACAUGUUGGUAUGCUUCGGAUAUAUUGCCUUAUGAUAGCGUAGAUGUACAUUACCAUGACAUCGUUUAUUCUUGAGUUUAACAAUUUAGCAUUUUAAUUAUGCCUUUAUAUCGCAGUCAUUAUUGUUAUUAUAAUUGUACUUACCCCUUUUCUUUUGGGGCCUAGUGAUGCAUUGAGCUGUGGUCAGUAAUUGCCCACUGGGAACUAUAAAUUAUAGUUCUCACGCCCUCUUUUUCUCGAUGUUUUUCAGAGCCUUCCACUCAGGGUGAGGCCAGGGACCGCGGGAAGGGAGUUGCUUCGAGCUAGCUUCCUUCGAGGACGAUUCGCUAGGUGGUCUACCUCUCGCUGUGUUUUAUUUUGGAGAGGUUGAGAGUUCUACCAGUGUACUAGUGACCACCAUUUUUGUAUUAGAGGCUGAUACUGUAUAACUUGUGUUUACUUUCAUGUAUUAGUUAUGUUCUAUUACUAUUAGUAUAGAUGCUAGAACUUUACUCGCUCUGAUAUCAUUAGUUGCUUGUUAUUUCACUCCUUUUAUUGGUUCCAUCUCUUGCUUUUACUUCCGCUUUUCUUGUAGACGCCUUAUAUGUGUAGACAUAUGGCGGGUUUGGGCACGCUACCGGGAGGGCCUCCGCCGGUCCCAGGGCGUGACAGUCCUCUCCAUCAAAGGUAAGCGGAUCAAAUUUCUUGACAGCCAUGAGGGCCACCAAAGCUCAUUCCCUUUCCGCCACUACCUCUGGACCAAUAGAAGUCGAGUCGCCCUACCCCGAUGGAAACAUCUCCGCCGCAACUCCCAGCCGUACUCGACGGGCCGCAGCCGGUGCAGCCACCAGCUGAUCCACGGCUUCUUGGAGUCGUUUCAUUCGCUCCUCCUGGCGCAUAACAACCUCCUACUGCCACUGCACCAAGUCAGCUUGUUGCCUCAUCACUCCAACGAGUGUGGCCAACUGAUCACGAAGCUCCAAGUCUCCGCUCACGUCGGUUUGCUCAGAGGCACUACUUGUCCCCUCCCGCGCCGAUCUGAACGAAGAUCGCUUGCGCGGUACCAUCGUUCCCUGAAACAGGACAACUUGAUUAGUUCUCGACCCUCUGGGUCGAACACGAGACCACUAACACCGACUCAAAGUUUAUCUGGCGAAAGUCACGCAAGGGCGUCUAUUCUCGUCACUUGGUUUCAUGUUGUCGCGCGUCAACAUGAACACCCUCGGUCGAGAAUGAACGACACCUCGAGUCUACCUCUAAUAUCCGUCUUAGAGUCUCCGACACAACCCAAUCCAUCAACUUUUCGCCGCAAGUAUCAAGCCCUCGUCUCUCAAGAGCCUUAUUCUUCUAUGGUUUACUGUCCUAGGUCUCCUAGGUCCAUCUAAACUAUUUUUCCAUUCUCUACUUUAUGCUCUUAUACCAACUUAUCUGUCACGACCAGCGACCGCCCGCCUAUUUGGCCGGGUCGCGGCUCCGCCGACAGACCGCCGAACGGACAGAGUUUCCCUUGUACGUCCUAGGCGUCGCAAUCUGUACAAUACGAAGGUUCCUCCCAGGAACCGAUAUCAAUCAAGAUUGCAUAAAAAAGUAUCAGACAUAAAACUACUUGCUAUUACAAGCAUUCAUUUCAUACACGUUACACCACAUUUCAUUUUCUUUUACAUUAGACUUCCAAAUACAAUCUAAAUUAUUACAUCACUUUACAAGUUUGAUACAUUUUGUUUCAUCGUUCUCUAGUCCCCUAAGUUAGACUGUCUCAGGGUACUGCUACCUCGGUCUCUGGGUAUGGCACUAUUUACGGAGCUACGCCCUUGCCUCGCACCGCCGCGCCGCUCACGUGCGAACCUGAAACACCCCAAAACAACGUGGGGUGAGAACCAACUCCAUGGUUCCCAGUAGGUACGGCCACCCAUGGGAAAAGAUCGACCAAUAGGUCCGAGGAGGCACUGCAACAUGUUAGUUCAACAAUAUACAAAUAUAUAUAUUCAAAUUGAAAUUACAUGCCAUGCCUCACAAUAUGCGAUAUGAAAAUCAUGCAACUAUAGUAGAUCAAUUGAUUCUACAUUUACUUGGCUAAUCUUAGCUCAUAUCAUUCACUCUAAGGUUUCUAUUUCCUUAGGAUCUCGCUCAAGUCUACUGGCUUCUAAGGUCUCUAUUACCUCAGCUCAAGCCUCUAUCACUAGCUUAUAAGGGUUCCACUACCCUAUCGAAGCUAUCCACCCGACUCGGCCUCGAGUCAAUCAUCCGCGGAUAUUCCGCGCACUGGCUGCUCAAUAGCCUACCGCUCUCAGUGAUUUAGCAUCUUAGCGGCGAAAUCGUCGCACACGCUGAACCCGGCUCAAGUCCCUUGACAUAGCCAUUCUGGCGGCAAACACAUUGCAUUUACCCAGCGAGGACUCAAGUCAUGACCUAUCCAUCUGGCGGCGAACUAAUCGCACCUCACCCAACAAUGGUUUCAGUCAUAACUCAGCCACCUGGCGGCACCCGUAUCGUACUUACCCAGCAAUGGGUUCAAUCAAUCCCGGCGGUCUGAUCCACAUUCGGCUUAACCAUCUGGCGGCGAAAUCGUCGCACACACCACGACAAUGGUUCAAGCCUCGGGCGGUGAUCUCCAUGUGAUCGCCCCCAAUCCUCCCUCGAUAUCAACCUCGGCGGCAAAAUCGUCGCACACGCCCUAGCCUUGAUACCAAGGUCCUCACAAGUCUUGGGAUUCCGGAAUCCACUUCCACAGGUCGAGGGUCCAUAACCAACCCUAUACUGUCGACCUAGCACAUCCUAGUGGCUAAUACCACUAUACUUAACAACCUAGGUUCAAUACCACUCUAGAUUCUAAGUCUCAGUCACGUAACCUAGGUAAAACCGCUAGGUUCUAUAUCAUCUCUACCUAGAUGUCACUUCUAGGUUCACUUGUUCGACCUAUGUUUACUAACACUAGGUUCGAUGCCACACACCUAGGCUUGUUUGACUCUAGGUUCACUUGUUUAACCUAUGUUCUUUAACACUAGGUUAGGUGCCACUCGAUUUACCUGACAUCCUAGUUGUCCAAUCGAGUACCAUAAAGUUCUCAUGUCAAUCAACUCUACUCAUUCUAGAGUUAUCAUCUAGUUCACAUGCAUAUCUACCUAGCAUAUUCUCACAAUGCUAAUCAUGCAUUCUAUGAUCUAUCUAGCAUUAUUUACAUAUCAAGCUCAUCAUGCAACCUUGCAUACCUAUGUCAUUUCAUCAACAUGCAUCAAUAUGAAAUUACAUUACUUAGACAUACAGGCGACCUAGUCGCUUCGGUAAACAUAGCCCACCUUAGCUUGCUUUUCGAUUGCUCGUCGACACUUGCAAUCGGCCUCCCACGGUGCUCGACACCCGAUUAGGCCCGAUCUCGCAGUUGCGCUCCAACCGCGCGCCGCUUUACAGUUCCGAGAAUUAAAGGUCUUCGCUUUGUUGUUACGGUGCUCGGGACCCAAUCUCGCGAUUUAUGGACGUCACUUUGGCUUUCCAGGCGAUAACGAAGCUCUGGACGUUCGUUUCUUCGAUAUCCUCGCGUGGGCUCGACGAAUCGCCGAACCGACCUCGCCAACGCAUUUCAUUACCUAUCAAUUAAGUUUACAGAGGGUCAAAUGAGAUCAAACCCUCACAAAUACCAAAGCCCCAUUUUGGGUGCCCUAGAUGCUACUAUAGCCAAGUCCACCAAAUCGAUUCAUGAUUUGGGCGCAAUCCAUCUUGAUAGCAUGCUAGGGUUCCAAAUAAUCCAUUUUUAGAGAUCAAAAACCCAUCUCUAAAGAUCUACCAUGAGAGAGCUUAGAAGCUUACCUCUCCAAAGAGCUCCAAUGGUGAGGAGAGGAAGAGAAGAAGAUGGAGAUGAUCUCCUCCAAGCUCUACUCCUUCUCCUUCUUCUCCUUCCUUUCUCUUUCUCUUCUUUUUCUCUUUUCUCUCUUCUUUCCCUUUUUCCUCUUCUUCCACGAUCAGAGAGAGAGAGGGAGCAGUGAGGGAGUUAGGGGAUGAGAGAGAGAGAGAGAGGGACCCCUCUCAUAAACCCUUUCAUGGCCAUUUUGCACAUAAACCCCUCAACUUUCCAUCCCUUACACUACCCAUACUGGGCAAAACCCGCGCAGAGGGACCGGUCUCUCCCUACCUGGGACCGGUCCCAGAGGACCUUCCUCCAAUCCACGUGCUCGGAAACCGGUCUCUCCCUGCUAGGGGAUCGGUUGCCUUGUGCUGCCGUGACCCUCAAUCUCCGGGCAACAUCCCUCCCCCCCGGGGACCGGUCCCCGAGAGCAACUCUGCUCAGGCUACGUUCGGGAACCGAUCCCUCCCACCAGGGACCGAUCCCCGAGAGCAGAAACUGCCAAGUGCAGUUUUGCGCUGUUUGCUCUCGCGGGCUCUAUUCCAAGGUAAUUUUUGUGUUUUGGACAACUCUAGCUUCUCUGAAGCCUACCCACUCAACCAUUAGUCGAUUCAGAGCGAAGUACAACUCUCGGCUUUCGAGAAUUCACUUCGUUACAUCCGUGCUACCAAGUUGUUUUUGAUGAUGCGGCUUCCAAAUUGACGAUCGGCUCCGUUAGACUUGAUCUACACUAUUGAAAGUAUUUGGAAACUAAAUUUCAGAUUUUUUCAAUAUCAUUUGACUAGUGAUCAAAAGAUCUCAAAAUUGACAAUUUUAAUGGCCGAUGUGGUGUGUUUGUGACUUUAACGGUGUAAACUAAUCCAAAUGCAAUGAAAAUUUUAUAGAAAAUUCUUUUCACUAUUUAGAGUAAAAUCGUAUAUCUGAUCUUGAAUUUAAAUCUUUUAUCAUCAUUUUUUAUGAGAUUUUUAUUUUCAGCCGUUCAAUUUUAGACUACUAAUAUCGAAAAAUUAUGAAAUUUAGUUUCUUAAUACUUUUAAUAGUGUAGAUCAAGUUUAACGGAGCCGAUCGUCGAUUUGGAAGCCAUAUCACCAAAAACAACUUGGUUGCACGGAGCUUUCUAUGCUAUCGAUAGUAUAGUAGCCUAGUUCUAUAUAUAUAAUCUAUAUAUAUAUAUAUAUAUAUAUAUAUAUAUAUAUAUAGAGUGGGCUGUAGCUUCUAAACACGGAGGCCUCCGUGCUAAUCCACUUGUUUUCGAUGUUCGACUUUUCGAAUCGACAUCGGCUCGUUAGAGUUGUAUCAUAGAGUAAUUAAUAGUUACCAAGAAAUUAAAUUUGCGAUUUUCAUAUCAUUUGCUAGUAUCGCAAGGGCUCAAAAUCAAUUACAUUUUAACGGCCGUCGGUGAGCCUAGGUGCAAGUUAACGGUCGUAGAAAUAUCCAUAAUAAGCGUGAAAAUUUGCAUGAGAAAAUUCUUUAUACGCAUAAAAAACAAUAUCAAUAACUUUUGUAUCUAAUUAAUUUGAAUGUAAAUAUUCAUCAUAUUUUGUGCAGAUUUUAUUUUCAGCGCGUUGAUAUAUUGAGCCACUUCAUCACUAGGCGCAAAUGAUAUGAAAAAUCGCAGAAAUUAUUUCUACAUACUUCAAAUACUUUAGAUCAGAGGUCUAACGGAGCCGAUCGUCGAUUUGAAAGUCCCAACAUCAAACAAAGUUGGAGCACGGAGCGCUCCGUGCUCGAAGCACCCCAGACGCACUCUAUUAUAUAUAUUAAACAUAAUAUAUAUUAUGUACAUAACAAUAUAUAUAUAUAUAUACAUACAUAUAUAUAUAUAUAUACAUACAUAUAUAUAUAUAUAUACAUACAUACAUACAUAUAUAUAUAUAUACAUACAUACAUAUAUAUAUAUCUACAUACAUACAUAUGUAUGUACAUACAUAUGUGUGUAUGUAUGUACAUACAUAUGUAUGUAUGUAGAUAUAUAUAUAUGUAUGUAUGUAUAUAUAUAUGUAUGUAUGUAUGUAUGUAUAUAUAUAUAUAUAUGUAUGUAUAUAUAUAUAUAUAUGUAUGUAUAUAUAUAUAUAUAUAUAUAAAAGCACGUAUUUCAAAUUUGGGUCUGUCGACAGAUCCAUUUUUUAGCGGGAAAAAUAUUGAUUUCUCUUUCCGUACGUAAAAUAAAUAACGUAAUGAAACAAACUUUUCAUUUCUGUUAAUCUCUAAAAUAGAAAAAAAAUAUAUACUUAUCCAAAUUUUUGCCAACCGAAAGAUAUCUACUGUGAAUCUAUAUUUUAAUUAAUAAAUUAUUUAAUUUUUUAUCUCUAAAAUAGAAAAAUAUUAUGCUUAUCCAAAUUUUUGCCAGAAUAUCUACAGUAAAUCUAUAUUUCAAUUCAACAUUUAAAAUUAAUUUAAAAUUUAAAAUUUUGGGACUAUGAAUAUAUUACAAUAAAAAUAAUUUAAAAGAUAGAUUGGUUGAUAAAUUUGUAAAUCAUAUUUUUGAAUUAAUAUGAUGUACAAAUUUAUGAUCAAUUUGUAAAAAAUUAUCUCAAAUAAGAAAGAACGAUUAUGACUAAUUUGUUAAAAAAAAACAUUUAUAUUUAUUUAUAACUUCAAUUCUACGAAUGAGUAUGAUCAAUUGGUUAAAAAUAUUAAAAAUAAAAAUGAGCGGUUAUGAUUAAUCUGUUAAAAAAAGCUCUUCUAUCCAUUCAUUUUACAUUAAAAUUUAAAUUUGAGUUCAAAUCGUGAAUUAAAUUUAAUUUAAAAAAUAUAGAAAAAUAUCCAAUUUAUAUCUAUAUCUAUCCUAUAUAUAAAUUUUAUAAAAUAAAAAAAUAUAUAUAAUUAUUGUUGACAACAACUCUUUAAAUUUGAGUUAGAAUAUAUAUAACAUGUAUUCUCUAAUAGUACGUAAUAAAUAAAUUUAUUUUUAAAAAAUAUUAUAAAUUUUUGAAUAAAUAUGAUGUACAAUUUCAUAUUAAUUUAAAAUAAUUAUUAAAUAAUUAAUUGUUACGUAUAUUUGUAGGUAGACUUAACUCUUAUAUAUAUAUAUAUAUAUAUAUAUAUAGGUACUUGAUAUUAAGUAAAAAUAUAAUUUAUUUAUUUUAAUAAUUAAAUAUCUAAAAUUUAUAUUUUAAAAUGCCAAGUUUGCCUUUAUGUAUGGCUCAGAUUCAUUUAUUUUAGAUUUAAUUAUAAUUUUAAAUUUAAAGUUAUACUAUAAAUUCAAAAUUUAUUAAUUUUUAAAUUUUAAUUUUAAUUUCAAUAUUUGUAUGAUAUUUGAAUUUACAUAUACUUUUACAUUUUGACUUCGAACUUAAAUUUAAAUUAUAAAAUUAUAUUUUUAUUUUUAUUUUUAUUUAAACAUAAAAUUUAAAAUUUAAAAUGUAAAUUUAAAAUUUAAAAUGUAAUUUAAAUUUAAAAUUUAAAUUAUAAAUUCUAAUUUAAAAUUUAAAUUAUAAAUUCUAUGAAUUUAGAUAGUAAAUUAAAUUUUCUUAACCAAAUAAUAAUAAUAAGUUGAUUCCAAUUUCAAUUCCUGUUGUGAACCAAACAAAUCAAUAAUUAUUUAAAUUCAAAUAUACAUAUAAAAAAAUAUAAUUUAUUUAUUUUACUAAUUAAAUAUUUUAUUAUUAUGAUUUGGCACUAAUAAUUUUCUUAUAUGUACAGUAGGAAAGAGGGUUGUUGGGAUGAGGAUUUGGAGUAAAGUGCGGGAAUUACGAGGAGUUUAGGGAAAAGACAAAGGUCUUUUAUCAACCCUGCCAUUUGUACCUCGAGCGAUAAAGCCUAUUAUAGGGAAAGAGUGGAACUAUUUAAAGUUGGAAUAACAUGUUUUGAUCAGGAUAAAAAAUCUUACCAAAUUUUGUAUGUUUGGUAGAAAAAAGAGAAUAAAAUGAAUUAUUUCUCAGUAAUUCUAAUACCAAAUGCAGUCUUUUAUUAGAGAAUUGACUUUUACCACCUGCAUCCCCUAAUGUUUUAUGCAAUAUACACAGAGACCUCUAUGUUCCUAAGCUAGAAGUCGACAAUCGAUUACUUUAGAUUUGAUCUGAAGUAUUUAAGUUUUUAGAAAAUAAAUAUUAUAGUUUUUUAAUAUUAUUUAUUUAGUGAUCGAAAGAACUAAAGAUUAAUGCUGAAAAUAAAUAUCUCAUAAAAAGUAACGAUAUAACACAAAAAUUUUAAAUCAGAAAUAUUGAUCUUGUUGUAGAUAAUAUAACAAAUUUUUUAUCAAAAUUUUAUCCGAUUGGGUACUUCUACACUCUUAAACUUAUAAACGACACACAUCAAACAUUAAAAAUUGUUACUUCUGAAUCCUUUCGAUCGCUAAGAAAAUGAUAUCGAAAAAUCAUAAAAUUUAUUUUUAAAAAUACUUCAAAUAUAUUAGAUAAAGCCUAGCAAAGCCGAUCGCCGAUAUCGGAUGCCCUAUCACCAAAAACAGCUUUGGAGCACGUAGACUGCUAUGCUCUUAGAGAGAGAGAGAGAGAGAGAGAGAGAGAGAGAGAGAGAGAAUUGAGCUCCUAUAUUUUCAAAAGUAUCAAGUCAUUUUUGCUUAUAGGUUUUCAACCUGUGAAUUAAAGGACGUACGGUUAGAAUGAUAGUGGUAUCCUAGAGUUGAGUAGGUAGUUAGUUGAAUAGUAUAAUUUAAUGAAUGAAAAUGAUCAAAGUGGUAGAUCUAAUGGCAGAAAACUUAUAAACACAAAAUAUUCAGUGCUUUUAGAAGUACCAUAGCCGGACUCUCUCUCUCUCUCUCUCUUUCUCUCUUUAUAUAUAUAUAUAUAUAUAUAUAUAGAGAGAGAGAGAGAGAGAGAGAGAGAGAGAGAGAGAGAGAGAGAGUGUGNNNNNNNNNNNNNNNNNNNNNNNNNGAAAAUAAAAAUCCUAUAAAAAGUGGUGAUAUAGCACUAGAAUUUUCGAUCCGAAAUAUUGAUCUUGUUAUAGAUAGUAUAAAGAAUUUUGUAUUAAAAUUUCAUCUGAUUUGAAUAUUUCUACACCGUUAAACUUGAAAACAGCAGAUAUCAACCAUUAAAAAUUAUAGAUUUUGAAUCCUUUCGAUCACUAGGUGAAUGAUAUCAAAAAAUCGCAAAAAUUAUUUUCUAGAAACGUCAAAUGCGCUAGAUCAAGUCUAACGGAGCCGAUCGUCGAUUCGAAAAUUCCAUCAUCGAAACGGCUCAGGAGCACGGAGGCCUCCGUGCUUCUGAGAGCACAGCAGCCCUGCUCUCUCUCUCUCUCUCUCUCUCUCUCUCUAUAUAUAUAUAUAUAUAGACAGAGAGAGAGAGAGAGAGAGAGAGAGAGAGAGAGAGAGAGUUGAGCAAGAAUACUUCCAAAAGCACCAAAGAGGUGGUGCUUUUGAGUUUUUAGCCUUUGGAUGAAGAAAUACAGAAUUGAGAUGAUGGUGGUAGGUGGUGGUAGGUGGAAUAGUGUUUGAUUCAAAGGCUAUUAGUAAUCAAAGGGUAGAUCCAAGGGCUAAAAACUCAGAAGCACCAAGGAGGUGGUGCUUCUAAAAGUAUUCUAGCUCAAUUAUAUAUAUAUAUAUAUAUAUAUAUAAUUGAGCUAGAAUACUUUUAAAAGUAUCACCCCUUGGCGCUUUUAGGUUUCUAGCUCUUGGAUCUAUUUAUUGAUUACUAAUAGCCAUUAGAUCAAACACUAUUCCACCUACCACCACCUACCACCAUCAUCACAAUCUUACAUUUCUCCAUCCAAGGGUUAAAAACUCAAAAGCACCAACCUUUUGGUGCUUUUGAAAGUAUUCUAGCUCAACUAUAUAUAUAUAUAUAUAUAUAGUAGGUCUUGUGUGCUAUUAGGAGUACGGAGGCCUCCAUGCUCCUAAGCCGUUUUCGAUGAUGAAGCUUCCGAAUCGACGAUCGGCUCCGUUAGACUUGAUUUAGCGUAUUUGAAGUAUCUAGAAAAUAAAUUUUGCGAUUUUUCGAUAUCAUUUACCUAGCGAUCGAAAGGGUUCAAAAUCACUGGCUGAAAAUAAAAAUCUCACAAAAAGUGGUGAUAUAGCAUUAAAAUUUUCGAUCAGAAAUAUUGAUCUUGCUGUAAAUAAUAUAAAGAAUUUUCUAUUAAAAUUUCAUCUGAUUUGAAUCUUUCUACAGCAUUAAACUUGCAAACGGUAUACAUCAAUCAUUAAAAGUUGUUGAUUUUGAACCCUUUCGAUCGCUAGGUAAAUGAUACCGAAAAAUCGCAAAAUUAUUUUCUAGAUAGUUCGAAUACACUAGAUCAAGUCUAACGAAGCCGGUCGUCGAUUCGGAAGCUCUUUCAUCGAAAACGGCUUAAGAGCACAGAGACCUCCGUGCUUCUAAUAGCACACACAAGACCUCUCUCUCUCUCUCUCUCUCUCUCUCUCUAUAUAUAUAUAUAUAUAUAUAUAGGGCAGGGUUGCUGUGCUCUCAGGAGCACGGAGGCCUCCGUGCUCCUGAGCCGUUUUCGAUGAUGAAAUUUUCGAAUCGACGAUCGGCUUCGUUAGACUUGAUCUAGCGCAUUUGAAGUUUCUAGAAAAUAAUUUUUGUGAUUUUUUAAUAUUAUUUACCUAGUGAUCGAAAGGAUUCAAAAUCCAUAAGUUUAAAUGGUUGAUAUAUGCCGUUUUCAAGUUUAACGGUAUAGAAGUAUUCAAAUCAAAUGAAAUUUUGAUACAAAAUUCUUUAUACUAUUUACAACAAGAUCAAUAUUUGAUGAUGUUUUGAAAAUUAUAGUCUUAUAUCACCACUUUUUAUUGGAUUUUAUUUUCAUUGUGUUUAAAAUUAUGGAUUUGAAUUCUUUCGAUUGCUAGGUAAAUGAUAUCGAAAAAUCGCCAAAAUUAUAUUCUAGAAAUUCAAAAUCGCUAGAAUCAAGUUUAACGGAGUCGAUCGUCGAUUCGGAAAACUCAUCAUCGAAAACGGCUCAGGAGCACGGAGCUCCGUGCUCUCGAGAGCACAGCAGCCUUGCUAUAUAUAUAUAUUAUAUAAUAUAUAUAUAUAUAUAUAUAUAUAUAUAUUAUAUAUAUAUAUAUAUAUAUAAUGAUAAGCUAGAGAAAAGCUAUGAAUAUUUCUAAGGUUAUCACCAGAAAAAGGUCUGCUGAUAGUCCAACAAGUCACAUUUAAUUAAUUAAAUUUAUAUUUAUAUUUUUAAUUUAAAUGGUUAUUGGUGAUUUGAGCCUAUUUAUCAAUUGAUUUUUUUUCUAACUUGUCCCCAAUAUAUUUUCACCAAUAUAUUUUCAAUUUAGUUAUAUAGUAAAUAUUUUUCUUAUAUAUUUCACAACAUACUAAUUUUUUUUAAUAUGUACCCAAAUUUUAAAAAAUCAAAAUAGUUCUAAAUUUUAAAUUAAUGAUCAAAUUCAUAUUUAAAUUUUAUGAAUAAAACUCAAAAAUUGAAGUUAAUUUUGAGUCCAUAAUUUGAAUAUAAGUGGUUAUUAGAGACAUAGAUCUAUUUAUCAACCAAUUUAUCUUUCAAACUUGAAUUAUUUUCAAGUUAGUUAAUUAUUUUCAAUUUGAAAUAGUAUGUUCAUAGACGCAAAAUUUAAAUCUAAAAUUAAUUUCAAAUUUUGAAUUAAAAUAUGGAUUUACAUUUAAAAUUAUGAACCAAAUUUAAAAUUUAAAGUCGAUUAGAUAGGCUUAUUUUUAAAUCAUUUUAUUUUUAAAAUCUGAUUUAUUUUUAGCUAAUUAAUUAAUUGAGUGAUAGACUACGAUAUUUUUUAUCUGAAGGUUUAGAGUUAAGGGUUAGGGUUAUUUCAAUGAUGCAUGUGAAGAAUAUUCUAUAAUAGAUAUCCUACGAUUGAAAGAAAUUUGGAAAAGUAUAAUUUUUUUUUCUAUUUUCUCAAAUAAAAUGCAAUAUUUUUUCUGCUAAAAAAUGGAUCUGUCAAAAAUUAUUUUAAUAGUUAUCACAAAUCAAUAUAAAUUUAUAUAUCAUAUUUAUCCAAAAAUUUAUAAUAAAUUAAAUUUUUCAAAAAUUCAUCUAUUAUACUUUAUUUGAAAAUAUCUGUCAUUUCUAAAUUCAAAUUCAAAUAGUUGUUGUCGACAAUAUUUAUAUAGCUCUAUUUUUUAUUUUUAUAUGCACUGAAUAUUUUUCUAUAUUUUUGAAUUCUAACACAUCCAAAAUUAAAGUAUAUGUUUUAAACUGAAACUAUCAAAAUUUUAAAUUCACGUGUAAUUCAAAAUAUAAAAUUUAAUUUUGAUCCACUUUAAUUAAAAAAUUUUAAUUAUUAAUUCAAAUUUAAUAUUCAAAAUUAAAUUUGGCCAGUUUGCAUAAAAAAUUCGCAAGUUUUGAGCAUUUGCAAAACUUGGUCAUCUUUUUCGAUUUUGCAGAUUCGGUCCAAAUUUUCAUCAAACGGACUAAAAUACUUUUAUACCUUUUUCUCUCUCCUUUCUUUUUUUUUUCUUUCGUUUUUCUUUCUCUCCCCGAAGAAGUCCGCAGAGGCGGAGGCGGAGGCGGAGGUGGAAACGGCCCGCCUCGCCUCUCACCCUCAUGCUCUCGCUCUCGCCCACACAUGCCCUCCUUCCUCGCCUCCUACAACAUCGAGGACGUGCCGCGACUCUUUUUUUUUUUCCGCUCCGACCUUCCUUCGCCGUCUCCGACGACGACGCCUUUCUCGCCCUCUCUUGCCCUUCCCCGCCCUUCUCGCCCUUUCUCUCUCUCCUUCUCCGCCUCCGCCUCCGCCUUCUCUGUCGCCUCCGACAACGACGCUUCUCUGUCAACGCUAACGCUAGCUGCGAAGGUCGCUGCGGCAUCCCAGCCUCGGAGCGAGGGGUCUUUAGCGACGUCGCCGCCGACGCCGUGGCCGUUGGCGGAGAGGCGUGAUAAAAAAAAAAAUUAUACAACAAGGAAGAAAAAAUAUAAAGACAAAAAAUUAUAGAAAAAGAAAGAUGAAGAUGAAAUUACACUGUUAAAAUAAAAUUGCACUAUUUUAAAAGAACGUUGCACUAUUAUGGACAUAAAUUAUACUUUUUGAGAUGUAAACUGCAUCCUUUAAGAUGAAAGUUACACUCUUUAAACAAAAAUUACAGUCUUUGGGAGAUAUUUAUAUUGAUUCUCCUCUUAUUGCACUCUUUGAGAUGUAAAUUGUAUCCUUUAAGAUAAAAUUUAUACUUUUUAAACGAAAUUUGCACUCUUUUGAAAUAUAUUUACAUUGUUUCUCCUCUUGUUGCACUCUUUGAGAUGUAAAGUGCACCCUUUAAUCCUUUAAGAUGAAAGUUACACUCUUUAAAUUAAAAUUACACUCUUUGAGAGAUAUUUAUGCUGAUUCUCCUCUUAUUGCACUCUUUGAAAUGUAAAUUGUAUCCUUUAAUAUGAAAGUUAUACUCUUUAAACGAAAUUUGCACUCUUUUGAGAGAUAUUUUGUCACGCCCCGGGAUCCCUUUUAAGUUGAAAACAAAGCGGAAGAGCGUCUGAAUGAAAUUUUUUUUUUUUUGAAAACCUGACCCCAGAGUAUGCCAGAUCCGCCACAAAUACAGGGAAUCCACUGUUCACACGGAUAGAGUCUCCCCUGUAUUUGCACGGCGUCGAUCAAAUACACAGUACAACCAGGAUACAACCACAACCAGAUGAAUAUAAAGAUAACUAUACAUUCAUACAUUCACCAUUCACAUCACAGUUUUACAUUCAAGGUUUAAACAGAAAUCCACAAAACUAGGGGGCGUCCUCCCACAAGAAAAGGCCUUUUCACCAGCAUGUAGGCUGGGCACUCGGGUCGCCACAAGAGAAACACGAUCCCAAUGUACGGUCCACGCUCGUCCAUCACCGAAAACGGACUCCAGGAAUCUGGCUGUGCCGCCAAAACUAACCCAUGAAAACCUGACGAACAGGACAACUGCGUAUAUUGAUAUCAUCGUCACCAGUGAACAUAUAGAAGUCAAGAACGCAAUGUAACAGAACGAUGAUAUCAGAACAAUGUACAUAUGUAGGUCAACAAAUAAUGUCAUCGCCAUCAACAUGAAAGAAAGUAAAUAUACAGAGAAAGUAAGUAAUAAUAACGAUGACAUAAAAGAUGACUGGGCAUGACAACAAAUCGAGAAGGACUAGGUCACUCAUGAGGAGCGGAAGAAGCCGAACGCCAUGGGUGACCCUCCCCUCUGUACAAAUGUACAAGAGUGGAGGGGGUGGUAAAAAGUCCAUAGCGCUCGCUACUCAUCACCCUGCUCUGCACUCCAUGCACACAUCGCCAGCUAUCUCGAAGGCUGGGUCCAAUAAAGCUAAAUCAAGAAUAGGAACCAUAAAGACAACUAUAUAUCAAAUCAACCAAAUACACCAAGUCAUAAAUAAAUGUAAACUUUUACACCUAAAGACCUAAAACAUUUUAUUUUCCAAAAGAUGGGGAGCACCAUCGCAAAAAUUUUCUUAUUUCCAAAGACACAUCCUUUGUCGAAAGUUUUCUAANNNNNNNNNNNNNNNNNNNNNNNNNCAAAAAAUGAGAGAGAUAAUCAUUCGAAGGUUUAAACGAAAUCCACAAAAAUCUUUUGAAACUGUUUCCUACACACGAACCUUUUUCUUUUAAAACGCUAACCAAACGAGGGUAAGAAACCUUUUAUUGACAAACUCCAGAAAUCCACGAUUUUCAUAAUGUUAAAUAAAUACCUUGAGACCACAUAAACCAACUAACUUAUUAAAACAGAAAUAUCAAGGAUUAAGCUAAUCGAAAUAACCUGGGUCGAAGCUUCUAUCGUUUACGCUACCACUACAGCUCACGCUCGUCCUCACUACUCAUCGCUCGCAUACAUGAAGAAAUGGUGGGGAAGGUGAGAACAUGUAAACAUGUCUCCCCUCCAGUGGGUACCUGCAAGCCGAAGAAGGCGAGAGUACUCACUGGAUCAGGAAGAGCUAAACAACAGUACGGGUCAGUAUAAAAUAUGACAGUAGGCAAUAAUAAUGAAUGAAAGAGCCAUAUAAUAUAAAGAAAGUAGCAACCUAACCGCAUGUAGAUAAAACAACUGGAUGUAUACAUCGUAAUAACUAUAAGUAGCAAGACUAAUGUAACGCAAGAACUGAAGAUAUUACACAGUGACGCACUGCUUACUAAGUUAUAGCGAACUGGACAAGCAGUCAACAAGUACCCAAUCUAAACCAACCGUUCGUCGUCUAAGACCUCAGGCAAAGCCAUCACCUCUCGCACCUGGCAUGUUAACCCUAUGCACAAGAGAAACAUCGCGGCUCACGGGUCGGAUGGUACCGACCACUUUCCCGGAAAAGAACAUCCCUCCUGCGGGGGAUCAACCCGGGUGUACGGAAUGCACUCGAGCUGUGGCGACAUGCGGAUGAUGAUCAAUAGCCAAAUGUUCGGCAACCAGCCGACAAUCACCCGCCUCUCGGGCAACCGACCAAUAGGUCAUCAAAACUGAUAAAGAAGCACAAAACCGACCACAGUCAAGGUCAACUAGGAUGGACUGACUCUUAGCCAUCCUCGUCCUGAUAUGCAAUACUGACUAAUCAGUCAACUGGGAUGGAACAACUCAAACUCCGCUAUUACGCAAAAGUAUGUAGAAUACUGAUACAAUAGGUCAAGCUACUGUAUAUAUGCAGAGAACUCGAUCACGCAAAGUCUCUGAGUAUAUAAUCUAGAAACUACCAGGUCGGCCAUGGCCGACAAUCCUACGCCCCUCAGGGUACACGACCUCAAAGUCAUCAAAACCUACACGAAGUUAAGGAACCGAUCGACGCAGUGUUAACCGAUCUCACAAGAAAUCACGAAACCGCUCUACUCUAAACAUGAAACUGGAUAUGCAGAAUAGCUAAGUAGAGCAACAAAGAAACAUGGUGUAGCUACUCUACCCCUACUCAUGAUACUAAAUAUAAAGAGAACAACCGAGUAGAGAGUAACCGAAACAACAUGGUGCUAGGCUCAACACUAUAUAUCAAGAUGUAUAUAUGCUAGAUAAUAAUGAAAGAGCAAAGGUAAGAAACCAUCACCGAGCGUGCACCACUGUACCGACGUCGGAUCGAAGUACCCACCUGUACAACUGUCGCGUCUGUCUCCGGACUGCAAAAGAACGUCAACCGGACCUAAGGAGGGUCCACUGGGUUAGUGUCUAACCCACAACUAAGAAACCCUAAAGGCAUAACCCACAACAAUCCCACAAACAAUUUCACGAGAAUCGGUUUCCCAAAACCGAUUACCGAACAAACCGGAAGUCCAGAAAACCGCACUGGAACUUCACCGUCGCUCACCCGUCGUUUCCAAACCCACGAAACGACGCGGGUGACCAGCCAACAAGGCUCAGCGACGAAACAAAUGAUCCCCAAGUACCGUCGGAAGAAUUCCGAAUUGAAAACGCGUUCUAUCGGCGGAUUUCGCCGAAAAACGCUCCGAAAAUACAUUUUCGAUCUUCGCAAAGGUCCGGGGCCUUGGACAAUCAGUCCAGGGAUCACCCUCAGCCCAAACAUGCUGCCAACAGCAUCUACAACGGAGCAGAAAUCCUAAAAGCCCAUACCGAUACAUGAAAUCACAUCAUUUCAUGUGAUUUCUAGGCUUUUCUGGACCGUGCACGCAAACCAGAGGUCGAUUAAUCCGACCGUCGCACUCGCUGACAGGUUUCAGCAUGUCGGAGGCCGUGCUCACCUUUCGGAGCACUGCCGGCCACUGCGGUGCGCGCACGAGCGACGCGAAGUUCUGUUAAACUGCGUGCACAGUGCGAAGAUCAAGACUAACUCGCUAACCAGGGCAUCUUUGCCGCUGUCGAAGGUGAGUACGAUGUUAAGCACGAACCCUAGAUCAUCGUGCUCACUUCCCGGGGUGUCGGGGAGUCAUCGGAUCACCAAAAAGGUGGCCGGAAAGCUAAGCUACUGUGCUGGAAUCUAAAAACAGCCUUACCGGACCCGAGGAGAGCUAGGGUUCGUCUCCGGCGGCCGAGAGGCGGGAACUCCGGCGGGAGGAGGGUGCGGCCGGUCAGAGGGGUCCGGGUACGGUGCUGGCCGGCGGCGGGCGGCGGCCGGUGGCGCGGCGGAGGAGAUCAAGCCGCGGCUUGCUCUCGGGUUCAAGUGGUCCGCGGCGGCCCGGCGGCGGCCGGAGGAGCUCGGGGCGACGGCGAUCCGUCGCCGGAGGCCGUGGGGAGGGCGGUGCUCCCCGCUGUGGGCUGCAGCGACGCGCGGAUUGGAGGGAAACCCAGCCUCGGCCCGCACCAAGUCUGGGCGGCUGCAGGAGCUUCGGGCGGCAGCCGGCGGUGGUCGGGGACGUCGGGAUCCGUCGCCGGCCGCCUCGAGGCGGCUGCUCAGCCUACGCACCGACAACUGACUCGAACUCGCCCGAGUUGCAGCAGAUUGCCGCAGAAGGUCCCGACGGCGCCGGCGGCGCGCAAGGACGUCGGCUACCGUCGGUGAGGGAUCGUCGGAGGCCUAGAAGGGCGGCGCAGCCCAUCCCAAGCGACGGCGGCGCGAGGGAGAGAGAUCUGGCCACCCACGGCCAGAUCUUGCUCGAGCUGGCCGCAAACAGCAGGAGCAGCGGCCGGCGGUGCGUGCUGAUGGCAGGGACGGCUGAGGUCGACGCCGGAGAGCGGUCUCUGCAGAGGGAAACCUCCAGGGGGGUUAAUGACAGCUUUCCAGGUCACCUCGGCAGGGAGGAGGUCUGGCCGAGGGGAAAGGAGAGGGGAACUUGGCUUUUCCCACGGCCGGGGUCACCUGCCGGCGACUGGGGCGCGAGCACGACGAGGGCAGGGAUGGGUUGAAGUCGUCUAGGGUUUGCUGGGGGAGGAAGGUGACUCGAUCUAGGGUUUCGUGCCCAAAAACCCUAGCUACCAAUAUAUAUACAAGUGGACUUUUGCAGAAAACCCCUCCAACACAAAAUAUUUAAGGUUCAGCCCCUGCCAGGGCAUGCAACUUGUGCGUACAUACCUCCACGUCCGAUCUCCGGCGAUUCGGUACAUAAAAUGCCGCGCUUUUCGCGGAUUAUCCGUUUUGCCAAUUUGACCUCUCAGCGAUAACUUUGCAAUUACCGGAGAUUCGUUCGUCGGAUUUUCGAUCCGACAGCACCAUUGCGUUCGGCACGUCGGGUGCAUCGAAUCUAGCAUUUCGCUUCGUCCGAUUUGACCCCCGAUUCACGACGAAAUCCGUCCGCUCUCCAAUUUCAAAAACCAUACACAUAUAUCAAUGUGUAAACCCGCUAAAUCCUUUAAUUCAAAUUCAAAUUUGAAUCUCCUACCACUAGUUGGUACAUCUAACAUCCCUCACCUUACUCUAGGUCACAUACACAGAUCACGAGGGGUGUCAUAAUGCAAGAAUAGCGAAGAACGAAAACCCUCAUUUUGAUAAAACUCCUUUUUCUCGAAAACCAUGCAUCGGAUCUGAAAUCCGUCAGUGCCAUUGGUUCCAGAAUAGCUGAUCCGAUCGAAACGAGCUAUUGGACCGGUAUGAACGGAGUCCGGUACGCGCCGAUAGCCAGCUCUACUCCGUGGCUUCACCGAAAAACCGGAGUUACUAUUCACUUAAGUGAAAACUAAUAAUCGCGUAACUUCUCCGUUUUAGCUCAGUUUCUCCUGAAACUUGACGAGUGCUUAUGUAAUUAAAUUACCACAUAAACAUCGUCAACAGAGAGUUUAGUAGCACUGUAAAAAUCUCAGUCCUUACAUAUUUACACUGUUUCUCCUCUUCUUGCACUCUUUGAAAUGUAAAUUGUAUCCUUUAAUAUGAAAGUUAUACUCUUUAAAAGAAAUUUGCACUCUUUUGAGAGAUAUUUACACUGUUUCUCCUCUUCUUGCACUCUUUGAGAUGUAAACUGCACCAUUUAAGAGAUAUUUACACUGUUUGAGAGAUAGUUACACUGUUUCUCCUUUUGUUGCACUGUUUCUCCUUUUCAUCCUCAUCCUCCUUUCUCUCAUCCUCAUCCGCAUCCUCUUCUGCCACCAGCCAGCUCUAGCGCGUUUUCGGCCACGUCCAAAACACGGAGCACGGGGAGAGCCGCGAGGGACGCACCCCAAACCAGCCGACAGCCGCAUCUAGGGCGCGCUCCGGACGUGGGCGCGCUCCUCUCGAGACUCGGGUGUGAGUUCGGCACCGGUGAAGAAGAGGGGCAGUGGCCCCGGCGAAGGAGGGCAGCGGCAUGAAGGGGGUUUAACGACGACUGCGGCGGAAAAGUUGGAGAAGGAAGAAGGAGGAGGACGACGAGAAAACAAAGGGGAAGAAGGAGAAGGAAGAAAAAUAGAAUAAGAAAUGGUAUAAAUUUUACCGAAAUAGUGCAACGUUCGCCUAAAGAGUGUAACUCUCAUCCAAAUAGCGUAAUUUCUAUCUCAAAGAGUAUAACUUUCAUAUAAAACAUUGCAAAAAUUCUUUAAAACAGCGUAAUUUUAUUUUGGCAGUGCAAUUUCAUCUUUUUCUUCCUUCUUUUAUGAUUUUUGGUCUUUCCUGUAAAAAAAAUAUAUGCUUUAUUUUAAUUUUUUAUUAUUUCUUAUUUUCUUUCUCUAUAAUUUUUUUUUGUCACAACCUCUCCCUUGCCCUCUAUCGCAACCAUUGCCCUCGCGAGAGUGUAACUAUUUUUCUCUUUUUUCCUCGCCGGCGUGCUUUUGGACCCUGAGAAGCACUUCCUUUUUGUCACCGGUGGCGGCGGUGGGGAUAGUGAGUGGAGGAGGGUCGAAAAGGAAAAAAAAAAGGGUCUCGGUGCGGCCUCGGCGUGGUCGGAGGCGAGGGGGAAGGAGCAUGCACGGGCAAGAGCGAGGGCAUGAGGAGCAGAGGGGGGGGGGGGCAUUUCCGCCUCCGCCUCCGCCUCCGCCUCCGCCUCCGCGGACUUCUGCAGCAAGAAAAAAAAAAGAACAUGAGAAAAAAGAAGGAGAGAGAAAAAGGUAUAAGGGUAUUUUGGUUGGUUUGCAGAAAAUUCGGACCGAAUCUGCAAAAUCGAAAAAGGCGGCCCAGUUUUGCAAAAGGUCAAAGUUUGUGGAUUUUUUAUGCAAAUUGGCCAUUAAAUUAAUUCAUGAUUUAUACUCAAAUUUGAGAGUGCUGGUUGUGUGAGGGAAUAAACAAUCAGACGCCUGAUUUCUAUUUCAGGCGCCUAAUUCAUGAAAGUGGAAAUUGAGCUGGCGUCUGGGCUAAAGACGGGUGCAGCUACGAUGGAUUUGAGUGCCUGAACAUGAGAACUGAGAAUUUGAUUCUGUAGCUAUACUCUUUGUUGACGGUAUUUUGUGUGUAAUUUAAUUACAUAAACACUCGUCAAGUUUCAGAAGAAAACGAGUUAAGAUGGAGAAAUUACGCAACCUUUACUAAUCACUUAAAGUGAAUACUAACUCGAGUUUUCCGGAGAGGCCAAUGAGUGAAGAUGGCUUCGGGUGCGUAUUGGACUCCGUUUAUAGUGAUCCAAUCGCUCAUUUUCAACGGUUCGACUGUUCUGAACCCAAUGGCACUGCUGGAUUUGGAUUUUGAUGCACGAUUUUUGAGAAAAAGAAUUUUUUAUCGCAAUAAGAAUUUUUGGUAAUUGGAGAGAGGAUGGCUUUCGUCGCUAAUCGAUGACCAAUUCGAACUAAACAAAAUUGUGAGUUUGAUGUCCUGGUCGUGCUGAAUGCGCUGGCACCAUCCGUUCACAAAUCCAACUGACAAAUCUCCUGAUAUCGCACGAAGAUCGAGAAUGGGUCGAAAGUUAGCGAAAUGGAAAAUCUGCAAAACAUCCUAUAUUUUAUAUUCCGUUUUGCGUAAAAUCGAACGUUGAGGUGCGUACGCGCGAAAUGCACGCGCUGUGAGGGACUCGGUUGAAAAUAUCGCACUUUGGAGAACUACCAUGCAAUUUACACUUGAUACAUAUAUAAAGGUAUGAAGGUUUCAUGCAUGAAACCCUAACCCUAGUUGUAUCUCCUCCAUCAGCUGAGCUUAGCCGCCUCCCUCGUUUCCCCCGCCCUCGCCGCAUACACCACAACUGCCUGCGCACGCUGUCGGCCGCUGGAACCGGCCGUUUCUUUCUCGAAGCACUGUCAUCAUCCUACUUUCACCACCUUUGUCCGAGCUGCAUCUUAGAGGGGCCCCUCACCUUUGGGCUCCACCCCUAGUCGUGCCCUUAGCUCCGGCGACCCUCCCCCGCUGGUCGCCGCCGUCCAUGCACGCUGCCACCGUCGCCCUUAGCAGCUUGCGGCCAAGCCAUGUAGGCUCCAGCCAAGGUCAUCUCACCUACUGGCCCGCACGCCGCCACCGCUCAGGGCCACCUUGGCCACCCUCCUCCGGCCUCCGACAACCGCCCCUGCCGGUCGCCGCCGUCCCCGCGUGCCGCCGUCACCACCUGGGUGACCUGCGGCCAACCUAGAGCAAGUGCGGGCCGAAGUGUGUCACCCCCUUGCCCCGCGUGCCACUGCCGCCUAGGGCCGACCACGUCGCCUCCCUCCAGCCUCCGGUGAACCACCGCCGUCACCCCGCAGCUUCCCAGCCGCCACGAUGGCCACUAUGACUAGCUGAACCCGAGCCGAGCCCGCACGGGCUCGGGUUGCUCUAGCGUUGCCGCUGCUGCCUUCCGUCGCCGGCCGACCCGCGCGCCGCCUCCCCUGGGUCAACUACACUCGGCUGGCGCCAGCGCCUCGGCAGCCGGAGCCCCUUACUGGCCGGAACUAGCCAAAGCCUCCCUUGGUCCCGUGCGGCUAGGGCAUUGUUGCCUGCCGUCGCUGCCGCCUCUCAUCGCCAGUUGACACGCGCCCUGACCUCCCCGCACUGACCGCACCUACCUGCCGCCGGCAUGCCCGCCGCCCGGCCGCCGCCGCCGGCCGUGCCCUAGCUUUCCCCAGGCCGAUAAGCUUUAUUAAGCCAUUUUUCUGCAUUAUUUCUAGUUUAGGUCAUUGUUCAGGCGACCCGAGGGCACCCUGAUGCUUCUGGAGGUGAGCACGAUGAUCCUGGUUCAGUGCCGACCGACGCGCGCGUCAUCGCCAGCCAUGGCCGCCGCCCGGCCGCCGCCACCAGCCAUGCCCUAGCUUUCCCCAGGCCAAUAAGCUUUAUUAAGCUAUUUUUCUGCAUUAUUUCUAGUUCGGGUCAUUGUUCCGGCGACCUGAGGGCACCCUGAUGCUUCUGGAGGUGAGCACGAUGAUCCUAGUUCAGUGCCGAUCAUCGUGAUCACCUUCUUUGGGGUCAACAAGCCCCUGGUUUGCGAGAUAAGUGCAGUUUACGCAUAGUACGCGCGGUUCGCUGAACUUUGAGUUGCUCCCGCGCCUCCCACAGUGGACGGCCAUGCUCCGGAUCAUGAGCACGACCUCCGGCACGUCGAGACCUAUCAACGUGUGUCUCGGCCAGCCUCGAAAGCCCUCGGUUUGCGGUAUCGAGCCGAAAAACUCCGAAAAUCACAUAAAAUAAUGUGAUUCUACGUAUUAGUGGGGACUUUUAUGCGAUUGUGACUUCGUGGCUGCUUUAGGCAGUUCAUGUGGGCUGCGGGUGACCUCUGGACUGAUUGUCCAAGGUCUGAUGCCCUUCGUGGAAAUCGAAUAUCGAUUUUUGUGCGUUUUUCAGCGAAAUUCGCCGGCAAAAUGCGAUUUCGGUUUGGAUUGCAUCCGACGGUGUUAGAAUGCCCUGAUUUUGUGGCUGAGCCUUGUCGGCUGGUCACCAUAGUCAUCUCGAGAGUUCGGAGAUGACGGGUGGGCGACGGUGGGUUCUGGUGUCGAAAUUAACACUUCCGGAAAUCCAGACCCGAACAAUUAUCUAACGAUAAUUGUUUGGGUGUGUGAUCUUAUGUUUGCUGCCAAGACAUCCAAACGAUGGGUUUUGUAGCAGCGGGUGACUCAUGAUGCGAGUCGGUAAGUCCCGGGAUACUUCAUGGGUCCCGACAGAGUCCCGGUGCGAUUUUUGGGACUUCCGGCGAGUUACGGUAAUGGGCUUUGGGACACCGAUUCCUAUGGGUUUAAAGGUGGGAUUGUUUAGUGUUUCUUAUAUGUGGGUUGGAUUCUAACCCGGUGGACCCUCCGUAGGUUCGGCUGACGAUCUUUCACAAUCGAGAGACAUGCGCAUUAUUCAUUCAUGUUGGUACUUCGACCCGAACUCGGUACAGUGGUGCACGCUCAGUGACAUUCUCUUCACCCUUUCUUAGACCUGACAAACGGGCGGGUUGGGUAACCCGCGGGUGGGUUAUUGUACCCACGAGUUACUUGGGCAUGGGUAAAAUUUACUCACAAACUUUUGGGUAGCCAACAUCAUUACCCAUACCCACUCGCGGGUGGGCGGGUGGGUAUGCGCGUUACCCGCAAAUUUUUUUCUUUUUUUUCUCUUAUAAUUUUUAAAUGCAAAAUACAUAUAUAUAAGUUUUUAAAAUAUAGCAUAACUCAUUAUUUAAAAUAUCAUAACAUACAAUAAAAAUAUUUAAAGUUUUAGAGCUUAAAAAUUUCGUAAUAUAAAAGACGCGAUAAAAAAUUAGAGUUAGAAUUUAUAGAAUGAGUAAAUAAAAAUAUAUAUUUUUUAAUUAAGAAAAUAUAUUUUGUAAUUAAAAAAUAUAUGUGCGGGUACCCGUGGGUACCCGCGGGUUACCCAAAAUGCCCACAGCUUAAUGGGUUCCCACCCGUUUUACCUCUAAUUUUUUGGGUUGAAAAAGUUGGUACCCAUACCCGCAAAUUUGCGGGUAACCCGCGGGCACCCGCAAGUAUGGGUCGAGAUUGCCAAGUCUACCCUUUCCUUAAUAUCACUUUGCAUUUUAUAUGUUGAGCCUAGCACCCUUAUUAUCUCUUUAUUGCUCUACUUGGUUAGUUUGCAUAUCUAGCAUCAUAAGUUAAAAGUAGAGCAGGUUUGUGAUUAUAUGUGAAAUCUAUGACCUAUUCGGUCAGUUCUUUGUUUCUAAUAUUGUGGCCUAUUCAGUUGGUUCAUUGCAUCUGGUAUUGUGACCUAUUCGGCCGGUUCAUUGCAUUUGGCAUUGUGACCUAUUUGGUCAGUUCAACUACUUGGUGACCUACACGGUCGGUGUACCCUGAGGGGCAGGAUUGUCAGCUAGUUGCUGACGGUUGGCUAUUGAGUAUAUCAACAUUGAUCGCCCAAUACUCGUACGCAUUUCACGAACACCAGCGGUCUGAUCCAUCGCUAGGAGGUGUUCUUUUCUGGAAAAGUUGUUGGACAUGCCAACCCAUGAACCUGGCAACCUAGUUUGGGUUAUAUGCAGGUAGAGUGGCAGUGGCACAAGCUUGAGGUCUGCGGACCGAUAUGGCAGGUUUUUGAUUGGGUACUUACUUAUCGUCUGGUUGAUGCAUACAUACAGUAGCGGUAGUGGUUUAUAUAUAUCAUGUUUCCUUUUAUCAUUACUACUGUAUUACCGUUGUUGAUACUCUUAGUUAUCCUCCUUGACUGGUGAGUACCCCUCGCCCUCGUCGGCUUGCGGUACCCACUGGGAGGGGAGACAUAUGUACAUGUUCUCACCCCCCACCUCCUCUCAGGUGACGUUGCUGGUCCGAGUCGGGACGAUUCGUGAGGCACGCGGUUAGUGGUCGUAGAGUGCUCCGGCCCGGUGAAUCACGGUUUAAUUUCUAAUCUAUUUCUCCCGCUUAGACAUUAUGGUUCAGUUGGUUCUAUGUUAUUUGGAUACACGUGGUUUUGUGAAAUUAAUAAAGUAAUGGUUUUCAUAUGAAAUUAUAAAAAUAGUUUUCUACCCCUCGUGGUAGCAUAUUUUUAAAGAAAAAGGGUUUCCGUGUGGAAAACAGUUUUAAAAAAGGUUUUUUGGUUUUCAUGAAUCUUAGUAUUUCAAAAUAAGUUUUUGGGUGGAAAAUGUUUUAAACUGAUAGAUAUAGAAUUAUAAAUAUCAUAUGGUAAACUUGUGAUAGAAUGAAUGUGAUGCGGUGAUUGUAUGUGGAUGAUUAUACUAUGUGGUUGUAUCUUGUACUUGUGUGACGUCGUGCAAAUAUAGGAGAGACUAUGUCCGUGUGAACAGCGGAUUCCUAUAUUUGUGGCGGAUCUUCCGUCCUCUAGGGUCAAGACUUUCAAAAAACAAAAAUUGGGCACUUCCGCAUCGAUUUUAAAACCAAAAGGGAUCCCGGGGUGUGACACUGAAAGUUUAGCUGGGCACCAUAAACUUGGCGUAAAUACAGUGAUGGAUUAAUUGGGAAUUUGGAUUGUUGAGACUCUAUUCGUGUGAACAGCGGAUUCCCUAUAUUUGUGGCGGAUUUGACGUCCUCUGGGGUCAAGGCUUUCAAGAAAAAAAAUUUGGGCACUUCCGCAUCGAUUUUAAAACUAAAAGGGACCCCGGGGUGUGACACUAAAAGUUUAGGUGGGCACCAUAAACUUGGCGUAAAUACAGUGAUGGAUUUAAUUGGGACUUUGGAUUGUUGAGGGGUUUAUGUGCUAUUGUAGCACUCCUACGUAAAGGCUCUUCACCAACCAACCCUAAUCCUUUUCCUCAUUUCCCUUUUCACUCCCUCUCCAUCUUCUUCCUCUUUCUAGAAGGAAACAAACUCCACUUUCCCCAUUGAUGGAGUUUGGAGAUCCAAUUCAUUGGAGACUUGGGGGAGCUCAGGUUGGUGAAGGCAAACCUCUCAACGCGUUUUUCUUGUCUAGAAGGUGGAGAGGUGAUGAAGAACUUUUGAGGUUCUAACUUCUUUAGAACUUUUUUUAGAGUUUUUUUGAGUUUUUAGGAGAUCAAGGAUCACCCCUUAAAAGAAUCUAAAAGAAGGUGGGGAAUAUCAUUGAAAUUGAUCUUAUCUCUUCUUUAACUAAAAUUUUAUUUGACUAAUAGCGUGUAUUAUGGGUAUUAAGUAAACUAAUUAAAUGUAUUUUAGUUUCAUGCUAGGAAAUCUAGUAGGUCAAGGUAAUGUAUGAACAUUUGACCUAGAGGAGAAUAGGGUUUCAACCCUUAUGGUGUUAAAAGUAAAAUAUUUGACGUGUUAGGCAUUAUAGGACAUGAAUGUAUAAAUGAAAAAAAUGCAUUUAUAUGCACGAUUGGGUACCAUGUGAAUCUUCAAACAUAGGGAAUAAGUGUGGCCUUUAAUCCAGGUUGGAACCUAAGGUGUGAAAAUAGUGGCAUUGAAUCUAGGAUGAAACUUAGGGUAUGAGACAUAGGCGAUAUGUGAACUCUAAGGUAAACUUGAGCUAGAGGAUAAGAGAAUGAUAAAUGAAUAAUGUGGAUAACUAAAAGUCAUGAACUUAGAGUGAAAUGAUGAUAUGUGUGACCUGUCCAACUUGGGAGAUGUCGAUCUCCCUCGACACUUAAUGUUGCAAAGGGAGAUACUUUUCCUCUCAACUCUCAAUGGUACUUGGUGAUGUUCACCAAUUAGAGAGAAGUUCGAUCUCCCUCAACUUUCCAUGGGAUGUGAUAAGAAAGUAAACCAAGCUAAAAAGUUUAUAAAAGUAACGAAAUGGAAUGAGAUGAAUGUAUAGGCUAAUGACAUAGUAAACCAUUGUUACAUAUUGUAUAUACAUUAAGGCAUUGUAUAGGUUGGUAUAUGUUCCGCUUCGUGUGGGUAGAGAAGACCUUACCCAUUGUGUGGGUCUAUUGCACAUGCCCGAACGGGUCAAAUUGGCAGGACAAGGAGUAACAUCAAUGCUUCUAAUAGCACCAAGCACUCAACGCUUGUGGAUUUUUAGCCUUUGGAUCAGUGAGUUGAAUGAUUUCCCUAAGAUUUAGUGGUGGUUGGUGGAAUAGUAUAAUUUAAAAGGUAAAAUUGGCCAAUGGGCGAUUGUGGUGGCUGGUGGAAUAGUACAACCCAAAAGGUAGAAAUGGUCAAUGGGCAAGGUGUGUUUAAAAGACUUAGGCCCUGUUUGGCCAAGCUUCUGAAAAAGUGAUUUCUGAAAAAGUGAUUUUGGUUUAGAAAAGUGAUUUAUGUUAAAAGCUGUAGAGCGUUUGGCUGAGUCUGAUAGAAAAGUGAUUGUGCUGAAGUGAUUUUAGANGUCAUCACCAUUUGUUUGAGAUUCAUCCAGCACAAGAUUUGUGACUUCAUGAUCCCUCAAUCUUUUCGAUCGAACCAUUGUUCAAAAUCUAAAAAUGUAGUAGCAUAUUCAGAAAUUUCAUAGCAGAUUAAAAGUUAAAAAAAUUCAAAAAAUUCAUUUAUCUAAACCUAUAUUAUAUUAAAACUCACCUAAUACAAGACAUCACUACUACAGGUACAAGAUUUAGUAGCGACAAAUGUCGCCACCAUAGGCCAAAUUGUCGCCACGAAAAACGUUUUAGUGGCGACAAUUUGUCCCACUGAAUAACAUAUAUGACACAAAAAUUUACAACAGCCUCAAAAUCAACCACAAUAAAAUGUGUUUUUCCUGUAGAGAGCAACUACUAGAGCUAACUUACUAGAGCUAGGAACUCGAACUCGCCGAACGCUUGGAAGAUCUGGAUCUUGAACAGGAUCUGCAAAAAGAAUUGGAGAAACGACGGCCAAAUCAUUAUCGGUUAAACAGAACAAAAUUGCAAAGUUUUAGGCCUUGUUUGGAAUUGCAAAGUUUGAUCAAAUAGUCAACAAUUCAUCAUAAUACCAAUGAAAUUAACUUGUGGAUUAAACAUAACAAAAUUGAUCAAACCUUCAUACAUAAUAUACAAUGUUUUAAUACUUAUGUAAAACAACUUAUUACUAUAAAAACUUAAGCAGGCAAAGAGCAAAGUUUUUAAUAUUUCAUACUUAAUAGGUACCACCUUGAUCAAAUAACAAUCGCGACAACCCCCGGGCCAAGUGUGAGCAACUAUUUGCCAGGAUGGCUUGCAUAAGGUAAUUAAGCUCAUCUCAAAUGCUUAAUUAGAAUAAUCUACUUGUAAUCUCUUUGUCUCUCAAUAGCCUGGCAGCAACAGUUGAUUGCAUGCUGCCUGCUGCUGGUGCUGCCUGCAGCAGCAGCCCUGCUGCAGCUGCUACUGCAAGAAUUUCCUGCAGUAGCAGUAGCAGGGAAGGGGAAUAGGAAGGAAGGAAGAGAACGGAAGAGAAAGGAGAAGAAAAGAAAAGAGGGAAGAAGGAAAAGAAAGAGAGAGAGGAUUACCUAAUGAUUUUCUUAAAAUUUAAGCAAUCGUCAAGCUGCGUGAAAAUUUAACUUGAUCUAAUAACUGUAAAACUACAGAUACAUAUUAACAAUAUAUAUAUAGAAGGUCGAAUUUCUGUUUCUUUAUACAAAAUCAUUUGUUUGAUGAUCAACAAAGUAUACUCACCUUUUAAUUAUGAAUGUGAGUCUUAGAUCCCAUUGACUGAGCAACAACUUCCAUACUCAACAAGACAACUUUUGCUAGUUUGCGUGAUAGAAAAUGAGUUUGAUGUUUCACAUUAUCCUGUCAAAAUAUUCAAAAAUCAUAUCGCAGUGAAAAAUAUAUUCAAUAUGUCAAAUAUAUGCAGUGAUGAAGAAUCAUAAUGUGGCAAUAUGGUGGAUUUUAUCAUGCAACUAAGAGAAUCAUAAAAGAAUAGAGGUACUGUUUAUUAAAUUACUUGAUUGGGAGUGAUGAAAUAGAAAUUAUAAGUGAAUCAAGUAGAACUAACGAUUUCAAAGGUACUAGGCUUCAAGAUGAAAGAUGCCAAUACAUAUAAGUCCAACUAUAUAUAAUAGUAGAAUCCAGAGAAAUCUAAUUAAAAUUUGAUGAAACGAAUAGAAUAACACAAGUUAUCAAAAACUGAAAUUCAUUUGGCCUUGAUGACAAGUUCUUUCAUUUCCAAAACAAAUUUAGAGCAUUUCAAUCUAUAAAUAACACAAGUUAUCAAAAAUUGAAAUUCAUUCUUUGCAUGAUUUACACAUAUAGAAUAACAAGCAGGCGUACAAAGACUUGAUGACAAUCUAUGUUAUUAAGAUCAAAAUACCAUUUGGCCUAAUAACUGCAAAACUGCUACAAGAUGAUCCUAAUCAAACUUUCAAUGCUCUCUUUUCAAGCUGAUGGUGACAUGUAGAGACUUCCUUAUCCUACAUUGCUAUAACAACGAAAACCCCUUACCAGGUUAGCGCAAAGGUACUAGGCUUCAAGUAGAACUAACGAUUUCAAGCCAUAAAGAUGAAGUUGCUAAAACCGAAGUUCAUUUAAGGAAUCAAAAGACUCAAGUCAAGUGGGUUUGUUAUAUUAAGCAAAGUGGAGGAAAAAAGUUCUCAAGUUUGAAAAUAGAAGUUGGAAAUUGAAAAAUCUUUACCAGGGAAUCCAUGAUUUAGAUGAGUCUCAUACAAGUUUUGGUUCAUGUAUCAGAAUGCAGAAAUAAGAAAGAUAAAUCAAUUACUAAGUUCCAGUUGUUGGCUGUUGGCUGUUGACUGUUAACUGUUGACUUGUACUUACCAAGUCCAAGUGCCUCUGAACCCUUCAUGAUCCUCAGCCUCCGGCAAAAGUCCGUGAACAUCCUGAAAUUCAAACAAUCGAGAAAAAAAAAAUCAGUAAAAAAAAAUCAGUACUCAAGCAUCACUGAAAUGCAUACUCAAAUUGAAAAGUUAUAUAACAUCAAUGUCGUCCUUACUUUGCAGAAGAAUUGGUGUAAUAGAAACGGAUCGAUAAAUUCCAAGAACUGAGUAUUGAACUACACAAUAUUACCCAAUUGAGUAUGUUACUAUGAAUAAGACUUCUUAUCAUUCGCUUGGUAAUCCAAUUAUAUAACAACCAGCUUCAACAAAAAGAAUAGUGGCCAAUACUGAAAAAAUGAAUGCCGACUUGAAUAAAUCAACAGAUUAGCAUAGCAAAUGGCAUCUUGCUCCAAGCCAGGAAGAAAAUGAAGAGGAGAAGGGCACCUUCUAGGGGUCUUGCUUAUGUACCAAGGCCACUAAAAAAAUGAAGUUUGAGGGUUUCAUCUUAGCCAUCAAUUUUUUUUCUUUGAUGGAAAUUUAAUCUAAUACAAACUGCUAUGCGCUUUCCAAUUCUCAAAUCCACUUAUUACUAAUUUUUUUUCUUAUCAAGUUUAAGGUAUAGAAGCUACAAAGCCAACAACUUAGACUCCAACCUCGUUUGAUCAGAAACCUACUUAUGCAUUCAGCUUAAGCAACUAAAGCACUUCACAGUCAAGUGAAUGAGAGGGUGAUCACUCGUGUGAUUUGGGGUUUAGGGGUUUUUUUCCCUGUACAUAUUAUUUACCCCUUUUUAAUUUGUCAAAAGACUAAAUAAUCCAACUAUUUACAUACAACAUAUACAAUAAGUAAGGGUAUAAUAGUCCAAAAAAAAAAGAUAGUGCUUGUUGGUGAAAAAAGGAAGAGGGAAGUAAUGGCGCGAUGUAUGAAAACAUUCUGCAGCGACAUUAGUCGCCACUAAUGGUCUAACUUCUUUCUUUUUGUUGUAGUGCAUCUUAGUCAAGUGAAUGUCUAAAAAAAUAAUCCAUAACAAUUAUAAGUAUUGUGAAAAUCUUAUACUAAUUAUUUUGAUGUAAGCAAACAGAAUCUAAAAGGUAAACAAAAAAAAGAAAGCAUAUAAUACUUUAAUGCCAUAAUGAAAAGAUGAUACGUUAAUGCCAUAAUGAAAGGGUCACAAAAGCCAUAUCAAAGACUAUUCUCUCCUUCAACAUCUGUUCUUGCCCAACUUGCACAAUUAUCUAAUUGGUUAGCAUCAAUAACAUUAAACGGCAUGCAUUGAGUGUAUGUCUGAUCAUCAUCAUCCUCUCCUUGCAAUGUUGUUCCCAUAUCAUACAAGUCUCUUGGCUUUGUUAUAAGAACAUAAGACCAUUCUUCAUUCUUCACGUCUUGAAUAUAGAAAACUUGUUUUGCUUGAGAUGAGAAUAUGAAUAGAUCAUCUUUCAAUAAGUGCCAAGUGUGCAUUAACUUAGAAAAAUUCACAAGAACAAAGCCAUUUGUAUCCUUUUUCAUUCCUCUUGGUGACCUAAUAUCAACCCACUCACAACGAAACAAGACGACCUUAAAGUUUCCAUAGUAAUCUAACUGAAAAAUAUCUGUGAGUUUGCCAUAAUAAUCUUGUCCUUCUGCUUCAACCAUCACUCCAGAAUUCUGGGUUUUUCUUAAUUUCUCACGAUUUUUUGUAUGGAAUCUAAACCCAUUAAUAACAAAGCCACUAUAUCUCUUAGCGACAUUAUUUGGACCUCGGGCAAUUGCAAUAAUUUCCUCUGGGCAAUUGUUCUCGGCCAUCUUUGGAACCUAACAUUUUUAGUAGAGGAAAUGUCAAGUAACUUUCUGUAUUUAAUAUAAUAAUAUAAUAUACUUAAUCAAGAAUAAAGUAUAUGAUUCGCAUGAGUAUCUUGAUAUUGUUACUUAAUCCUUAUAUUUUCACGAGUAUCUCAAUUUUUUGUGCUAACCUUUGUAAGAAGCCAAUUAGAAAAAUUUUCAACCAGCCAUUUAUGCUCGAUACUUGGGUUAGCUCGAAUGUUACGAUUUGCUCUUCGCUGAGCAACCAAAAAUUCACUGCAUGACAAUUGAUAAAGUUAUAUAUGUAGAAUACAUUGAGAAAGUUAAAGUCAAUUAUAUAAUGAAAAAGUUAUAGUGAUAUUUCACCUACGAUAGGAGGAUAUCUUAUCACAAUGGAGUAACACAUAACGAUGUGCUUGCAAUAGAGAAAUUUCAUCAAGAAUAACACUCUCAAACUGUCCUAGAACUCGUCCACUAGAUGAGAACAUAUAAUCAUCUGCAUUAUGCACAUUGUCAUAGUUUCGUUGCGGUCGAUUGAAAAUUGUCUCCACACCUUCAAGAUACCUCGAACAAAAUGUCAAACACUCUUCGGCAAUGUACCCUUCUGCAAUAGAGCCCUCAGGUUGAGCUCUAUUGCGUACAUAUGACUUUAAGCGUACUAAAUACCUUCGAUCAGAAAUACAGGAUGAAGAUAUAAUAUAAUCUGAUAAUGUCAAUAAUAUUAUUCAAGAUAUUAAACCUAACAAAAUUAAAAUUCGUACCUCUCAAUUGGAUACAUCCAUCUAUAGUGUACAAGCCCACCCAAUUUUGCUUCAGAUACUAGAUGAAUUACUAGGUAAACCAUUACGGUGAAAAAACUGGGAGGAAAUAUUUUCUCCAUGAGACAAAGUGUCAGUGCAACUCGAGAUUGUAACCGAUCAAGCUCCUCAAUGUCGAGAGCCUUUAAGCAUAAUGCUUUAAAACAAGAUGAUAACUCCGAAACAAUAGCAACAACUGCUACUUGCUUGGGCAUAGCAACCCUCAAAGCUAUUGGUAGGAUGUCUUGCAUCAAAAUGUGACCGUCAUGAGACUUAAGGUUUGUUAGUGUGCGUUCCUUUAGAUUUACACCACGUGAGAUGUUAGAGGCAUAACCAUCUGGAACUUUGAGAUUCUUCAAAACAGUUAAGAAAAUGACUUUUUCAUCAGCCGACAUAGUAUAACAUGCAACAGGCAAAUGAGUUUUAUUAUUAGGCAAAACCUCAGGAUGGAGGUCAUGCCUUAUACCUAUAUCUUUCAAAUCAAGACGUGCUUUUAAGUUGUCUUUAGUCCUUCCAACAAUAUUCAACAUAGUACCUACAAGAUUAUCACACACAUUUUUUUCAAUAUGCAUUACAUCUAAAUUGUGUCGAAGAAGAUUAUUCUUCCAAUAAGGUAGAUAAAAAAAGAUGCUUCUUUUUUUCCAUAGUUGUUGAUCUACCCUAUGUACUCCAUCCUCAUCCAAGUUUUGAGGACCGUUGAUGAAAUCGUCGGCAUCCUCAAAGACUGCAACAUGGCUUGUAUUGUUAUCCUUUUCCACUAGCUCUUCAUUAAUAACGUUACGAACUUCCUCUCUUGCCCUUUUCUUAAACUUAGCACCUUUUCCAUAUUGAAAGUUGAUGCCCUCUAGUUGCCUAAGAGUGUCAAUUCUCGAUAGUGUAGUUGGAGCAGACCGCAACUCUAUAGAACCAUCAAAGUCAUCCUUUUUAAAUCGAAAUGGGUGGCUUUCUUCUAACCAUCUACGAUGGCCCAUAUAGCAAAAUUUUCCUCCAUGCUUUAGCCAACGUGAAUGAGUUGAAUUACCACAACAAGGACAAGCAAUUCGUCCUUUAGUACUCCAACCAGAUAAGAUUGCAUAGGCAGGAAAAUCAUUGAUGGUCCAAAGUAGAGCAGCCCGCAUGUUAAAGUUUUGCUUUGUGAAAGCAUCAAAUGCAUCGACACCAUUCCACAAUAUUUUCAAUUCAUGUAUCAAAGGCUGCAAAUAGACAUCAAUAUCAUUGCCUGGACCCUUCUCACCAGGGAUAACCAUAGAUAGUAUUAAUGCUGAUUUUUUCAUACACAACUAUGGUGGAAGAUUAUAUGGGAUCAGCAUAACAGGCCACGUACUAUAUGUGGAGCUCAUUGUUCUAAAAGGGUUAAAUCCAUCGCUUGCUAGUCCGAGUCUAAUACUACGAGGAUCAGAAGAAAAAUCUGGAUGGUGAUCAUUAAAUGAUCUCCAUGCUAAGGCAUCAGCUGGGUGCCUUAAGAUUCCAUCCUUUGUACGGCCUUCUUCAUGCCAUCUCAUGGAGGAAGCCAUCUUCGACGACAUAUAAAUUCUUUUUAAUCUUGGAAUCAGAGGAAAAUACCGCAAUAUUUUGGCCGGCUUUUUCUUCUUAGUCGUAUCUUCAUCCUCUCCUAAAGUGUCAUCUUCAUCUUCUUUAUUCUUUAACCACCUUGAAGAUCCACAUACAUGACAAGUUUUUUCGUUUAUCUUGUCAUUCCAAUAUNGUUGUAUUAAAAUGUAUAAUCAAAACCACAAGAUACAAGUAACUAAAUUUUAUAAAUGGAGCUACAGUCAAGUAAGAAAUAAGAUUAUAAAGCAAACUUCUCUCCGAACGGAACCGAUGAUGAACUUACCGCAGCAAAAAGAAAUAUGCAUCAGAUAGGGUAUUGGCAGUGAAAAAGAAAUGGAAUUAAUGCUUCAAAUUGAACAAGAAGUGUGCAAAAAAAAAAGCAGAUUCUACAAAUGAAAAAAAAAUAUAGCAUAUGAGAUGGGCCUCCUCUUCGACCACAACCACUCAAUUUCCAUCUUGAUUUUGCUAAGUUCAUCAUCAUGAUGCAGUCCCGAUGCAGAUCCGACCAAGCCGGCGGGAUCCGUCUUUGUCGGAUCCCGCGGGCGCUGACCCGAGCUCGGAUCGAGGUCAAAGGUGGAUCCGGGGCCGGAUCCGGCAAAACCGGACCCCGUCGGCGCCAAUCCAGCCAAGUCGGCGAGAUCCAUCUUUGCCGGAUCUUGCCGGCGUGAUCCACGCCCAGAUCUGGCUCAAAGGCGGAUCCGAGGCUGGAUCCGGCAAAGCUGGAGCUCGCCGGCGCGGAUCCGGCCAAGGCGGCAGGAUCCGUCUUUGCCGGAUCACGCCAGCGCGGAUCUAGGGUCGGGCGCGGAUUAGGGAGAGAAAUCAAGAGAGGGAGAGAGAUAAUCUGUAUGAAAAAAAAAAACACUCUCCUUGAAAAAAAAAAAAAGAGAGUACCUUGGAGGUUCGCCGGAGAAAAACUCGCCGGAGAAGAAACUUGCCGGUGGAAAACGCGUCGCCGGAGAGGAAAAAAGGAGAGAGAUGAAGAAGAGAGGGAAGGAGAGGGGAGUGAUUAGAUGAAGAAGAGAGGAGAGGAGAGUGUUUUUUUUUUUUUGGGAGUAGGAGUGGGAGUUGGCUGUGAGAGUAAUAGGAGAGUAAUAAGAGAUAUAUUAUUAAUUAUAAAAGGAUAUGAUAGAAUUGUAAUGUUUGUUUAAGGGUAAUUUCGGUAUUUUAGUAAAAAAAUUUAAGUUGUGAAACAGCUUGUGCGGGAAUCUGUUUUGGAAAAGCAGGUUUUUUCAGCUUCUGCUUUUGGAGGUUGAAGAAUCAGUUUUCAGCUUUUAGGAAGCAGAAUCAGAUUUCUAAAUACCUUUACCAAACACUCUAGCUUGGCCUAAAAGUGAUUUUCAGCUGAAAAUCACUUUGCAAAAGCUUAGCCAAACAGGGCCAUAAACCUACUUAGUAUAAGCAAUUUCCAUCAGAAUGAAUUGGUGUGAAUCAAAUUUUGGACCGCGUUCCUUUGGCCCUAACUUCAGCUACCACACAUAUAAUAUAGACUUUUUUAUCAUGAGUCUAUGCAUUAAUGACUAUGCACAAUAUCUUAAUUUUUCAUAAGAAUUUUUAUGAACAACCCACAUCUCAUAGCCGCAGCUAAAUACAAAUACACUUACAUAGGUGGUCUCCUCCAAGGAUAUGUGUAUGUAGAGUCACAUCUCUAGAAAAUUACCGCCUUAGAUUCCAUUAGAUAUAAGCUCAACCUCAAUCACUAUACAGAGUACUACUCACCGUAGGGAUGAUAGUAGAGCUAAAGCUCUUAUAUGUAGACGGUAGAAAGUGCUCUUUGGCCAAUCUGACAGCUUCUUUUUACCACAUUGAACCUUUAUAAGCAAAAUCUCAUCCCCCUCGAUGACUCCAGAUCUUUAAUCCUAUUUAGGCCUUUCAACAAGGAAUAUGCAAGAUUCUGCUCAAAUUUGGUAACAUUCAAAGAAAUAUCAUCAUGAGUAAAUAACCAUAUAACAGACUUUUGUCUUAACUUAAUAUGUUUGCUAGACUUAGAUUUAUCAAUUUCUUUUUACAAAAAUCUAUUAUAGCUUGAGUGUCACGCCCCGCCGUCCUUUCCCCAAUUUGGUGGAAGAAAUCUCGCACGGGCGCAUAUGCCAAACCCGCCGAACGGACAGAGUUGUCCUUGUUUGCUCGCCCAAGGCGUCGCAAUCAAUACAAAUUCAAGAUGUUCCAAACAGGAACCGAAUUCAUACACGGAUUGUAUAAGGAAAACAUCAUAAACAUAAACCAAUAUGCUAUUAUAAGCAUUCACAUUUCAUUCACUUAUUACGUUUUUGGUUCAUUCUUUUCAAAUACAAUCAAGUUGUUAUUAUAAUUUUCUUUCAUUCUUUUCAUUUCAAUUUCCCUAAGCUAUCUAGUAGAGGAUAUUUCUAUCCUGGUCACCAUGGUAGGGCGCUAUCUACUGAGCUGCGCUCUUUCCAUGCGCCGCCGCGCCGCUCAUGUGUGGAUUUGAAAAUUAUAGGGGUGAGAACUAUAAAUAUAGUUCCCAGUGGGUACGGCCACCCAAGGGAAGAGCUCGAUCCACCAGGUCCAAAGGAGGCAACAUAAGUAGGUUAGUCCAACAUAUAAAUAUAUGACUCAACUAUGUGCAAGUAAUUAAACAUCCAUACUUAUGCCUCAACUAAAUGCGAUAAUAAAAAUCAUGCAAGUAGAUCUACCUUUCUACUUUCUAUUUCACUAUCCACCUCAUUCCCAAUCCGCUCUAAGGUUCUUUUAUCUUAGCCAAGCUAUACCACCCGACUCAGUUUUGAGUCAAUCAUUAGCAAACUACCGCUCAUAUCCAGGCCUGAGGAGAAGGACGUCUCACAUAUACCUCAGCCUUAAAUCCACUCGACUAUAGGUUAUCCGUAGAAUGAGGGAAUACCAACAUACCCUUGACCCAACUCAUUUAUCCGGCGAGGAGAACCACAAACCCGCAAUCAUAUAUCACUGUCGGGCGAGGAGAACCACAUACCCACAGUCAUAUAUGAUUCACUGCCAGGCGAGGAGAACCACAUACCCGUAAUCAUAUAUGAUUCACUGCCAGGCGAGGAGAACAACAUACCCGCAGUCAUUAAACGCUGCCGGGCGAGGAGAACCACAUACCUGCAGUCAUGCAUCACUUGCCGAGUAAGGAUAACCACAUAGCCGCAAGUACCAGUCCUAGGGAUUAUGGAAUCCAUUUCCCAAGUCUCAAGGUUCAAAUUCACCCUAUAUUAUAUAUCAACCUUUCUAGGUUUAUAUUCUCAUGUCCAAGUGGUCAUCCUACUACUAUAUUCCAUAACCUAUGUUCAACAACACUAGGUCCUAAGUCUUUCCCACCUAGGUUCACUCGACUCUAGGUUUAAUGGCAUUCCAAUACAAGUGUUCUUCCUACCACUACAUUUCCCAAUCUAUGUUCAAUGACACUAUGUCACGCCCCGAGCCCGAUCCUUUUUGGCCGGUUCGAGAGUGUGAAACAGACGCCGAAUGGACAGAGCCUCCCCCGUCCGCCCAAGGCUCAACAACAGGUACAGAUAGAGUAUAGAAAUUGCAUAAGCGGAAGCAUACACAAUGGCUUGCACAAGGGCAAGCAAUAGCCAAGAGUGAAAGUAAACAACUACACUUAUAGAAUCUAUUACAACUUUGCAUCAUUUCUUUUUACAUCUCAUUUCAUCCAAAAUAUAACUUUUGACAUUUAAAGUAAAUAUGCCUUACAUCAUUCAUUAAGGUAAGUUCGUCAUCGAGGUACAAAAGAUAAUAUAAUAAAGGGUAUGCAACUAAGGUAAAUGAACAACUCGGGCGGUCUCUAUCUAGGGCGCGAUGCCCUUACCGCGAUCGUCCGCCGGCACGCUGGGUCCCGGCUCUGAGGAAAAAGGGGUGUGAGAACUACAACGAAGUUCCCAGUGGGUUCGGCAACCAACCACGCCGACUAUCCCACUAGGUCUAAUCAGGCAUAAUAGAAUAAAGGAAAGUAAGUAACCAACUAGCAAAUGCACUAAUAUGCCUGAACAAUAUAAAAUGAUAUGCUCAAUAUAAUGCUCAUGAUGAAUGCAAGGUCAUAGUGUCAAUACCCAAUCUCUUGGCUAACCCAUAGGUUUCGCCCUCAACAAACUCACCAACUCAAAAUCCCAAUAUUCGGGGAGAUACUCGCUACAACCCGAUGGGACCGCCCACUGGGGAGAUACUCGCUACAAUCCAGUGAUGUCGACUCCGGAGCACAUCGCCCGAGGGGGAGCUACCACAACCUCGAGCAAGGACUAAUGUGAGUACGAUCAAUCCUACAUUCGAGGAUUCCAAGUUCAAUCCAUUUCUUAACUUUAAGGGAGACUAUGCUCAAAUGACUCUUAACACUAAGGUUGAAGGUCAUAAUAUCUCGGUCGUUCUUGUUCUUGCGUUCUUUGCUAUCACCAAUGUCAUAUACGCUAUCAAGUUCUUGUACUCAUGCCACAUUUGUUUACUAAAUGUUCUAUAUUCUUGUUCUCACGUCAAAUGCCACACUUGUUUACUAAGUGUUCUAGACUCGUCGAUGCCACUUGCUAAAUCUAUGUCAUAGUGUCACUUUGGUUUACUAACCCUUCUAGGUUCUUGUCACAAUCAUGCAUACAUAGGAUUUAUAAUUCUCACAUUCCUUUAAACAUUCAACAUGCAAUUGAAUAUACAUUAUGCAAAUAAAAGCUCACAAUUUAACCCUAUUAUGCAAAAUGCUCAAGUAUACUCAUAUGCUCAAAACAUGACACUUAGACAUAAAGAGAUUUCCGAUGUCCUUGGAAUGCACCACCCACCUCGAGGGGUAGUAGUAGCAAGGUGUGAAGUCUCGUGCGCCACACGGACGUCGAACUCGUGUCCUACAACCAAAAUAGUGCCAAUUAGGCCCUAUGUACAUGAACUAUUUCCCAACAUUCUCGAAUGCCUAAACGGAGUUGUCCAACGCGUUUAGAACACCCCCAAUUAGGUUUCUACGGGUUCAAUUUGUCCCCGAAAAUCCUAGGACAAAAGCCCCAAUUUUCAAACCCUAACAAUGUCAUUUUGGCAUAUUCCCUAGAUUGAUCUCAUUGCUAAGCAAAAGAUAGCUUAGAAUCAACCUAGAAGCUUUCUAAUACCAUUCGUAACCCAUUUGAACCAACCCUAGGGCAUCUACUUUGAGCCCUAGUGAUCCACCAUGAGAGGGCUUUAUGAAAACCAUGGAUUUCAUGGUUCCAUAGCUCCUCAAGGUUUCUAAAUCUAGAAACAAGCUCAAAACCCUAAAACUUUGGAUUAAAAUCCAAACCCUAGACUCAAAUAAGUGAUUAAACUCACCUUUGUCCAAGCCCUAGCAAGCUCCUUCUUGUUGGAGAGCUUCUUGACCCUCCAAAACUCCAAAAUCCCAAGCCUCACCACCUCCUCCUUCUCUUCUUCUUCUUCUUUUAGUUCUUUAGAGAGAAAGAGGAGAGAAAAUGAGAGAGGAGUGUGUGUGUGUGUGGCUGCUGAGGGAGAGGGGUGUUUGGGGUGUUAUAGUGUUGUAACAAUUGCAACUAAACCCUCCCUUUCUUUUUAUUUGCGCCAGACCUUACUGUGCUGUCGGGGGCCUCUUGUACCGGUACACGGGGUCUUGUACCGGUACAAGGCCAAUUAGCAGGCCAAACCCGAGAGCUCGGUUCUCGGUUUCAUCGGGCUUGUACCGGUACAAGGUCCCUUGUACCGGUACAGCGCCUGAAGCCCAGCCAAACCCGAGAGCUCGGUUUCUCGGUUUCGUCGGGCUUGUACCGGUACAAGGUCCCUUGUACCGGUACAGCGCCUGAAGCCCAGCCAACCCGAGAGCUCAGUUUCUCGGUUUCGUCGGGCUUGUACCGGUACAAGGAGACCUUGUACCGGUACAGCAAUCAGAGCACUGUUCCGUGAUGGUUGUACCGGUACAGCCAUCACCUUGUACCGGUACAACAGCUCCAGAAUGCUGUUUUUCGCUUUUCCUCGGCUCUAUUUCGCGUCGGUCGAUGCUAAAAGCAUUAUAAGUCUUUCCAAACUCAUUUGUCCCCCUUCCAACUCGUUGGAAUGCAAGAGGAACUGGUUCAUCGCUUUCCUUCGAUGCUUUAACCAAUUUGGUCAAAGUUCGAAUAUCGUUUCCAGGUUUUGAUACGUUACAAAAGGUGUUUCUUUUGGUGGAGCUUUGGGCUCAUCUACUUGUGCAGAGUUGGUGAAGCCACACGANAAUAAUUCCUUAUCAAACAAACAGAAUAAAAUUUCUAUAUUUAAAUUAAGAAAAUAAAAAUGACCACAUCCUUUUUCAAAUCAACAGCAUGCAAAGUGUUGAAAAAAUAAUAGAGUGAAGACAAGAAAAGAAAAAUUAAACAAUGGUCUACAAGGUUAGCUAUUGUGAUAACCUUGUAGACGACAUACUUACCAUACAUGCACUAAAUAUAUAAAAAAAAAAAAAAAAGGUAUGAAGAAAUCUAGAAAAUAUGCCAAGCAGCAAAACAAUUCUUUAUUCGCAUAUAAUCAAAUCAAAUGUAGAUAAAUUGACCGACAUUCAUCAAAAUCAACUGAUAUUGAAAAGUUUGGCGAAAACAGAAUACUGACUGCGUCAUUUUCCAAACGAGGACAGCACCAAAAGCACUUUCAGUCAAAUCUUUAUAAGCAGUGCACAAAAUACUUCUACAAUUCUCUGGAGCAGUUAACUAUAACGAUAAGCAAUUGCUAGACAAAAAUUUGGCAAUGAAUAGUAAAAAAGGACACAAAUAGGCAUUCACAAUUUGGCAAUGAAUUGUGAAUGCUCUUUUUUUUUUUCCCCUGCAAUUGAUCUAGUGUGCAUCUAACCAAAUUUUUUUUUCUUUUUUCAUAAAAAUAUGAAGAAAUAACAUAGCCCCAUCAUCAAUUAAAAUUAUUACUAAUUAUGAACAAAAAUAUAUAUAAAAUCUACAAUAAUUAUUUGCAUCCAAAAUUAAUUUAGUACAAUAGGAGUCCUAAUUAAAGACACAAAAAACACCAAUCAGAUCACACAUUUUAGACAAGAUAUAUCACAAACUUCUUUCUCAAUAAAAAAAAUAUGCUUACCCUAAAAUAAAAAAAAAUAUGCUAAAAUAAACACAUAGUAAACUAACCUCCAAUGUGGACUGCAAUUAUAGAAUGAUAUCUUAGUCCAUAGCAAGUAGCCAAAGGUUGUAUUUUUCAGUUGAAGAUUGCAAAAAUCCUCCAAUAUGCAUGCUUCGUACUUAAAAAGAUUUAGCCCUAAUUCUUGAGUGCCUUUGCUCUUCCCUUCAAAAGAGUAGAAAAAUUUGUAAGGUAAGGAAGAGCACCCUAGAGAUACAAAGAAAAAAAAAUAUUUUCACAAAAUAAAUAAAUAAAUAAAAGGAAGAGAGUAACUUGGAGAAGAAGGGGGUGGAAGCAGAGUUAGGGCAACUACAAUCCAAAGCGAAAGCAGAGUCGGCGGCGACUGGAGCAGCGAGGGAGAGUCGGCAGCAACGGCGACAGUGACGACGACGGCAACGGCGACGGCAAUGGCGACGGCCGCAGUGAGGGCGACGGCCGCGAUGAGGGCGAAUGGCGACGGCCGCGGUGAGGGCUAACGGCGACGACCUUUCCCUCUGUUUUUGCUAAUAAUAGAGGGAGAGGGAUAGAGCUAGAGAGAGGAGGAGAAUCUGGUGGUUUUGGGGGAAAAAAAAAGUGGGUUUUGUGGUUUCGGGGAAAAAAUAAGUGGGUUUUGUGGUUUCGGGGGAAAAAGAAGUGGGUUUUGGAAGAUUUUUUUUGCUCUGGACCCCAAGGCGCGAACGGGAAAAAGUUCCCGCACAGGAACUUGGCGACACGAGGCGUUACAGUCGCAAUAUUAACGACAGAUGGUUAAAAGUGCCGACCCGCUACGCAUGCAUCGGCAAAAAAGCGUAGCUACAAGCUACUUUUUCUGUAGUGGUGGAACCUCAAAAUCGUUGUCAAGUGAAUCUUAUAAUAUCCUCACAUCAGAAGCCGAUCCUUCUCAGCCCUACAUAUACAAAAUGAAGAUCAAAAUCAUAAGCAACCAUAACAUUUUAUAACAAAGUUUGUUUUCUAUUACGAUAUAGUUCUUACAAACUUGUCGAGAUUUUUAUACGAAUAUAUAUACCAUCUAUAACACCAAUAUGGUUCUGAAAUUUGUAAAGAAAAAGCUAUUAACUUUAGUAUACUCAUUCUUGUUGUUACAUUUUAUUAUUAAUAUGAAUUUUAUUAACCUUGUAUAACCUAUACUUGCAUUUAUAGUUGUGCAUGUGAAUUUACCACUUCAUUUAGUUUGCAUUCAUUGUGAACUUAUAUGUGAACCUACUUCAAUAAGGUGAAUAUAAUUAAGUUCAUUUACGUAUGUAAACUCCUAUAGCACUAACUAUGUAACCUAUGGGUUUAAUACUUUCGUAACCUAUACUUUUUAGAGCCUAUAUAUAGAGAGCUCUUUUUCUCUAUUCAAACACAACUCAAAAAACUAUAAAGCUAUUUCUAUUAUACUUGAGAGAGAGAAGGUCAAAGAAAGGUGUUUCUUUUGGUGGAGCUUUGGGCUCAUCUACUUGUGCAGAGUUGGUGAAGCCACACGAUGAGGGUCGAGCCGUUGUAUCCUGGAGGGGACAAGUCAGUGCUCUGCUGCAUCGGUUCAAAGGCUUUGCCAACCGCAGAGGGCUUGAAUCUCCUUAAAGAGAGCGAGAUAUCCGUGCCUCGGCUUGAUCGACUCGUUGAUAUUUUUUAAAUUAUUUUGUAGCUAACCUCUAUUUUUUGAAUAUUUACACCAACAAUUCUCAAUAUUGAAUUAAAUAUAAAAAAUUUUAAAAAAUCAAGAGUAUCUCAAAAUAAGAAAAAAAAUUGAAUUAUUUUUUAUUUUUGACCGGGUGAUAGAGCAUGGCAAACAAAUAAAAUCUCUACUGAGUUAUGCAACUGCAUACAACACUUGACGAAAAUGUCGACUAGUAGUUUCGCCACUAUGUUGAAACCGUUCUUGUAAAGUUCGGUUACUUACAUUUUUUGUUAAGGUGUUUAAAAACAAAGCUAUCUGCUUUUCAACGGUGACGUAUCUUGUGUCACGUAGAAAACCUUUAUCUUUCAAACAUUUUAUUAAUGAAUGAAAAAUGUGAGUUUCUAUUCAAAACUCUCUCUUACAUCUAAGUUCAUGACCCUGGAAAACUUUAUUGACAUAACAUGCUCUUGUUUGAUUUGAGGUGUGAAUAUGUGUUCUCGCUUGGUUAUUUAUUAUAGAAAAAAAGGUAUGUCACGAAUUAUCCUUUAUCUUUUUUAUCUUCGUCCAAUAAUCAUAGUCUUCUUACUCUCUUCUCAAAUAAUUUUUAUGUCAUCAUAAUGGCUAAUUUGAUCGCUUUUGAGUGUAUAUAUGAGAUUCAAAUUGCUCUCAUGGAUAAUUUUGGAAAAGUUAGCAGUUAGUUUUAUUUUUCAAAAAAGUAGCCAAUUUUCAAUCCCGCGAAAAUUAAGUAUUUAUCCAAAUAUAAAAAAAUAAAGUAAAAUAUUUUAGGGUAUUCAAAAUUUCAUACCAAUCUAAUACAACAUAAUAUAAAACUCCUUUUUAAAUUCACGUAAUUGCCAAACGGCCCCUAAUAGGAAAAAGACAAGGCGGCGGAAAUAGAGGAGAAUGUGCUGGUCCGAUAUAUCCGGAUGAUACUGAUACCAGCGCUGUUCUCCGCCAACCAACCAUCACUCCCGCAGCCGCAAGCCGAAACGCCAUCAUCAUCAGCAAGAAGAAGAGGGAGAGCAAAACCUUCUCCUUUUUUUAUGAUCAAGAGAUGGCGGUGCUCCGGAUAGGGAUGGCGGCCGUUGUUUCCGCCACGCCGCCCUCCGCCGCCCGCUCCCACCGCCGUUUCCUUCUCCAUCGCCGCCGUUCCUCCGCCUGCGCCGCCGCCGCCGCCUUCCCCUUCUUCCCACGUCUUCCCUCCUCCGCCGGCCGCCGCCCCGCGCCUCCCGUCUUGGCUUCCGCUCCCGCCGUCUCCGCCGAGGCCCCUGCUCCUACCUCUGCCGCCGCAGGUUCCAUUCCUCUGCUUCUUCUCCUACUUCUUCGUCUAGCUUAUUAUUGGCCAUUUGCUCCACUCUUCUGGUGGUACUUCGUCUAUGAUGCUAGUGAUGCGGUCUCUUGGUUUGGAUUAGAAUGCUUUGUGUGCAGGUGUCCAGUAACUGAAUAUUUAGUAUCUUCUUGAUUAGCCAAAUUUGUCUAAAUUGAGUUUGAUAUUCAAAGAGUUUGGUCAUUGAUGCUAGUUCUAUUGAUUUACUCAAGGCAGUUGGGAUAUAGAAGGAAAGGAGAUGGAAGAGGGAAGCUUACUUGUCUGUGUUCUCCUUUUUUGGUCACUAACUCAAUUAUUAUCUUUUCGCUUGCGAAAUAGUUUUUGCUUUGCUACUGAAUGGCGGUGAAUGUGCAGUUGCUUGAUGUUGAUUAGAAAUGCUUUGUUCGCAAGUGACAAGUAACUGAAUAUUUUGUGUCGUCUUGCUUAGCUAAACUUGCUGAAAUUGAGUUUCAAAUUUAAAGAUUUCGGUCUUUGAUGCUGGGCUUGUUUGGUUCACCUAUCUUAGACUCUGGAUUCAGAAUAGGAUAGUGAUUUCGAUAGUUGUUGUUUGUUUUACAAAGGGCAGAUUCGGAUUCCCAUUCUACUUUGGAACUGGAAUGACUGGUUCUGAAUCCUGGAUUGAUCCAUUUUAGAGUAAACCAUUCAAAUCCCUCUCUAACAAACACCUACCCCUUCUCUCUCUUCAUCACUCUCCUCUCCCUUAACAAAAGCCUUCUUUCAAAAUCCUAGGUGUCCCAAUUGUCCUUUCCGAUUUCCAUUCCAAUAAUGAACCAAACAUUUGUGGAUGAUUCGUCAUUCCAUUUUUCAUUUCCCAUUCUCAUUUCAAUCAUGAACUAAACAUGCCCGUAGUUACUGUUUUAAGUGUUUGAGGCAUUGCACAAGGACAAAUGGAAGAAGGGAAGCUUACUUGUUUCUUCUUUUAUUUCCUCCCCCCCUCCGUGAAGAGUAGAGUUCUAGUGUGAUCUUGAAAUUAGUCACUGUAUUAUUCUUAUUUAUUCACGUGUGAGGUAGAUUUACUUUAUGCCAAGAAUUUUUGUGCCACUGACAUGGGGUGUGCCUGUGUGACGUAGGUGUGGCAUGGCACAACCGCACCUCUCGCGCCAAGGCACGGUUCUCCAUGCUAGUGGAACACAACUAGCACACUAGCACAGAUUUAGUUUUUCGUGAAAAUUAUUUUCUUGGAGCAGUUUAAUGCCUCUUAUGUCUUUAAAAAUGCUCCAAGUGUUAAUAUUUCACAAUUUUUUUUUUUUUGAGAGAUAGGUAGCACGCUACCCGCUUCGUUUAUUUCAUUUAGAAAUAAACUUAGCUGAAAAUGUGAAUUAACUAGGAUUUGAACUUGGGACCUCGGGUACCAACCACCAAGUCCUUUGCCACUUGCUCUAGAGACAGUCGGUAUUUCACAAAAUUUAUUAAGAAUAGAAUUGUAGAUUUCUUAGUAACUAAAGAAUACCAUAUUAACGUAUCGUAAAAAUACAUUAAUAUAGACGAAAUUAAAGUCAUAAAUGAAAGAAAAUUAUAGGAAGACACUACCAUCACUAGAUCAAUAUGACAAAAGAUUGGUAGCAAUCUUCAUUUUUAGUUUUUUUUUUUUUUUUAACUACAUCUUGGUCUAAUUAUGCAACAGGAUCCAUUAUUUGCUCCAAAAAUUUGUAGAUUUAUAAGAUCUACAUUUUUUUAGUCAAAAGACCAUUAGAUAACCUUUUCAUUUCAAAAAAGAAAACUGAAAAAGGGACCCAAAAAAUGCAAAAAAAAAGACGUUUUUGUAUAGCAAGACCUUAUGCCACGUGUAGGCACAACCUCAACACGAUAUGACAAUGUUGGCAUGGGGUGGCAUGGCCAGCAUGGGCAAUCCUUGCUUUGUGUAGUCACUAGUCAAUAUUGGUUAAUUCAGUUAAUGCCUUUAGUGUUACACUUUAAGCCUGCUGCAUAAGCAUUAAGGCCAUAUUUGGAUGCAUGAAUAUCUUGUUUGUUAUAUCUUCUUGAUUUACUAAAGAAAUUUGUACAUUUGGUAGGUGAGGAGUGUGAUCAAAUAUUUAGAAUUGAAUAUUAUAUUCUGCCUUCAAGUUAUGUUUUAGAAUACGAUAAAUCACCUCAUAAGUGAAAUAUGCUAUUCUACCAAAUCAUGAAUACCAAGACCUUCUAUGUAAUAAAAAAACAAACCCCUUUUGUACAGUCACACUAGAAAAUCUUCAUAGCUAAUAAGUUAUUCUUGGGUAAAUUAUUCUGAUAUCCAAACUGGGCCUAAAACUUCCAGUUGUUAGAGAAAUGUGAAUUAAAGAAAACCUCUCUUGCAAGGUUUAAAGUGCAGUGGCACGGAGGCGUGUCGCUGCCUGCCUGGCAUGGUACGGCACCGGCACGCUUCCGUGCCGACACAUGGUACGCUUGCGUGCUGAUGGAUACGCAUGACCUCCUACUGGCACGCUUUGCGUAACGACCCAGCCCACUAGCAACAAUAACUCGUUGGGCCCAACAACCGGCCCAAAAUGCUUAAGCCCAGUUAUUAUUAGUAGUGUCUAAGUCUCUUAUAAACCCAAUGACAACCCCAUUCCCAUCCGAUGUGGGACUACUGGGGUGUCACAGACUCCCCCCGUUAAGGCCCUGACGUCCUCGUCAGUCCAAUCACACACAGCCCAAGAUCACUAGGUGAUGUGAGACUCGUCUCGCUAGCCCGUCAUCCAGACCCUGGUUCAGCCGAGACUCGCUACACAUGUCCAGCUGGUGAACCGGCUCUGAUACCAAAAUGUAACGACCCAGCCCACUAGCAACAAUAACUCGUUGGGCCCAACAACCGGCUCAAAAUGCUUAAGCCCAGUUAUUAUUAGUAGUGUCUAAGUCUCUUAUAAACCCAAUGACAACCCCAUUCCCAUCCGAUGUGGGACUACUGGGGUGUCACACUUUGGCACGGACUUAUUUCAGUUUUUUUGAUUUCAAUAAACUCUUAUAAUAUUAUUUUGAAAGAUUUAAUUAAUUAAUUAUGAAUAUUUGCUAUGUAUAGCUUACUAUACUCAUCAAUUAACAUACUUGUAAGCUUUUUUGUAUGUAAAGUACAACUAUACCUGAUGCAGAAUAGAAAUUUUUACAGGUUAGAAUUUUUAAAAUGCAAAGACAUCCUUUUUUUUUUCUUUUGACCAUAUUACAGUCUUUCUUUUAUUAAAUACUAAAAAAUAAUUUUUAAAAUUAUUUUAAAAAAAUAUUUUUAAUUAAUUUUUUAAAAAAAUUGCUAGAUCUAUCAAAAAAUUAAGCGAUAAAUUAUAUGAAAAAUAAAUUAAAUAAAUUUAAAUAUCAAUUAAUUUAAUUUAACUUUUAAUUUUAUCAGUAUUUUCAAUCUUCUAACGCAAAAAUAAAAUUUUAUAUUUGAUGUGCCUUAAAAUUUAUUUAUUGAGUUCGAUUUUGUUUUCCUAAUUUGGCAAAAGUUUCGCGCUACGACAAAUUUUGAUAAAAUAAUUUGUGAAGAAAAAAGGAUGUUUGUGGGGGAAGCGGAGGGAUUGGAUAUGUAAAUUAAAAAUUUGCCCUCUAUUGAUAAACAAAAAUAAUUAAAUUAUAAUUUUUUUGACUUGCCUAACAAAUAGGUUUUCGAUUUGCAAUAUUUUUUGGGGGUUGUAGGGUACCCAGAAUGCUUCAGGUACCCUAAAAAAUAAAACAAACAAAAAAAAACAAAAAACAAAAAAAAAGCAAAAAAUUUUUUUUGCACAGUGCCGUACCACGGCACGCAUUGCCGUGCCGCUCUGUCUCAUGCGGCACAGGCCUGCAUGCCGUGGCACGGAGGGGGGGGUCCGAGACCCCUCCUGUACCGUGCCCUUUUUUUGGUGGCACGGUACGUCCGGCACCGGCACGAUGCGGCACAGUACGUGCGGCACCGGCACUGUGCGGCACAGCCGGCACUUGAAUCACCGCCGACACUUGAAUCCUUGCUCUCUUGUUUAUUCUUGACACAUUUAGUAAGCUAAAGAUACUUAUAUUGACAGUAAAUGAGUGGAAGUUUUAAUAUUGAGAGGCAAAUACCUGUGGUAGUACUGUAACUUAACUAUGUAGAGCUUAAAGUUUAAGUAUUAUCAGUUACUUAAUGCCAAUGAUUUAAGUGCCCAUCAGGAUGGGCCAUAUCUACCGUGUCGUAUCGUGACAACAAGAUAUUGGUAUGAUAUAGCCCCCGUGUCGAUGGCAUAGCUCAAAACUCUCUAUUCUUUAAAUUAAUAAGUAAUUUUCUCAAUAAAGUUGAAAAUAUUGGACAAAAAUAUAUAAUAAACAAUUAGAAUAUUUUGUUGCUCAAGAAAAUAAAUAUUUCAUGUUGUGUGUCGGCACAGAUGAAUUUUUUGUGACCAGCACACAUCGGCACGGCCCGGCACGCACCGUGCAGUACUGUACUGGCAAGUUUUCGGCACGACUUUGUGCCACGACACUUAAAUCCUUGCUUAAUUCUACCAAAUUGUUAUAUGGUUUUAUUGUGAUGUACUAGAAUGUCGCCAAUUAGUCGGAUUUUUGUUAAAAUUCAAACCACACCAUACUGUGUUGGGAAUCGGAUGGAUCGUCCGUCAUGCGUAUCAACAAAGAUGCACGAAAAAAUAGAGAAAGUCGAACAAACGGUAAAAAAAAUAAAUGCAGAAAGAAGACGCCAAGAUUUACGUGGUUCGACAAUUGCCUGCGUCCACAGGGAGAGCGAGAGAGAUGUAUUCCACUAAAUGAAGAAACAGAAGUACAAGCUUAUACCUUAUGUCUUCUCCAGAUAAAAAACCAAGAACCUUGUGGUGAAUCCUACCUUCCUCUUGUUCCAACGAAAACUCCAAGAAUAACCGGAAAAUGCUUUUCGUAAAACCGUAUUGAGAAGACUAAAUUAGAGAAGUAUAGAAAACUGUGACCAAAAUCCUUUAAGCCGUUGCUUCGAUGAAUCCGAACCGCUCAGGCAAUUGGUCGAGAACCUCCGCUCCGCUGUCGACUCCGAUCCAGACGUCGCAUGUAAGGCUGCCUCUCUCUUGCCAUCGUACGGCCACCCGGCGUCGUGAAUUAAUUAGCCCGUGUAUACUAAUUAAUUUUCCCACAUAUGCACGCACGCCGUUCACGUCCGUACAUGCAUAUAAAUAGAUGCAUUAGCCGGUCAAAGUCAACUCUUAAGUUGAAUUAGGAGUAGUUCUCAGCAGUAGAGCCUCAAUCCGAGCCCAACUCUCAUCCGACUUAAAUUGGAAUCCAUCAAUGAGAAUCCACUUUAGACCUCUCAUUAAUUUCUAUGAACUUGGUGCAUGGACCAAACCAAUAAAAAGGCAUAUCUUUAACAUUCGGAACAUAAACAUCCCUAAUUCCAGGUCUGCUGUAGUUUGCACGCUAUUUUUAGAAGUUAAAUUGUUCAUAUACCAUUCAUUGAGAUAUCUUUUGCUUUUGCAGUUCCUUAUAAAGGAGUAGAGAAUUUGGUGAUAGUAGGUUCUGGUCCAGCUGGAUACACUGCAGCAAUUUAUGCAGCACGUGCAAAUUUGAAGCCAAUUGUAUUUGAAGGGUAUCAAAUAGGUGGUGUUCCAGGAGGGCAAUUAAUGACCACUACUGACGUUGAAAAUUUUCCUGGAUUUCCAGAUGGAAUAAGUGGUCCUGAUUUAAUGGAUAGGUAUCUUAGUUAUUCUUGCAAUUUGUAAAUGCAUUUGAUAUUCUGCCACUUGCUGCUGUGGUCCUGAUUUAAUGGUUAAGUAUCUUGGUUAUUCUUGCAAUCUGUAAAUGCAUUUGAUCUUCUGCUUCUUGCUACUAACUUGGUUUAUCUUUUCAUUCUUUGUGUGUUGUUGCAUGGAUUAGAAUGCGACAACAAGCUGAGCGUUGGGGUGCUGUGCUUUUUCAAGAAGAUGUUGAAUUUGUUGAUGUGAGAAAUAGUCCAUUUACCAUCCGCAGCAGUGAACGCCAGGUUAAAUUUUUUGCAUAAUGCAAUGUUAAUUUCUUGUAAAUGUAGCGUUCAGGACAUGAGAGUUGCAGGAUUUGUAGUAUACGGUAAUUGUGUUGCUAUUGAUUCUUUUUUCCUGUCUUCAAGCAGAGGUCGUCAAAAAUAUGGGAUUAAAAGGGAUGAGAUAAAAGGAGUAGUGGUCAGCCCAUAAAACAUCUUUGUCUAUUAACUAGUUGUAGACGUCAUUUAUUAAUCUAUUAGGUUUCUUCUACCUAAUUGUUAUUUCAAUUCCAUGAAAUCUUCCUUUUCAUGUUUGAUAGUUGAAUAUUGAAGCCCCAUCAUCAUUAUACCUGAAAUUAAAAGGUAAAAGAAAAAUCUAAUAAUGACAUAGUCAGAUUGAGAUGCAAGGUGUUGGGAAUCCGGUACUCGCCCCAGUACCGGAUUUUGCGAAUCUGCAACCCGCUCCGAUACCGACUGUUGUUGAUCCGGUACCGAUUGUUGGGAUUCCGCAACGGAAGCGUCGAAUCGGGUUUUUACCAUAAACCCGUCUCUUCAGCAGAAGCUGAUACAAUCACAAAAGAGAGAAAACUCAAAACAAAAAAUAUGCGGAUAAAAUAAGAUUCAUUAAAUAAGAGAAAAUUACACUUGACUCCUCUUCUGCAACUGAGUAGCUACAAUCCAAGCCCUUUUUUCUGAAUCUUUUCUACCAUUCUCCCGUCUUCUAUAAACCCACAAAGAAGACAACCCUUCACUUUUUCUCUCUCACAUGCACCCGUGCACUAGGUGCAUGCAACUCAUGGCCAAACUUCUCUUUGGUACGAUCCACCAAUGUCUUCAAGACACCUCACUAUACAAUCACGCCCCGGGACCCGGCAUAGGCCCGCCCGAGGCGCGCCCAGACCCGCCAAAUGCCUGCACAUAUAAGGCAUCUACAACGAUAGAGAUAUGAAAGUAAGGAAAAAGUAAGACAACUAAAGAUAUCAGAGCAACCAGCAGCUAAAAUUCUAACAACAAGUAGAGGAAAAGAAAGCUAAUCUACUAAAGUAAAACGUAAGGUAAAUACAACAUCUAUCUCAAAAUACAAAAGGGGGUGGUUUCUACACAUGGUACAACUCUCAACUUCUCCAAAAUAAUAUCAAUAAGAGGUAGACCAUCUAUCGAUACGUCCCUCGCCAAAGAGCUAGCUCGAAGCGACGCCCUUUCCGUGGUCCCUAGCCUCGCCCGGUGUGGAAGGCUCUGAAAGGAAACAAGAAACAGGGGGCGUGAGAACUAUAAUUUAUAGUUCCCAGUGGGCAAUUACUGACCUCAACGCAAUGCACCACUAGGCCCCAAAAAGUAAGGGUAGAUACGGAAAGUAAUAAUACUAACAAAAUAACUGCGGGUAUGAAAGCAUGAAAUAUGUGCUAAAUCACUAUGUCAUAAGUAACAUGAUAUCAACAUUUUGUACAUUCACUCUAUCACGAUGAAGUAAGUCCAAUGCAUGACUAAUAUGUUCCAACAUAAUAAGCAAUAGGCAUUAUGAUCCGAUCUAUCAAUAUAUGAUGAACAUACUCUAUUAUGGCAACCAAGUAUACUAUGAUGCAACAAGUAAAACUAUCAAGUAUACUACAUGUCCCAAAGCUAUGCUAUAAGCAUGUCAAAGUAAUCAAACUACUAUGCCUAUCUAGUAGUGAUUGUCAUAUCCCGGUUUAAUGUCAUUUUUCUAUCAUGUUCUAGGACCUACAUAAGUGUGGUCCAGCUUGUGCCGUCUAAGUGUUGGUGGUAGCUCCAGCAUUCCCACUCUAGGAAUGAGUCUAUCCUUUCCGACCCCGUAGGUUUCUCGAUACUGCACGAGCGAGCAUAAGUCGCGUAGGCCAACUCCGUAGUGCCGGCUUGUAAAGAGCGACCCUCACAAGCAUGUGCGAAUGAGCACAAAUGGCAAACAAGCGUAGUCAAUAGCUCAAGUAUCCAAUCAUCAUGUCUCUAACAUGGUAUAAGCCAUUAGCAACCCAACGGUCUAGUUCUAUGUCUCGAGUGAAGUUCCAACAUACACUAUGUUUAGUACCUCUUUAUGACACUUAAACAUUUACAUAACCCAUGCACACUUCACAUUCUAUGCCGCUUUAUGGCACUACCUUACUAGAUUCACAAAUAACCCGAGCUCAAUGCCGCUUUAUGACAUUAGUUCCAUAGUUCGCGAAUAGUGCAAGUUCCAAGCCUCUUUAUGGCUUACUAAAAUUCCUUAUGUCUCAUUUAGGCAUAGGUUUAAAUGCAUAAUACAAGUCUCACUUUCAUCAUAGGAGAAUAAGGUUUCAAGUUCAACUAGAAUGCCCGAACACAUGCAUGAAUCCCUUUAUGCAAGCUCUCUACUACAUAGAAGUCCAAAAAUUUUAUUGUACACAACAUAGGAAUUUUAAACAUUUUAAAAUUCAUAAAUAAUGCAUCUGACAUGAAUGUGCAUGAUUUUCCAUUUUACAAUACUCAAAUCAUCAUAAAUGAGUUUUUCUUAUUAUACGGCUAGGUCAAACCCACCGAACGGUGCGCAACCCUUCGUUUGCUCCAACGAACGUAUCCACUAAGCUCCUAGCACCCUAGAAGCAUCAAAAGGUGAGCUACAAGAAGUAAACGAACAACUACUAGCUCAAACAUUAACCUACUAGGCAAAAGGGCCAAAAAUCUCACCUAUAGUGUAAAAUCCCUCUUUAUAGCUCAAAUGGAAGUCAAAUCCCUUCCAAAGCAACCUAAACCAAGGUUCUAAUCCCAUUAGAUUAGUUCCAAAAGCCUCUAAUCAAAAAGCCCCAAAUAAACCCUAGUUUUCCAAUUCCUAGGGUUUCAUCUAGUUUCAAGCAUCAAAACUAGAAUCUAGAGGAAAGAAAGUUGCUACUUACCUUUUAGAAGCUUCGAUCCAAGCUCAAGGUUCACCAAGUGUGGAAAUCUCCCUCUUCUCAAGCUCCAAACCCAAGGUCCAAGUUUCUCCAAGGUGGAAAAUACACCAAAAAGCACAAAGAAGGAAUUAAUCCUCUAAAAACCAAGCAAAAUGGAGAUCAAAUCCAAAGAGGGGAAAAAGAGAGGCUCCCCUACCUUAUCUCCUCAAUCCUCAGCUCAGGGAAAGCCCUAAGGGGCGUAGGUGCUGAUAUAGAGAGGCUACAAUCACAAAAACACCCCUGCAGUUCGGCCAGUUCAGAAACUGCCAAAGUGUACCGGUACACGGGCCCGUGUACGGGUACAAGCCCCACGAAAUUGCAACCUGAGGCUCGGGUUGGCGGGGUAAUCGGCCGUGUACCGGUACACGACCCUGUACCGGUACAACCAUCAACCCUGUACCGGUACAGCCACCAACCCUGUACCGGUACACAUCCUGCUGAAGGCUACCUGAGAGCUGACCAAAAAUCCGACUUUUUGGCUUUUGGCGCUAGGCUUUAAACCUCAAUUCUCGGGAGUCGAACCAUAAGUCGGAACACUGUCUACGACCCUCCACAGAGUGUGGAAAAAGCUCGGAACACAAAUCAAACACUCGAACCUCGCGAUUUGCAAAGGUCCAGUGUGUUACAUAUACCCUCCUCAAGAAUCUCAACUUGGCCGGACUACUUCUUAAGCUCUCCACCAAUGGAGCUAUUUAUAAAGCUUACAUCAAAACGUACCCGAAUCCUAAUAUAUUUAGGAUUACGUACCCCAAUCCUAAUAUAUUUAGGAUUCCUACUCCAAUAAAUAUUUAAAUCGUAAUUGAUUUAUCUCUAAUAGAUUUAAAUAUUUAUCCUAAUCUAGUUAGAUUCGUAUGUAAUUAAUAUUUAAAUCUUAAUUUAUCUCCAAUAGAUUUAAAUAUUAAUCCUAAUCCAACUAGAAAAUUAACUACAAAUCUAACCAAAUCCUAACACAAGGUCUACUGUAAAACCAUGUAUCACUUGUUAUGUAAAUCUUGUACGCAGAACUCUUAUAAUUGAGAUGAAUAUAUAAAUCAAGCAGAGAUCAUGUAGAUCUUCUUGCUUUGCAUGCUUAGACCUGCAAAAAUAUCAUAGUUAAUUAAAUUCACUGAUUAAAGAGUUUACCUUCGAAAAUUAAGUCUCAGUGCAUAAAACUUUACCAACUAGUAAGAAAUUAGUCAAUACGAGAGAAGUGAUUUGCAAUUUCAAAGCAGCAUGAAUGGGACGUAAAAAUUGUUAGACGAACCGAGGGACGGAAAUAGAGAGGAGAUGGAGCACUCUCUUCUAAACUUCCAAAUUAUUUGUCCUCAGUCCAAAAGAUUCAGAAUUGCCUACUUCCCCUUUUCAAUGUUGAACCAGCUUAAUAGUCAUAUCUUUUUUGACUAUUAAGUGCACAGUGAGCCAAUUGCAACAAAAGAGAAAGUGAUUUGGUGAUUUCAUAGUUCCUAGCUGAACCUGACAAAAAAAAAAUUGAAUUGCCAGAAUUGCUCAAUGUUGUUUCAGUUUAAACAGCGAAAACUGUUUCGUGAUUGAUUGGCCUUACUGGUACUUUCUUAAGCUGUGCAACAUGAUUUUACUAUCUGUAGAUUACUGAUUUGUUAAUGAGGAAAGCAAAGCGGAAUGGUGGGAAGAGGAAAGUAGUUAUGAAGCGGAAUGGUGGGAAGAGGAAAGUAGUUAUGAAGGCUGGUGUAGUGAAGAUUGAGACUACUAGUUUGCUGAAAGCAAGAAGAUAGGAGUUUAUGUUAGAAAAAGAACUAGAGGCAGCUUCGUCAUCAAAUGUAGUAUUGUUUUUGAAUUUUAGUGCCCCUUGUAGAAUCCAAGGCAGGAAGAAUCUUCCUGUGCUGUAAUUUGUGUUUGUUUUGGUAAUAUUUUCUGUUUUUCCUUGCUACUAUCUUUUGGAAUGUAUGCAUAAUGGACUUGUGCAGAAACCAACCUGUUGGAACAGGAUCAUCUUGUACGUCAAUCUUAUGCAAGAAGCACAUUAUUCAGGCAAUAUUUGAGAGAAUAAUUAACAAACUGUAGAUGGAACAAGCUAGAUAAAUAAUGGGAUGUGUGUGGGUCGAUGAACGGCAUAGAAAAUGAUAGUAAUAGCCCAAAUAUCCCCACAUUGAAAGAUGACGGGAAACUAUUUCUGUACUGAAGGAUUAAGAUACUAAUUUAUAUGCAUUUUGGGCCAUGUGAUUAUGGGUGUGCUAAAACUAAUAGGCUUGUUGGGUUGUUAGGAUGAUAAAGGCCUGUAGGCCCAAGGAAGAAAAUUAAUUUUGUAUAUCUUAAAAGCCAUUGAUUACAUGUCCUACAUAUGAUACUGACAUACACUUUUUGACUCGUAUUACGCUGGGACCCUCCCAAUCUUGUAAAAUAGGAAGCAAAUAAAUCAAUUAUGACAAUAUUGGAUACAAUACUAUUCAACUUGGAUUUGGAUAUUCUUAUGCCAAGCUUGGAACUUGAAACAUGAAUUCAGGUUUUCUUUAUUUGCAUAUUGUAGGUAAAAUGCCAUAGUCUUAUCAUAGCAACAGGGGCAACUGCUAAAAGGCUUAGGUUACCUCGUGAGGAUGAAUUUUGGAGUAGAGGUAUAAGUGCUUGUGCAAUAUGUGAUGGAGCGUCACCGCUAUUUAAGGGACAAGUUCUUGCUGUUGUUGGGGGAGGUGACACAGCCACCGAGGAAGCUUUGUAUCUGACCAAAUAUGCUCGCCAUGUACAUUUACUUGUUCGUAGAAAUCAUCUGCGGGCAUCUAAAGCUAUGCAAGAUCGGUACAUAAACUUACCUUUUUAUAUGGUUCUUGCAAUUUCAAUGCAAAGUGCUUCUUUUUCCUUCUCAAAUGAACUUCAUUAGCUUCAUCUCUAGAAUUUUGUCAAUACUCUGUAGGUGAUGUUUAGUAGACUUGUUUGUCUUGUUUCUUGUUUGUUUUUUCUAAUAGAAUCAGGUCACUUGUAGUGAUUUCUAGUAAGACUGAUGCGUAAUUCAACAUUUGAGAAAAGCUAGAUGGUUUCUUGUGAAGGUAAAAAUUUCACAAUCUCAUGUAGUCUAAAUAGCUAAUAAAAGGUUAUUUCAUGUAUAUUCUUUCUUUUCCUCCGGUGUUAAUUGAUAUGUUGUUUUUAAUAUAAGCAAUACACCUAAGUAGAAAUUUGAUAAAACGGCUCUCCAUAUGGUGGAUUCAGAUUGGUUCGUCACAUCAACACAACUGUUUUUGCACUAUGCAGAACAAUUGGUCCAUGUAUAUUAGAUGACUUGCUAAUCUCACGUAAAUAAACUCAUAUGAGUUAGUAGUCCUAAGUUUGCUAUAUUUACAUGAGUGAGAAUCACCAUACAUGGAAUAUUUAGUGUAUCACCUUUUUUCCAUGCAGACAAAAGUGCUGAAGCAAGGACUUUCCAUCCAAGAUCUUGAGGGGAAUUAAUAAGUUGUUAUUAUUAUAUUUAGAGCUUUCCAUAGAUGUUCUGAUCUGUCCCAUUGUAUCUCCUUUCCCUCCUGUCCGCACUUCAUUAACUUUUUAUUGAUCUCGAUAGAAUUCUGCAGAUAUGAGAUAAAAGGGAAAAAAACUACUUGAUUGGAGCGACUUUACAACUUAUCUUCUUGACAGCUUGUUAAUUAUCACGUAAAUCUAUUAGUAACUACACAAUGAUUGCUUUCUGCUUUCGAUGAAACAGUGUAUUUGACAUUCAUUUCCUAUAUGACUAUUUGGUUCGAGAUAACCUUGAUUAGUUAAAGGGCUUAUUUAGCUUUGCUGUAGCUUCUGCAUUUUGGGGCCUAAGUUACUUUUGAGAUCCCACUGCAACCAAAAAGCUCCAUAACUUUUGUUUCUCAAACACUUGGUUUCUACCUCAUCCUGUAGAAAGCAGUUCCAGAAUAAACUGUUUGAUGGCCCUUUGUGCAAGUUGAUCAGCCAAAGCCUUACCUAAAAGUCAUUGCAAAGUAGUCCCUAGUAGUGGUCGGGAGAUUGAUUCAAUCAGCUAAGAGUUCAAUUUGUUAGUCAUUGUUAGGUUUGGUUUUGGCUGAGUUGAGAACUCUCUUCCAUCUUUCGAAAAGAUCUGGGCAAAACAAAAUGGUUAUGAGGAGAUGCUAGUUAUCUCCAUUUUCGAAAGUAGUAAGCUGUUAUUCUAUACUACUUUUACCAAGCAUAUACAAUCUUUAUUUUUGCUUUCUGUUGAAGAGAUCAAUAUAUGAUAGCAGAAAUUUUGUGAAUAAUCUGUAUGCACCUAGUCUUUUCGGUUGUAAUUAUUUUUAAAAAUUUAUCUUCACUUCUAUUUCGUAGCCUUCCUAUCCUAUUCCUUUUAAUUUAGGCCAGAAAUGUGAUUGGAUUGUGAGACUUACUAGUUUGAAGGCAUUUAGAGCUAUAUGUUUUAUUUGUAGUGUAGAAAAGUUCCUAAACUGCAAUAUUUUCUUGUAUUUUUGCUAUCUACUCGUCCUUUACCACUGCAAGUUUCUCUCUCAUCUGCAGUGAUUACUUGACCAUUCUUGCUAUUGCAGUUGAUUUGCCGAAGGAUAGUUGGCACGAAUUCUAAGAGCCUUUAAAGAACAAUAUAUAAGUUAGAGCUGUUGUAGCUUGCAAUAUAAUUUGUUGCUUAUUUAGCCAACAAGCCUAAUGAUUCAAGAAAACUGAUGUAGACAUUAAGAAUAGUUCAAGCCAAAGAGCCAUAGUUGAUAGACUUGCUUUUAUUUUUUAUUUUGUGGUUAAAAUUGAUUGAAUUAUUAGAUUUUUUUUUUAAUUUAGUAGUUUUAUUUCUGAGGUUUAGAUAAUAAAAGAUUCUUCACUGCGAUGCAUGCUGAUAAGUGGUUGGCCCAGUGAAAAUGGCACAUAUUGCUAAGGGUGUCAACGAGUCGAACACGAGCUAGCUGGGGCUAGCUCGUAUUCAACUCGUUUAAUAAACGAGACGAACAUGAGCUGGCUCGUUAAAGUAUCGAGCCAAAAAAUUCAGCUCGUGUUCGGCUCGUUAACAAACAAGGCGAACACGAGCUGGCCAACGCACAACAAGUUAAAAGGAUUAUAUUGGAUAUAUAUAAAAAAUAAAUUUAUAAAAUCUUAUCCGUUAGACUUUGAUCUAAUGGUUGAAACUUUACAUAUAAAUGAGUCUUUUUAUAAUUGAGCUCACCUUUAUAUUUUUAUUUUGCUAAAAAUCAAAUAAUAAAAAUAUAUAUUGUAUAUAUAUAAUUAUUUAUUUAUAUAUAUAAAUAUAUAUAAAUAUAAAUUAAAUAAAUUAUAUAAAUAUAAAAUAUAUGUAUUCGAGCUGUUAUCGAGCCGAACAUCAACUCACCUGUAUUCCACUCGUUUAUUAAAUAAGUUAAAAAAUUUAACUCAUGUUUGGUUCGUUUACUGAAUGAACGAUUCCAUCUCGAACUAAUUUCGAGUGAAACACGAACUAAUUUCAAGUCGAACAUGAACUGGUUUGCGAACAAAGAGCUGGAUUGCCACCAAAUUGUAUAUGGGUUGUUGGGAAUUUUAUUUAGUUACGAUGAUUAUAUUNGCUCGCGAACAGCGAGCUGGAUUGCCACCUCUACAUAUUGCACUGGCUGGUUGGCCAACUAGGCUUGCCUUAGGCAAUUACAAGAUGCAUUUCCAUAGUUUGGAUUUGGGUUUAAUGUUUCUUUUUAUUUGAGAUUAACAUUUGCUGAGAAGCAAGAGAAAAAGAUUUGCUUCGUUAAUAACAUUGCUAUAGGAAUAUUGUAAGAAGGGCAAAAGAGCAUACCCUCUUGGGUUGUAUUAACGAAUAUAUAUAGUACAAGAGAUUGUUUUACUAUAGUAACAAUGGCUACUAUAGUAAGAGUAUAACUAGGAUUACAUACUAUAUAAUUCUACUCUAUAGAAGGCAAUAAUACAUAGUAUCCUAAUAUAGAUAAACUAUAAAAAUAUAUUGUAACAUUCCCCCGUAAGCUAAGUAUCCGGUAGUCGGAUGCGAAGAUUGAGCUGUAAUAUUGAAAACCGAGAGGGUGACAGGGGCUUGGUGAAAAUGUCGGCAAGUUGCUUGUCAGAAAGGAUAUGAAUUAAGGCCAAAUCACCAGACUGAAUUUUUUCCCACAAGAACUGAUGGUCAAGUUCAAUGUGCUUCGUGCGAGCAUGGAGAACAGGAUUGGCCGCAAGGUAGGUGGUGCUGAGAUUAUCGCAAUAAAUACUGAUAGAGCGCCAUAAGAAAACACAAAGGUCACGAAGGAGACGAUGAAUCCAGACUGUCUCAGCAAGUGUGUAGGCUACAGCACGAUACUCCGCUUCAGAACUAGAACAAGAAAUGGUGGGUUGUUUCUUAGCGGACUAGGAGAUGAGAUUUGGCCCAAGAAAAAUGCAAUAUCCAGAAGUAAAGCGAUGUGUAUCCGGGCAAUCAGCCCAAUCAGCAUCAGCGAAGGCCACAAAAGAAGGAUUGUCGCAGUGAGAGAUAGAAAGGCCAUAAGACAGCGCCCCCGAAUAUAACGCAGAAUACGCUUGACCGCUUGUAUGUGCGGUUCACGAGGUGCAUGGAGAUACUGGGCAACAGAGUUGACGGUAUAUGAAACGUCCGGUCUGGUGAAAGUGAGAUACUGGAGAGCACCAACUAUCUGACGAUAAGUGUAUAGAUCCUCAAGAAGACGCCUCUCAUGGGAAGAGAGACGAGACGUUGGCGAAAGAGGAGUAGAAACAGGCUUACUGUCAAGAAAACAAUGUCGCUGAAGCAGUUGAUGAGCAUAUUUUUGUUGAGAUAGAUGAAGACCAGAGAGGGAGCGAUGAACCUCAAUACCCAAAAGUUAAUGCAGCGGUCCGAGAUCCUUCAUGGCAAAUUCGCGUUGUAAUUUGUAAAGUGACGAUAAGAGCAUCGAAAAGAGAUGAGGAACUGCCGGUGACAAUAAUAUCAUCAACAUACAAGAAGAGAACAAGAGUGCCAGAGGAGGAAUGACAAACAAAUAUCGAGGGAUCAACAGUGCUACCAACAAAACCAAUCUCAGAAAGAAAGGAAGUAAAGCGUUGAAACCAAGCCCGAGGAGCUUGUUUGAGACCAUAUAUCGCUUUGCGUAGACGGCAAACGUGACUAGGAAGCGAAGGAUGCACGAAGCCAGGUGGUUUCAUAUAAAACUCCUCAGAGAGAGUACCAUGAAGAAAGGCAUUCUUCAUAUCAAGUUGUCGGAGAGACCAUCCAGAGGAGAGAGCGACCGAAAGAACAGUACGAAUAGUGGUCGACUUGACAACCGGAGAAAAAGUCUCAUCAAAAUCAAUGCCUUGUUGUUGUUUGUAACCCCGAGCCACUAGUCGAGCUUUCAGACGCUCAAGAGAGCCAUCCGCCUUCUGUUUGACUUUGUAGACCCAUUUACAGCCAAUAAGAUUGACGGAAGGAGGAGCAAGAACAAACUCCCAAGUAUCAUUGGUGAGUAAUGCAUCAAAUUCUUCAGCCAUGGCAGCACGCCAACCUGCAUCCUGAAAAGCUUCAUGAAAAGUGGUAGGCUCAGUAGGAAGAGUAGUAUGUGUAGAAGCUAGAAAGAAGGUAGACCCGGCAAAAUUCUUAGUCAUAGAUCGAGUAAACAUAGAGUGUGUUCGGAGUGGUAAAGAAGGCUCAGUAGGCUGAGGUGAAGGUGGCCGGUCAGAUGUGGAAGGCGUCAACUCAACAGGAGAAGGUAAAGCUGUAGGAGCAGUAGGUCGGAGGGUGUGUUGUCUGGUAUAGACUCGGAGUUCAGGUGGACCAGUAACAGUGGCAGCAUGUUCGUCACUAACCUGUGUGGCAUCAUGAUUCAAGGUAGAAGAAAAAGUUGAUACAGUCUCAGACGGUGAAAUAGGUGCAUUUGAACCAAUGUAGAAGGGCGUGUGAAGAAAAAACCAGAGAUGGCAUCAAUAGUGGAAGGACUUUCGCCCAGUAAGGGAGGAUUAGAAAGAAAACGUUGAAACGUUUGAAAGUUUAAGGUAGCGGAGGAAGGUGAAGAAGAAAACUUAGAAAGACAAGAAUACGGAAAAACAGAUUCAACAAAAGUAACAUGGCGAAAAAUAAAAACUUUACCAGUGCUUGGAUAGAGGCAGCGAAAACCUUUAUGUUUGUCAGACUGACCCAAAAAAACGCAAGGAAGUGAUCGGGGAGAGAGCUUAUGAUCUGCAAUGUCCUGAAUAUCGGGAUAACACAAACAUCCAAAGACUCUGAUAAGUUGAAAGUCAGGAGAAGCACAACUAUGAAGAAUGUCGUAUGGUGAUCGCCCAUUUAAAACAGUAAGAGAUGGGAGUCGAUUUACAAAAAAAAACAGCAGUUUGAAUGGCAUCAGCCCAAAAACAAAGAGGCAAGCCAGCUUGAAACAGUAGACUUCUAACAAUGUUAGAUAAAUGCCUGUGUUUUCUCUCUGCAAGGCCAUUUUGCUGAGGAGUGUAAGGACAAGAAAAACGGUGAAUAAUUCCAUUUUGUGAACAAAAAGUAGAAAACUUGUCAUUUACAAACUCCGUACCAUUGUCAGAUUUAUUAUUGAGCUGUGAAAUAUGUUUUCAACCAUCAUCUUGAACUCGAGAAAUUUGUCAAAAACCUCAUGCUUAAAUUUUAAAAGAUAAAGCCAAGAAAAUCUAGAAUAAUCAUCGAUAAAAAUAACAUAAUAUUUGUAUCCAGAAAUCGAGGGCACAGGUGAUUGCCAUACAUUAGAAUGAACAAUAUGAAAAGGAAAAGCAGACUGAGAUUCUGAAUCAUGAAAGGAGAGUUUAACAUGUUUUCUCAUAUGACAAGCAUUGCAGACAGAUAAUUUCAACGCAAAAUCAGAAAUGAUUUUAUAGUUUUUAAUAAAUGUAGAAAGAACAGGAAGACUAGGAUGGCCUAACCGCCUAUGCCAGACAUCUCCACUAAACCUAGAUGCAACAAGAGCUAGCUGUUGCUUAUUCACUACACUUGCAAGCUUAGAAGAAAUUGGAUAAAGUGAUGUUCCCGAGCUAGGACAUCAAAAAAGCUCCUUUCCUGUUUCCUUGUGCUUCACAGAAAAACCAUUGGAGUCAAAUUCAAAAAGAGAAUUAUUAUCAUGACAAAACUUAUGCACUGAAAGUAAAUUUCGCUUAAUAGCAGGAACAACAAUAACAUUUUUAAGAGCAAAGGAGUUAGAAGAUGUAUUCAAUUGAGUUUCACCUGUCUGAGUAAUAUCAAGUAAAUUUCCAUUACCAACAAGAAUCUUUUCAUGCCUACUAUAAGGUUUAGAAGAUGAGAGAAUACUAGAGUUUGCGUCAUAUGAUUUGAUGCUCCGGUAUCUGGAUACCAGAUCUACUCACCGGGUUCGUGAAGGUUUAUAGCAGCAAAGGUCUGAGGAACAUCAUCGAUAAUGAAAGAAUGAUUAAAGCGUUGUCUGCACUGAAGAGCAGAAUGAUUGAACUUUCCACAAAUUUGACAUUGUAUACCAAACUUCGUAGUGUAAGAUUGUUGAGGAUAAUUGGGUUGAGACUGUGGAUAGGUUCCAGGAGAUCCACGACCAGAGUUGUGUCAACCACGCUGUCCUCGGCCUCCACGAUAUCUACCUCCACGGCCUCCAUGAUUACCACGUCCAUGAUUGGCAUAAAGAGCUUCAUCAUCAAUAGUGGGAAUAGCAGAGGACGUCGUCACACUAGUACGACGUUGAACUUCCGUUUCUUCUUGCAUCAAGAGUGGACGAAGUUGUUCAAAAGUGGGCUUAUUUCUGUGUGUUUAGAGCACUAACAAAACCUCGAUAUUCUUCUAGUAGCCCUAGAAGAACAGUCAUGACCAAAUUAUGGUCUGACUCGGUUUCACCAAUCGCCUGAAGAGCAUCACCAAUCGAGUUGAUCUUUUGCAUGUAAUCACUCAUACUCAUUGAGCCUUUCUUGAUGCUCCGCAAUUCAGACUUCAGAGAAAAAGCCGUGGAAGCAGUCUUAUCAAGAAAAUAUGCCUCAAUGAUUCUCCAAACAUCAUAUGCAGUUUUAGGUGAGCUAGAAAUAACCAUUUGUAAUAUGCUAAAAGAUAAAGUGGCAUUAAUCCAUGAAAGUAUAGUGGUGUCUUCCUUUUUCCAACUUAAAUAUUCGGGAUUUAUAACCAUCUUCUUAUCAGCAGAAUCGAUAGUUUGAGAAGGCACAACACCAGUUUCGUCCACAUGUGAUGUACCACCAAAACUUUCUAGAACAUUAAGAAAGACUUGUUUCCACACAAGACAUGUGGAAUCAGUGAGUUCUAGUGGUAUGAGAGUUUUGAUGUUAACAACUGGUAAUUUUGAAGUAGAAGAAGACAUGUUUGCUACCUUAAGAGAAGGAUCCACCACUAGAUAUGAAAGAAAGAUAAAUCAUAAUGUAGCGGAUGAGAAAAAGGAAGAACCUAGUUUCUACCAAACUAGCUGUACCCAACGCACAAGAGAGGAACCACUUAUCACCAAACAAGAACGGCCGCACCAGGGAAAAGACCGAGCGACACGAGCAACCAACGAGCGGUAGUAGGAUAGUCCGAGCGACCCCAGAAGAGCAAAGAAGAAUCAUAAAAAGGCUGAAAUUACUGUAGCAAAAGCACUGUAGCGACAUUGUAGCGACGUACUAUGGCAGUAUUGUAGCGCCGGUACUAUGGUAGUACUGUAGAGCCAUUACUGUGGCAGUACUGUAGUGCCGAUACUGUAGCAGAGAGAUAGAAGUUCAAGGAUAAGGAGAGAUAGAACACCAAAAAGAAAAGAACACCUAUGGAAGAAGGUGAGUCUUAAAGUGGAUGAUGGCUAUAGAUCGAUAUCUCCAAAUUAGGGUUCCCGCUCUGAUACCAUGUAAGAAGGGCAAAAGAGAAUACCCUCUUGGGUUGUAUUAACGAAUAUAUAUAGUACAAGAGAUUGUCUUACUAUAGUAACAAUGACUACUAUAGUAAGUGUUAAAUUUUGGUUUAGAUUUGUAGUUAUCUAAAUUGAGGAUAAAUCCUAAUCUAAUUAGGAUUAGAUAUUAUUUAGAUUUAAUUUGGCAUAUAUGGAUUAUUAUUAGGAGUGUAAUUCUAAUUGAAUUAGAAUUAGACUCUAGUUAGGAGACAUGUUGUCACGCCCCGGGACCCAGCGGAAGCCCGCCCGGCGCGUGCCCAGACCCGCCAUAUGUCUAAAACAUACAAGGCGUUUAAAAUAAAACGAUAAAUAAAGCAGUGGAACAAAAGAAUCUAACGAUAUCAAAGCAAAGUAAAUAACUAAGUUCUACACAGAGGGGUAAGUAUAAAACUGAAAUUCGUUGAUAAAGCCAUAAAGUAGUACAAAGGACAAACCCAAAUACAAAGACUAAACAUAAAGAGUAUAUAGGUGGUCUCUCUAUACAUGGUACUCAAAAUCUCUCUCUCUCUAACACAAACGAAAGAAGGAGUAACCACCUAUAGCAAAACGGACUCUCUCCGAGCUAGCUACGCGACACCCUUGCCGCGAUCCCGUGCCUCUGCCGGUGCCGAAGGCUCUGAAAAGGAAACAUAAAAACAGGGGCGUGAGAACUAUUAAAUAAUAGUUCCUAGUGAGCAAUUACUGACUUCAGUGAAAUACGCCACUAGGCCCAAACUACAGCAAAUGGGGUCAGUGUAUAAGCAUGAGCAAAAGCGAUCAAUACAACGGGUAAGUAAAGAUGAAUACUGCUCAACCAUGAUGUCUCUACUUAGCAUGAUUUGCAUAAGUAAUAAAACAACUACCACAGGUAUGUAUAUGAGAGUAACCAAUAUGUAAAUGCAUGAGUAUGCAACUAUCCCAAAGUCCACAAUGUGAAUAGCAAUAAUGUCAAUGUUCACUACUCUAGUCAAUGUCCACUUGUCACUUUAACUGUUUAAAGUUCAACUCUGAUAAGACCCACCCGAAGGUUGUCUGGCAUAAGACCCACCCAAAGGCUGUCUGGCUUUACCGUGCCUAAUGGUCCCGUGGUAGUCAACAUUCCCACCCUAAGAACGAGCCUUUCCCACGACAAUCCACUUCGACGCCCAAUCCCGCACGGCGAACGUAUCACGAUGGCCAACUCCGGAGUGCCGGCUUGUAGGGAGCGACCCUCACAAGCAUGUGCGAAUGAGCACAAUGGCAAGCAUGCGUAUCAGUCCGUCUCAAGUCUCAAGUCCUCAUGUCGAAGAACAUGGAAUAUAUCGAAUGUCACAAAGGCCCAUCACUAUGUCGUCAUGUCUCUAACAUGGAAUAUAGUCGAUGUCCAAUGACCUAUCACUAUGUCUCUAUGUUGCAUUUUCAUAUUUUACUAGUUUUAAGUGCCCCUUUAUGACACUAUUGUUCAACGAAUCCAAGCAUGGUAUUUAUGUUCAUGAAUAUAUAGUUCUACUUAUUUCAAACAUAGGAGACAUGUUCUCAACUUGCGAGGCUAACCACCUUUCACAAUGCAUACAGUCUACACAUAUAGCUCUACUAUAUAGAGUGCGAAUUUCAUGAUAUAUAAGGCAUGCAUUUCAAGUGUUCUAAAAUUCACAUAAAUCAUGUUUAACAUGGAUUUGCUCUAAAAAAGACUUUACGAAGAGUUUAGAAAGCAUAGGGGCCAUUUUGCCCCAUUUUCAUGAAGUCAAACCACCGAUGAUACCGAAAUCCUUCGUAAGCUCCGACGAAGGUGUCGACUAGUCGCCUAGCACCCUAAAGAUGUAGGAACAAGGGUCAAACAAAUCUUACGAUCAACCCUAAGCUCAAUCAAUAAGCAACAUAGACUAAGGUGGAGAAAAACUCAUCUAGGUGAAGAAAUCCUCUCUCAAGCUCCAAAUAGGAGUUAGAGUUAUUCAAAUCCAACCUAAAUAAAGGUUCUAAACCCAUCAAUUAGGUUUCAAAGCCCUCAAAUCAAAAAUUCCCAAAAUAAACCCUAAAUCCCAAAAUUUAAGGUUUCAUAAGGUAAAAUCUAGAAAAACUUGUAUUAAAGGAAAAAUACAAGCUACCAACCUCAAGAGAAGCUCCAAUCCAAGCUCUAAACCAAGUAGGGUUGGAGUUUGAUCCUCCACAAGGCUCCAACUGCAAGCUCCAAGCCACCAAAGGUGAGGAAUGAGGGGAAGAAGAUGAUUCAAAGCCUCCAAGUUGCUCCUCCUCUUCUCCUUCUUCUUCUCCUCCUUCUUUUUCUCUCUCUAGAAGUGUAGGGAGAGUGUGAGGGAGAAGAAAUAAGAAUGAGAGGGAGAAGAGAGGCUUCCUAUAGCCUCUAAGGUAACAAAAUCCACUUAGGCCCCUAAAAAAUCCACUCUGUGCACUGCCCGGUCUGGGCCGUUUUCGCGCUGAGGGACCGGUCUCCCCGACACCUGGGACCGGUCUCUCAGUUCGUCCCGCAAAACCAACGUUCGGGAACCGGUCUCUCCCCGCCAGGGACUGGUCUCUCGGACCCCUCUCGCAAAAUACGCGUUCGGGAACCGGUCUCUCCCAGCCAGGGACCGGUUGCCUCAAGCCCUGCCGCAGCACUGUUCUGAGGAGACCGGUCUCUCCUAUCAGGGACCGGUCCCCGAGAGUGAAAACUCUCAGAACAAAAUCAAAACCCUAGAGAUCGAACUUUUAGGCCGGAAUACCAUCUACGGCCUUCCACCAAGUGUGGAAAAGUUCGGAGUACACACCAAACACUCGAACCUCACAAAUUGCAAAGGUCCAGUGCGCUACACAUGUAUUAUAAAUACAUGCUACGGCCAAAUUAAUCUUGCGGCGACCAAAUUGAGAUGCCAUGCGCUAAUUAUUCCGAGUUGCCGGAGCUCUAAUUAAGUCAUCCAUGCAUGUUGGAGUCCGUACGGGUGGUGAGAGAGAAGCAUCCUUUGAAGUCUUUUAUGCAGUGAGUGAGAAGCUCUAAUUAAUUAAGCCUCAUGUGGUUCGUCCGGUGUUGAGAGAGAAACAAAUUUUGGGAUCUCUUAUCCGGUGCGCAUUUCGGCGUUUUUCGAUCUAAUUAAGUUUUGGUCUUUUGGGAGAUCUUCUUUGUACUCUGCCUUUUCGACAUUAAUAAAGUUUUUGCUCCGUCUUCGCCCGUGGACGUAGGCCGUUGGCCGAACCACGUAAAUAUCGGUGUGUUCUUUCCUCUUUUCUUUUCGUUUCCUGCAUUAAAUUAUUUUCUGGAUCUAUUUUUCGCCGUUCCGAUUUUAACAGUAAGAGUAUUACUAGGAUUACAUACUAUAUAAUCCUACUCUAUAGAAGGCAAUAAUACUACUCUAUAGAAAGCAAUAAUACACAGUAUCCUAAUAUAGGUAAACUAUAAAAAUAUAUCGUAACAAGUAUAUAUGCUGAUGUAUUGCUUCCAUGAAUAUGUCAUGCCUCUUAGAUCUAUAUAAACUCCAUACAAUACUUUUGAAGGCAUGCAUAGCUGCUACUCAGUUGCAACAAGUAUUGAUGAGGUAAACUUUCAACUCCCUGGAUUUUGUUUAACAGGUUAAUUAUGGCGAAUGUUUCACAGAGUUCUCAACAACCCGAAUAUUACAGUGCACUUCAAUACUGAAGCCAUGGAUGUCGUCAGCAAUACCAAAGGUCAGAUGUCCGGUGUUCUAUUAAAAAGAGUCGACACCGGAGAGGAAUCAGUUCUAGAGGUGAAAGGUCUAUUUUAUGGAAUUGGUCAUACUCCAAACAGCCAAAUAUUAGAAGGUCAGAUUGAACUCGACAGUGCUGGGUACAUUGUCGUGAAAGAAGGCACGGCGAGAACUUCGGUUGAAGGUGUCUUUGCUGCUGGUGAUGUACAGGUAAUGCUCAGAAGACCUCUCUUACCUCUAUUAGCAACAAGUGUUUUAUUAUUAGUUGUUAAUAUUGAUCCUCUGAUAUUCAUUAUCACAAUAAACAGUUAUUAGCAUAUAUUAUACUAUUUGAUUCUCUUUGUAAAAUGGGAGCAUUUCAGCAUUCUUAAUUUAAUGGUUACAGUGUGAUUUUCUCCUUCAUGUUACAUCAAAAUGUGAAAAAGAACUGUUAAAUGUAUUGUUUUUUUAAUUUCUUUAUCCUUUUGAUGGCAACUAGAGUAAAUUAGGGCCACAUCAGCAUAUUAACUUUACAAGCCAUCAAGAGGGCCUUACAAAUAUUGAAUGCUUAUUACCAUUGUCCUACAAGCCGUUAUUUAAGGACAUAUGCUCGUUAUAUUACUUUCUAAAUAGUGGAUUAAUUUGAGGAAGAAUUUGUAUAUAACUUGAUAUAUUUAGUAAUUAGAUUUUUUGUAGAAGUAGAUGCAGUAAAGCAGUACAACAAGAAAUUUUGUGAAGGUGAAUAGUCUGACUAUUUAAUGCUCCAUGAUGCGCCUUGUAAGUUAUGAAAGCCUAGGAUCUAAUAGGUUAGAUUAAUAUCUAGAGGGGGGUGAAUAGGUGAGACUAGUAAAACACUAUAAACUCACAAUUAAAAAUUAAAUCCGGAAAUUAAAAUCAGCACACUGAAUUUUAACGUGGGAAAACCUCCAAAUAGGAGUAAAAACUCAUGGGACCGGUUGGAGUCGACAGUUGUGCUGAAGGAAAAAAUGAUUGGAAUUGGUUGCAUUGACUCCGGUUUUUUGGCCUUUGGAAGAAUAGCAUAUCGGGUGCAAUUGUCAUGAAAGAUAUAUUUAUUUCUCUCCACGGCUAGAAAGCACUUUUUGCCUCAUGCCAUGGUCGUCCAAGUAAUAUAUCACAUUUCUCCAUAUCAACCAUGACAAAUACAAUUUCGUCUUUGUAUUCAUCUUGCAAUGUGAGCAUACCAUAUUUGCUGUACUUGGAUUCGAUAAUAGUGUCAUCAUAAGACACAAGAAAAGGAGAAACACAACGUUACGGAAAAAGGCUUAAUUUGUCCACAAAUGUUCUCGAAAUAAGAUCAUGAGACAAUCGAUGAUCAAUUUAUACUCGACAAAGAACUCCAUCAAAUCUCAUAGAAGUUUGAAAAGAAGAUAGAUAUUCGCUGACACACAUGGCAAGAGAAAGAGAAAGAAGAUACUAUGACCGCAAUCAAAACACAAUACGCUAAAUUUUACUCUAUCUUAACUCAUCUCUAAAAUUACAAGCCUUAGGUUAUACUUAUAGCCUUCAAAACAUAAUCCUAAUAUAAAACAAAUCCCAUGAUUUUAGGGAUUUUUUUCUAAUUCAUAUAUAUCUAAAAAAGCCCUAAACCAUAUCUCUAAUUUUUAGGGAUCUAUUCCACAUGAUAAAUCCUAAAAAUCUAAAAAAAUCACCCCUUAAAUUAACAAAAAUAAUUAUUCCAAAAAUUUAAAAAAAUUCAAACCUUUACGACUGGAAUACUGGAUCAAACUUACUAUAAAAAAUUGACUCAAAUAAAUAAAUGAUGACUCGACCAAACCCUAUCCGCAUCCGACUCUGCAUCAGAAAUUAUUCAUGCAAGUUCAUAUUAACUGGUGAACCAUAUGCACCUGCGUAAAUGGUCAUUUCCAUUCAAAUUCCAAUCUGGUUCCAUUUCUGCCAUCUGAUUCCAACAGUAAACCAGAUACAACUUAUGCUUCUACUCUAUAAACGUAGAAACAAGUAGAAAUCAAACAUAGGAUCUCAGUAUCACUAUACACUCACUAAAGAUCUUGUUCUGUUUGCUACAAAUUUCACAAUGUUUACUAAUAAAAAUUUGUCAAUUGCAAGAACUAUCUAAAAUUUAUUUCUUUCAAGCAUCAUUUCUUCUGCUAUUGAUGCUAUUAUAUAUUUGACUGAUAGGAUCAUGAAUGGAGGCAAGCAGUAACUGCAGCUGGGUCUGGAUGUGUAGCUGCUUUGUCUGUUGAGAGAUAUUUGGUUUCCAAUGAUCUUCUUAUUGAAUUUCACCAGGUGCUGAGCAAUAUAUUUUUUUAAAUAUCUUAUGUGGUUCCUUCUUGUGUUACUAUGUAUCAUCUGGUUUCCAUUUUUAGGGUUGAGAUUGAUUGUCCAAUUGGCAUUCACUUAAUUAAAGUUUGUUACUGUCUUGGAUUCCCUUUUGUUUGUCCAAUUGGCAUUCGCUUAAUUAAAGUUAGUUACUGUCUUGGAUUCCCUUUUGUUUGUCCAAUUGGCAUUCACUUAAUUAAACUUUGUCACUGUCUUGGAUUCCUUUUUGUGACAGUAUCGGUGAUCUGUUUUCCUUUUGUUGGGCUGAAGUUAAUUGUCCAAUUUGCAUCUCUCCUAGUUAAAAAUUGUAAUUUUUUGCCCCGAUAGCUCUAAACACCAUGCGAGACAACCAGUUGACACUCAAAGGUUAAGCCACUAGAGAAUGGUUUUCAGAAUUUGUAUACUCAAUUCUUCCUCUUUUGUACUAGGACUCUAGUAGACUCAGGAUGCUAGCAUGAGUUAGAUGAGAGUAAACGAAAUAGCGGAUGAGCCUGGUGGGACUCAAACCGAAACCUCUUACUCUAAUACCAUAUGUUUGUUCAGGGAAUACGAUUUGAGAGGGUUAGGGUCUUACCCAAUGCUUCAUUUAUAUGAGGAGGAUUUUACAUUAGGACCCUGAAACAUCGAUGGAUGGAAAAAGAACAAUAAUAUCUAAGCACCUUUCUUUGUUUUGCUGUGGUUUCAUUGUGCAAUGCAUAUUCUUUUACUUUAAUCUAACUCUUCCAUAAGGACCGGCACAGACCGGCAUGAACAGCAUGGCCAUUCACCCACUCUCUGUGUGAUAUAUUUUCAAACUAUACAGCCUGUCACUGAAGAGGUGAAGAAGAAGGAACUUUCAGACAGAGAUGUAGAUAUGGGCUUUGAUAUCACUAUGACAAAGCACAAAGGCCAGGUACGUGAUAAAAUAUGACUUUUGCAUUAAGGGGGUGCCAUUUUAAAGAAAUCACUUUUAGUUGUCUUUUGCAGUAUGCACUUCGGAAACUAUACCAUGAAAGCCCAAGGCUUCUUUGUGUUUUAUAUACUUCACCGACAUGUGGUCCAUGCAGGACUUUGAAGCCGAUAUUAAGCAAGGUGGGUUUUUCUGCAGUGUAAUAAUAUAUAUGCUACUAUACUGAGAUAAAAAGCCAUUUCAGAUUAUCCCUGAGCUUGGUGCUUAUUUUUCUUUUCUGAUUUGAUUAUAGCCAUCAUGUUAUCUUGUUUAAAUUUCAUCUCUUAAUUCAUGGAGCAGAGGAAGAAGUUAGGUCUUUAAUAAUUGUUUUCUUUUUUGUUACGUGAAUAAUGUGUUUUAUUUAUUUGUCGCCCUUGCUCUCUUUGGAUAAUACGUAAAUUCAUGACAAUUUGAUGGAAUUUUCCUAAUCAUUGAUUUGAUCUUAUCAUUCUGGUUAAUACAGUCACUAUGGCAUGAGAAACUAGUGGUAGUUUGUCAUUUUUUAAGAGCAUUUGUCUGUAUUUUGCAUUUAGCCUUUGCCUCUGCGAAUAAUGUGCUCACUCCUCUUCCUAACCAUGAUAUCUGGUGGCAGUUGCUAUAGUUUCUUUUCAUCAAAAAUUAGUUUUAACUGCCAUCAACAAACUAGAAUUAGUUUUAACUAAUAAAUAGGCAUGCUUGAUGAAGUAAUUUUCUGAAAGUAAUAGAAGAGUAUUCUCUCCAGUUAUAACGAUUGUUAAUGCAGUCUUAUUGGAGGUCUUAGAAAAUCACUUAUUUAUCAUUUCUGAAGGUUGCUAUGCAAAUAAGAUGUUAGUGUGAAAUAAAACCAAUCUAAAGGAGUUACUUAACUAUUUACUGAUGAAUGGAAGUCCAUGGAUAGGUUAUGUUAAAUUAUGCGAAAGAACUGUUGUUUUCCAAUAGCUUAAGGUUUCAGAGAAUGGUAUUUUAAAUUUUUAUAUCCAACAAUCCCCUUUAUGUCUGUACUCGAGACUUUUCGAUAGGCUCAGGAUGUGGACAUGAAUUAAAUGGGAGGAAGUUAAUUAUGCUAAGACCUUGGCGAGACUCGAACUCAGGACUUCCCACUCUGUACCUUGUUAAAUUAUGCAAAACAAUCAUUGUUCUCCAAAAGUUUAAGCUAUCAGAGAACAAUGUUUUUAAUUUUUAUAUUCAACAGUUGAGAUAGCAAAAUUUUCAUACAGUAUAGUUUUUACAUUGAAUAUUCUCACUUUGUUAUUCUGUGUUCUCUUUUAUUUUCCAAAAAAGAAUUGAAGCCAAAACUUGAGAUUGACCUGUAUUGAUAUUGUUUUUGGGUUUGUUAUUUUAUCAUGUUGUUUGCCAUAUGUCUGCUAUUAAACUGAAACAUAUAUGGAAUAAAUGUUAGGAUUUGGUUAGAUUUGUAGUUAAAUCCUAUUUGGAUAAGAAUUAAUAUUUAAAUCUGUUUGAGAUAAAUUAAGAUUUAAAUAUUAAUUAGAGGAUAAACCUAACUAGAUUAGGAUUAAUAUUUAAAUCUAUUAGAGAUUAAUUAAGAUAGAUUUAGAUAUUAAUUGGAGUAGAAAUCCUAAAUAUAUUAGGAUUGGGGUACGUUUUAGUAGAGCCUUAUAAAUAGCUCUUUGUGGGUUUGCUUUUGAUGUGAAGUACGGUAGGAGCUUUGGGGUGCUGUACCAAAGAGAGAAAAAGAGAGAGAGAUAAUGAGUUGGAUGCACCUUGUGCACGGGUGCGUUCAUGAGUGAGUAGUCUUUUAGAUUAAUAAAAGACAAGAGAAGGAUAGAAGAGAUUCAGAAAGAGGGCUCGGGUUGUAGCUACUCUGUGCAGAAGAGGAGUCAGGUGUAAUCUUCUCUUAUUUAAUGAAUCUUAUUUUACCUGCAUAUUUUUCUCUUUUAUGAUUGUAUCAGCUUUUGCUGAGGAGACGGGUUUAUGGUAAAAAUCCGAUUCAACGCUUCCGUUGCGGAAUCCCAACAAUCGAUACCGGAUCCACAGCAGUCGGUAUCGGAGCGGGUUGCGGAUUCACGAGAUCCGGUACCGGGGCGAGUACCGAUUCCAACAUGGUAUCAGAGCCGAAGGUUACCUGAUCUGCGGGAGAGAUCGACGGACGAUGGCCACGAAAUGCGAAUCGAGAAGUUCGAAACGGCAAAAGAACAAUUUCGGAUUAGGCUAAAUUAAAGUACGAGCUAUCUCGUACAGCAAGAAUUGGGAAGAGACGUUGAAAACGGUAAUGGAAGUGAAGCCGGCGAGGUAAACGGAUGCGGCCAGUGGACGAAGAUAGGAGCGGAAGGCCGCUGAGUACGCGUUCAUUAUCAUUACAGGAAUGAGGUUGCUUUAGCAGAUGUAGGCAGGCUGAGACGACACUCAGGCGAAAAUUGUGAACGAAAUUGGAUAGAUCUGUUAGCAUGACCUAAACCUGACGCAACAGGUAUUGUACGAAGCAGCGACGUGUUUACGGUUGGGGCGGAUAAGAAGCGGGUCGAGUCUACAUGAUCAUCUAAAUGAGUUCAACAAGGUGGUGGCCCAGUUAACUAGCAUCGAGUUCAAUCUGGAUGACGAAGACAAGCGUUGAUUCCUAACUCAUCUCGCUUAAACCGCGGACAGACAUUGAGCAUGUCUGGUGACCACGGUUGCUUUUAUGGCAAAGGCUCUAUUAAGCGUGGAGGUGGGUCACGAGCGUCCGGCUUCCCGGAACGAGAUGCGGAAGAUGACGUCAGGAGUCCGGACGCAUAAGUCAGGAUGUAGACUGGUGGUGAUUGCGAAGAAGGAGCGAGAAUAUCGGCCGACAGCGAUAGUCGAUAGAAGAAACGCUAUCUUGAGGUAGAAAUGCUUAUUAAACUCGUCACAGGAGGGCCAUAUCAAGCGACAAUUGUCGAAAACUUCAGGAUGAUGCUGAAGAGUUAAAGCGACAGAAGGAGCAAACUGUCGUAAAACCAGGACGAGACGGUAUUCAGGCUGACGCGCGCAAGACAGCAAGAGUCGGAGAUGAUCGAUUUCUUGAUGUGCUAGUAGCGGGACCGAGGUGAGAAAUUUCGGAACGAUGCUGGGUGUCGACGUCGGCGUGUUCUUUCAAGUAUGGCCCGGAGGAAGGGUCUUUGCGCACCUACAAGCGAUCAAGGUGGAAAGGCGCUGAUUGGAGAACGGGAAGCAGCGUGCAAAAGUUUUGGGAGUCGGGCAAGGUAAGAUCGAAUUGCAUCGAUGGGGUCGUGAGGUACGCUGUAAUGGGUGUUCGACAUGUUCCUGGAUGAAGCGAAAAUUUUGGUCUCGUUAGCCAUUGAAUCGAUAGGGUUGCGAUAUUUCUCAAGCUUCAGUGUGGAGCUAUGAGGGUUCCGAAAAACGAAUCGGGUCGUUGAAGCGAACUAAGCGUGGGAACUUAUACGUUCCAGAACGGAGCUAACAAGCAGAACGGAAGCAUAAAGCGGUUUGGAGUUCGAAAAGUUCGCAGGAGGUGCAGUCGCUUCGAGGCAAGCGACGAUGCAGCGACAUCGAGCGAGGAGACAAGGCUCAAGGUGGAAGCUUGCCAUGGUGAAACUCGACUUAGGGGUUGAAAUUACAAAUCAAAACCAAGGGUGGAAGAAUGUUAGAUUUGGUUAGAGUUGUAGUUAAAUCCUAAUUGGAUAAGAAUUAAUAUGUAAAUCUGUUUGAAAAAAUAAGAUUUAAAUAUUAAUUAGAGGAUAAACCUAACUAGAUUAGGAUUAAUGAUUAGAAUCUAUAGAGAUUAAUUAAGAUAGAUUUAGAUAUUAAAUGGAGUAGAAAUCUAAAUUAUAUAGAUUGGGUAACGUUUUAGCUAGAAAGCCUUAUAAAAUAGCUCUUUGUGGUUUGCUUUGAUGUGAAGUACGGUAGGACUUUGGGGUGCUGUACCAAAGAGAGAAAAGAGAGAGAGACUAAUGAGUCUGGAUGCACUUUGUGGCAGCGGGUGCGUUAUGAGUGAGUAUUCUUUUAGAACAAGAGAAGGGUAGAAGAAGAUUCAGCAAAAGAGCUCGGGUUGUAGCACUCAUGUGCAGAAGAGGAGUAGGGUGUUAAUAUUUCUCUUAUUUAAAUGAAUCUUAUUUUACGCAUAUUUUCUUCUUUUAUGAUUGUAUCAGCUUUUGCUGAGGAGCGCAGUUUAGGUAAAAAAUCCGAUUCAAGGUUCCUUGCGGAAUCCAACAUCGAUACCGGAUCACAAGCAUCGUCCGGUAUCGGAGGCGGGUUGACGGCAUUCACGAAUCCGUACCUGGGCGAACGAUACCGGAUUCCCAACAUUAAACAGAGUUCUUAUGUUAUCAUGCUGCGGAUAUAUAAGCUAUAAUGUAAAACCAGGAUAUCUUGGAAUGUGAGUAUAGAUAAGUGUGACUCCUUAGACCAAGGAAUAGGUAAACAAGCCAUAGUGGAUUGCAUAUAGGUUAAAGUCAUUUAAGUUGGUUUGAAUAUGUCAGAUGAAGACUUAUGUAGUGCGCUGGUGAUGAUAUGGGGCUUUCUUCAGGUGGAAGGGUCCCAAGGAGGACAUGCUAUCUAAAAACACGUGGUUGUUAUUCAUCAAUAUCAUGAAGAGCUCGGAACUCAUUUUUGUUGACAAAGUUGUCUUACCAAAGAGUGGUUAAAAGUUCAAUGUGGAAUAUUUUUUCUCCAAGGCUGCUGCCUUUCGCAUUAUCACAUAAAAUCGUCAAUUUGUUGUAAGGAUUUUUCAUCCUGAAGUGUCACAGUGAGUUUGAUUAGGAAGUCCAAUGGCAAAAGGCGAUUUAUAUAGUUCUUCUUUCUUCUACUUAAUUGAGGGAACCCUUGGAAUUAACACCAUCUAGAAGAAAUUCCAGGAGUACCAUUUGAGGUCAGUAACUCAAAAAUUUUGAUAGUGCAACCAAUUUUGGAUGAACUGCUUUUGAAUACACUAUAUUCCUUGAAAAACAUCACACAAGUUUAAAUUGUCACAACAAGAACUAAAUGCGAAAGUGGAAGCACCAAAGGGUCUAAGGAAAUUAAUUUUUACGAAGUGAUACUCUUCUUCUGGAGAGAAAUGCCACCUACUUCAUCAAUAUGCUCACAUUGUACUGCCUUUUUUUUUUUUUUUUUUUUCCGGCCUUAUGUUUUAUUUUCUGACUAAGUAGGUAAGAUGCACACUUUUUUUAUGGCUGUCUACUCCAGCUUGCACAGACAGCUUGAGAUAUCUUUCUAAAUAAGAAAAUUCGAAAUUUACUGUAAAUAUAAAGUAGUUCUUUUAACCUGAUCUGCGAUAUCCCAAUUCCCAAAAUAAGAGCGUCCCAAAUCAUACUCCUAAUUCCUAAGCACAAAAUAUUUUCUUCUACAAGCCAUGUUGCUUUACUAACAUUUUCUUUGUGCACGUUUUAUUUGGUAAUUAUUUAUUGAAUUGACGAAGAAAUUUUUUUUUCUUAUUGUUUCUUGUAUCUUUGAUAAGUAUAGGUAUUAACUCUUGCUUUUCUAUAAUAUCUAAUCAAACAUUCUAUUAUUUGUUGUGCCAGGUAAUUGAUGAAUUCGACCAAGAUGUGCACUUCGUUGAAAUUGAUAUUGAGGAAGAUCCCGAAAUAGCAGAAGCAGCAGAAAUUAUGGGGACACCUUGCGUGCAAUUUUUUAAGAAUAAAGAAAUGCUCAGGUGAGAUAUAUUUCAUUAGGAUAUUUGGAUUAAGCUUGUUUACAUAGCUUUAUUUAGAUUUUAAUUUCCUGCUCAUGCUCUUACCGACAAAAGAUAAAUUGUGGACUUUCUUUAUCGAAACAAUACUUGUCAAUUUGAUUUGUAUUGCGGGUAGACGCAAUGCACCAACAAUCAAGUUACUAAAGUAUUGAAUGUUCGUAGUUUAUGACUAUUGUGGAUGACGUUCUUACUUGCAAUGCUAUCAUCUGAAGAUGUUGAAACUUAUGUUGAGUUCCCUGUCUCUUGGUGAUACUUUCUUCAAUAAAUUACGGAUCUAGUAGGUUACAAGAUUUACAAACUUUCUUCUUGAUGAAAGUCAAUAAUAAUUAUUUUUAUUUCAAUUGCUUUUUCUUGUUCAUAAAUAACAGACAGCAUGACCACCUGUAUCUCCACUUAGCAUUUUGAGGAGUAAUUUUAGCAUUUUUAAAUUGCAUGUGGCUGUCAUGGGGACUUUCCUGAUGUUAUCCGUCUUUGGACCUGCAGGACGGUGUCUGGUGUGAAAAUGAAGAAGGAAUACAGAGAGUUUAUUGAAGCUAACAAAUGAGUUGGUCUUGCCGCUUGUGCUAUUAAGCAUUUCUUCUUAGAUAUAUGUCCAAAUUCUAAAAUGUACCUGCCUUGAGCCGCCGUUUAAGUGAUCAAUUUUUUGGUAGCAUACCCCAAAUGCAGAAAUAUGUUUAUUUUCCUGAUGUUGAAGGCAAUGCUAGCUGUAUCACCUUUUGAACACCUGCAUUUCAUGCAGCAAAUUUGACUGUAAAUCAGAAAUUGUUUUCCUUUGAAAUUGAAGUCCAAAAUAAAAUUUCUGGAGUAGUCGUAUCUUCUUGGCAAUGGAGACUGCUGCAUAGCUCAUUUCAGUUGAAUCUCUUUGCCUAUUUUAUGCUUGUGUAAUUUUGCCUUUAUAUACAUGCGUGAUGCUUUUUUUCAAAACAGAGUUAGAAAGAACAGCAAAUAGUUGUUGUGUCUUGAUGGUGAUGAAGUUAUAAAAUGCUAUAAUCUUCCCCUCUCGCGUAUCAGUUAUGCUUUAUAAUAUGUUACUGGUUAUCUAAUGCCAAUUACAUCUAUGCUCUGUUCAUUUCUUUUUUAGUGGAUAAUCCUGUUUUCAUUCCAAUUAGAUACUGUGCACAAUGGUGGUUGGAUUUUUUUUUUUUUUUUGAUCUGAUUUGAUGGUGUGCCGCAUACGUGUAGCCUUACAAGAUCUUGUUAAUAUAUGUAUAACAUAUGCUCACAAAAUAGCAAACUGGUUUCAGUUAAUCACAAGCUCCCUACUUAGUAUAUCACAUACAAUGUGGGUAUUCCGGGUCUGGUUAAACAAUUCUUUAGGCUAUCUGAGACAUGGUUGUGGCAGCAGCAGGAGCAGCUUGGGAUCAGAUUUUGUUCUCCUCGGAGCUUCUAAUGAUUUAUUCUCGUAGAUGCAGUUGCUUUGAAAAUUGUAUGAAACAUUUGGGUCAGUAUUUUUCCUAGUUUUAAGUAUUAUUGUGUUUCAGUUUCUUCUUUUUUUUUGGGGCGGGGAGCUUUUCGUCCAGCUGUUGUGUCAUUUCUGCCAAUUGGGUCAAUGAGCAUCUUUAAGUACGAUCCAGUUUGUUUGAAUAAUCACAUAAAUUGAAUUUUAUAAUCACACUCCUCGUUUAGAGUUGAUCCAAUUAGAUGCUACUCCAUUGAACAGGACGGCUAUCUUAGAAUUACAGAUGCAUUUGUUAACCCAUCAACACCACUUAUCGUUAAAACCUAGCCACACUAAAACCUUUCGAAGAAAAGACCAGUUAACUUUAUCAUACGCCUUCUCGAAAUCUACUUUGACCCUAACUCCCUCCACACCCUCCUUAAACCCCCAGGCCAUUAGUUCGUUUGCAGUUAUGAACGCAUCAGCCAAGAGAUGCCCUUUUAAAAACGCUGAUUGAGAAGUAGAGAUGAGGUCCUGCAUAACCCCUUCCAUUCGAUUAUCUAAGACCUUGGAGAUAACCUUUUGAAUCCCGUUCAGUAAGCUAAUAGGCCUAAAAUCAUUAGCCCUCGAUGCACCUUCUUUCUUCGGGAUAAGGCAUAUGUACGUGCAGUAAACAUCACGUGUCGAGAGCCGUCCUUCGUAGAGCACCUGGAAGAUCCAAAGGACAUUAUCAUUCUUGAUGACGUCCCAAAGGGUCUGAUAGAAACUCAUAGGAAAUCCAUUAGGUCCCGGUGUCUUCUCCCCCCCAAGCUGGAACACCGCCAUUUUGAUCUCCUCUAAGUCGAAAGGGAUAGUUAAAAGAUCAGGGUUGGUCAUCCGUCUAGUUUGAAAAAGUCCACUCCAGUCCCCAACAAAAGUGGUACAUGGGACUCCGAGGCGUAUAGCUCCUUAAAUUUACGCCAAAAGUAAUAUCUUUUUUCAUCUUCUUUCGUAAUUCUUUUUCCAUCUUUUUUCAUCUAUAAUUAUCCCAAUUGCAUUCGCACGUCUCUUGUUAUUAGCUAUAACAUGAAGGAACUUAGUAUUAUCGUCUCCACCCUGAAGCCAUUGUUGUUUGGCGCGUAUUUUCCAUAGCCCUUCUUCGUCUUCGAGAAUUGUAGAGAGAUGGGUCUUGUAGCUCCUGCAUCAAAAAGAUUCCUCUUCUAAUGCAUUGAUCUUCUGUAUUUUUUGUAUGAUUUCAGUUUUAGACUUUAAAAUGCUAUAAAAAUUUGAGGCACACUAUCUGUUAAUUUGCUUCCGACAGUGUCUGAGCUUAGCGUUGAAAGAGAGAAUCGCUGAAUUAUUUUGCUGAAUUUCCCUCCACCACACAGGUAUGUUCUUAACAAAGUCUUCAUUACGUAGCCAGACCUCUUCCAACCGAAAUAAUUUACGCUUGAGUUUACUUCUAUUAGAGAGCAAAAUAGAACAAUGGUCAGAAGUAAUUCUAGGAACUGUCUCCACUUCUGAGAGAGGGAAUUGUUGGUCCUAUUCGGUUGAGAUAAGGAACCAAUCAAGUUUAGCUAGGGUAGGGCAGCUUUGCAUAUUUGACCAAGUGAACGUUUGAUUCUUCAUCGGUGAGUCCAUUACCUCUAGGUAUCGAAUAAGAUCAUUGAACAUGUUUGUUGCCUUCACACUCUAGGUUUUACCCUUGCGUUCCAUUCGGCUUCUAGUGAAGUUGAAAUCUCCACAGAUAACCCAACACCCUCUGCAAACGUCUUUAAGGUGAGCCAGUUCUGAACAAAACUCCUCCUUACCCUCCCAGGUAGGAGGGCCAUAAACGUUGGUGACAUAGAAAAAAGUUCCGCUAAGAGUAUGUGAAAGUCGGAGAGUAAUAGAAAAUUGCUUCACAUAAGUUUUGCUACAAGAAAACGCCUGGGAGCUCCAACACGUCCAAAGACCGCUAGAUACACCAAUAGCUUCAAUAAACUAAAAUUUGUUGUAAAACGAUUCACAGAAGCUAUGCAAAAAAAGAAAGAGAAAAGGAGCUAAUUUUAGUUUCUUGUAGAUAGACCACACAUUUCACAGCAUGUCUUUUGCAAGAAUCACCUAGUAGCCUAACAUUCCAGCUACAUAUGUUAAACAUAAUAAAACAAAAAAGAACAACAGUUCAAAAAACAAAAAUCAUAGAGGACCAAGAUCUCAGGCACUGCCCCGGAGGAAGAUCUCAAAUGCAUGUGCAUCGGAGUCGCUAAGUAGAACCCUGCACUUUCUGCUCUUCUUCACAAGUUUCUUUCUCCUAUAAAUAUGAAAGUCCUCUAGUCCACCUGUCCUAGGGCCUUCCCGAAGCAUGAUUUUCCUGGAUAUGGCUUUCAGAGUCAUGGAACCCAUGGGUACAUUAGAAAGUCAUGGCUUUCAGAGUCAUUAGCAAAUCGAGCGUUUAGAUGUUCGAGUUCCAGUAGCGUGUUCGGAUGGCAACGGUAUCACUAGGGAUGCAAACGGGGCGCAUCUGGGGCGAGGCUCCUCCUACCCCGACUAGCAAAAUCCCGCCCCGCCUCCCGCCCCGAAUCCGUGACGGGUUAAAAAAUACGUCCCAUAAUCCGCCCCGCCUCAUAACCCGCCUCCCGCUGGCGCUCCGAAUCCGCCCCGCAACAAAUAUUUUUUAUAAAAUUAAAAUAUUAUUAAUAUUUUGUAAAAUAUAAAUUAAUAAUUUUUAAUAAUAUUAUAUAUAUAUAUAAUUUAACAAUAUCAAUUAUAAAAAUAAAAAAUAUCAAUCAUAAUUCAAAACAAAAUUCAAAAGUUUCAAAUACAUUAGAAAUGAUAGUACUAAUUUAUUUGUAUUUUAAUUUUUUUUGUAAAUACAUUAUUUUUAGGAAUAUUUUUUUAAAAUAUAAAUAAUUUUCGGGGCGGAUCGUGUCUCGGAUCGUAAAAUUUAUCCCGUUUCCCGCCCCGAAUCCGUUUAUUUUCUCCGAUUUACUGCCCCAUCAAGACGGAUCGGAGCGGGAGCUCCAUAAACCCGUAUUCGUUUGCAUCCCUAGGUAUCACCUAGACUCCUAAUUCCGGGCCUCAUAUUCCAGGUUCAAAUCUUCUACACGAUCGCCACUUUAGUCUCGAGCAUGGAGUGUGUCAGCCUAGACAAAUCAUCUAUACCAAGUGAAUGGUCAAGGACAAUUUCAGAGAUCAAGUUGUCUCCAGUGGCAACACGACGAAUCAAAAGCCCAGUCCACUUAAAUAAGCCACAGUCAAACAUAAAGUUCGGGGUCAUCAUGGUGGGUACAUGGGGAGAGUACUCCACGAUAAAAUCCCCAACUGUUAGAUGUGACUCGAAAUCUACUAUCGAUUCAGGUUCGGGUUUACGACUCGGCGACAGCUUCGCGGUGCGACCAAUUUGGAAAAGAAAAUUAUGGAGGAAAAAUGAAUGUCUGUGGUGGGUAGCGGAGGGCUCGGGCCGACAGGCCCGAGCCCGUAGCCCACCACUGACAUUCGCCAGGGGGUGCGGGGGGCUCCGCCCCCCGCGGUAUGGAUCGGAUCCGAAACCCGUUAUGAGUUUUCCUUUUCGUUUAUCGUUUAUGCCCUAGAGGCGUGUGAUCGUGGUUGGUUGUAACCUGAAGAACAUUGUAUUCCCUUUUCGUUCCAUAGUGAAGNGGAUCGGAUCCGAAACCCGUUAUGAGUUUUUUCUUUUCUCGUUUAUCGUUUAUGCCCUAGAGGCGUGUGAUCGUGGUUGGUUGUAACCUGAAAAACUUUGUAUUCCCUUUUCGUUCCAUAGUGAAGAUCUCUCCUUCCUCGCCCGUGGUUUUUCCCUGCAAAGGGUUUUCCACGUAAAUCUGUGUUUCUUUAUUUUUCUGCUUGUGGUUUGAUUGUUUUUGUGUUCGUCAUUUUCGUUUCCGUUUGUGCGUUUGUCGUAACACCAACUCUAGCAAGAAAGUCAAAACCGUGAACCCCUUCCUUCCCAGUGGCAUCGGUGAGCACCAGAAAAUUGGGCCCAAGAAAGAAUAGCAAAGGGCUCUCAUGGUCCGCACAUAUUCCGAAACCAAAAGAACUCAUGGUUAGCUCUAUCCCAUGCAUCCGAAAUAAAUGCUCAUAGAAGAAAGAGCCCCUUUUUGAAAUAGCAGACCCCUUGAAACCCUCAUCAGAACAAGCCAGAAAAAGUUGGGGUCUAACAGCUCCAUCCAAGUAAUCAAUAUUCAAAAUAAUUUCCCAAAAGGUGAAAGCUUCGAUUUUGUCGACCAUCAACUGCUGCUGAACACCUUGGAGAUGAGUCUGAAAUGUCAACUUCUCGGAGAAAGUGCAGCCGAAGUCCGUUGGGGCGACAGCGGCUGCGACUGAACGAAGCAGAGGUCUCCUUGUCGAUGGGGAGACCAGCUCAGCACCGACGGCGAGUGUCAGGGCCCAUGGUUUGUCAGUUCCCAGAGAAACUCGGCGCUUGUGUUUUCCACCAUGAUGGUUGCGCACCCAGCAUGUGGAGUAAGCCUCUGCUCGACGCGGGUGCGACGCAGCGCUAAGGUUGGGGACUCUGAGUUGACAAGCCGUGCCUCCCUGCAUCUCCUUUGGCCAUUGACCGAACUUUGUGAUAUGUCCGCCUCAGGUCUGGCAUCGAGAUUCUCCAUCUCCACACCACCCCUGUCAUCAUCCCCUCCCCCAGGGCCAUGGCGCGCCGGCAUUUGAUUAUGAGUGGCCACGUCGUUUUGUCUCCCAGGCAGUGGUGGCGGCGGAGGUUGAGCAUCGUCGCCACUGUCCUCCUCCCAGCUCUCGAGUGUGACCAUGAUGGGAAACGACUCAUCCCCAAACACCGAAGAUAAGUUCUCGGGAAUAUCCGUCAGCUCGUGAACAGCAACACGACAUCGGUAGGCCCUCAAGUCGGCCAUUGAUUUGGAGUUUCAAUCAGCCCUCAAGAAUCGCCCAAACCCACCGACGACGAUUGCGGCCACUCUAGGGAUCGACCAGCAUUCGAAGGGAACGUUGAACAGUUGUAUCCAAGACUUGAAGGGAAGUCUAUGCGGAGUGGUGUGCCGAUACUGUCCCCACUCGAAGCAGUUCAUCUAAAAACCUUCCAAAGUAAUCAUAUACCUCCUUACAAGCCUCUCCGCCAACACCCACUCCGGCGGGAACACAACGUAAUCAUGGUCCCUAUGACGCGCCACCAUGAAGUCAGUUGGGUAGUCGCCGAACCGCUCUGCUACAGCAUUGGCAAUCGUUUGCUUGCUGUUGGGAUUAACCAAGGUUCGCCGGUUGGACGAUAUCUACAAGUAUUGCAUUUUGGCGUAGCUCUCUACGUGUGAAAAAGUCCACAGUGUAUGGAACGACAGCUCGUAAGGAUCGGGUGCGUCGGCUCAGUGAGCUCACAGCAUGUUGGAGUAGCUUUCAGAGGGCUUGAGUUUGCACCGAAAACCUUUAUGUCCAGUUCUGAAACACCGGAGACACCUGAUCAGAUCUCGAUAGUCGAUCACUUUAUGAUCGAGACCCAGACACCUAAAGCACCUCCCAACAAAAUUACGACGCUAUCCGCUUGCAGCACUCUUAAGGGCGUCCUUGGUAGAAGCAAGUUGGUGGCACUCAGCUUGGAGCAAGAGAGCCUCUUUAUAGGAUUUUCUACUCCCAACUUCAAGGUGAUGUAAAUGUUGCUUCCCAGGUUGGUUCUUCCCCCCUCAGCUCUGAAUCCACCAAAAUCAUUACCAGUUUGAUGAAAAGCAUCACUACCUCUGUAAUAUUCUAUGUUGAUGAUGUUUUGUGUGUAAUGUAAUUACAUAAGCAUUCGUCAAGUUUCAAGAGAAAACGAGUUAGAAUGGAGAAGUUACGCGACCUGUGCUAAUCACUUAAAGUGAAUAAUAACUUCGGUUUUUCGGAGAAGCCAAUGAGUGGAGAUGGCUUCUGGUGCGUAUUGGACUCCGUUCAUAGUGAUCCAAUAGCUCGUUUUCGACGGUUCGACUGUCCUGAACCCAAUGGCACUGACGGAUUUGGAUUCUGAAGCACGAUUUUCGAGAAAAAUGAAUUUUAUCGUAAAAUAGAGUUUUUGGCAAUUGGAGAAGGGAUGGGUUUCGUCACAAAUCAACGAUCGAAUUUAACGAAACAAAAAUGUAGAUUCGAUGCCCCAGCCAUGUUGAACGCGCUGGAGCAAUCCGAUCAGAAAUCCGACGGACGAAUCUCCAGGAAUCGCGUAAAGUUCGCUGAGGGGUCGAAAUUGGCAAAACGAAAAAUCUGCGAAAAGCCUAAUAUUUUUUUGUACCGUUUUGCGUGAUUUCGAACGUGGAGGUGCUUCUGUGCAAAAUACAUGCGCUGGCAGGGACUUAGCUGAAAAUAAUCAACUUUGGGGGACUUUUUUUUGCAAAAGUGCACAUGGUAUGUAAUUUGCAACUAGGGUUUCUUUGCACGAAACCCUAGAUCUAGCUGACCCAGCUACGCCCUAGCCGUCAUCAGCAAGUCCCUGCCCUAGCCGUGCGUGCACCCCGGCCGCUGGCAAGUGCCUCGGCCGCUAGAAAAGCUUGGCUCGGCCUCUCCUCCAUCAUCUCCUCCACCUAGCCGCCACCAUCCUCGGCCAUUGACCCCAAAGAGUCACAUGCACCCUGGGAAACUUGAUCCCCUGGCCGAGUUCCCCCUCCGACGUCGUCCCCGUCGGCCCCUACCGUCUGUGCGUGCCGCCGGUGCCGCCCGUGCUCUGUGCGGCCAACCAAGAUCCAGUUUUGGCCGGGCUAAAUCUAGCUCGAGCUCGCGAGCUGCCGUCGCCUCUGAUCGGCCGCAUCGCCCUCCGGGAUCUCCGUCGACCCCCUCACUGUCGUCGUCACCGUCCCCGCGGACCCCGGCAGCCGGCAUUGCUCCCUGCGGCUGCCCAGACUCAGCUCGGGCCGAGCCUGGGCUGGCACUAUCUCUGCGCACCGCCGCCGCCCACCGUCGGUCGCACCGUCUUCCCUCGACUUUCGGCAACCGUCGCCGUCGCCCCGGCGCUUCCCCGGCCGCCGAUUGGCAGCCGUUGAGCCGUGAGCCCUAGCCGAGCCGCACUGGCUGCCUCCCGCCGCCAGCCAGCACGUUCCUUGUCACGCCUCGGGGUCCUUUUUAGUUUAAAUGCAUAGCGGAAGCGUCCAAAUUUUUUUAAAAAAAAAAAAAACUGACCCCCAGGGUAUGCCAGAUCCGCCACAAAUACAGGAAGCCCACUGUUCACACGGACAGAGUCUCUCCUGUAUUUGCACGGUGUCGCACAAGUAUAAGACAUAUAACCAUGAUACAACCACUACAAAUGAAUAUACAAUAUUCAAUCAUUUAUACAUUCAUACACCAUUCACAACAGAUUUGCAUUUAGAGUUUAAUCAUAAAUCCAUGAAAAUAUUUUUAAAUCUAUUUUUCACACGGAAACCUUUUUCUUUAAACGCUACCACGAGGGGUAGAAAACCAUUUCCAAUACUUUACAUGAAAACCACGAGUGUUUUAUUUAACUUCACAAACCAUGUGUAUAUAUAUCCAAGUAAACAAAACCAACUGAACCAUAUGUCUAAGAUAUAUCAAUAGAAGUAAAGAGGGUAGAAACUAAACCAACAAACCGGGUCGGAAGCUCUAUCGACUGCUACGAACGUGUCUCACGUCUCGUCUCAACCCUCACUGCCCGCUAUACCUGAAAAAUGGUGGGGGAGGUGAGAACAUAUAAACAUGUCUCCCCUCCCAGUGGGUACCGCAAGCCGAAGAAAGCGAGGAGUACUCACCGGAUCAGGAAGAGAUAAAUAAGAUCAUGAGCAGAUAUACUAAGUACAGUAGUAACAAUAAUACAUGAACAGGAUGUAUAAGAACAAUUACUGCUACUAUAAAGAAGAACUGAAUGCAUACAUGGGUAUCGAAACUAUAGUAGCAAGAUAAGUAUAUGGAAAAUGCAUGCAACAACUACUACUAUAGACAUAUGCGUCAACCGCACGUAUAGACCAAAUAUACCCAAUCUGGAAUGGCCGUAUUGGUACACAACACCUCAAGCCCAUGCCACAACUGCUCUAAACAGAAAUAAGCCGUAUUGGUUCGCAACACCUCAGGCAAGCCGUAUUGGUCCGCAAUACCUCAGGCUGAAAGCAUAUAACCUCUCUUGGGCUCACGGGUUGACACUAGUAACCACUUUUUCGGAAAAGAACACCAUCUUGCGGUGGAUUAGACCGCUGGUGUUCGUGAAAUGCGCACGAGUAAUGGCGAUCGAUGCUGAUAUGCUCAAAAGCCAAACAUCGGCAACUAGCCGACAAUCCAACCCCUCAGGGUAAACCGACCGUAUAGGUCAUCGAACAGUAAGGAACACAAGUACCGACCACUCAGGUCCACUAGGAUGGAACAACUCAACAUCCUAUCAAAGAUGUGCAAGUAUAAUCUAGAACUAACCGUCAGCCACUAGCCGACAAUCCUACCCCUCAGGGUACACCGACCUCAUAGAUCAUCACUCGACAAGAGUCAGAACUAACUAACUAGGUCACAGAUAUAUCAAAUAAUGGGUAUGAGUAAACUAUAAUUAUCUGUCGGCAACUAACCGACAAUCUCACCCCUCAGGGUAUACCGACCUCAAAGUUCAUCGAACGAUAGGAGUCAAGGAACAGACCGAAUAUGUCACAGAUACGAGAUACAAGAACCGACCAAUCAGGUCACUGAUAUAAAGUACGAGAACCGACCAACCAGGUCAACGGGUACUGAAUGCAACAACCGACCAACUGGGUCAACAUUUAUCACAAGUAGAUAAAACUACUCUACUCCUACUCAGGAUACUAAUCAUGCAAACAGCGAGUAGAGUAAGAUGUAAACGAUAUGGGUGCAAGGCUCAAUAUACUAUACUACGCAAUAGUAAUAACAGGAGAACAGGGAUAGAAGGAUAUCUAUCACCGAGCGUGCACCACUGUACCGACGUCGGAUCGAAGUACCCACCUGUACAGCUAUGGAACUGAUCUCUCAACUGCGGAGACGGAACGACUGAACCUACGAAAGGUCCAUCGGGUUAGAAUCUAACCUACUAACAUGUAACGCUACUCACAAUCCCCACUCAUGGCCCGACGGGAAUCGGUUUUCCAAAAUCGAUUGCCAAAUACACCGGAAGUCCCGAAAACCGCACCGGAACUCCGCCGAGACCUACGAACAAUCCCGGGACACACCGACUCAGGAUAAGAGUCGCCCGCUGCCACUAAACACCUAUUUUAGUGUGACUUGGCAGCAAAAACAUUAAUUCGCCACGAAACGACUAUCGUUGGAUAAUCGUUCCGAUUCGGGUUCCCGGAAGUGUCAAUUUCGACACCGGAACCCACCGUCGCUCACCGGUCAUUUCCAAACCCUCGAAACGAUGCGGGUGACCAGCCAACAAGGCUCCGCGACACCACAAUUACUCACGAGGCACCGUCAGAAGAAUUCCGAACAUAAACCGCGUUUCGUCGGCGGAUUCGCCAAAAAACGCACCGAAAAUCACUUUCUGAUUUUCGCAAAGGCCUGGAACCUUGGACAAUCAAUCCAGAGGUUACCCACAGCCUGCACACACUGCCAACAGCAGCCACUAAAAGUACAAUUGCACAAAAACCCUCCCGAUUACACGAAUUCGCAUUAUUUCAUGCGAUUUUCGAGAUUUUAUAGCCCGACAGUGCAAACCGAUAUUAAUUCAAUCAAACCGGGACACCCGCUGACAGGUCUCGGCAUGCCGGAGGCCGUGCUCACCUUUCGGAGCAGUUUCGGCCACUGUGGGAAGCGCGGGAGCGACUCGAAGUUCAGCGAACAUUGCGCGCUGAAACUAAAACGCCUCUAACUCACUCAUCUGGAGCUUGUUGACCCUAAAUGAGGUGAGCACUGUGAUCAGAACUGACUGAAGAUCACCGUGCUCACCUCCAGAGGCAUCGGAACAGCCCCGGGUCGCCGAAAUAGUGAUCCUAAACCGAAACAGUGCGCAGAACAGCAAAAACUUUGCUUACCGGCCAUGGGAGAGCUAGGGCUGGCCGGCGACGGCCGUACGGUGGGCGAUCCAGUCGAGGACGAGCGCGGCAGGUCGGUGGGGUCCAGGGCAGGUGCUGGCCGGCGACGGAAGGCGGCCGGUGGCGCGGCGGCACAGAUCAACCCGCGACUUGCUCUCGGGUUCAUGGGGUCCGCGGUGGUCCAGCGGCGACCGGAGGAGCUCCGGGAGGCGACGAUCUAUCGCCGGAGGUCGAGGAGGAGGUGAUGCGCUCCGCUGUGGGCGGCGGCGAUGCGCGGAGGCCAUGAGGGCUCCGCCUUGGCCAGCACCAGGUCUUGGUGGCCGCAGGACCUAGGGCGGCGCCGGCGGCGCACGGGGAUGGCCGGGAAUGCGCGCCUGAGGUAGCCGGAUGCCGGAGGGAGGCGGGGCGGCUGAACUAGGACGGUUGCUGCACGCCGGCCUCAUGCUGGGCCGAGCUCGGCUCAAGUGGUUCCGGGUUGGCCGCAGCGAGCUCGGACGGCGCCGGCAACGCACGGGGACGGAGGGGGCCGGCGGGGAAGAUGCCGGAGAUGGGCCUCGACCCGAGGAUGAAGACUCCACAGGUCAGGGUGACAUCCAGAGGCCGACAGCCACGGUGGUGGGAACAAAAUGAGAGAGAAGUUGAGAGGGAGGUUCUUCCGGCGGCCGGAGCAGCUUGCCGGCGGCCGGGGCGCGAGCACGGUGACGGCAGAGAAGGGCUGAGGUCAGCUAGGGUUGGCUGGGGGUGAUGGGUCGGCUAGGGCUAGGGUUUGAGCAAGAAAACCCUAACAUCCCUAUUUAUACCAAACGUAAUUUUGCAGCGAACCCCCUCAAGGUUGAUUACUUACAGUCCAACCCUCGACAGCACGUGCACUUUGCACGCCCGCACCUCGACGUUCGAAACCGCGCAAAACGGUACAUAAAAUAUUGGACCUUUCGCAAUUUUUUCGUUUUGCCGAUUUCGACCCCUUAGCGAAGAUUUUGCUAUUCCCGAAUAUUCGUCCAUCGGAUUUCCGAUCAGAUUGUGCCAGUGCGUUCAGCACGAUUGGGGCAUUGAAUCUACAACUUUGUUGCAUCUGAUUCGAUUACCGAUUUGCGACGAAACCCAUCCUCUCUCCAACUAAUCCAAAUAUCACACAUAGGCCUAUGUGGAAACCCAAAAACCUUUAAUUAAAAUUCGAAUUUGAAUUCCCUACCACCAGUAGGUACCAGAAACAUCUCUCACCCAACCCCAGGUCACAAGCACAGAGCACGAGGAGCUUUAUAAUGCAAGAACAGCAAAGAGCGAAAACCGUCUUUUCGAUAAAACUCUCUUUUCUCGAAAAUCGUGCAUCAAAUCUAAAAUUCAUCAGCACCAUUGGUUCCAGAAUAGCUGAAACGAGCUAUUGGAUCGCUAUGAACGGAGUCCGAUACGUGCCGAAAGCCAACUCUACUUCGUGGCUCCUCCGGAAAACCAAAGUUACUAUUCACUUAAAUAAUUAGUAGUUAUCGCGUAACUUCUCUAUUCUAACUCUUUUUCUCCUGAAACUUGACGAGUGCUUAUGUAGUUAAAUAACACAUAAAAACAUCUUCAAUGGAGAGUUUAGCUACACUGUUAAAAUCUCAGUCCUUACAUUCCUGGGCCCCCUCCUACCGGCCGCAACCCUCGCCGGCCAGCUCUCCCGCCGUCUGGCCGCCGCCGGCCAUCGUGUGCUCCUGCGGGCUCCGGUAAGCUUUAAUUAGUGUUCUGCGCACUGUUUUGGGAUUCCGGACGCUUUUUCGACGAUCCGAGGACACCCCGACACUCCCAAAAGUGAGCACGAUGAUCCUUGAUCCUUGCAGAACAUCGUGCUCACCUCCUUUGGGGUCAGCGAAGCCCUGGUUUGUGAUAUAAGCAUUGUUCAGGCAUUGUGCAUGUUAUUCGCAGAACUUAGUGUCGCUCCGGCGCACGCCACAGUGGGCGGCCGUGCUCCGAAGAGUAAGCACGGCCUCAGGCACAUCGAGACCUAUCAGCGGUUGUCUCAACUAGGCUAGAAAGCCCUCGAUUUGCGCUGUGGGGCUGUAAAACCCCGAAAAUCACAUAAAAUGAUGUGAUUUUUGAAAGUUGUAGGGGGUUUUAUGCAAUUGUAUGUUUCAUGGUUGCUGUUGGCAGUGUGUGCGGGCAAUGGGUGACCUCUGGACUGGUUGUCCAAGGCCCCAGGCCUUUGCGGAAAUCAGAUGUUGAUUUUCGGUGUGUUUUUCGCGAAAUCCGCCGACGAAACAAGAUUUUGGUUCGAAAUUCUUCCGACGGUGCCUCACGAUUAAUUGUGUAAUCGCUGAGCCUUGUUGGCUGGUCACUUGUAUCGUUUUGAGAGUUCGGAAACGACGGGAGAGCGACGGUGGGUUCCAGUGUUGAAUUUGACACUCCCGGGAACCCGGAUCGGAACGAUUAUCCAACGAUAAUCGUUUCGAUGUGAGGAGGUGUGUUCGCUGCCAGGUCCUACUAAUAAUUGAGUUUAGUGGCAGCGUAUGACUCGUAGCGCGAGUCGGUGAGUUCCGGAACAGUUCGUGGGUCCCGACGGAGUCUCGGUGUGAGUUUCGGGACUUCUGGCGUGUUACGGCAAUCGGUUUUGAGAAACUAAUUCCCGUGGGUUUACAUGUAGGGAUUGUGAGUUAGUGGUUCGUGUUUGUGGAUUGUAUGCUAACCUGGUGGACCUUUCGUAGGUCCGAUUGAUAUUUCCUCCGCAGUCGGAAGGCCAGUAUCGUAUACGUACAGGUGGGUACUUCGACCCGAAGUCGGUAAAGUGGUCCACGCUCGGUGACAUUCCCUAUACUUUUUUCUUAUUGUUUCCCUUGCAUAUUAUAUGUUGAGCCUAGCACUUGUACCAUAUCUCUUUAUUGCUCUACUUAGUUGGUUUGCAUACCGAGUAUCAUGUUUUAGAAGUAAAGCGGUUUUAUGAUUAUUUGUGAGAUCUAUGACCUAGUCGGUCAGUUCGUUGCAUCUGGUAUUGUGACCUAGUUGGUCGGUUCUUGUAUCUCGUACCUCUGAUCUAUUCGGUCAAUUCACUGCAUCUGUUAUUGUGAUCUACUUAGUCGGUUGGACUCCUUGGUGACCUGCCGGUCAGUAUACCCUGAGGGGUUGGAUUGUCGGCUAGUUGCCGAUGUUUGGCUAUUGAGCAUAUUAGCAUCGAUCGCCACUGCUCGUAUGCAUUUCACGUACACCAACUGUCUGAUCCAUCGCAAGAGGGUGUUCUUUUUCAGAAAAGUGGUUAAGAGUGCCAGCCCGUGAGCCCAAAAGGGGUUAUAUGCUUUCAGACCUAAGAGCUUAUGCUUGGGUCAUUUACAGAUUAGAGCAGUUGCAGCACAGGCCUGAGGUGUGGGGACCAAUAUGGCAUGUUUCAGAUUGGGUAUUUUUGGAUUUGUCGUCCGGUUGAUGCAUACAUACAGUAGCAGUAGUUGUUUAUUUAUACAUCCCGUUCGUUUAUUAUCGUUGAUACUGUAUUAUCCUUACCUAUACCUUUGUUUAUUCUCCGUGACUGAUGAGUCCUCCUUGCCCUCAUCGGCUUACAGUACCCACUGGGAGGGGAGACAUGUGUACAUGUUCUCACCCCCCACCCCCAUUACAGAUGACGUCGCGGGGCCUAGUGGGACGGUUCGUGAGGAGCGUAUUUAGAGAUUGGUAGAGCUUUCGGACCAGUCUAUUCGGUUUAACUCUUAAACUUGCUUUCUUAAAUAAUUGGCAUAGAUGAUAUGGUUCAGUGAUUUAUUUUAUUUGCAUUCAUAUGGUUUUAUGAAUAUAAUAAAGUUCACGGAAUUUUAUAAAUUAAAUGUGGUUUUCUACCCCUCGUGGUAGCGCGUUUUUUAAAGAAAAAGGUUUCCGUGUAGGAAACGAUUUUUAAAAGGAUUUUCUGGUUUUCCUGGUUAUUAGUAUUUUAAAAUGAGUUUCCGAGUAGGAAACGUUUUAAACUAAUAGAUGUGAACUUAUGAAUAUUUGUGAUGAACUGAAUGUGGAUGUGAAUGGUGUAUGAAUAUGGGUGUUCAUAUGUUGUGGUUGUAUAUUGUACUUGUGCGAUGCCGUGCAAAUAUAGGGGAGGUUUUGUUCGCGUGAACAGUGGACUUCAUGUAUUUGUGGUGGAUUUGGCAUACCCUGGGGGUCAGGAUUUUCAAAAAAAUAAAAUAAAAUUGGGCACUUCCGCAUUGUUUUUAUAUCAAGAAGAGACCCUAGGGCGUGACAGCCUCCAUUAUGAAUGCACUCUUUGGUGUGGCUAAUAUCUCUGUGAAUGUGGAAUUCCCUCUCGGUGGGCUGAGAAAGAGAUCCUUUCCUUGUGGAAUUAUGUCUCGCAUUAACGUCUCCGCCAACCUCAUCAGCCCCUUCCUCCAUAAAUAUCAAAUUCUGAAGCCUACAACCCUUUUCUUGCUAGGAAUUAAUCGGCACAUCAAUUUAAACGCAGCGGAAAAUAGUUUUCGCACUUUUAAAAUUUUUCGGAACCCAAAUACAUAUCACAUAUGGAAACCGAAAACUAAUAAAUCAAACCGUUGCCGGCAGAUCAUUCUCAUGUUACUAUGCAAAAAUUUAAUCUAAACAAAAACUCCUUAUGUUUAAAGAUCUUACCGUAGACCAGUUAAGGUCUCUUGAUCUACUGUACGGUUGAAACUGAAUAUGAUGAACAGAGGUUCCGAUUAGCCGCGCACAUGCCCAGCCUCUACGCGUAUCUACACGGAAUCGGUGCAUACCCGAUCGACCUUCGUCUCACGAACCGGAUGAGUCACGGACCAUCUGGACGGUGCUAGCAAUCCCUCAUGAUCCACCAUUCGAUGAAGAGUAGAGAAGUUGAUCGAAAAGAAACAUGUGCGCGGGAGAGAAAUCGGAGAGAUUGACCUCUAUAUGUAUAUAGAUCAAUAGCUAACAUUCAUCAAAUUAAUUAAGGUCCAUGGCGUACAUUGAACUUAUUAAUAAGCAUAUUUUGAGCUGAAUGUCAUGUUUGAUUUAUUUCAAUACCUGUUGCAUUUACUUGCUUAUCUAGUAUCGUUUACUCAUGCCACAAUUGACCUAGUGGUGUACUUCGCCACUCUCGGCGGCUUAUCCACUGGGAACUAUUGUUUAAUAGUUCUCACACCCUCUUUGUUGUUGUUUUUACAGAGCCUUCCAUCGCGGGAAAGGCUAGGGUUCCUGGUAAGAAGUCAGCGGCUAGCUAGAGCCUUCUUGACGUUAAAUAGACAACCCUUACAAAUUUAUACAGUUUUCUUCAGUGUUGUAUAUUAAGUUAUGUAAAUUGUGCUUUAGCCUUAUCUGUUGUAAUAGAGUUUUGAGUUGUAUAAGUUUAAACUUUUAAUUGUGCUCUGAUUACCCAGUGCAGUUAAGAUUUGGAUACUACUUUGUUGAUUCUUGUUGUAGACGCCUAGUGUACAUUGUGAUAGUUUGGUGUACACGGCGGGUCUGUGCACAUUACUAUGAGCUUUCGCUGAAGUCCAGGACGUGACAUUAGGUUCAAUGCCACUAUACUCAUAGCCUAGAUUCAUUAACACUAGGUCCAAUGUCCUUUACUACCUAGGUUCAUUCGACUCUAGAUUCAAUGUCACUAUAUUCAUAACCUAGAUUUACUUGACUCUAGGUUCAAUGCCACUCAUGUUCUUUUUUUCCUAAUUUUUCACACUUAGGAAUCAUACUUGACAUGCCACUCAUGAAUCACCUAUGUUCAUUGAUACUAGGUUUCAUUGCCACUCAUGAUAGUUAUUAUCUUAAUUAUCCACAGUUAGGAUUCUUUACAUAUCACCCUUGUCAAGUUCUUUACUAUACUUAAGAGUUCAUCGACUCAAGUUUAACAUUCAUGUCAUUCUAGCAUAUUCUCAUAAUAUGUCAUCAUGCAUAUAUUCUUUAGCAUCUCAUACACAUGCCUAUGUUCUUAUCGAAAUGGUAGUCAACAUAUCUCAUGCAUUCUUUGGUAUACAUCUUAUGCAUUCAUCAUAAUCUAUCAUAUGCAUUCAUUAUCACCUAUCUUAUGCAUUCAUUAGCAUAUAACUCAUGCAUUCAUUUACUUUGCAGUUGGCUACCAUUACAUGCAUCAAUGACGAAAUACACUACACUUUGGCAUGGAAGCAAUCUAAUCGCUUCGGUGAGCACAACCCACGUCAAAUCGCUUUCCGAUUACUUGUCGACACUUGCAAUCGGCCGCCCGCGGCACUCGGUGUCCGGUUCGGCUCGAUCUUGCUAAUACUCACCAACCGUGCGUCGAUUCGCAGCCUCGAAUUUUAAAGCUCUAUAACUUGAUGUCGUGAUGCUAGGAAUCCGUUUUCGUGAUUUUUGGACAUCGUCUCGGCCUUCCAGGCGGAAACGAAACCAAAAACGUCCUUUUUGGCCAUAUCUUUGCGUAGGCUCGACGGAUCGCCGAAUUGACUUCACCAACGAUCUAGAAAACCUAGCAAUUAGGUUUACAUAGGGUCAAUUUACAUUUAAACCCAUCUAUGACAAAAACCCUAAUUUUCGUGCCCUAACAAUGUCAUUUGCAACAUACACCAAAUAGAUCUCUAAAACAAGCAAAUGCAAGCUUGUUGAACCUCUAGGAACUCAUCUAGAACCAUUUAAACCAUUCGUAGGGUGUUUAGAACAAAUCCUAGAAAUCCACCAUGAGAGCACUAUGAAGAAACAUAGAUUUUCAUGUGUUUCAUGGCCUCAAAAAGAUUUAUAUACUUUUAAGAAGAUCAAAACCAAAGAUUUAUGGCAUAAAACCAAACCCUAACCUUGUUCUUACAAGAAAACCUCACCUUAACCCAAAGCACUCCAAGGUCCACCUUGUAGAAGAGCUCUAGGUCUUCCAAAAGCUCCAAAUCUCUAAAUCCUUCUCCAAUCUCCUCCAAAUCCACCUUGGAGUAGAGUUUCUAGAGAGAGAAAGGGAGAAAAGAGAGGGAAGAAGGGUUCUCAACCACUGGUAACAAGAGAGGGUGCUGGGGGUUUUUAUAAGAUGCUACAAUUGCAUUUAAACCCUCCCUUUCUUCAUAUUUGCAGCAGAUCAAAUUAUGCUGCGAAGUACACUUAGUACCGGUACUAAAUAUUUUGUCACUGGUUACAUGAUUACGUACAGCUAAACCGGAGAGUUAUUUUCUCGGAUAACAGUACUGGUACCGGUACUAACCAGGGAUGUGACCGGUUUAACAGUCUGGUACCCAUACCACUUCAAUGCAUUACUGGUAAUGUAAGGACUGAGAUUUUGGCAGUGUAGCUAAAAUCUUUGUUGCUGAUGUUUUUGUGUGUAAUUUAAUUACAAAAGCGCUCGUCAAGUUUCGGAAGAAAACGAGUUAGAACGGAGAAGUUAUGCGAUCGUUAGUUUUCACUUAAAGUGAAUAGUAAUCCGGUUUUCCGGAAAGGCCACGAAGUAGAGUUGGCUUCCGACACGUAUCAGACUCCGUACAUAGCGAUCCAAUAGCUCGUUUUAAACGGUUCAGCUAUUCUGGAACGAAUGGCGUUGAUGGAUUUCAGAUUCGAUGCACGAUAUUCAAGAAAAGGGAGUUUAUGGGUUUUACACAUAUAUUUAUGUGUGGUUUUGGAAAGUUGGAGAGUGGAUGGGUUUAGUCGCAAAUCGGCGACCAGAUCGAACGAAUCAAAAUGGUAGAAUCGAUGUCCCAGUCGUGCUGAAUGCGCUGGCGCGAUCCGAUCGAAAAUCCGACGGGUGGAUCUUUGAGAAAAGCGAAAUGUUCGUUGAGAGGUCGAAAUUGGCAAGACGGAAAAAUUGCGGAAAACCUAAUAUUUUAUGCACCGUUUUGCGCGAUUUCGAACGUCGAGGGGCUGGUGUGCAUAAUACACGUACUGGCAGGGACUGAGCUGAAAGUAAUUGUCUAUGGGGGACCUUUUUGCAAUUGUACACAAACAUAUAAGGGGGCAAAGUGUAGAUUUUUAAAUGACAGUGGGAAAAGUGAAAAAUCGGAUUUUGAUAGGAAGGUUUUAUGUAUUUUAGCCUACAAAUUAACCAAAUAACCUAGCUGAAUAAUAAAAAUAAAAACCGAGACAUAAAACCAAUAACUAGAAUGGAAUAGGUUAGCUAAUUACAUAGUUAUUAAUUGAGUAAACACACUAAUCAGCGUUUUAUUUGAUUAAUGAUUGGCUACAAAUAGUAAAUCGCUUGCUAGUGCAAGCGAUUAGGAGCCAUAUAUUAUUAAUUAGCAAUGCUGCAUAAUUAUCAGAAACUAAUUAAUGAAAAAAUUAUUUGAGUUCUCGAGUUGCUAAGAAUUAAGAAUAUAAUUACGAAAAUAAACUAAAUAGCUUAGAUGCAGCUAUUAAUUGAAUAAGCACACUAAUCAAUUUAUUAUUUGAUUAGCAACUGAUUAUAAAUAAUAAAUAACUUGCCCAAAUAGUUAAUUAACAUAUAUAUAUUAAUUUAAGUGCUCAAGCAGUUAGUGUGUAACUAAAUAAGUCAAUUAUAAUAUCAAUUAUAAUAUUAAUUAGCAAUGUUAUAUACAUUUAUCAGAAACUAAUUAAUAAAAAAUUAGUAAAGAUUUUGAUUUGUUAAGAAUAUAAUUAUGAAAACCAAGGAAAUAACCUAGAUGAAUGGAGUUGGAAAUAAUUUACAAAAAGUGAUCUGUGCAGUGCAAAUUUUAAAAUCGAACAAAGUAUAAAGUAACCUUAUACAGUAGUCACCACCUGGGGGGAGGGACAAAAGACUCACAGAAGAAGCUAAAUACAUAGGCUCAGAUGAAAGGCAUAUUUAAUCAGGAGGGGGAAAAAACUCACAGAAGAAGCUAAAUAAAUAUGAACCAAUUGAAAUUUUUUGUUUGAGGCUCAGAUGAAAGACAUAUUUAAUUAGGAGUGUGCACUCCUAUCGACCAAGAGGACAUUCGAAGUGAGAUUUCUUUCAUCUAUCAUCAUCGCCUAGAAAAUACAUUAGAAAAAUUAGUAUUAAUCACAAAUAUAUUCUGCUAUUCUUCUUAAUUCUAACAUAAUGUCUCGGAAAAAAAAAAGGAAAAAUUUAAGCAGUCUUCACAAAAAAAACUAAAAAGGUAAGGCUCAGUUAAAUUGGCAAAAAUGCUCAUAAGCAUAGAAUAGUAAUAGAAGCAAUAGAUUACCGUAGGAGGAACAUGUGUGCAACGACCAAGGAUAAGAACAAUAGGAAGUGGUUGCCUAUAAAUAGGCCGUCCAAACUUCCGCUUGUUCGAAGCCAUCAUUUUUCACGUUUUCCUCUACUUAUCAUCAUCGCCUCAAAGAAGAGAUAGAAAAUAGCAAGAAACAGAAAAGAAUAAAAGAAACAAAGGAGUAUUAGUAAAACAACAAUGUAUCGAAGCAGUCGAGUCCAUGCAAAGCUACCACAUUUAAUCCAAAACAAAGACAGGAAUAUCAUAUUUGAGUACAACCAAUUAUCUGUAAAACUGACUCUAUCCAAAUCUACCACAUUUAAUCCCAAACAAAGAUACGAAUACCAAAUUUUGAAUACAAAAAAACAUAUGUAAAACUGCUUUCUCACAAAUAAUCCGACAACCAAUCAAAAAUAAAAUAUCAGAGGAUCAUAUUUGGCCACCAACUAAACAUGAGGUGAUCCAAUCUCACAGCUUGUGCAAGUAAAGAAUGCAAAUAAGAGAACUGUUGGCAAAUUUUGAAUCAGUAGGUUAGAAUCACAUGUGUACACCAAAAUUUGAACAACAUCAGAACACUAAAUCACAGUUAAUUGCCCAAGGAUUACGUUCCCCAAAAGGUAGAAUCGCAAUUUUCAGUACAACUAAAUAUCAGCACAUUGUUGUACCAACUACCAUCGGUAAAUCCAAGCCACCUCAUGCAUUGAGUAUAUAGAAGUUUCUUAAUUUAAAACAAAGGCAUCAACUUAAAUUUCAAAUAAAUGAAGUAGCAAUCGGUUGCCUAUGAUGCAGGCCAUCCAAAGUGCUCUAACCACCAGCCAAGAAGGCCCGGGCCCCUCUCAAUUAUCGCAAUUAUUUCACAUUCAAGGGAAGGUCAGCAUAGUAUGGGACAAUAACAGGCGAAAGCUCAAUUGUCGCAGUCAUCUAACAUUCAAGGGAAGGUAAUCAUAGUAUGGGACAAAAAGAGGCGAAAGUAAAGUACCCCCCGCAAAGGACAAAACAUUAUUAUAAACUACACAGGACACAGCUAUGAAGAACAACAAAGAGCCGACAGCCAGCAGGAAGACAUUGGGAACCUGCAGAAACCAAAAAAGGGACUUGCGGAUUCCACGGCAUAUAAUUUUUUUUUGUUUUGAAAAUCAGGUUGAAGGAAAAGCAAAAGAACAGAGUUUUAUCUGUAGAAAACCUUGAAAUAAUGAUGUAAAAUAACUAAGUCUUCAAAGGAUGUUGAAACAAAAAGGGAAAAAGAAAUCGAAUGCAGGUAAAAGCAAGCCGAAAACACAGAUUUGACAAAUCAAAGCCAAAGAUGCAAUUUGGGAAAAUCCCAAUAGCUUAAAAAAAUAUGAGAACACUGUUUACAAAGAAGAGAAAAGUGAAGAGGAGCAGCAAACAUGAGUAGGUAUGGAAAUAAAUAAAUAAAUUUUGCCCACACUACCCUAGUGAUCGAGCAUUAUUAGAUUGGCAGCGAAGCCUUCCUGAUUAGUAGUGCUGACCGAGCUAGAAACCAUGCACACGUCGAAACUAUUCUUAGCACAAAUGAGAACAACCGGUUGCUUACGAAGUAAGCCAUCCAAAGUACUCUCAUUACCAAUCAAGAAGGCGCAGGCCCCUCUCAAUUAUCACAACCAUCUAACAUUGGGAAGGUCAUCAUAGCACGGGAGGAAAGCAGGGAAGACAAAGCCUCGGGGAAUAGAAGGUUCAAAUUCUUAUCACAUUCAGGUGCAAGCAAAGUAACCCACAACAGACAAAACAUUGCUAUAAACCGCACAGGACAGAACUACAGAUAUCAAGAAAGAAUCUGCAGCCAUCAGGUAGACAUAGGGAACAUCUAGAAACCAAAAAAGGGGCUUGCGGAUUCCAAGGCGCAUCCAAUAUAUACUUUUUAAACCAUGCUGAAGGAAAGGGGGAAGGAGGGGCCUGCAGAUUCCAGGGUUUUUUUUUUCUUUGAAACCAUGCUGAAGGAAAGGGGAAAGGAAAGAGUUUUACCUGGACCAAACCUCAGAACAAUGAUGUAAAAUAACCAAGUAAUCGAAGGACACUAAAACACACACAGGAAAAAGGAAGUAAAGAAAAAACAAAUGUAUGUAAAAGUGAGUUGGAAAACACAAUUUGCAGUUUCCAGAAAUCCCAAGGACCAAAAAAACAUGAAGCCAGUGUUAGCAAAAAAGGAGUAGAGCAAAAACAUUAAACUAAUGACAAACAUAGCAGAAAUCUCCAUCUUCUAAUGUUCGGAAUCUACGUAAAAAUAAGUAAAAAAAACAGAGCUUGCAGGUUUGGAAAAUCUCAAGGGUGUAAAAAAACAUGAAACCAGGGUUCGCAACGAAGAGAACAGUGAAGAGAAGUAGAGGGCAAAGAUUAAACGAAUGACAAACAUGCACUUUAGGAAAAUCUAAAUAGGAAAAAUAUUCUAAGAGUAAAUCCAAAAAUAGAGAGUUUUGACAAAUGAGCAGAAAUUUCCAGAUUCUCUUUCAAUCACCGGAAAACUAUAAAGCACACCAUGAAAACCAAACCAGGGAAGGAAUGUUUGCAAAGAACAGAAGAUCACUAAUGUUUGAAAAGAAGAAUCGUAAAUUUGAUAAAAAAUUAGGAUACGAAAACCAUACAAAAUAACCUAGCUAAAUUCAGAUGGAAAUAGUUUAUUCAUAAGUACAGAAUAGUAAUGAGAACAAAAUCUGAUAGGCAAGGUAAAUAUAUUUUGCUCAGACUCCCCCAUUUAUCAAGCAUUAGUCAGAUCCACGCCAUUUUUUUAAUUUUUUCUUUUUUGCUUUAGUAGCGUCGAGUGGAUUGAAACAGAUAUGCAGAACCAAAUUACCCUAGAAUGAGACCCACCGGUUGCCUGCAAAGCAGGCCAUCCAUAGUGUUCCCAUUUCUCUCGGCAGUGUAGCACCUUCGUACUUAGCACACUAGUACUUAGCACACUCGUUCUUAGCACACUAUGCCAAUGGCUUUCCAUAGUGUUCCCAUAGUGUUCAGUAGCUUGGGCAAGAGAUAAAAAAACAAAAGACAUGGUUGCCGAGGGAUUAGUCCUUUCAAGUCUCCGUUUUUCCAAAAAGAUUAUACACCAAGACUUAAGAGAUGGUUGCCGACGGAUUAGGCCAUCCAAAUCUCUUUUUUUUGUUCUCUUUGUAGCAUCACUGCCUCAAAAGAGAUUGAAAGAACUAAAAUGUCAAACGUUCCCACAAAUUAGCACAUGAGCAAUAGCUAUCAUCCACACUUAUCUUUACAUAUCAUCAUCGCCUCAAAAAAUAGCUAGAAAAUGGACAGGAUCGCAAAGAAAUGAAGAAAAUAAAGUAAUAUUAGGAAAAUAACAAUACACUGAAUAAUAUGAAUAACCAAGAGCAAGGAGUGGCAGGAAGAGCAUGUAAAAAAUCUCGAGUGUAAAGCACAUGUACUAUUUUUUCAGAAAUUACAAUCCGAAUAAAACAAACCUUAAAAUGUAUCAAAAGUAUCUGUAAAUACUAAGCAAUCCAAAUCUCCGUUUUUUCCAAAAAUAUUAAACACCAAGACUUAAGAGAAGGUUGCCGAGGGAUUAGGCCACCCAAACCCUUUUUUUUCUUUUUGUAGCAUCACUGCCUCGAAAGAGAUUGAAAGAACUAAAAUGCCAAAAGUUUCCAGAAAUAAGCACAUGAGCAAUAGCUAUCAUUCAAGUUAUCCUUACUUAUCAUCAUCACCUCAAAGAAGAGCUAGAAAAAGGACAGGAUCACAAAGAAAUCAAGGAAAUCAAGUAAUAUUAGAGAAAUAACAAUUUACUGAAGAAUAUGAAUAACCAGGAGAAAGAGUGGCAGGAAGAGCAUGUAAGAAAUCUCAAGUGUAAAGCACAUGUACUAAUUUUCCAGAAAUUAGAAUCUGAAUAAAACAAACCUAAAAAAGUAUCAAAAGCACCAGUAAAUAGUAAGCAAACUUCAUACUAUCUAUUAUUAUCCCAACUAUAAGCAAGCAGUGGAGAAAAGAAUCCCAAUUCAUAAAAAAGAAAGGUAAAAAAAAAAAAACUGCAAAACACUAUUGAUAAAAAGCUUUGAAAUUAAGCAAAGAUAGGAAAUGAAUACAAACAUAUGUCAACCAAGGAAAGUAGAUAGAUGCAAACGAUAUUAGCAGGCAAAAAUUAUAAAAAAAAUACCUGUAUCAAAAUAUAUUCAUCUUAAUGAAGCAAAUAUAUUCACACUUUUCCUUAUUUAUCAUCAUCGCCUCAAAACAGAGCCAGAAGCAAGACCACAAAAAAAAUUAAAACUGAAGUAAGAGAACGAAAAACGUGAAGAAUAAACAACGAAAAAAAAGAUGAUAUAGGAUUUGAAAAAGGGCAAGAUUGAUGAACUUAGAGAGAAAGAACAUCUUCAUUCUUUUUGUCACACAUUUGAUGCAUAUUUUUUUAGCCAACAAUAGGUGCAUGCGUUGCCCUAAGACCAUCAAUCUUGCCCUUUUUCAAAUCCUAUAUCAUCAUUGCCUAGCAAAUUAUUUGAAGCCACGAAUUAGCCAUUUUUUUAUGCCACUAUUUUUAUAAUAUUAUGAUUAACAUUUUGAUUAGUUAUAUUAAGUAUAAGGAGUCUCCUUUGUCAGAUUCUAAAAGUCCACCAUCCAUAUAUAUAUAUAUAUAUAUAUAUAUAUAUAUAUAUAUAUAUAUAUAUAUAUAUAUAUAUAUAUAUAUAUAUAUAUAUAUAUAUAUAGAAAGAGAGAGAGAGAGAGCGAGAGAGAGCAGAACUACUAUGCUCUUAGGAGCACUAAGGCCUCUGUGCUCCGAAGUCGUUUUUGAUGAUAGAAUGUCCCAAUCAAUGAUCGACCCCCUUAAACUUGAUCUAGCAUAUUUGAAAUAUCUGGAAAAUAAACUUUACGAUUUUUCGAUGUCAUUUACCCAACGAUCAAAAGGUUUCAAAAUCAACGGUUGAAAAUAAAAAUCUCACAAAAAGUGGUGAUAUGACACUAAAAUUUUCGAUCAGAUAUAUUGAUCUUGCUGUAAAGAGUAUAUAAAAUUUUUUAUCAAAAUUUCAUAUGAUUUGGAUACUUCUACACCGUUAAACUUGAAAACAGUAGACAUCAACCAUUAAAAAUUAUUAAUUUUGAACUCUUUCGAUUGCUAGGUAAAUGACAUCAAAAAAUCACAAAAUUUAUUUUCUAGAUCAAAUACAAUAGAUCAAGUCUAAUGGAAUCGAUCGGCGAUUCGAAAAUUUGAUCAUCUAAAACAGCUUAGGAGCAUAGCACAGCAGCCCUGCUCUCUAUAUAUAUAGAGAGAAAGAGAGAGAGAGAGAGAGAGAGAGAGAGAGAGAAAGAGAGAAAGUAGGUCUUGUGCGUUAUUAGAAGCAGGGAGGCCUCUGUGCUCGUAAGCCGUUUUCAAUGAUAUAACUUCCAAAUCGAUGAUCGGUUCUGUUAGACUUGAUCUAGCGUAUUUGAACUAUCUAGAAAAUAAAUUUUACGAUUUUUUAAUAUCAUUUACCUAGUGAUCAGAAGGACUCAAAAUCAACAGAUGAAAAUAAAAAUCUCACAAAAAGUUAUGAUGUAGCACUAAAAUUUUUUAUCAAAGAUAUUGAUCUUGUUGUAGAUAAUAUAAAGAAUUUUCUAUCAAAAUUUCAUCUGAUUUGAAUACUUCUACAUUGUUAAAUUUGCAAACGGCAUACAUUAACCAUUAAAAAUUGUUGAUUUUGUACCUCUUCAAUCGCUAGGUAAAUGAUAUCGAACAACCGCAAAAUUUAUUUUCUACAUACUUCAAAUACGUUAGAUCAAGUCUAACGGAGCCGAUCGCCGAUUAGGAAGCUCCAUCAUUGAAAACGGCUUAGGAGCACCGAGGCCUCCAUGCUCCUAAUAGCACACAAGUAUAUAUAUAUAUAUAUAUAUAUACUUGUGUGCUUUUAGAAGCACAGUAACCUUCGUGUUAUCAAGUCAUUUUCGAUACUGAGAAUUCCAAAAAUGAUUGGAUUCAUUAAAUUUGAUCUAAAGAAUUCGAAGUACCUAGAAAAUAAAUUUCGCGAUUAAAUCGAGAUCAUUUACCUAUUGACCAAAAAGGCCCAAAAUCAACAAUUGAAUAUAAAAUUCUCACAAAACGUAAUAAUAUGACACAAAUUUUAAAUCAAAAAUAUUGAUCUUGCUUUAUAUGGUAUAAAGAAUUUUUGGCAAAAUUUAAUGUGAUUUCGAUAUUUCUACACCAUUAAACUUGCAAACGACAUUUGUGCAACAAGUUUAACGUGUAGAAAUAUCUAAAUCACGUUAAAUUUUGACAAAAAAUUCUUUAUACUAUAUAAAGAAAUAUCAAUACUUUUUAUCUGAAAUUUGUGCCAUAUCAUCACUUUUGAAAUUUGUGCCACAUCAUCACUUUUUGUGAGAUUUUUAUUUUCAACCGUUGAUUUUGAGCCCUUUCAAUCAUUAGGUACAUGAUAAUAAAAAAUCACAAAAUUUAUUUUCUAUAUACUUUGAAUAUUCUAGAUCAAGUCUAAUAGAGCCGAUCGUCAAUUUGGAAGCCCCAGCAUCGAAAACGACUUGAAAGAACGGAGGUUCACACUUCACAGUGCUUCUAAAAGCACACAAGCCUCUCUAGCUCUCUCUCUCUCUCUCUUUAUAUAUAUACACACACCAUGCAACAUGCAUUAUUGCAUAAACUCCCGUGAGAAAUAGGUAUCUGGAUAUGUGAUUUUCAAAACCAUAUUUAUUUGCAUUCAUGCCUCUGCUAGGAGUAUAUGAGCUUAACAACCAAAUUCCCCAAUGGAAGACAUCAAGCUAGAGCUUUUCUCGAUGUAGUCUUUGAAAGAGAUGGUCAAGCUACCAAAUUGCUAGAGAAUUCUAUUCCACUUAGGGCUGAAAUGAUAUAAUAUAGGCGAUAUAUCUUGAAUAAGCAAUUAAAUAUUAACUUAUAGUUUUUUUUUUUUGCAUAUAUAUACACUACAAGUCUUCAAUAUGAGAAGUUGUUUAACUACCGACCUCAAAGUUGGUAAGAAAAUUUUCCAUGUUAUGUAUGCACAUAUCAAUUUUAUGAAGGCAUUUGUGCAAUUUUCUGUAUUUGCCAGGAUAUAUAUAAAUACAAACAUAUAUGAGAAGUAGGUAUCUAAAUGUGUGACCUUCAAAGCCAUAUGUAUUUGCAUUCAUGCCUUCACUAAGGGUUUAUGAAAGUAAGAUCCAAACGAAAUUCCGCACCUUGUCCCCAGUAGAAGACAUCACUCCGGAGCUCUUCUUGAUGUAGUCUUUAGCAGAGACGGUCAAGCUGCCCAAUUGCUAGAGAAUUCUAUUCCACUUAGGCCAAAAUGAUAUAAUAUAGGCAUAUAUCUUGAAUAAGCAAUUAAGUAUUACUUAUAGUUUUUCUUGCAUAUAUAUACACACACACUACAGUUUUCAUGAAUGAGUACAUGAGCAAUAGCCACCAUUGAUAAGAAUAAUAAGAAGUGGUUGCCUAUGAGCAGGCUGUCCAAACUGCCUAUCUUUUAAAAGAGCCGACAUAACUGUGAUGCACGUUAGAAACAAAAACAGCAACACAAAUUGCAGUAAUUGCAUCACAUUAUAAACAAAAAAAUGCCAAAGCUCUCAAGUAUGCAAAGAGGGCCCAAAAGGUUUUGAUGGCUUGGGGGUGAGACCAUCCAAACUCUCCAGCAUUUUUCUCACAAAAAAAUAGCCCCAGACUACACCAAUAAUCAAUGCCAAUCUCUCUUCUUUUUUUUUUUCUUUAUAGUAUCACUGCCUCAAAAGACUUCAAAACAACUAAAACUCCAAAAGAUCAUGCAAUAAAAAGCCCACUCAAUUAAGGACAAAAGAAUGAUAUCUUCCAACUGAAACAAAUUCCUAUCAUAACAAAAAAAACUUAAAAAGAAUAGAGGCUAAGUAAUAUCACAAUAGACAAUAAACAAAAAAAUAGAAAAAUAGAGGCUCAGGUAGUGUAAAACAAAUUUCAACCAAGAUCAGUAGCUUGGGCAAGAGGAAAAAAAAUAGAAGAGAUGGUUGCCGAGGGAUUAGCCUGUUCAAAUCUCCGUUUUUCCAAAAAGAUUAUACACCAAGACUUAAGAGAUGGUUGCCGAUGGAUUAGACCACCCAAAUCUCUUUUUUUGUUCUCUUUGUACCAUCACGGACUCAAAAGAGAUCGAAAGAACUAAAAUGUCAAAAGUUCCUACAAAUUAGCACAUGAGCAAUAGCUAUCAUCCACACUUAUCCUUACAUAUCAUCAUCGCCUCAAAAAAAUAGCUAGAAAAUGGACAGGAUCGCAAAGAAACCUAGAAAAUAAAGUAAUAUCAGGAAAAUACCAAUACAGUUAAUAAUAUGAAUAACCAAGAGCAAGGAGUGGCAGGAAGAGCAUGCAAAAAAUCUCGAGUGUAAAGAACACGCACAAUUUUUCCAGAAAUUACAAUCCGAAUAAAACAAACCUCAAAAUGUAUCAAAAGUAUCUGUAAAUACUAAGCAACCGAAAUCUCCGUUUCUCCAAAAAGAUUAAACACCAAGACUUAAGAGAUGGUUGCCGGGGGAUUAGGCCAUCCAAACCACCUUCUUUUAUUUCUUUUUGGAGCAUCACCGUCUCGAAAGUGCCUCGAAAGAGAUCGAAAGAACUAAAAAUGCCAAAAGAUUCCAGAAAUAAGCACAUGAGCAAUAGCUAUCAUUCAAGUUAUCCUUACUUAUCAUCAUCACCUCAAAGAAGGGCUAGAAAAUGGACAGGAUCACAAAGAAAUCAAGGAAAUCAAGUAAUAUUAGGGAAACACCAAGACUUAAGAGAUGUUUGUCGAGGGAUUAGGCCAUCCAAACCACCCCUUUUUUUUUUAUUUUUGUAGCAUCACCACCUUGAAAGAGAUCGAAAGAACUAAAAUGCCAAAAGUUUCCAGAAAUAAGCACAUGAGCAAUAGCUAUCAUUCAAGUUAUUCUUACUUAUUAUCAUCACCUCAAAGAAGAGCUAGAAAAUGGAGAGAAUCACAAAGAAAUCAAGGAAAUCAAGUAAUAUUAGUGAAAUAACAAUACACUGAAGAAUAUGAAUAACCAAGAGAAAGAGUGGCAGGAAGAGCAUGUGAGAAAUCUCAAGUGUAAAGCACAUGUACUAAUUUUUCAGAAAUUAGAAUCCGAAUAAAACAAACCUAAAAGAGUAUCAAAAGCAUCAGUAAAUAGUAAGCAAACUUCAUACUAUCUAUUAUUAUCCCAACUAUAAGCAAGCAGUGGAGAAAAGAAUCCCAAUUCGUAAAAAAGAAAGGAGGAAAAAAACCUGACAUGUACAUUAGAAAUAUUGUCACACAUAUAGUACAGCUUAUCCGUUGAUCUUCAUUUUCAACAGAUUGCACAAAUCAUAGUAAUAUGGCACAAAGCAAGCACGUUUCAGUCAAGCAAUUAUAUUUUUUUCCUCACAGUUUGUCCUAAGGCAACAUACAACAACCUACAGUCCCUAAUUAAAUAAUCCAAUUUUAUAUGUGGUCUUGGUCAUCAUGUAGAGCAAUUAUCAUGCACUAAGGAGAGAUGCUCCUGAGAAAUGAGGUAAAAAAGGGCAUCACUUAAAUAUAUUUUUUAGUUACAGCAGAAUCAUCUAAAAUUUAAAAAACUAGAGAAGCUAAACCUUGCCAAAUGUAGCAAUUCAUUGCAGUGUCACAGGUUUCAGAACAGAGUGUGCUUGUUUGACAGGAAACAAAAUCUUUAUUUGCCGCUAGAUUCGGUAGAAAAGCUCUCACAUAGUCAGCAAAGCCGAUCAAAAAAGGUUUAAAGUGAUUUAGGGAAAAAUAAAUAAAUAAUCUAUGGGGUAUAAAACCCUAGCAAAUAGUUUUUCAAAUUUGACAACAGAUGAACCCAAGUGGGGUUUUUGAUAGAUCAUGGUCAUAGUCGAACAAUGGUUGACUGCAUCUCAUGAAAGAGCCUUCUCAACCUCGGUGGUGACUUCUUUGGGGGGUUUCUCAGCAUGAAGCUGCACCACUAAUCCCUUCUUAGAGUAGUAGUCAAUGACCUGCAAUACGGAAAUAAUACGAAACAAUUCAAAUUUCCGAACUAUAGAAAACAGCAUUUAUUGCGAGUAAUUGAAGGAACCAGGAAAGCUCUAAUAUACCAAUCUAAGAAGAAAGAAUAUAGAUAAAAAAAAAAAAGGAUACACAAUCAGGCAAUAUAUGAAAAUUCAGCAGAUGUGGGAAAAGUCGAGCUGAAUUAAAUUCUUUUAACCAAAGUUUUCUGGCCAAGAGUGAACCCAAUCAAUAUCCCCAAAAAUAGUGGUAAUGCAAAAGUUGUCGCAACUGGCAACAGCUUCCAUUGAAACCUUACCAUGCCACAAAAGGGACAGCAAAGUAUUAUGUAAAAAGAGAAUCAUUUUGUAAUGAAAGAUUCAAAGUGAGAGGAUACAAAAUUAAAAAAGAAAAGGAAAUAAGAAAGAAGUUAAACAGAAAAAGAGGAGGUAGAAUGAUGUAACAGAGUCUUUGAAAAAGAAGAAAGAGGUAGGAGGGCAAGAUUCGACACUCUCGUGUAUCAAAGAAGCAAGGUAUAUUAUCGUUGUAUAUAUGCCAUCUGAAGAAUUUACAGUUAAACUAUAUACCCUCAGACUUUAAUGCAGAUAUGUGUGAUCACCCAAAAUUUAAGUGCAUAUAACUCAUUUGAUAUGUGGUACCAUCAAAAUGCAACUCAAUUGUAACAUGGCAUGAAGAAUUAUUUAAAUAGUAAAGAGAAAAAGGACCAUCAAAAUAAUGAAAAUAUAGAUAAAAACUAGAAAUGAAAUAAAACUGAACUUUCUAAUUACAUGCUGUUGGGUGGCAGGUAGACGCGUGUGUAAUCCUGACUUGACACUUCAUGGUUGGAUAUAGCCUGACCGGACUGACUACUACAGCAAAACUAAGCAUAUUCUUUCAGCAGUGUGGGAACGCUGAUCAGAUACUAUGAGACUACUCUCUUGGUUCGUCAUUUGUUGGCCCAUAUUUACCAAUAUUCAUACAAGGCCUUGCAACAAUUCCCUACUUGGAAGUGCUUUCCAUAACCAUACCUUUUCCAAAGUUGUAAGCAUCUUUAUUUUUCUUUAUUUUUCUCUUUUAUUUUUCUUCUUUUUUCCUUUUCUGUAUUUUUUUAUUUUAAGGUUUUGUUUUCCCUUGACAGCUGCACACAGUCGUCAGCUAUUACAUAUCAAUUUGAUAUCCAUGCACCUAUUAAAUUCUGGACGGAAAUAGAAAAUGCGAUCAAAAAGAAUUUGCAGAAGGAUUCCAUUUAGCAUGAUAUUACUAACAGAAAUCGGAAAUCCAUCAAAUGUAUUCAGUAGAUUGCCUACUAUAGUUAUUGUUGCUAGACUUGUGUAACCAAUAUUAUAAAUCAUCUAUAUAUAAUUUCACAUACAAGUAAAAAGUCCUAUUCAUACAUAACCAACAUAAAGAGGAGGCUUGUUAAAUGGAAAAUUUUCACUAAUUUCUUGUUAACAGUUAAAAAUUGUUAAAAGGACCUAGUACAACACUUUACUAGUCAAGAAGGAACGAAAGAGAUGACGUACAGGUUCAGUUUGCCUGUGGAAAGCUUCAAGCCUUGACUUGAGGACUUCAGCAGUGUCAUCUUUCCUUUGAAUCAAUGGCUCUCCAGAGACCUUGAAACGAAAAGAAAAGAUUAAAAAAAAAAGAAGAGAGUAAUAUAAGCACAUAAGAGAAUAAGUUCCACAACUAAAGUAACGCCUGAGUUUAAGUCACACAAAGACUCAAGAUAUGUAUACAGCUAAUAAACCAUACAAGAAGAAAUUUGUCACGUAACAGCACGAAAGAUGUUUAGGCAAAAUAACCCCUGAUGCACUUACAAAAGUAGCAUGAAAGAGAAAGGACUCGUCUACUCAUCCACUACUUCUUUAAUUUGAGAUAUGAGAAAUAUUCUACCAAGCCCGUUGCUUUAUAAAACAGUGAAUAAUAGCUAAGCUUAGAAACAGAAAGUUCAAGUAUUGCAAGGUGAAGAGCACGCAAUAUGAAGUGAUAGAUCAAAUGGUCAGAUACUAUUCACACCAAUUGAAAUAUUAUGUGUAUAGUAUAGAGUAAAUAUCAUGAUUAAUUUAAUGAAUAAGCUGCUUGUUCUUCCACUUACAUCAUCAAUUCCUGAAACCUUUGGAGGUGCAAACUUGGAAUGGUAGGUCCUUCCGCUAGAGGGAUGAAUCCAACGGCCAGUAAUUCUUUCUUCCAAUAUAACAUCGUCGAUUGCAAAGUUGAGAACCUUGUCAAUUUUGCUGCCCUGCUUGGCCAACAUCUCGUCAAGCUGCAUCCAACAGUUGAUUCAGUAGUGACCAAAAUAAACCUUUCACGCAAAAUUAGAAAAUGAAUUCCAAAACCAACAGGUCUAUUUUACUCGUCAAAGAGUACAGGCAUCUGACCUUUUGUGCUUGAACAACAGUCCGAGGAAAUCCAUCAAGAAUGAAACCCUUUUGACAGGAUGGCUUUUUCAUUGCUUCGUCAAUAAUUCCAACAACCAAAUCAUCAGAGACAAGCUCUCCCUAAAAAAGCAAGAACAGAAUUUUCAAUGAGCAAAUGCGAACAAGUGUUUUAACCUUUUCUCUUCCCUUUCCCUUCUGUCAAAUAAGCUCCAGUAUAAUACCUUGUCCAUAGCCUCUUUUGCUUUAAUUCCAAGAGGGGUCUUAGCAGUAACAGCAGCUCUCAACAUAUCACCAGUAGCCAGAUGGCACAAGCAGUAUUCGUCCUUAAUAAUAGGCGAUUGAGUUCCCUUUCCAGAUCCCGGCGGACCUGCAAAAUAAAGCAAAAAAAAUCAAAGUUAAGAUUAAAAAAAAGGGUAACUAAUUUUGACUUACUUGAAAAAUGGCACCAAUAAGCUGAUAAAUUUUAGAAAAAGGGCUUUAGUGAACAGGAGGCUUGAAAAAGGUUCUCUCUUGCCUUUCAGAAAAAUGCAAGAGAGAAAUAUGCCAUAAGCCAUAAUAAAUUGUUCCAUCCCACACAAAACAAAGUUACAAAUGAUAACAUAUUUCCGCACCAAACAUUAAAGUAUAAAUAUUCAUCUAUGGUUCUAUGUGUUGUUUUACGUCGAAAGUAGUGUCAGAAUGCCAAAAGCAGAUUUAUUGAUGAAACAAGCUAAAUGACUUACAAAGAAAAUCCAAAAGACAGAAUUUUCGACUGCAUACAUGAAAAACAAAAGAAGGAAUACCGCAUCGGAGAAAUACGACCAACAACUAUAAUGAUUUGCAUAUGGGCAACCAGAUAGGCGAAUAUCUACCAUCAUCGAAAUUACAUCGACUAUAAACAAACUUCAAUCACAUCACCGUUGGUGUUAAUUGUGCAGUUAGAAAAGGCUGAAUUUUUAUGAUUCAUACCAACACUAUAGAGUUAUUUUGCCUUAUAUAUGACAACAACUAUCCACCUCUAUUUACAUACCUAAUAUGUGAUAAUUUAACAUGAUCAUAACAGUAUCUAAAACCAACAGAUAAUAGACUUGAAACGACAUAAAGUUACACAAAAAUGUCCAUGAACACAACAAACUAUCUAAUAUAACAUCAACAACGACUAAAUAUUUUUCGCAAAUGAACAGGAAAUUUCCCAAACACAAGAGAUAAACAACAUACCAAAACCGAAUCCCUCUUAGAUCCUAAGCUACACGGCCCUAAUCUCAAUCGGAGCACUUCAAGCAUCAAUCGAAAGCAUAAAUCGCGUAUAGAAACCAGAAAACAGCAUCAAAAGGGGUCAAUGUCGGAUCUAAAACUAGGGUUUUGGCGAGAAGCCAAAACAAAAAAAACAGAAGGGGAGAUCGAUCGAUCGAUGGAUCGAUGGAUCUACGGGUGAAGCGAUUAGAGUACCGAUGAGGAUGAGGCGCUUGUCGGGCUUGGAGGCGCACUUCAUGCGGCGGAGCAGCUCCGUCAUCAGAUCCGGCGUCGGCACGUCCUCGAGAUUCGCCAUUUUCCCUCUCCUCUCUCUCUGUAAUGACCCUGAAGAAUAAAUGGUAAAAGUAAUACUAGUAGCAGCAGUUAGCAUGGGAGAAUAGUAAAAAUAGCAACUUUACGUAGAAGAGGAAUAAAUGGUAGCAGCAAGGUGGGUGCGAGCUCGGGUGGAACUCCGGCGAAGCUAGAGCAUCCUGGGUGCUCCGAAGGAGAAGAGGGAGGAUCGAGGUAGGUGAGCGGAGGACCCUGCAGAUCUGGAGAGCGGAGAAACAGAGCGGAGGAAGUAGAAACACCUCGGUAGCGGGUAGCGGGCGAUCCCAUUCCGGGUCGGAUGGAAAAGGCGGACCCAAGACCCGCCGGAUUGCAGAUGGCGCGGAUAAGAGAGUAACCGGCGCCCGUGUGCCCGAGAACCGCAGCCUGGACCAGGAAGGCCCAAACCGAGGCCCAAGUACCGCCGAAAUUGCAAUCCACCGGCCUAUACUCAUAUUUUUCCACUUUUGCAAUGCAGCCCUCUUAGCAAGUUAAUUUUACAUUUUAGUAGAUGUAUAAAUAUUAAGAUGUAAGGUAAACAGGGCAUGAAUGGAAAUGAAUUAGCUCGUCUUCUCCUCUACUAUUCUCCUCUUCUCUUCCCCUCUAAACCCUCCUCUGCUUCUAAUCUCUACCUCUCUACUGUAUCUCUCUCUAUCUCUACUUCUCUAUCCCUCUCUACCCCUAUUUCUCUCUACUUCUCCUUCUUUUCCCUUCUUUUCCUUACCUCGGGUACCUCGGAUCCGCGACUCGGGAGCACCUAUCAUCCUCACCGCCAUCCGACCUCAGAGCAAUUUCAUCAUCGGUGGUUGCGGAUCGACCGGGGAUGUUACACUCUCUCUCUCUCUCUCUACUUCGCUCUAUCUCUCUCUACACACACCUAGGCUAGAAAAAAAAGAGAGGAAAAUAGGUGUAGGUGAGGUGAGAGAGAGAGAGAUAGAGAGAGACGCGCUCGCUUAGGAUUUCUCUCACGACUUUCGCCCGUUGCCGCCUCGAGGACCAAUAGAGCAUUUAAUUAUAAGAUUUUUGAAGGGCUCACCAAGCAUUUUAUAGGAGUUAAGUAGGAACAUACCCUAUUAAAAAAUAGAUUUUAUUUUUAUUUUUUUGAAUGAAAUUAUAAAAAAAAUAAAAAAAUUUUAAAUACCACUCUAUGGUUUCACACUUUUUCACUUUCUCACUUUAGUAUUAUGUGGUUUAAAGUGUAGCAAUUUAGUAGCUUGUGGUUUUAUUUUUCUUUUUUUAUUAUACAUUCAAAGUUAAAACUAAAAAGUAUUAAAAUAAAUAUUCGAUAAACCUAAGUAGAGUAUUUGAAGUUUUUUGUAUAUAAUUUAGUAAAAUAUUAACAAAUGAGCUGACGAAAAGAAAAAAAAUAAAACUACAUAAUACUAACUUGAUAUACUUUUAACCAUAGGGUACUGAGGUGAGAAAGUACAAAACUAUAUAGGUGGUAUUUAAAGUUUACCCUAAAAAAUAUAAUAUAACUAAAUUAAUAAAUGAAAUAUUUCUUAUCUUAUUUUUUUUUACUGAACUUAUUGUAAUUUUUCUGCAAGUUCACGUAAAACCUUUUUAAGUUAAUUUUGUCGGUAUUUACUUUAUUCAGUUGAUUAUUGAAGGGGUACGUAGUUUCAUUUCACAACGUCUUUUUUUGGAUAAAGCAUAUAGCAGGAACAAAAAGAUUGUGAAUUAUAUGAUGCAUAACAAAUUUGCUAGUGAUAUUGCUUGGAUCAGUUGGUAAAUAUUUUUUAAAAAAAAUAUUUUGUGUCAGUAAAAUUUAAAUGCUAAUUAGGCAUCAAGGCAAUAAUGAGAUGCAAAACAAGAAAAGGCAACAAAAAUUAAAUUUUUCCGAAAUUUAAAUGAAAAUAUUGUUUUCGGAUUUGUUUUUUUUUAAACCAGUACGAGUCUGAUUUGAAUCAUGAAAGCUCGAUUUUCAGGUGCAACUCUGACUUUCUUUUUCUUUUUGGCCCUUCUUUUUGUUCUGUUUUAAGAUGGUCUUGGAGAGUAUCAUUUAUGAUGUAAAAAUCAAAUAUUAGUUGUGAUUUAAUCGCACAACUUUGGCUCACCUAAUAAUGAAAGCUUGAGCUAAUCACUUCCUAAAUACCCACGCGGGUCAAAGAGUGAAAAUACUAUUCGCAUCUCAAAAUGUACUCUAAAAUAUAGUUAAUAAAUGGACUUCAGUCAUGGCGGCGGUCGUUAAUCAGUAAUUUAGUUUUUCAGGUCACACUAGAAAUUAUAUGCAGUGCUAUACUGAAAAUUAUGGUAUGAAAAGAAAUUGACCCACCGACUAUUUCUAGUGCAAAUAGCAAAAGGCUUGAUGGUUGAUACCCGAGAUCCCAAAUUUGAAUUUUAGUUGAUUCACAUUUCUAGCUAAAUUUAUUUUUAAAUGAAAUAAACGAAACGGAUAACAUGCUAACUCUCUCAAAAUGGAAAAAAAAAAAAAAAAGAUUGGGCAUUAGUCAAAAAAAAGAUUGGGCAUUAGUCAACUAAUUCUAGUCGCGUUUACUGUGGGGACUAGACCCGAGAGUGUGGCGGAGAAAGCUUCUGUUGGUUGGUGUUUUAGGUGUACAACUACUUCAACAGCCUAUUGGAUCCACAAGUUAGACCAAGCAACGUGGUCUGAUCCACGGGAUCGCAUUUGACCAUUGGGAUCAUGAAAGCUUCACAAAAAAUAACCCAAAUUUGAUUUUCAAAGGUAUCGCUAAAGCUAUCUAUAUCUAUACAUCUAUACAUAUAAUAAAAGGCGAACUCUAAACUGUCACGCGUCGCCUCCCCAGCAACCCCCCUUCUUUUUAGUUCCGAGGGAGGGGCGGGCUCUUCCUCUCUCUCUUUCUCUUUCCCUCUCUCCCUCUCUNCUAGGAGCGCUGGAGGCGUGCGGAGAAGAGACGUAUUAAUAUCGGUUUUUUUUUCCCUUUUUUAGUUUGUUUAAUCAGAUUAAACCAACGUUAAAGAGUGUUUCCUUUUUUAUUUAUUUUUAACAUCGUACUUAUAACUUUGAUGUUUGGUUCAAGUACAAAAUUGAAUUUUCUUGAGGAGCGGUAAAUGGGACGCUACUCUUUCAUACUUUUCUUUUGUUUAAUUUAGUGUUUUUAAGUUUGUGUAGUACUAUUUUCCUUGUUAAUCUCUUUUGUGUAUGUUUACAUCCCUUUUACUUUAAAAUCCUAGUUUUAUACCCCUUUUUUAAACUUUAACUUCCCCUUUAUCCUAUGACCUUCCUUUUUAAUCUCUUUGGGUAAAUGUUUUUAGGUUAUAACCCUAGCUUUUGAGGGGCGCGGGCUAAGGCCUGGGUUGGGCGCGGCGGGUGCGGCGAAAGCGGGGAGCGCGGGCGGGUGGGGGUGCGGGCGCAGCCGAGCACGGGAGCGCGCGACGCGCGGGCGGGUGCGAGCGGGGGAGCGGCGCGGGCGAACGCCCGCGUUGCGGGAGCUGGCACGGACGCGGGCGCCGGCGAGCGAGCGCGAUUCCUCUCCCCCUCUCUCUCCCUCUCUCGAUCCCAGGGAGAAGUACCCAGAUAGAAUCCNCCCUGUAAGGGUUUUAAUUUUUCCUUUGUUUUGAUCUGCCCUAGGGUUUGUUUCUUGAUUACAUUGUUGUUCAUGUUUGCUGUUAUUGUAGUGAAAUGUUUAGUUCUUGAUUAAUCAUAAGAAGAAAUGAAUCGGUUGCUGCGGGCUUCGCCGGCGCCCGUCCGUGGUCGGAUACCGGCGGUGGUGGCGGCGCAGCUGCUGCUCCGGCAGGGCAAGCCCAAAGACGAGAGCCUCGAUCUCUUCUCCGCGAUCCCGCUGAGCGAAUCGCCGACGAUCUCCUCCCCCGCCGUCGCCGGUAACCGGAAAUAAAUUUCCCCCUCCCCCAUUGAUUUCUUCUUUUUUUUAAGGCCCCGUUUGGAUCGCAGGAUAAGCGGAGAUAACGCAGGUUAUCCCCACUAUUCCGCCAAACGGGGUGAAAUUUGGCCGGGAUAUUUUAUCCCGGUCAAACCUUGCUAUUCUCGGUUAUCCUGGAAUAGCAAGGGAUUUGCUAUUCCACCAUUUUGGUGGAAUAGUGCUAUUCCAAUGCUUAAUUUCAAACUUAAUUAAACUUAUAAAUUGAAUUAAACUAAAUUAUAUAAAUAUAAUAUGUUAUAUAUUAUAAUACAUUAUUUUUAUUAUAAAAUUAUUAAUUGUACUAUAUUAAUACAUAUUAUUUAUAUUUAAAUAUUAUAAUAAAAUUUAUAAUAAAUUAUAUUUAAAUAUUAUAAUAAAUUCUUUUUAUUAAAUUUAAAUUUAAGUAGAAUUUUUAAAAAAUUUAUAAAUUUAUUAUAAUAAAUUAUUUUUAUUAAUUGUUCCCACCACUAUUCUUAUUUUAAAAUUUUAAAAAUUUAAAUUUUUAAAAUUUAUAUUAUGAUCAAUCUUCAAAAUGAAAGUUUAAAAUCUUAAACUUUAAAUUUUAAUUUAAUUUAAAUUUUGAUAUCGUUUAAAUUUUUGAUACAUUUUAAAUUUGAUAUUUGUAUAUUUUUUAAGUUUAAAAUAUGAUUUAAAUUUAAACAUUUGACAUUUAAAAUUUAAAAUUUUUGAUUUAAAAUUUGAAUUUUAAAUUUCAGAUGUAAAUUUUAAAUUUAGAUAAUAUACAUUUAAAAAUUUAAAAAUUCAAAAAUUCAAAUAUAAUAAGUGGAUAUAUCAUGUAUUUUUUAUUUACAAAACCAUAUCUUUCUUAUUCCAUCUACCUAACAACCUAUUUUUUUAUUCCAGGAAUAACCCAAUUUUCAUCCAAACGCAAAAUUGAUCUAAUCCUCGCUUAUACCUCAAUUUAUACCUAUCCCUGGAAUAGCCACUUUUUCCUUAUCCCCGAACCAAACGAUACCUAAGGGUUUUUAUUUUUAUUUUUUUUUAUUUUAUAGAGGAGGGAGUGUUGGGGAGAGCAGUGGAGUGGAGGAUGAUGAUCUGUUCUACGUGGGCGUUGAAAAGAGCGAUUACGAUUGGUAAUCAAUAAACCUCUUUAACUUCCUUUGUUUUUUCCCUUUUUUAUUCUUAAUGCUACAUUUUCUCUCUAUUUUUUUGGUUGAAAAAUUAGCUACACCGUGAACAUUUUAAAUUAACAUCAAUUUUGGUUAUAUUUCAAUAUCAAAUCAAUUUUGAACUGAGUUGUGCUAUGUUCCAUAUAGAAUGAAAUGGAUGAACCAAAGAGGGAUAAUGUUCUUAAUUAAUUUUCUCUCUAUUUUUUUUUACAAAAAAAAUUAUUUAAAAAUUACUCAAUUUCACUUCCAAAUUUUUUUUGCAUAAAACAGGCUACUUACACCCCCUGGAACUCCUCUCUUUUCCUCAUGCAAUGGAGUUGAACACCAACCAUCUUCAGCUUCUGCAAAAAGCACUUCAGAAGUUGGAUCAGCUUUAGCUAUAAAGCCUUCAAGGGUAUACUUGCUUUUUUUUUGAUGAGUGCUUAAAAAAUAUCAGUAAGUAGCAGUUAGACAUUUGACAAAUAAAAAACAGCACUGGCGCUGGCGAGAGACCCAGUCCUCUGUCUGUCUCUCUCUUUUUCCCCUCUUUUAUAGUUUUUUUUUUUUUGUUAUGAUCCAUGUACAAAAAAAAAAUAAAAUUUUAAAUUUAAUUGUAUAAUUAAUUUUAAGCUGGGUCUGGCUCCGGCUGCGGCGGCCUUCGGCGGGGUCGGCUCCGCCGCAGCAGCGGAGGUGGCAUACUCGACGACGCAAGAGAGGAGGAACCCGGCAGGGGAGGGGUGGCGCCGGCAGUCACCGCAGCCGCGGCCGGCCGGGCGCCGGCAAUCUGCCGGCAGAGGAGCGGGGCGGAGGCGGGUUCCGGCUAGCAUUUUUGUUUUAUCUUACUUUUUCUUUUUUUCUUUAUAAUCAAAUCUAAUUAUUUUCUCUUAUUAUAAAAAUUUUAAAAUAUAUAAUAUUUUCCAUGUUUUAAAAAUAAUUUAAAUUAUCUAUACAUAUAUUAAAUGGGGAUAGAAGCUUCCCUAAAUUUUACAAUUUUACAAUUAAAAAAUUUAAAAUUUUAGGUUUCAAAUAUUAGAUUUUAAAUUUUAUACCCUUUUUCUCUCACUCACUCUCUCUCUCACUCACUCUCUCUCUCUAUCUAAAUUUAAAGUUAAAUAUUUAAAAUUUAAAAGUUUUUAUUAUUUAAAAUGUAAAGCGAGUUAUUCGAUGCAUAUAAAUCUUUAGAAUUUAGAAAAAUUAGGAUUCAACAAAACUCUAUAUAAAAUCAUAUAUUCAAAAUAUACAAACUGAAUUAAGAUAAAAUAUAUUUUUUAAAAUUUAAAUUUUUUAAAUUGUAAAUUUCAAAUUUCAGAUUCUAAAUCAAAGGGAGUUAGAAAGUUAAAUUUCAAAUAAAUUAUAUAAAUUUUCCGCCGCGAAGCGCGGGCCUACACUAGUAUCACAUUAGUCUUUGAAUGUUUUCUCAUUUCACAUCUAUGAUGCGCCCCAGUAAUGUGCUAAGGGGUUAUUUGGAAGUGGAGAGUUGGAAAGCAGAGAAUCUGUCACGCUCCAAGCUCGGCCUAUUUGGUCGGUUCGGAUACGUCGAACAGACGUCGAACGGACAGUACCUCCCCUGUCCGCCCAGACUCAACAACAAGUACAGAGCAAGUAUAUAAAUUGCACAGCGGGAACAUGAAUAUAUUUGGCUCGCACGAGGGCAAGCAAUAGCCAAAGUAAAAGUAUUAUCUAAUCAACGUACAAGUAAUAUGAUUAACUUUAAAUCACAUACAUGCAUUCAACUUUUAUAUUUGCAUUCUUUUCUUUAUCAUCAUUUCUUCUCUUUUACAUCGCAUGAUACCUCAAAACAUAACCUUUUGCAUUUAAAUAUAAAUUCUUUUACAUCAUUUAACAUGUUCAUAAUACUAAAAUCAUCAAAGACAAAAGAUAUUUGUUUGAAGUGAAAAAAAAACAAGAAGAAAAAAAAAGAAAAAAAAAUUGGGGUAAAGUAAUCCUAAUCAUAAUCAAAACUGAUUAAAUUCGGAUUCAUACAAUUCUAAUAGGACUCAUCUUGACCAUUAAAUUUUAGGGGCAAUAAUCAUAAUUUAAAUCCAUCAUAGGCCUGUUUAUAAACGUGAAUUGGUGGGCCUCAUGAAAGCUUUUUAAAAUUUUAGGCCUACAAAAUAAUUCGGGCCUCAUUUCAGCCCAUUGAAUAUUAUCAUUUGUGCCCAACAUUUCAUGAAAGUGAGCCCGAUCAAUGACGGCCCAUAUCCACACCCUAUAAAAUAUCUGUUCGAAAUUCGAUUUCAAUCCGCAACCGAUUCAAAAUUCGAUUUCGAAUUUUGAAUUCCCAACCAACUCCCAAAAUUUCUUCCAACCAUCCAACAAUCGAUUCAAAAUACGAUUUCGAAUUUCGAAUCCCAACCAACUCCUAAAAUAUCUCCCAACCAACCAUAUCCAUUCGAAUUUUGAAUACCUAUCCACCCAACAACCGAUUCAAAAUUCGAUUUCGAAUUUCGAAUCCCUAACCGAUUCCUCAAAAUAUCUUUCGCCUAACCCCACGAAUCGCUCCGAUUCCUCAGAUCUCCCCUUCUAUUAUAAAUAUGGGAAUAAAAAUCAAACGGGGAGGAUACAAAAAAAAAGAAGGAGAGAGAACAAAUAGAUAGAGAGAGACGAUAGCGAUACUGAGAAAGGUUACGAUAAAAAGAGGAGAAAUAAUAUUAUUUCCACCCUUACUACACACGUUCCUACGUACAAAAAAACAUCCAAAGGAGGAGAGAUCGCCGAGCCGCUUCAUCCAAUCCGUCAUCAGAUCAAGGAGGAGAGAUCGCCGUCGCCAAGCCGCUUCAUCCGAUCUGGCAUCUGAUCAACAGGUAAAGAUAAAAAAAAAAAGAAGAAAGAAAAAAAAAGAAAAAAAUAUAAUAAAACAUAAAUAAUAAUAAUAAUAAUAAAACACAUAAAUAAUAAUAAAAAAAGGAUCUCUUUUCUUCCUCUUUUCUUUUUUUCUUUUUUUUGAGGUCCUACUACCGUAGUCAUCCAUACCAUCUAGACGGUUUCGAUGGGAGAGUGGAGGGGAGCCAAUAGUUUCAUGUUUCUUCGGACCUCUCAAUACCCCAGUCGAAGCCGUUAAUUGAUGGAAUGAGUGAUCUACAUUGCUGUGACCACCUCCAGCAUCGCCAGUUUUGUAUUUUCGAAAGAAAAUGGGAGAAGAAUAAAAAAUUUCCCGUUUCUCCGGACCUUUCAAACCCUCUUGAAAAUAAUCAAGUUCACAUAAAAGCCCCGAAACCUACAAAAUCUAAACUCAAAUCCAAUCCGGACCACAAAUGGAACCCAAAUCCAAUUUCCGACUUGGACUCAAAUCAAUACCCAAGUUCGUGAACCAAAUACCACGAAUCAUAACCCAAGUUCAUGAAUCAAGGCCUAUGAACCAAAAUAAACCAAGUUCAUGAACCACGAACCAAAUCUAUGAACCUCACCCAAGUUCGUGAACCAAAUACCACGAAUCAUAACCCAAGUUCAUGAAUCAAGGCCUAUGAACCAAAAUAAACCAAGUUCAUGAACCACGAACCAAAUCUAUGAACCUCACCCAAGUUCGUGAACCAAAUACCACGAAUCAUAAACCAAGUUUGUGAACCAAACACCACGAAUCAUACCCAAGUUCAUGAACCAUACUCAAGUUCGUGAACCAAACCCAAUGAACCAUAUCCAAGUUUAUAAAACAAAUCCCAUACACUAAACCUCAUGAACCAUGAACCAAAUUACAUGGAUCAUAAACCAAAUCCCAUACCUAAAUAUCAUGAAUUAUGGAGCAAAUGCCAUACACUGAAUCCCAUAAACCAUAAACCAUAAAUCAAAUCCAUGAACCAUAUCCAAGUUCAUGAACCAAAUCCCAAAUACCCAAACCUCAUGAACUAAAUGUCAUAUACCAAAUUCUAUAAACCACACCCAAGUUCAUGAACCAAACCUCAUGAAUCAUAUACCAAACCCUAUAAACCAUACCCAAGUUCAUGAACCAAAUCUCAUGAACCACAUCAAAGUUCAUGGACCAUAAAUCAAAACCAAGUACUAUACACCAAAUUCAUGAACCAUACACUAUACACCAAGUUCACGAACCAUACUCCAAACCUCAUGAACCAAUACCCAAAUCUCAUAAACCUUACCCAAGUUCGUGAACCAAACACCAUGGACCAUACCCAAAUUCAUGAACCAAACACCAUCGACCAUACCCAAAUUCAUGAACCAAAACACCACGAACCAUACACCAAGUUUAUGAACCAUACACCAUAUCCCAUAAACUAUACACCAAGUUCAUGAACCAUACUCCAAACCUCGUGAACAAAUAUACCAAAUCUCAUGAACCAAAUACCCAAAUCUCAUGAACCAUACAUCGUGAACUUUUUCUUUACUUUAGCUCAUAUACCUAGAGUAAAAAAUUAAAUGCAAAAUCGACUACCCCUAAUACAUAUACUUAGGGCUAAGAUAACAUCGACUAGGUCUUAACACAUAUACUUAGGAUCUAGUCAGCCUCAAAUCCAACUAAAUUCUAAUACAUAUACUUAGGAUUCAAUAAACCAAGAUAUGAUCCAUUCAAUCCCAUCUUUACAAAGAUCUCUUAAUCGAAGGUGCCCCAAUCUCUAGGGGGUAAUUAACAAUAGGUGCUUGCAUCUAUUGGAAGCCAUGGACCCGCAAUACCUGAUACCCACAUACAUAUAAAUAUUAAUCUGAAUCAUGAAUACUACCCCACGGCAGAAAUUUCAUCGACCGUGCGAGGUGCGUCAUUCGUGGUGGCAGACAAAAUGGCACGCCCGGUGGGAGUAGUCAUGAGCCAAACGAUUCUGGACAUAUACUUGGUUUAUGGUUCAUGAGAAUGGGUAUUUGGGAUUUGGUUCAUGAACUUGGAUAUGGUUCAUGGAUUUGGUUUAUGGUUUAUGGUUUAUGGGAUUCGGUGUAUGGCAUUUGCUCCAUAAUUCAUGAUAUUUAGGUAUGGGAUUUGGUUUAUGAUCUAUGUAAUUUGGUUCAUGGUUCAUGAGGUUUAAUGUAUAGGAUUUGUUUUAUGAACUUGGAUACUAAGCUCAUGAACCAAACUCAUAAACCAUGAACCAUACUCAUAAACUAUGAACCAUACUCAUGAACCAUGAACCAAAUCUCAUGGACCAAACCAUACCUAAAUCUCAUGAACCAUAUCCAAGUUCAUGAAACAAAUACAAUACCCAAAUCUCAUGAACCAUACAUCAAGUUCAUGCCCAAAGAUCGUUACAAAGUUCGUGAACCAAACCCAAUGAACCAUAUCCAAGUUCAUAAAACAAAUCCUAGUGUUUAUGUUUAGGGUUUAGGGUUUAGGGUUUAGGGUUUUAGGGUUUAGGGUUUUAGGGUUUUAGGGUUUAGGGUUCGGGCUGCGGUGUCUUUUGGUUUUUGCAGAUGUUUUUACAAAUCUAUCUCCCCCAUUUGUGCCGAACUCCUUUAAAUAAAGAUUCGGCUGCUCAUUUUGAUUCUUAUGGGCUGGUUCUUGGCUGCCCUCCGCCGUUGACAUCCGACCAUCCUUCCGACUUCCAAAUUUAUUUUAAAAUGUUUUAUGAAUCUCGCCCUCAUUUCACUAUUCAUUGGUCCCCUUUUGCGGAUCGUGUCACCGGCCCAUCUUGGUUUUUAGCAAGAUAUGAGUCUCUUCAAAACGAUCUAGCUUCCUCUCGCGCCGGUGAAUAUGCAGACGUUUGGUAUUCAUUCCUGGCCCCAAGGGAUUUGCACAUUGGCCUGAAGUCGCGCUCAAAAUUGUUGCCUAGCACUGAAGUUUACUCUCCUCAGUUUGUAGCGCGUCAAUUUGGCUUCACUCAAGCAAUCCUUGCUCCGGCCAAAUUCUUUACUACUAAUACCGCCUUUAACCGACCCCCUACCAAGAGCAUAGCUGAUGCUGAUCGGAUUUCGGCGAUGGGGAAUCGUCUUCGGCGAUUCUUCAAAUUAGUGAGUUUCAGGCCGAAUUACACAGGGGUAUUGGGUUUUCGUUUUACUGUUACUUGGGAUCAUUUUACCGAUCGUAUUUUUAAUCGGUCCACUGUACAACCAUUUCGCCAAACCAUUCUUCCUCUUGGUACGUCUCUUUGCUCAUGUUCACCCUUCUUCCAUUUUUAGCCUUUAUAAUCUCAAUUUUUAUUUCUUUUAUUUUCAGAUACAGCAACACCUGCCUCUAUUGAUCCCCUUAUACCAAAAGAAGAACCAGAAGAGGUUUCUGAUACUUCACCUCUUUCUUCUUUCUUGUCCUUGCUUUUAGAUUUUUGAGAUACAUAUAUAUUUCAUUUCUAUCUUACAGUCAAUUCCAAAUUCUUCGUCGGUCCUGGCUUCAGAUAAAAGACCGAUUGAGACUGUACAAUCCACUCCUCCGCUGUCUUCAAAGCAGCGCAAAUCAAUUGUCAAAAGGCAAUUUCGACAAACCGAAGGUACCCCUUCGGCUGACACUACCGAAGACAGAGCCGAGAAUAUUCCCUCGGCUUCAAUUCCAGAAAUAGUAACCGAGGACAUACCUUCGGCUGAUAUCCCAUUAGAGGAAACUACUGUACCCUUCUCGGCUACUGAACAAGGCUCUGUUCUUACCGAACCGAUUGAUAUCGGGGUAAGCCAAGUCAGUUGUUCGUAAAAGAAAACAUUUAUUAUUUAUUUAUCGUUUUCUUUUAAACCACAGUCCUCUCCUGAGCGAGCCCCUUUUGCUUAUUCUUCAAAGACGCAGAUGGAAAGACAACUUCGCAGGGAGGCCCGUCUUGAGAAGAAACAAGAGAUAGAGAAAAAGAAAAAGUCUGUUGAAACAGCGAGCAUGACGCCAUUACCAAGUAAGGUUGCGUCACCUCUUUCUGUCCCUGCCCCAAUACCAACUACAGGGGAUGAACAAGUAAACGUACCUCUUGGGCAAAGUUCUGGAGAUGCAAGUACCGUACCUCCUUAUUCGACUCAGGGAGCUUCCCUUCCUGUUUCUGAUGAUCCUCUAUCUACUAGUCUCUAUUCUUUACUGGUCUCAAGCCCUGAUUCUAAUGAGGGAGAUGAUUCUUCAACUAUUGUCGUAUCUUCAAACACUCAAAGCAAAUUUGAUGAGUGUCUUAAGAUAUAUAGCAAUGGUAUCCCUAACUUAGCUCAGAAUCCAGAACAAUUUGAUCGGCUAUAUGCUCUUUUACUCGAUUUGGCCGAUCAAGCAGAUAUUACUUCUAGUAUUAAAUGUUUUGUAGAGACUCUGUCAUCUCAACUUUCUUCUUUUUUAGCUCGGCAACGAUCUUUGAGUGCCGAACUUUUAUCUUUAGAUCAACAUUUUCAUCGUGUUGAUCACUUUUAGAGGAAUAUCCCUAAAGUGGUGGCUCCAAUUGCUGAAGUGAACCGCGAAGAUCAAUCUCUGGCAAACCAGGAAUCAGUUUUACGGCAACGCAUUCUAACCCUCAAAGAAGAAUUAGCUGCACUUGAGUUUACUCUGGCGCAAACUUCUGAACGCCGUCUUCAAUUACGGGAUCUACUGAAGUCUAAAAAAAAAGAGGGAGUGAAAAUUCAAGAAUAGCUCUCUCGGCUCUAUAGGUGCAUCCUUUGAUGAAGCGCCGACGAAAAGCUGCUGAAACCGCCCAAGCCAAUCUUAUAGCCGAAUGGAAUCAAAUUAGGGAUUUAUUAUCUUGAUUCAGCUUAUAAUUUUCUAACUUUGAUUUAAUUUCUCCUUUGUGUAUUCUAACUUUGAUGCUUCUCCCACAUAGAUGGGUAGUAUUUCCUCAAAUACUAUCCAUUAAUAGAUUUUUCAUUUUCUAAACCAUCUCUGUUCUGCAAGUAAUAUGCAUUUCCUUUUCUGAUUCGGCUGACUUGAAAUGGCCCUUUCCAAUUUGAAGAUCAUUUUCCAUACGUUCGGUCUUUUUGAUCGAUUGGAAAAAUCAGCCGAAGUACUAAAUCACCGACGACAAAUGUCUUUGAUCGAACUCUCUUAUUGUAUGCGCUAUGGACUCGGCUUUGGUAUGCUUGCAUAUUAUCUAAAGCUAUCAACCGAGUAUCAUAUACUUCCUCUGCUUUGUCUUUUAUUAAAUUACUGUAUUCAUCAGCCGACAAAUCUUUUUGCUUUUCUGUCCUCAAAGAAGGAACUGUUAUCUCGGUUGGAAUUACGGCCUUAUGUCCGUAAACUAAUUGGAAUGGUGUCAUCCCUGUUGCCGUUUUCACUGAAGUUCGGCAUGCCCAUAAUACUUUGAAAAGUUUUUCAUUCUAUUUUCUCGGAUGCUUUCCGAUAUGCCAUUUCAUAAGGUUAAUGACUAUUUUAUUCGCUGCUUCUACUUGUCCAUUCGCUUGGGCAUAAUAAGGAGACGAAUGGAGCAACUUUAUCUUUCGAGACUCGAUGAACCGAACGAACUGUCGUCCUAUGAACAUUGUCCCUUGAUCGGUCGUAAUUGUCUCGGGAAUCCCAAAGCGAUGAAUUAUAUGAUCUUCAACAAAAUCAAUAAUUUCUUUUUGGGUAACCAACCGAGUGGGUUUUGCUUUCACCCACUUGGUGAAAUAAUCGACAGCCACUAUUAAAAAUUUGUGACCAGCCGAGGAGUUCGGCUGAAUUUCUCCAAUUAAAUCCAUGGCCCAACCUCGAAAAGGCCAUGGUUUGACGAAUGCGUACAUCUCAGAGACCGGAACUCUCUGGAUUGAGCCAUGAAAUUGACAAUCCUGACAACCUUUGGCAUAUUCUAUACAAUCUUGAUACAUUGUUGGCCAAUAAUAUCCUAAGUGCCGAAUUGUCCAUCUUAACUUUUUUUCGGCUAAAUGGGUUCCACAUAUUCCUUCAUGUGUUUCUCCCAUUAUCAACAGAGCUUCUUCAGGCCCUAAACACUUUAAUAGAACUUCUUCAGCUGUUCUCUUAUAAAGUUGACCAUCUAACAAACAACAGCCGAUAGCUCUUCUUCGAAUAUUAUAGUCGACUCUUGUAUUAGGAUCUUCCAGAUAUUUGAUUAAUAAUUUUCUCCAGUCUUCCUUCACUUCUAUGGGAGCCAUAAUCGGUUCUCGUACAAGAACCGAAGGUAGCAACCUCCUCUGUAUUACUAUUGACUCUGACUUCGGCUCUCUAUAUCCUGAAGCCGACUGAGCUAGUUCAUUUGCCUUUUCAUUUUUCUGUCUGCUCAAAUGUUCGAAUUCAGUUUCUCUGAAUUCACAUAGUGUAAUACACUGAACUUUUGCAAAUUGCGGAGUUCGAGUGUGUGGAAUGGAAUGCGGAACUAUCCUACAUGUCCUAAAAGGCUUGGACAAGUUUUUGGACAAGUUAGAGGAUGAUUGAAAAGCUAGAAGCAAGAAAGUGCAUUGAACGGGCAAAAUUCAGCAUUUUCUGCAUUGUGUAUCGGUACAGCCAUCACACUGUACCGGUACAGCAAGCAGCAGCAGCUGCAGCUGCGUUGCUGCAGGGCUACUUUGGUAUUUUCACUUCCCAUACUUAUCCCCAACACCCCAGCAGGACUCCAGAAGCUGAGGGAUGGUUGCUGGAGCUCAGGGCAAGCCUCUUUCAUCUUCUCCAUUUUCUCUCUCUAGGGUUCUCUCUCUCUACAAGUAAAAGGCGCCGUUUUGCACCGAUUUCGCGUCUCGCUCGACGCUUGCUGGUUGGGUGGACUUGGGGUCAGCUUUUAAGAGGUUAAGUGAAGUGUUUUUAGCAGUGUUUUCAUGUUUAUUGCUGGGAGUUGUUGAAAGGAAGCUUUAGAGAGGGUUUUAGCUCAAUCACCCUCUAGUUUAUGGUUUAGUAUCCGAUUUUGACGCGUUUCUGUUUUAUUGCUCCCAGCUGAGCUCGAGGAGGAUUUCAGCAACUUGAGAGGAGUUAAUUAGCUGUACUUUAACUACCUUGGAUCAGGGAUAAGUUGCUUCAAAGCUGGACAAAGGUAAUUAGUCGAUUAUUGACAUAAUUUUAGGACUCUAUGAAGUUUAAUCGGGUAAUUGACGCAAUUUGAGAUUGCUUCUUCGCAGCAGGUUUCCGAAUUAAUUUGAGCUUAUUUGGUGACCUUGGGGACUGGUCUAAAAGGUGUUUUAACCUGAGGUAAGCAGGAAUUUCAGUUCUAAAAUUGAUUUAGUAAGAAUUCGACUAUACUAGCUUAUACGUAAGCAUAUUGAUGCCGUUUAGUGGUUGUCCGCAGUGAGAGUGCUACCGACCUUGGGAUCACCUUCAGUUGGCAUUGGAGAGCAAUUAGAGGCUUAACUUGAGGUAUUAAGUUGGCCCAAAAUAGGGAUUUAAGUUACUACUUCGUAUUAAGUACAAGUGUACCGAAAUUGGACAUUUCGGAUAUAUGUUUGAUACGGUUUUGAUGCAUUAUUUUUCAGCAGGGUUGAGGCUUGAUUGAGCUAAAUUUUUGGACUCUUGUGGACUGAUUUGGAGCCUAGUACUAGGUGGGUUUGACCUAACCAGAGCAAGUGAAGCUCCCCUAUGUUCUAUAUGUAACUAUAGAAUCGGUUUAGUAGCGCAUUUUUAUGAUUAUGCGAUUAAUAAAGGGUUUAGUACAUAUCAUCAUAACAUUUGAUAUAAUUGAAACAGAACCUCUAUGAAGUAGAGUGGACACACAUGCGUAAAGUAUCUAUGUUCAUGUUAAAUGCAGUUGAACGACAUUCUAGUACGAGUUGCUAUGUUCCUAGAAAGUAAAGAACAAUGAUAUGCUUGUAACUUUAUCGAUUAUAAAGUCAAGAACAAGAAUAUGUUUUAUGACUAUAAUGGUAAUGCCAUGAUAGUAGAAAGUUCUUAAUGCCAGAUGUAAAUUUAGCAUUAUUCUUGCAUGUUUAUUAAUCUAGUGGAUACUAGUUACUGCCAAUAGUUGUCAUGUUGAGAAUUCCGAUCAAAGGAUUGAGAGCGAGAACAUUGCAAGUUGGAAAAUGAGGAUUGAGACAUAUUGGACUGUGAAAUUGCUUGCUGCCAUUGUGCUCAUUCGCACAUGCUUGUGAGGGUCGCUCCCUACAAGCCGGCACUCCGGAGUUGGCCUACGCGACAAUUGCUCGCCCGUGCGGGAUUAGGUGCCGAAGUGGAUUGCCGUGGGGAGUGUUACUACCACGGGGCCAUUAGGCGCAGCGCAAGCUGGAAUACCUUGAGUAAGUCCUGAUAAAUGAAACGAGAGUACUAAAUGGCAAAGGACAGUAAUGAAUGCUCAUCAGUAUAGUGUACAGUAUUUACUUACACAUCCAUGUUUAUGUUCGUGUUUAUAGUAGUUGCUAUGCUUCUAUUACUCAGCUGAUUCAUUACUGCAGAAAUCAUUGUUACAUGUUGCUUACAUGUCCAUUAAUUGUUAACAUUGAAAAUAUAUCAUGCAAAUUACUGCUUUUACUUUCAUUUAGUACAUCAUGAGCCUAGUGGUGUAAUUCGCCGAGGCUGGCGGCUUACCCACUGGGAACUAUUGUUAAUAGUUCUCACGCCCUUUUUAUUAUUGUUUUUACAGAGCCAUCUACAGGAGACGCUAGGGAUCGUGGCAAGGGAGUCGCGUCUAGCUAGACAUUGCUAGGAGCGUGCUAGUCGAUCACCUUGCUACUCGAGCUACGGCCGAGGGUGAUAUCCUGUGUAUAGAGAGACUAUCAUUAUACAGAUGUUUUGUGUUGUCUAUGAUGUAUAUGAGUAUUGGAUCCAGAUGUUAUAGUUUUAGUACUUUCUUUCGUACUUAUAUUUUGAGUUGGACCCUAUUGUUCUUUUAUUGACAGUAUUGGGAACUUAUACUUUGCUCUGAUAUCAAGAUAGGAUUUUUCUAUGUUUUUCUCCUAUCGCCUUGCUUUCUUGUAGACGCCUUAUACACUGCAGGUGUAUGGCGGGUCUGUGCACGUACCGGAUAUGCUUCCGCUGGUACCUGGGCGUGACACAUAGUAACUCUAAUGUCUUCCUUAAAUAAUUUUGUAAAUUCGGGUUUUCACAUCGGUAUUCUCCAUUCACUUGUUUGAUUACUAGCUGUGAGUUACCGAUGACUUUGAUUGACUUUGCUUUCAAUUCUUGUAAAAUUUCUAGGCCAAUUAUUAAGGCCUCAUAUUCGGCUUGAUUGUUAGAGCAGCCGAAAUCUAGCUCGAAAGAAAAUUGGCAUGAAUACCUUUCAGGAGAUUGGAUAACUAUUCCAGCUCCUGCUGAUUCCGUUGUUUUCGAACCGUCGAAAUACAAAACCCAAGGUCGACAGCCGAUAAAAUUCUGUUUCGGCUCCUCAAUCUCUACACAUGGGUGAUCAGCCAGAAAAUCAGCUAUAGCUUGGCCUUUGACGGCUUUGGCAGGAACGUAAUUAAGGGAAAACUCGAAUAAUGCUAAAGUGCAUUUUUCGAUUCGUCCCCGUAAUACUGGUCUAGAUAACCUGUACUUUACAAGAUCGGUUUUACAUAUUACCGAUACUUCGGUUGAUAAAAUAUAAUAUCUCAAUUUUGUGCAUGAAUAGUAUAAAGCCAAAAAUAAUUUUUCAAUAGCCGAAUACCGUUUCUCGGUAUCUAAAAGACGUCGGCUCAAAUAAUAAAUGGCUUGUUCUUCCUUUUCCUCAUUUUCUUGGGCUAGUAAGCAUCCCAAAUUUUCUUCUGUAGCCAAUAUGUAUAAUUUCAUCGGCUGACUUAUUUUUGGAGGUACUAAUACAGGAGGGUUUGACAAAUACCUUUUUAUGUUGUCAAAAGCCUCUUGUUGCUCCUCUGUCCAUACGAAUUCUUCUUUAUCUUUUAACCGAAGUAGUGGAGUAAAAACUCCUAUCUUUCCGGCCAAAUUAAAUAUAAACCACCGAAGAUAGUUAAUCUUUCCCAACAAACUUUGCAGUUCCUUUUUGCACUUUGGUGGUGGUAAUUCUAAUAUCGCUUUCGCCUUAUUUUUAUCAAUUUCGAUCCCUUUUUUGUGCACUAAAAAUCCUAGAAAGUUUCCUGCUGAAACUCCAAAAGCACAUUUCAAAGGGUUCAUUUUCAAAUUAUAUUUUCUCAUUCUUUCAAAGGCAAGCUUUAAAUCAAUCCAAUGUUCGGCUUGUGACUUGGAUUUUACGACUAUAUCAUCGAUGUAUAUUUCCAACAUCUUGCCGAUUAAAUCAUGAAAAAUAAAAUUCAUUGCCCUCUGAUAAGUAGCUCCGGCAUUCUUUAAACCGAACGGCAUGACAACCCAUUCAAAAGUUCCAAUCGAACCAGGGCAUCUGAAAGCCGUUUUAGCUAUAUCACCCUCAGCGAUAUAGAUUUGAUUAUACCCAGCAUGUCCGUCCAUAAAGGACAAGAUCUCGUUACCGGAAACCGAAUCUACUAACAUAUCGGCUAUUGGCAUGGGGUACUCAUCUUUUGGUGUGGCUAAGUUUAAGUUCCUGAAAUCAAUGCAAACUCUAAGUUUACCAUUCUUUUUUCGUACUGGAACUAUGUUAGACACCCAAUCAACAUAACGGGCCGCUCUAAUAAAUCCGGCCUUCAAAAGAUUUUCUAUUUCAUUCUUAAUUUGGAAUACAAUACUUUGCUCAAAUCUACGAGCCGGUUGUUUAAAAGGCUUAAACCCUUUUUUGAUAGGCAGCCUAUGCUUUACAAUUAUUCAGCUUAAACCUGGCAUUUCUUCAUAACUCCAGGCGAAGCAGUCCUUGUACUCCUUCAAUAGUUCUUUCAGCUCCUUCUGCUGUCGAGCCGAAAGCUUUGCGCUUAUAAACGUCGGUCUCUUAUUUUCGUCGGAUCCCAAAUUUACUUCAAUCAGCAGGUCUUGGGUCUCCAACUUUUUCUCACUGACUUUAAUAGGCAAUUCUUCUAGAUUCAAUUCGUUCGCUUGCCUAUUCAUUUCGUGUAAUUUGUCGGUCUCGGUGACCGACUUCAUUUGACUUUCUUCUUCGGCCCUGUAAACCGAAUCUAUUAUAACUUCUUCAGCUUUAUUAGCCAAGUCAUCAAGUGUUAACACAUCGCCUAUGGCAGCCGAAUCAUCCUCAUAGCCGAUCUUGUUGAUUGGCUUAUCCUGUCGAGGCUCUUGACAAGCCUCUAUUCUCAAUUUUUCGGACUCCAUUUUAACCAUCUUGCUGGCUCUUCAUCAACCACCAUACCAUUGACAUCUUUGGAAAGGAUUAAUUGAAUCCCCUCCUCUGUUACUCUGACAAAAGAAAUCUGAUCUGGAUCUGCAUCGGCCCAAUUGGUGUGGCCGAUGUCUUUCAUGUUGACAUCUAUCAUUUGGGGCCGUCCUUCGGUACGGAUUUCUUCUACCUUGUCUUCUAUCCACAGGAACAAUUUUCCGUGGAGUGUAGAGGGUACACACUCAUUCGAAUGUAUCCAAUCUUGUCCAAGUAAUAAAUUGUAUUAGCUAUCUGCAUCCACCACGAAAAACGCAGUUUUCAAAGUUUUGGAGCCUACCGUGAGUUCGGUGGUGAGUACUCCUCGAGCUUGUUGACCGUUUUCGGUGAAGUCGGUCAUGAUUGAGUCAGUGGGCUUCAACUCAUCCUCAUCUUUGCCCAGCUUCUUGAAAAAAAAAGUAGACAUCACAUUGACCAUGGCACUACCAUCUACCAUAACUCGGCCUACCGGCCGACCCUCGAUUAAGGCCUUUAUAAAGAGAGGCCUUAUGAAUCUUGUCUGCAUAGCCGAUGGUUUCUCGAAAACCACUCCAUCGGCCGGUUGAACAUCUUCCAAUUUCAACUGGGCUACUUUAUGCCCGUAUUCCUUCUCGUCUUUGAACUCUUCAUACUCGACAAACUCUGCCUUGAAAGAUUGAGGUAAGGCAUAUACCAUAUUCACCUCAGCUGGUGACUCGUCAGCCGAUUUUUCCUUAAUUCUCUAUUUCUUCUCUUUCGACUCGGCCAUUUUGGCUGAAGAGUCACUCUCCAUGCGGACCUCUCUUUCCUUAGGAGGCCAUCGUUCUCUCUUAAUAAUCGUUUCAAGGGAGGCUAUUUUAUCUUCUAGUUCUCUUAUGGUCAUCUUUUCUUCGGACUAGGCCUCAGUUCGCCGUUCUACUUUUGACUUUAUCCAAGGGACAGGUGAUGAGCCACUUGCCUCGUGGUCAUUUUUCAUUAGGCGAAAAGGGUGUGCUUGCUCAUUAGGACGCCUCCAUACGUUGAGCCUCAUUCCUUUCGCUUCUUCGUAGUGUUGUCUUGCCUCGGCUUGCAUCCUCUGCUGCCGACGCUUUUGAGUUUUUGUUAACAUCGGCCCUUGCCACCUGGCCGAUGGUUUGACUUCAACUUCGUGCCAUUCAUCCACUGGCAUAUUCGCCGGUACCUUUACCGACUUCAAAUGGUUUUUCAAAAUUUCUCUUCUCUCCCAAGGUCUCGGCCAAGGCUGAAUGCCGAGUUCGUUGACUAGUCUCCGACCGAGGAAUUCUAUGUCUCCUUCGGUCAUUCCCUCGAAUUCUGGUUCUCGUCUCGGCCUCGUUUGAUACUGCCAGUGUGGCCAAUAUCCAGGAAUUCUUGGCUUGGUGCCGAAGGGUCUACCCUGGUAGUCCCAUCGGCUUUGACGCUCGCCGCGCCUGUUGUUGUAAUAAUCAUGCAGAAUCUUCUGCAUCAACAUGUCUUAUUUGCGUUGAACCGAUUUGACUUUUGGUUAAGUAUCAUUGGAGGCCUCGUCUGAGCCUUCUUCUUCUCGAUCUUCACCAUCAGGAAUGUCAUCCCAUUCCUCAGGGAACGCCAUCAACUCAUUCUACUCGUUGCCUCUUUUCUUGGCAUUGACGAUGGCUUCCCAAUCUUUCUUCGUCAUUUCGGCCUUGCACCUUAUGCAAAGCCGAAGAUGUUUUUAGGCAUGUGCCACGUUAUCUGCGGUCACCUAGUCCGCAGUCUCUUUCACUUUAAUAUUCACUAUAUUGACCUGAAAAGGAAACGAACUUUCGUCAAUUAUCUUAUUUUCAUUUUCUUUCCUCGUCUAUUUCUUCUUGGAUCUGCCUUUUUGCAGCCGCUUUUCCUUUUCCUUUCAUGUUCACGGCGUUGACCUGUGAUGGAAAAGGAUUCUUAUCAAUUUUCAUAUUUUUGUUUUCUUGGUCGGUAAAGAUGAGCCGACCUUCGUUUAUCUCUUUUUGUAUCUGCCUUUUGAAAGCAGUACACUCACUAGUUUUAUGGCUCCAUGAAUGGUGCCACAUACAAUAUCUUCUGCGUUUUAAUUCUUCUACAGGAGGUAUAGUUUGGCCCUCUUGUAGUUUAAUUCGUCCAUCCUUUAGCAACCGAUCAAAAAUCAGAUCGGUCUUUGCUAUAUCAAACGAAUAACUAAAUGCAGACACAUAUGCUUUCGCCUCUCUUGACUUGGCGGGUUUUAACAAAGCACAUUUAUAGGGUUGAUUAUUUCUCACCAUCUCGGCAGCGCAAAUUUCGGCUUCAUCAGCCGAAUCCUCAUUCUCUUCAGACGAAUUCGGCUCUUCAUGAGCCGAAGAUUCUUCAAGGAAAAAGAUAUUUUUCUCCUUUUUUUUGCUCCAAUCUUUCUUUCGGCUCCAUCUGGGCCGAUCUUCAUUGUUACAUUUUCGAAAUUGCUUGUAUUGGGCAACUUGAACUCCCAAAUCAAGAAGAUUUGAAAAGACUUUAUCCUCAAAAUGAUCUUUAAUUUUAAAAUGCAUGCCGUUGAAUGCCAUUUUGGCAAAUUCCAAUUCCGGCAUUCUUACGAAACAACGGCUUCGAGCAGUUUUAAAUCGAUUCAAAUAUUCAUCAACCGAUUCUUCUGUUCUUUGUUUGAAUUGAGCCAAAUCCGCAGCUGAUAAUUCUGGCUCUGUUUUAUAAAACUGUUCAUGAAAUUUACCUUCUAACUCGUUCCAGUCUCGGACGGAGUUAGCAGGUAAACUCGUGUACCAAGUGAAAGCCGUCUUAGUCAAUGAGGUAUUAAAUAACCUCAACUUUAAAAACGAAUCUGCCGCGGCCUCACGGCACUGAGCUGUAAACCGCGCGAUGUGCUCGACCGUAUUUUCGGUCUUGCUGCCGGAAAACUUGUCAAACUUCGGCAUCUUCCAAUUUGCCGGAUAUGGGUGUUCUAUAUCUAUAUUUGCAGGGUAUGGUGACCUGAAUACGGGCCGCAUUGCCGGCCUUGCACCUACUCCGAAAGUAUUCUGGAUAGCUUUUUCUAUUUGCGCAUAAAUCUCGUUAUUAAUCCCCUGUAAAGGGGCUUGCGCUAGUGCUGGGUUCGGUGGCUGUGGCGCACCGAGAUUCUGCACCAAAGGAUUAACCCCUUGUGCAUUUGGAGACUGCCCCCUAGCCCCUACAUUUUGGGGCUGGUACACUGCUACCGGUGGAGGCGGUGGCAGCCCCCAAGCUAUCUCUGGCUUUUGACCGGCAUUAACUACAGCCGGUCUAUAAGUCGCUUGAUAUUGUGCCCCCUGGUAUUGGGGCUGGCCAAUCACUGCUGUUGCAUGAUUUUGUAACACUGGUGCCAUCAUAGAUGUUUGUAAACCUAAUGUUGGCUGAUCAUUCCGAGUCAACAAUUGCCCUAUUCGGGCUAUAUUCUCAUUAGAGGCCGUGAUUGCGGCCAAUACGGCAUCCAGCCGUGCAGUACUUGCAUGACUAUUUUGGUCCAAAACUUGCAGGACCCGAGUCAUUUGUCCAAACGCUUGAGCCAGUCUAGUCUCUUGUUGGCCAGAUUGACCACUGGUCUCACUUUCAGCAGGUAAGACUGCUUGGCGCUCUACAACAUUCUCUGAAUUACUAGGCUGUUCACUCCCAGAAUUUCUAGGAAUAGCACUAUUACGGAGAUUCAUGGCAUUAUCAUCAGCCAUACUUUAUAUAAAAUGUAAAUUUACCUUAUAUUAGAGUCCCACCGGGCGUGCCAAAAAAUUGUUGAAAGCCGUUGUUUCCCGUCCUCGGGAUACGCGUCGGGAUAAUGAACGGCUGCGAAUGAUGACCCUCAAAGUCUGCGCCCUUUGAUCUAUCAAGCGAUUCGGUCGAUGAGGGAUCCAAUCAACCAUGUCCGUAAACUCUAUUCUCUCUUCUGUUUGGCCGGAUGAACCGAAUGCACAGGAGAAGCCAGAAUUUUGACCAAGAAAUGAGCCGAAUGGCUAAUACAGCACAGAAACUAGUCGGCCUGAAGAGCCGAACACUGCCUUCUAUUGAAGUAGAACGGGGAAAGUACAGGAGAGAAGAGGUUUAGUCUACAGCGGAGUGAUGCCCAAAGGGCAGACAGACUCCAGGAUGCUAAGUUGCAGGACCUACUCCUAUGAAAAGCGGUAAAUGCAGGAAAGAAAGAUGCAGGAAAAUAAGGGUGGUCUUUUGUUCGCAGGGGCAAAGACCCAUUUUCAGGGUAUCAUCGACCUAUUUAUCCUAUCGCCCCUGAUACAGUUAUUGCACGAUUAGCCACUAUUUCCUAGUAUUCCGGACCCACAUUGGCUGAUCAAAACCGCCCACAACUGCACGCAGUUGUUAUAACUUUAUGCUGGCGUGGCGGUUCAUAUUUUUCUUCAUACUCCCGGCUCACAUCAAGACUGUGACUCCUGCCUAGGCCGGGUGUGCCAACUGUCCGCGUCAGAUCGGCUCAACAGCAAGUAUAAUAUUAUUUGUAACCAUACAUAAUUUCGCCAUAAUUUGUACGACACUAUUUGUAGCCAAGUACUUAAUUUCGCCACUAUAGUUGCAACUAAAAUUGUGGCCGAUAUUGCAUUUUGCCACAAAAUAUCUGACAUCAUGUGUGGCCAACAAAUAAAUUUUGUCAUAAUAAAUUCAAUGCUAUUUGUAGCUGGUAUUAAAAUUUGCCAUAAAUUAUACAAUGCCAAUUGUGACCAAAAAUAAUUUUCUCACAAAAUAUUAGGUAUUUUAUUAUUAUUUUAAUCAAUAUCUGUAGCCAUAUGGUAACUAAUUGUGGCGGAUGUUAGAAGUAUUGAGGCGAAUUAUAUCGCUGCAAAUUCAUAGAAGAAUUUGUGGCGACUUUUAUUUUGGCCAUUAAAACCUUUUGUAGCGGUCCUAUUGUGGCGAAGCUGUGGCAAAAUCAGUUUCGCCACAAAAGACCUUUUAUGACGAAUUUGUUUGAUUUUGUGGCUAUUAAAUUUGCCACAAAACGCUACCACGAGGAAUAGAGAACCAUUUCCACUUUAUAGAAAUCCAAAAGCGUUAUUAUAUUUAUAAAACCAACUGAAAUCUCAAUUAUUCACAUGUGAUAAUAAAACUGAACCAUAAUAAUAAUGUAAGUCAUUUAUUUGGAGAACUGAGAUAGAAGUUUAACCAAUGACGGGACGAUGGCUCUAACGAUCACUAGACGCGCUCCUCACGAACCGUCCCACUCAGACCUAUGACGUUACCUGUAAUUGGGGCGAGGGAUGAAAACAUGUAAACAUGUCUCCCCUCCCAGUAGGUACCGCAAGCCGACGGAGGCGAGGAUACGCACCAACAAAGGAGGAUAGCAACAAUAUGGGUAAAUGAAAUACAGUAGCAACGAUAAUAAAUGAACAUGUAUAUACAUAUAAAAUGACAACUACCGCUAUUGUAUGUAUGCAUCAACGGACAACGAGUCCAAAGUACCCAAUCUGGAAUGGCCGUAUUGGUACGCAACACCUCAGGCCCAUGCCACAACUGCUUUAAACAGAAACAAGCCAUAUUGGUCCGCAACACCUCAGGCUGAAAGCAUAUUGUAAUAUAUGGCAUCUUGGAGUUACGAUGUCAACUUUGAUCUAGGGGAUCAAAGUGAGGAUUGAGCUAGUUGGACAUCAUCCUCGAGUGAUUUGUGAUGCGUGUGAAUGAAUUCUGGAGAUAAAUAAGUGUUUCGGCGCAAAUUGGGCGCGAAACGAAAUGUAAAGAGAAUUUUCGGAUUUCCGAUGCUAACUUUGAUUAAAAGAAUUAAAGUGAGCAAAAUAAUAUAAAAAUGGUGUGAGAUAAUAUUUUAUUGGACUUAAGGGUGUAAAAUAUAAGUCUGGAAUGACUCGUGUUGGAAUCGGAGUGAAAACAGAAAAUUUAGAAUUUUCUGUAAAGAACGGGACUGAUAAAUUAGCAGAAAAUGCACAGUGUCAGAAAAUUAUGAAAACUGGAGGACAUGUCAGAAAUAUUUUUAUGAGGCUAGAUUUGAAGUUUUAUAUUAUUCUGACACUUGUAGAGAGAGAAAUAGCAUCCGAAAGUUAUCUGAUAAAGAUUACAGUUCGGGACAGUUCGCAGUGACCAAACGGGGUCGGAACUGAAAUGUUAAAAUUUCUUUGGACUUAUUAAGUAAAACCGAACAUGCCUGUCAAAUUUGAGCGCAAAUGGACAUUCAGAAGGGCUCCAAUUAAAUGUAUCAGACUAGAAUUGGACUAAGUGAUAAUAAUUGAUGAUUUGUGGACCUAAAGGCAAUUGUUACAUUGCUUACAAGGACUUCCACUAGGCUGCCAGGGGACUUCCAUUCUUAUCCUCUCCCUGUACGCAUGAGAGAGAGAGUGAAAGGAAGAGAAAAGGGAAUAGAGAGAAGAAGAAGAAGAAAGUAACAAAUUUUGGUGCCGUUUGUCGUUUGUCGAGCCGAUCGAAACGCCGCGCAUCGGAUUUUUAGCAUUUCGACAUUCGGGUUAGUAUUAUAAUAUUAUUAUAAUUUCAAACCAGAUUUUUUGGUGGAUUCUUGAUAGUGGAUGUUCGGAGAGGUCAUUUUGAUGGAUCUAUGUUGAAUCUAUGCUAAAAUUGAAAUUUAGAAAUCGAUUUCUAUGUGAUUUAGGAGCCGAUUUUGCGAGCGUUUCGUCGACGGAUUUUUCCGUGACUUUCGGAUUGUUGUGGCUGCCAUGCGGAUUGGGUUUGGGCUGUUAGGUAAUUCCAGAGCAAGGUAAUAAUAUGCUGUUCUUUUGCUAAAGAAUUUAGAUGUGCAUGUUAACAACCUGCAUGUAAGCUUGGAUUAGUUGUAUAUAUGGUUAUAUGAAGUCUGGGGUGAUGUGAAGUAGGUAGGAGUGAUCAUGACAGAAAGCUAAUUUCUUAUACUCUUAAAUAGUGGGUUCAUGUUCUUGAGUUAUUGGAGUUCUGGAAAUCUGAAGCUUGUUUUUGUUAUGUAACCUGGAAAAAGGCUUCAUAUGUACUAGUACUAUGUGUACACUUUAAUAGUUGGGAAUUAAAGAAGCUAUCAUGCAAAUUUUAAUUAAGAGGUUGAUGUAAAAUCCUCUAAACUAAUUUGUUUGAGGUUCAUGGGGAAUUAAGGUGAAUUAACCUAUAAUUUCUGGUUAAGACUUGGGUUUGUUGAAGACUAAGGCAUAUGCUGCCAUGAAGACUAGAGAAGAGCUUUAUGUUGAACCUAAACCCGAUAAUGCUAACUUGUAGGUUCGGAAGCUUAGCUCGGAAUUGAUCACCUGUCAACCUAAUUGGGGGUAAAGCGAAUGCGUUGGAAAACUCGGAUCGACGUUUCGACGAGUCUACGGCACGCUAACGAGGAAAACCUCCUUUUAGCCUAAGUUAUUGCGAGCAAGGAUUGUGAUCAUUCGUAAAGUACGGGAAGUGGAAUUUUGGCAUUCCAAUAUCAAGUAAAGGUGGAUUGUGCUUUACCGAAGUGAUUAGGUCACUUCCAUGCCAAAGUAAAGUAUAAUUAUUUUGACGCAUACAUGUAUAGUGGUAGAUUGUGAGUAAUAAUAUGAAAGCUUAAAUCGUAUUGUAUCAAUCAUUGUUAUCUACCAUUAGAAUAUGCAUGUCAAUAUCUUGUGGAUAAUACCCGAUGAUGCAUGAAUAUGAACAUAAUGUGAGCCUGUUAGAAUCAUACAAGCAGAAUAUGGGUCGAUAACUCUAAAUUGAUUAGAGAAUCCGACAGUUACAAAUAAGAUUGUGUAAGCAAUAAUCCUAGAUAUGGACAACUAGGAUAAUACAUAGAUGUUAGAGCAUAUAUGAUUGUUGACAUAUUAUGAUAAUCGACAUAUGAAUAUGAAUGCUAGUUGCAUAAGAUUAAACAUGUAUGAAAGUGAAUGCUAGAGACAUAUGAAUAAAUACUUAUGAAUGUGAAUCUCAUGCUAGAUGAUAUAUGAUGAUUGUCAUAUGACAAACAUACUAGAUGCAUACGAAUGCAUUGUAGUUCAUGCUAAAUGCAUAGGAAUGUCGGUAUAUGAACAUAUGAAUGAUAAAUGAUAUAUGAAUGUUGAUACAUAGACUAAAGUCAUGUAAAUUGAACAUGAAACGUAUAAACUAUAAUUCUAGACGUGGAUAACUAGGAUAAUAAAUAGAUCGAGUGGCAUGAACCUAGUGUUAUUAAACAUAGGUUGGAUAUGGAAUAAACCUAGUGUUAUUAAAUAUAGGUUGAAUUAGUAAACCUAGAGUCGAAAUCUCGGUGAUAGAACAUGAAACCUAGUGUAAAUGAACCUAGGUUAUGAGGUGUAGUGACACUUAGUAAAAUUGAACUAAGUUAUGAAUUAUAGUGGUAGUAGGACCACUAGAAAUUGAAUGAUAUAGACCUUGGAAGGUCGUCAGCAUAGGGUAAGUGAUUAAACCCUUAAGUUGUGAAAGUGGGUUCCGGAAUCCAUAUAAGUGGUGCUGUUGGCAAAAUAGAAUCAGAACUACGGGAUCGACGGUUCUCCUCUCCCGGUAGUGAUUCAACGGGAUCGACGGUUCUCCUCUCCCGGUAUGCCAGAAAACAAGUGAAUCAGAACUACGGGAUCGACGGUUCUCCUCGCCCGGUAGUGAUUCAACGGGAUCGACGGUUCUCCUCUCCCGGUAUAAGCUCAACGGGUUUGACGGUUCUCCUCGCCCGUUAAGCUUGAGCGACUUAGGGUCACGGGGAUCGACGGUUCUCCUCUCCCUGUGAUGGACCUAGUGUCGCGUGGACUUAAGGCUGAGGUUCUUGUGAGACAUCCUUCACCUCGAGCCUGACUUGACGCGGUACUCCGCGGAUGAUUGACUCAAGACCGAGUCGAGUGGCAUAGUUGACUAAGGUAAAGUAACCUUAAAAAAGAAUGAAAAAUGAGCUUAAUGUGGCCCCUUACUAAAGAAUAAAGAAUAAAGAAUAAAGAGUGAAAACUAAAGAGUAAAGAACGGCUAAUGUCGAAGAAUAACACUUGCUAAAGAAUGCUAAGAGUAAAGAAUGAUUAGCGAUAAAGAAUGCUAAUGAAUAAAGAAUGGUUAAGAAUAAAGAGUAGAAUCAAUAGAUCUACUUUUAUAUUGUUGCAUGAUUUACAUAUUGCAUAUUGUGAGGCAUACAUGUUUAAUAUCUGCAUAAAUUAUUAUGAUUAUCUGUUGGACUAACAUGUUUCAAUGCCUCCUUUGGAUCUGGUGGGUCGAGCUCUUCUCUUGGGUGGCCGUACCCACUGGGAACUAUAUUUAUAUAGUUCUCACCCCCGUGUUGUUUUGGGGGUACAGGUUAGCACGUGAGCGGCGCGACGGCGCGAGGACAGGGCGUAGCUUCAUAGAUAGCGCCCUACCACCGAGACCAGAGAUAGCAGUACCCAGAAGCAGUCUAGCUCAGAGUAUAAGUGUGAAAGAAACAAACUUGUAUCAAAUUUGUAUAAAUUGUAAUAAUUUAAAGGCUUAUAAAAUUUUGUAAAUGUAAAAUCUGUAAGAUGAAUGCUUGUAAUAGCAUAGUUAGCCUUUUAUGUCUUUGAUACUUAUGCAAUCUAUGUUUGAAUGCUGUUCCUGGUUGGGACCUCUUCUGUUGCAUUAUAUGGAUUGUGACGCCUAGGACGUAUAGGGAAAGCUCUGUCCGUUCGGCGGCCUGUCGGCGUGCCCGAAUCUGACCAAAU
This 208848-nucleotide long non-coding RNA is filed under the name Ananas comosus (pineapple). RNAcentral describes it as "long non-coding RNA (ACOM_LNC026917)". The record is from RNAcentral. Lineage: Eukaryota; Viridiplantae; Streptophyta; Magnoliopsida; Poales; Bromeliaceae.